UCCAUUUAUUCAGUAACAUUACAAAAUAUGAUCUAGAAUAUAACCUUUUAUUUCAACAAAAAAGAGGUCAUAUCUGAACGGUGAAACAACCAAAAUAUAGAAAAAUCAUCUAAAUAGUACAAAAUUAAAAGAAAAUAAGAGCACACAACUAAUACUGUAACGACCUAGCCCACUAGCAAUAAUAACUCGUUGGGCCCAAACACCGGCCCAAAAUGCUUAAGCCCAGUUAUUAUUACUAGUGUCUAUGUCUCUUAUAUACCCAAUCAUAUCCCCAUUCCUAUCCGAUGUGGGAUUAUUGGGGUGUGACAGACUCCCCCCGUUAAGGCCCUGACGUUCUCGUCAGUCCAAUCACACACACACAGCCCAAGAUCACCAAGCGAUGUGAGACUCGUCUCGUUAGCCUUGUCAUCCAGACCCUGGCGCCGGUCACCUUGUCAUUCAGACUACGGCAUAACCUAUCACCUUAUCUUUCAGACCCUGGCUCAGCCAAGACUCGUCACACAUUUUCGGCUGGUGAUUGGCUCUGAUACCAAAUGUAACGACCCAGCCCACUAACAAUAAUAACUCGUUGGGCCCAGACACCAGCCCAAAAUGCUUAAGCCCAGUUAUUAUUACUAGUGUCUAAGUCUCUUAUAUACGCAAUCACAUCCCCAUUCCUAUCCGAUAUGGGAUUAUUGGGGUGUGACAAAUGCUUUAAACUAUUAGGAAUACUUAUAAUUGUCACAAAGUCAUACAGACGCCGAGCAGACAGAACCUCCUCUGUCCGCCCAAGGCUCAACAACAACGAGUACAUGUAUAAAGAAAUAAACAAUUUCCAGAAUAACAUUUCAGUAUACAUGGCUUGCACGAGGGCAAGCAAUAAUCACAAGUGAUAAUAAGCUAGCUAUACUGAAAAUUCACUGUAAUUUAAAACUUUCAAACUGAAUUAUAUAACUGAAAUAUUUAGUUAUUUACAUACUUUAUAAUACAUUCAUUUACAUGUCUCUGCACAUCAAAAUGUCUCACAUGAACUCAAAAUGGUAACUACUAUACUCUGAUGUCAGCUAGCUAAGCUGCGGGGCUCUUGCCACGAUCCUCGGCCGCACCGCUCGCACUGGAAUCUGUAUGGUUAGUGGUAUGAGAACUACUGAAAGUUCCCAGUGGGUUCGGCCGCCGACCUCGCUGACUCACCCACUAGGUCUACUCAGGCAUAUGUAGGCAAGGAAAGUAAACAGAUAGUAACCAACUAAACAUGUAACUAUUACAAUGCCUGUACAAAGCUGAAAGAAAUGAUAUAUGAAAACUGUAAGUAUGCAUGCAUGCUUUUACUGAAUUUACCAAUAUUCAAUCAAUCUAGCUAACCAUUUGGUUAACUGCAACUCACUAACUCAAUCCCUGGCGGGCCCUAAGCUGCCUCCAGACGGGACCGUCUGCUGGACAGAUACUUUAGUCCAAGGGCAAAUACUUUAGCCCAUCAAGUGACCACUCCGGAGCGCACUGCCUGGGGAGAGCGACCACCACCAAGCCAAAAACAGACUAUGUGAGUAAGAUCUGAUCCUCCUUUAGAGGAUUCAAUAAUAGCCAGUGUCACAUUUUACUCUAACUAGCUCUUUUUGCUAGUCUCACUGUUUUAUUUCUCAAUGCUAUCCAAUUCUCUAGUUAGAAUGUCACCAAGUUCACUAUUGUUAUCGUCCAAGCAUUUAUAGGGUUCUAUGUCCACAUUCUAAGGUUCACAAGUUCUCCUUGUUGAUAGAAAUUUACAUUUUCACUUGCACAAUGCCGAACACCCUAUAAUGCAUGACUACAAAUAUAAAUAUGCUCAAUGAAUAAUCAUAGACAUAAAAGGUGAUUCAAAGACUUCGGAUAGCACCACCCAACUGUAGUGGUGUCAACAACUAGAAUCCACGUUUCGAAAUGUGUCGACAACUAGCUCUCGCGACUCGGUGUAAAUAAAACUAGAACGAUCUCUACCGUAACUAGUGUGUCGUCGACCUGUCGGAAAAUCAAUUUAGACUUUCGAGCAAGUUUAACUUUCAUUUAUAUAAGAAUAAAAGGGAGGAAACUGGUAUCAUAUUCACAUUUUAUUAAAACUUGCAUUUCACUUAAGAGUUUCUCAAUGCUACUUAAGUUUCAAGGCUGAAAUUCAGCUUUUGCUGAAUUUCAGCAUUUGUGCUUCCCAACUCACACUUUAGUAUCUAGGAACUUAAGGCCAUUAACCUCAGCCUUUAACCAGGGUUUACACAAUGUUAACUUAGAUAGAAGUCUCAACUCAGCAUAUAUUUCAGCAUUAGGUUGAAAUUCUAACUUAUGCUGAACUUUUAGUAUUCAACCUCAUCUUGGAGUAACAAUUAUAAGCAUAGAACCAUUAGUUCUAAUUAGCAAGAAAUUGUGCUUUGAAGCCUUUUAUUUCAGUUUAAUACUUAUCUCAAUACUAAUGCUGAAAUCUUGUAUCAUGCAGGAAUCUCAGCAUUAAUACAUCAGCUAGUUUUAGAGUACUCAAUCUAGAAGCUGAUCGAUGCAGCUUUGAGCUUCUCUUAGCUCAAAUAAUCAUAGAAUCCUAACACGCCUCUGUUACCAUUAAUUGAACCUUAGUUCAAAUUGAAUCAUACAUAUCUCGAUUUGCUGCUGAAUUAGUGCCUUCUCAGCCUCAACAUUGAUGGUCUCCAAUACUGAAAUUCUGCAUUGGAGCUUCACAAAUUCAGCACCAGUUCAGGUGCUUAUUUUCAGCUUUAAUUCCAUAACAUCAUAUCUUAAUUCGAAGCUCUCCUUCAGGCUUCUUUUCAGCUCACAAUUGCAAAAAGCUUCAGCUAAUGCAUCAACUUUACUCAGCCCAAUGCUCUCAAAUUUGCCAAUUCCAACUGCAGGAAUUCUUACUACUUAAUUCCAAAUCAAUUAACUUGAUCAAUAUUGCUUAUUAGAAUCAAUUUACCUCACUUAGAUGCUGAACUAGCCUAUUCAUUGCUUCAAAAAGCCCAUCAAUUCAUUGAAUUACAAUUCCAGGCAGCAAUACUUAAUCAUUUAACUCUCUUAUAACCAAUCAGUCUAAUUGUAAUUCAAUAUAACAUCAUCUUACCUUAGUUUAGGAUCUUAUCAAGUUGAUCUUAGCACUAAUAUCACCAACAGCACAAGCUUGUUGUUCCAACAAUAAGAAAUCAGCUCUAACUCUGAAAUUUCCACAACAUACUCUUAGUUUGAUCCAUCUUACAGCAAUUAAUUUGAUUAUAAUCCAAUAUAGAAUGAACUCACUUUAACUUGAUGCCAAAUUGACUUGCUCACUGCACCAAAUAGGCCAUCCUUGCAUUUCGGCAGCACCAAGAACAUCUAUCAACUUUAAUGGUCUAAUCUUUCUACUCGGCAGCUUCAACAACAGGAGAAUCCAAUCCCUUUUUAUUUCUACCUCUAUUGGAAUUUCCUGCACACAAUCCAUCACUUGAUCCAUUUAAAUACUUCUACAAAGUAAUUACCCUUAUACCUGCCGAGGAGCAAGCUAUCAGCUUCAAUUUCAAGCUUCCUCAGCUGAAAUUUCUGCUCAGCUACUCAACUAAACCAACACCUCAAAGCUGUCAGCUCCAACAGCAGAAAUUCCUCAUGUAUAGCAUCUCGGCAAUGGUCCCUAGUAUUCCAACAAGAAAUUAAACAUCAGUUUACCUGGAUUAGAAGCUUCUCCAAAGUUCUCUUCAGUUCCAGAGGCCUUCCCAGCAACUCCAACUGCAACAACUCAAUUUCUUAAGCCUUCCCAAUUUCCUUCAGCUUAAGUAGAUGCUGAACCCUGAUGCACAGUAAUUCCAACAGUAGGAAUUCACAGCUCGGGUCACUUCCCUCAGCUCCAACAAUCCAAUUUUCUGCUCGGCAGCUUCAUCCAUCAAAGCCCUCCCUAGGCUUGCUCUUCGGACAGAGAGAGAAAGAGAAGAAAAAAAAGAUGUACGAAAGAGAGAGAGAGAAGGGUCCCAAUACGUGUACAAACUCCAGCCAGCAUGGGUUAAGUGAUAAGGAUGAAAAUUUGCAACUUACCCCUCAAUUUUCUCAAAACUGCAUUGCAGUCCAGGCAGCCUGCACUUGCUGUCCGGUACAAGAAGGAGUACCGGUACAGGGCAGCAGCAUCAGCAGCAGCAACAACAGCAGCAGCUCCAUCUCUCUUUUUCUCUUAUUUAAUUCACUCCAAUUUGAUUCGAGCACUUCUAAAACAUGCCAAAUGACCUUCCCAAGCUACCAAAUUAAUUUGGAAGCAAUUAUUUCUCCAUUUUGCAUUAAUUUGAUCAUUUUUUAUCAAGUUAACUAAACAUUUCAGCAUUUUGGCAGCAACAGCAGUUGGAGGUCCUUUUGCACAACCAACUCUUUUCUAUUCCAUUCGAACACUUCCAAGUUACUCCAAUAUACCUCUACAAGCUGUCGAAUUGGUUUAGAAGCAAUUAAUUUUCAAUUUGGCAUCAAUGUGACCAAAUCGACUAAAAUUUCAACUUUCGAGUCAAAAUGGCAAUUGGAUGUUUUUAGCCACUCCAAUUCCAUUCUUAUCUUUUCUCACACUUCCAAAACCAGUCACUUGAUGUUCUCAAGCUACUAAUUAAGCUUAGGAAUGCUUAAUUUUCAUUUUAGCAUUAUUGGGACCACUUUGAUCACAAUUAGUCUUUAAUCAAAACUCAGCCUAUUACAAUAUUAUUAUUAAUUUAUUAUUUAUAAUUAAUUAUUAAUAAUUAAUAAUAAUUAUUAUUAUUUAUUAAUAAUUAUUAAUAAUUAUUAUUCUUAAUAAUUAGAUAAUCGAUAUUAUUAUUAAUUUAUUAUUUAUAAAUAAUUAAUAAUAAUUAUUAUUAUUUAUUAAUAAAUAUUAAUAUUAAUUAUUAUUAAUAAUUAGAUAAUCAAUAUUAUUAUUAAUUUAUUAUUUAUAAUUAAUUAAUAAGAAUAAUUAAUAAUUACUAUUAUUUAUUAAUAAUUAUUAUUAAUUAUUAUUAUUAUUAUUAAUUAGAUAAUUAAUAUUAUUAAUUUAUUAUUUAUUAAAUAAUUAUUAUUAUUAUUUAGAAUUAAUUAUUAAUAAUUAAUUUUUUAUUUAUUUUUAAGUAAUAUUUUGAUGUUAACUAAUUACAUAAUAUAAUUUUAAUUUCAAAUUAUAACUCUUAUUCCUUUUGUUCCAAUCUAACCAUCCAAACACUAUUUACCUUAUUUCUAGGAACAACUCAUUUUUCAUCCAAACGCAAAAUUGGUCUAGUUCCUGCUUACACCUGAAUUUGUACCUAUCCCUGGAACUAGCAGUUCUUAUUUAUAUCCGAACCAAACGCACUAGAGAAUAAUAAUUGUUUCAUAUUAUUUGACAUGCUAUCAAAGUAGGAGGUUCUGCGUUCAAGUCACGCUAGAAUUCUGGCAUUAUUAAUUUUUUUCUAUUUAAUUCAAGUCCACGCUAUGUACCUAGUAAAAAAAUUUGGAUCCAAAUAUGAGAGAGAUCGUUUUAAAUACAAAAAUCUUUAAACACGGUUCUCUAGUAGAUUAAGCUAAAACAGUUACGACAGUCGUCUAAGGUGAUGUUGUCGCGGCAGAUGGUGAGGCUGAAUAACCUGGUCGGGGGACUCAUCCGCACUGGCAGAGCUGGCAGAGGUUUGACUCGUAGGUGCUGUUGGCAAUUCGAUUGAGCGGGAAAUUGGCGCCGCCAGGCUGGAAGAGGGGAAGGCAAAAUAGUGAGAUGAAUAAAUAAAAUGGAGUUAGAAAAAUUAUAUAAUUGGAAUAUACUUUUGUUUUUUCCCAAAGAAUUAUAGAAAAUCUAUCAUAAUAGACUUAUUAUGAUAUGCAUAAUGCGAUAUUAUAUAGUAAAAUAAAGAAAAUAUGUUUAUUUUCUCGUCAUACGUAAUGCAGUCUCUUUAUAAUCUCAAAUGAUGUCUUAGCUUACUGAAUUUGAUGUGUACUUCACUUCUAUAUCAACAAUAACUGUAUUGGAUUAUCAAUCCUAAUCGCAAGUGGAAAAGUAUCCUCGCUAUAAUUGUUAUAUUAGUAAUAUCUUUAUCUAAUUAAGGUUAUACUAAAAGAUUUAGUAGGAAAUAAUAUAAUAAUUUUAUAUUGAAAUAAAUUUCAAAAAAAUUGCUUUUCUACUUUAGGGUUGGUUGGUUAUAUGUUCAUGCCUACUAAAAUCGGCUGCUUGAUUUGAUAUAUUUGAAUUGGAACAUUGUAAUUAUAACUACACGAAAAAGUUUAGCCUGUUUGGAUGCAUGGUAAAAAAAUUCCAUAGAGUUUAAAUACCAUAGUUUUGAUCCAAAUAAAAUGGAGAAUCCUGUAACUCUAAAAAAAUUUCACGAGAUUAUUUUUAGAAGCUGUUUGGAUGCACAUUACACAAUUCUACAAAAUUUCUUACAAUCUUAAAAAAAUUAGCUAUUAGGAUCUUUAAAUUUAAGUGUUAGAACCAUACAAAUUAAACUUAGCUCACAAUCUUGGAAUUCUCGACUUGCACUCGCAUCACCUGUCACUUUGCAAUUGAAGCACUGAACACUCAAAAAGUGUUUUAACUUUCGAUCUAAAAUUAAGCCUGAUGAAAUCUGAAUAAUGCGGGAAACAACUUACAUUUCCACUAUACAACAGAUACUUCUCUUCUACAUUUACAAUACAAAUCGAAGUUAAUUAAUGAAAAUCGAAGAAUUGGUUGACAGGAAAACCAUAUAAGGAUUUCUCGGCUUUUGGUGCACUACUUGUAUAAUAUCUUUCACUCUGUGAUUUAGAAGAAGCAUAAAUCAGCAAUAUGAAUUCAUAACAGCAGUCCUCCAAACUAUGUUAAUUAUAUAACAGAGCUGUGCGCCUACGAUGAGAUUCCAACUUUGUAAAUUAUUCUAGCCUUUCAACAAUAUUGGAAACAAAUCAUCCAAGAACCGAAGCUUCAAAACUCCAGCCGAAAUCAAGAACAAAUUAGUGAUGCAAACUCUCAGAAUUGACUACCGAUUGGAGAAUCUCCUACUAUGUCCCAGUAGACAGCGUCAGCGAGAGAUGAAUAAAGCGAGUGCUCAACAGCGGCGGCAACCGUGGCCGAGAUGAGUGCGGCGGACGAGGUGAGUAUAGCGGCGUCGGCGGCGGCUGAAGUGAGUGCGGCGGCGUCGGCGGUGGGCGAGAUGAGUGCGGCGGAAGAGGUGGCGGCCGAGGGGAGUGCGGAGAGGGUGGAGAUUGGAGAGUGCGGUUGUGGAGAGGGUGUAGAUCGGAGAGAAAGGGGGUCCGAGGAAAAGGGGAAAAAACAUAGGUGGGGUGCGUGAGGAAGAAGAGCCCGAGAAGUAGAGUUUUGUUUUUAGGAGAAAAUAUUGGAUUUUAUUUUUACCCUACUUUUUGCGGUAUAGUUAAACUAUACCCUAUUUAGUUGGUAUGUUUUUAAAUUAUCCAAAUACUUUUUAGAAAAAUUUUUCUAUACCCAUAGUAUAGUUAUACUAUACUCCAAAAAAGUGAGCAUCCAAACAUGCCGGUAAAGCUCUGUUUCAAGUGUUUGGGAAGUCUGUUUUGAUUCGAAUUCAUUUCAAUCCGAUCUAAACUCAUUUUAAACUUUUCAAAACUCAUUUUAAUCAUAUUUAAUAUGACUUAAUCUGCACUUUCUCAGUUUAACCAAAAUUUGAUACAUUACAAAUUAUCCAACUUUAAAUUUAAAUUUGAAUUUGAUUUUGAAAACAGACUUAAUUUAAAUUUGAAAUCGACUUCAUAAUCUGAAUUUCAGUUUAACAUUUGAAUUCAAAAUCUAAAUUUUGAAUUUGAAUUUGAAAUUUCAAAUUCAAAAAAUAAAUUUGAAGUUGAAGUUGAAUUCAAAAUAUAAAUUUUGAAUUCAAAGUUGAUUUCAAAAUAUGAAUUUGAAUUUGAAUUCAAAUAAAAAAUUUAAAUUUUGAACAUGGAAUACAAAAGCAAAUGUAGAAUUUUAAUUUUGAAUUCAAAAUCUCAAUUUAAAUGAGAAAUUGAGUUUAAAUUGUGAAUGUGAAUUUAAAAAAGGAAUUUAAAUUUAAAUUUAUGAUUCAAAUUAAAGCGGAAGGUAAGUUGGGUUUUCUAAAAAUAUUUUCCUAUCACCCCGCACUCGAAAAUAGCGUACACUCGGGUCCCUCAAUGUUAAUAUGAUUCUCCCAAAGAAUUUAAGUACUGUGGUACGAAAUUGUACUGAAAAAUUGCCUGCAUGGUAUGGUACAGUGUGUGCCAAGCCGUACAAAUGCGUGCUGAUCAUAAAAAAUAUAUGUGUGCCGACAUGUAAUGGUAUAAAAUAUUUAUUUUCUUUAGCAACAAAUUAUACCAAUUAUUUUUUAUGUAUUUUUAUUAAAUCUUUUGAACUUUAUUGAAAAAAUUACUUACUAAUUUCAAAAAUAGAGAAUUUUGAAUUGUAUCAUCGGUACAGAGACUGUAUCGUGUCGAUAUCUUGCUGGCACGAUACGACACGGCGGAUACAGCCCGUGCCGAUGGGCACUUUAAUCCUUGAUUCUCCCUUUCUAAUAGGAACAUUCUCUUACCUUCAGAAUAAAAAAUUAUCAAUUGGAUUACCGAGUGAUAUUAUCUAAACGCAGUAAUCUGCAAUUGAUUCCCAGUAAUUCAUUACAAAUAGCAUGAACCAAAUGAGCCUCUAUUAUUAUGACUGAUACGGUUGCAAAUUUUAGCUACUAUUGCAGCCAUAUUAAUUUGCAUCUACCCUUUCUUAUUCUAACAUCAUUGAAUUAAAUAGAAAUCCUAUCAAGAAAAGGGCGUGAAACAGCAGAAAUUCAGAAUUUGUUGCGCAGUUGAAAUUAAACACUCGCACCAAAAUAGAGAUAUAUAUCCUAGUCAAAACUACAAAAUUUUUUAAGAGUAAAAAGCAUUACAAAAUGUGUAAAAAAAAAAAGAAACAAUUAACCCAUAAAUGAUAGUAAAAGCAUAACCAUGCCAAGUUCACCGAGUCAUUUUGUGCCGAAAGCAUUCACAGCUCUCAAUGCUCAUCAGAAACUUUCACUCUGCAUCACUUUAUUCCGCCUAAAGCUUUGAUGAUAUAGAUUUGUUAUAAUCUUUCCUUUGCAAAAAAAAGGAUGAUUAAUAUGCAAACAGAUUGCAAGAUCAGAUAGUGAGUAACAAUCCCAGUUUCCUAACAAAUUGCAAUGAUAAAGAAGCUGAAACGAAUUCUAGCUUAAAAGAGGAUUCGUCGUUUUUGCAGUUCGAGUAUCACCUGCUAUUGUUCAAAUCCAGCUCCCCCGCAUCUCGCCAGUCGUCCUGCAUCGCCGUCUCUCCGUUUUCAUUCUCGUUCUCGUCGUUCAGGAAAUCCUCCGACAGUUCCUCAUCAUCUCUCUGCCCAUUUCCCCACCCUUGAGUCUGUUCCUCGUCGCCCCCCUGAUAUUGUCCCGUACUACUACGGACCGAGCCAUCCUCCCCCCGGGCGGUGGCUGCACCUGCCCUCAUUGGGCCGCGGGCCAUCAUCUCAGCCCGAUGAGCCUGCUCGGCCUGGGCCAUGGCCAUCCGCCCAGCCCUUUCUCUCGACUCGAGCUCCGCCCUUAGCUCCAACAGUGAUUGCUUCUCCUCCUGAAGUAGGGCUUUCUCUAGCAUGAGCCUUUCUUCGGAUCGCAAUUCGCCAAGGGCUCGUCUGCGGGUCAUUAUGUUGAAGGCGAGCAGCUGCUUUUCGAAUGCGGUGGUGAGCUCUGCGAUCUUCACAAGAACACUGUGCUCCCACUGCUGGAGGCGGGAGUUGACCUGGCCGGUGGCAUCGCUGUCGAGGAUCCUGUCGUCCUCUUCCGCCUCAUAGUCCGACACCACGUGAUACGGCAGUAAUCUUUUUUUUUUGUAAUAGUAAAAUGGAAAAUAUUAGAUAAGUUUUGUAUAAGAUUCUAGACAACUGAAUAAUCAUAUAAGAACCAUUAAUACUAAAACUACAAAAAAAAUCAAAGAAAACAAAAACAGUGACUGGGAUUUGAUCAACAAAUGUACGUCAUGGUUACUCUCGUGUUAGUAAGUUGAACACCCUUUAGGGGGCAUUUGGAUCGCGUUACCUAAGAAACCUAGGUAUUGAAGAAGUAAGAAAACGUUCAUUCGUAGUAAUGAAAUUACUAAUUGUACAAUUCCUACAUUCGAUUCACUCAGCUAUCUCAUUAAAGAUUAUUACUAGGGUUAUAAAAUUUUAAUGUGUUUGGUUUAGCAGUAAAAUUCCAAGAAUAGUUAGCAGUAAAACUCCAACAACGUAGAUAAUAAUAUAUAUAGUUUUCCACAAUUACUCUUAUUAUAGUUUUAAAACUCUUAUUUACUUUUAUAUUAGCCAUCUGAAUUUACAAAUAUGAAUUCCAAAUCCGAAUUCCAUUUUGAAAUUUGAAUUCAAAAUCUAAAAUCGAAUUUGAAAUUUAAAACUUUUGAAUUCCCCUACAAAGUGGGAUCAUGCAUUCUAAAAAAGGGAACGUCCCACAACUGUCUUUUGGACCAUUAAGGUAGAUGCAAAAACGACCCCCAACAGAUAGAAAGUAAAAAAAGAUCUUAUUCCGACUUUUCUUCUUCUAUUCUGUUGUUCCUUUGAGUUUAGAUCUUCAAAGUCUGAUAACAUUCAAUCAAGCACUCCUUCGAAUCCGUGCAAAUAGGGGAGAUCGGGAUAAUCCAAGGUGUUGUAUCGCCAGAGAAGUCACAGGUGGAAAGGCUAAAGCUAAUUGGGACAUCGCAUCACACGUCUCACCGGGCUAUUUUCCGAAACUCCACUCUCCUUUUAACUUAGUUUCGUUUUAGUUUAAUAUUUUUUUGUUAUAAGAUUUAUAGACAAAAUGAAGCGAAAUUAAACCAAAUUCCUUGAUGAAGAUGUCUUGCUACAGCCAUCAAACACUGGGUGUUUAUGUCUCGGAGGUUCCGGGGGUCACCUCGAAGCAGCCCAUUUCUACCAUGUUCUUGAGUUUUUCGCUUUCUGUUACAUUCAAAAUGGGGAGGCAACGACCGAGCAAACGCACAAAACUAUUCGCAAUUUUGGGAUUUUAAAAUCCCGCUAAUUCCAAGCUAUUCUGGUGAGUAAUUGGCGAAUGGCGAUUCUCCGCGAACCCCCGUCCCAUCCCUAACCCAAAACUACGUUACUCCGGCGCCCCAUUCCCACAUCAAGAUUCAAGAACCCUAAUCAGGCACCGACAACGGAGAACAAACAGAAACCCUAAACAACUGAGGUGUGAAGGGAGCGGAGCGGUACCUGUGGACGGCGUCCUCGAUGGAGGAGAAGGGGGUCUUGACGUCGGGGUUGCAGACCUUCAGGGCGUCCUGCUGCGCCAUCUCCACCUCCACCGGGUUCCGCCGCGGCUGCGCCUGCGCCUGCGAUUGGGACUGCGAUUGGGGAUGGAAGUGGAGGGAUCGGAAGCCCGGGGAGCGGAGGUGGGCGUCGAUGUUGGAGGGAAAGCGGGAGACGGCCUGCUGCUGCUGCUGUUGUUGGUGGUGGUGGAGGAGCUGCUGCGGUCUCGGAAGCUGCUGCGGUUGCGGGAAUUGGUGGUGCUGCUGCUGUUGCUGUUGGAGGAGGAAGAUCUGGUGGUGGUGCUGCUGGAGGAGCAGCUGCUGCUGCUGCGCCGCCAACGCGGCGGCGUUGUUCGCCGCUCCGUCGUCCAUUUUCGCUGCAGAAUUUUCUCUCUUUGCCUUCUUUUUUUUUUCUUCUUUUUUUUUUUUUUUUUUUUUUUUAAUCUCGGUCCCCAAAACUCUACAUUUUUGCAUAUCCAGACUAGGCGUGUGAUGUGUGGGCUGCGGUCGACAUAAGUCGGGUCCAAACGGGCUAGGGAUCGGCCCGGCCUGGCCUGAUUUCAAAUCCGGGCCGGGCCGUGCUCUUGGCCGUCUCUUGGCCGGCCUCUUAAUUUUUUUUUUGUUUUUUUUUUAAAAAAAUAUAAGAUUUUAAAAAAUAAAAAUCAAAUAUUUUUUCUAUGUGAAUUGAUAUUUUGAUUAAAAAAUUUAAAAUUUAUCAAAAUAAUUAUAAAAUAACAAACUUUCAAAUUUUUAUAAAAGAAUAUAAAUUAUUAUUAUUAUUUUAAAAACGGAUGGGUUUUUGGUCCAAUGAACCAAACCUGUUUCGUCUAUUGGACCACAAACCACUUCUCCUAAGGCCUACCACUACAGAACUUGGGAGGAGCGCUUCUGCAGCCUCGGGUGGAUGCAUUAAUUAAAAGUCCGGUGAAGGAAAGGUAAAAGGCCACAUAGAAAAAAAUACAAUACAUAAAAUAAAGGUGGGACUCAAUUCUUUACAAUAAAAGUAUACAUGCCAUGUCAGUUUUGGUAUUGAGCAUUAAUAUAGAGAUAUAGAUAAGAGAAAGCUACAUAAUCCAAUCGUAACGACCAACUGAUGACAGUCUGGUCAAACCUAUCCUCAUUUAUUGCCACGGCACCACUCCCGCAAAUGAUCCAUCAACACAUAGGCUGCCCCUAAUGACUAGUCACGGCUUCUGCAGGUGGUCCGUCAACACAAGGCCUACCACAAUAUCAUAUCGCUAAUCCAAAGUCUGGAGCGGCACUUAAGGGCGCGACCCCAACAAGUAUAAUAGCACUUAUAAUUAUCAAGCUCAAUGCGGCUUAUGCAGACUAUAGUCAAAUAGGAUGAUCAAAUAGAUCACUAUCAACUAUCUAGGUGCUCUCUAGCACGAUCACAUACUAUCUGUCACUACCCACCUGUCCAUGGAAUUUUCCUCGGUUUUACAUGCAAUUACCUGUUAACAGCAUAUACAUAUAAAGCACGACUACAAUCGAUCAAUAGAAUUAUUCAUCAAUCUAUGUCCCACAUGCUAAUAUAAUGUCUGAAGGAAAUCAUGCAUACAACUGACCAUAUACUACUACUAACACAGGAGUAUCAUAAUUUAAUAGAGCAAGAAUACCGAAAAUACCAAAAGACUAGAAGCGAGUUCGCCGUGUUCAGCAACACGGAACCCACCUAGAUACAUUAGUCUGAGGAGAGGUAGAGAAAAACACGGUCAAAAUCUCCUCCUCACAGGACCAAGAAAUCGCAAGAAAAUACUAAAAUUCCAGCCCCUAAAAACACCAUAAAAAGCCUCUGCUUAAAGAAAAGCUCUGCUACAACUAGCUCCAACAAAAUCCAAAAAUCUAUUCUCCAAACCAUCUGAUAAUUACAAUAUUCACCACUCAGCUCUAAACCAGAUGAAGGAAUUGCACUCCAAGCCCUCCUUAGCCGCGUACGGGUUCAAGGUCCUCCACAGGACCAGUGCAGAGGAAACUCCACUUCUGAGUCCAUUUUCGCAUCUAUUUCAUGCCAAAACGGCUCCAACUCGGCCCAAUAAAUACUUUAUAGACAUGCUAACCAUCAACUCCGACUGUGAUCAUGCCUAUUUACCAAGAUCCAGUACACUACAAGAGCUCUGGUCCUAAAAGAUGCUGCUUUAGAGUAGAUGCUGCUUUAGAGUACACUUUUAUAUAUUUCAAUUAACUUUUUGGCAUUCAUUUAUUUGCAUUCGAGAAGGAAGAAAAAGAGGAAAAAAAGAAAAACAUAUUCUUGUGAACAUACUAAUUUUUACAUCACUGAUGGAGAACUCAAAAUUGCUUAGGUACAACUCAGGAAUAUUUUAAGAUCCCGCAAUAUUUGAGUGCAAUACAGAACAUUGUCGACACCAUCACUUCGCCUCAAAGAAGAAAAAGGUUGGCGAAGUUGUGAACAGAAGGAGCUAAUCGCAAUGCCAUAAAGCUCAUACUCUCGAGUUCAACCAAUCAAUUAUGUCCCUCAUGACAAUUUCUCUCUCAGGUUCGAUAAGCAGAUCAUGCAAAAGCCCUUCAUACAACUUAAUUGACUUGUCCGAUGAAGCGGCUUCUUCGUAGAGUUUUUGCGAGCCUUCAGGGUCGGUAACCAAGUCGGCAGUACCAUGAAGGAUUAGAAAUGGAGUAUUGAUUCGGCUCAAGUUCUGCUGCAAGUAGGUGGACAUGCGGAGGAUCUCGUAGCCGGUUCGCACUCGGAUUGCGCCGGUGAAGACAAGCGGGUCUGAAUACUUCGAUCUCAGAGCCUCUGGGUCUCGUGAGACAGAUAGUCCGUUGCGGUUGGCAGCAGCAAAUUGGUACUUCGGUGCGAUGAGGGAGAUUACGGGCGCCAGCACCUGCCACAGUAAGAUAGAAAUAUUACUAUUCACUAGAAACUCCGAAAGUUAUGAUUAAGAAUUAAGUUACAGGAAAGCAGAAUGUCCUACAAACAAAAAACAAAAUUCUAAACCCUAGACCUCACUAUUUGCACUGCAAAUAGAUACUCACACAUCCAACCAAAAAACUAAUUCUAAUUUCCAAUUUUUCACUCAUGCAUUUUUUCUUAGUCCCCUAUUGCAUAGCUCUGGAUCACACACGUAGUAGUGAUAAACAGGUCCGUUAACUAUAUUUGAGCUCUCAAACGUAGAGAUUGAUGUCACAAUAAGCCUCCUUUGCAACGAUCCUCACAGGAAACAACUCACAGAACUUUACAACACAUGAAAAUAGGAUAGAGCUCCAAUUUCCUAAGUUCAACUUACCGCUACAAUAGGAUGAGUUGGCUGGACAUGAAUCGCCGGCGAAGUCAACACAACACCUUUAACAAGAGCCUCUACCUUUGGAUCAAGCACUGCCUUCAAUAACAUAUCAACAAAAAUAUUGCAUAGUUUAUAACGUUUCUAUUUCGAGCCAUCUCCAGAUUAAAAGUAACAUAAAUUUUGAAAACUACCUCACCUUCAAAAUAAUUGCUGCGCCAGUUGAGUGACCAAAGCAAAAGCAUGGCAAGCUCGGAUUUUCUGACAGCACUCUCUCCAGAAAUGCUUUCUACAUAAAUAGGAAAAGUUUCAAAACGAGAGAUUUAUAGAAGCUAAUUGUAUAUGGAUGAAAUGAAUUGUUGCCUCUUGAACGUCAAUUGCACUUAUUAUCCCUCAAGAUUAAACUUUUGGCAAUCAUAUCCUCGACGGGUGUAUGUAACCCAAUCUGAUCUUCGCAUAUCAGUUAUUUUAACGGUUGUUAAGGCAAGUGAUCUACAAGUGGUCACUUAUUGUGCGGAACAACAAAUAGACUUUAGAUCACACAUUAAAUGAUCAGUUGAUCGGUCUGUGCAUAAAUAGAUGUUACAUAGGGUAAGGUUCAAAUUUAUAAUUUACGGACUAUGGGGAGGACAUAAUCGCCAAAAUUGUCAGUUCAAGAAGCUACUUGCAAUCUAAUGAAAGUUCAAGGACAGGAGUAACAUUUUACCCAUCACUAAUUACGGAAAGUCAAACAUAAGAACAAGUGUCUAUACCAAGUCGCUGACUGCAUAAUCAAGAGACUGAACAUAUCCAUGCAGACCAUCGCUCCCACCAUGACCUGUGUUUGGAGACAAUCCUCAUUAUUACAGACAGCCAUGUACCUUCUUAAAUUAGAUCUAUCUUUUGGUUUUUAAUCAAUUAAGUUGGCAUUCAGACAUUUAUUUCCCCUAUAGUAAUCAUGUAACCUCUGAACAUCAGAUCUAUCACCAACGUUCUUCACUAUUUGCAACUGUUCAUCAUGAGAUUCUAGCUUUGAUAUCUUGCAUACAACAAAUUCAACAUUAAGUUAUAAUGUUAGCUUCACUAAAUAUGUUAAGUUUGGAAACAUAUUUUCACUUACAUCUGUUCAUGAGGAACUAAUAAAUGAAUACUAAAUUGGUAGGAACAGAUAGAAUUUGGAUAACUCUGUUCGGACUUUGAUUACCUUUGUCCCAUAACAUGGCCGGAAGUUUCAAAAAUUAUAAACAAGCCAAUUUAAAAAAAGGAAUAAAAGCUAAAAAAUUAUCGAUUGAAUCACAAUAAUUAAUUAUGGUAACUAUGGAUAUUCUUUUAUGCAAAAUGUUGCUGAUUUUCAAAAUGUCUUCAAUUGAAAUGAAUAGGAAUUACAAGUAAUGAAAUGAAAUAGCUUAACGGAAAAAGAUAAUGAGGACAGUUUUGUUUCUAUUUCAAAAUAUCACUAGUUGACAUAAAUUAAAAGUUCAAUACAUAGUAUAACACCUGUAGGCAAUAUAUAGCAAACCUCGCCAGAUUCAAAUAGCCUCAGGAAGGUGAAACCACGCAACUAACAUACACAUAUGAAGAAAUUAUUGCCUGCCCACGGGCUUCCAUGUCACCCAUAGCAGCUUUUAAAAAUCACCAUAGAAGCUUCUAAAAAUCACCAUAUACCCAUGAAUAGUAAAUUUGUUUGGUAAGGGCUUCUCUUUUUUUUCUUUUUUUUUUUUUGAUAAGCUAUUUGGUGGCGUUUGGCAGGUGAGAAGGAUUACAAUAACGCAAAAGCUUCUCAUGGAGAGAUGUGCGGCAACUUCUAAGAGCUGUAAUCCACUUGUGACAUGAUUCCCCAAGUCCAGGCGAUAAUUUCCCAUGACAAUUUUUGAUCAUUUACUUUAUUAUGCAUUUACUAAUUUACUUUGGUAGAUAAGGUAGAAACUUCAAAACUAGAGGUUUUUACCAGCCACCAUGCUUCAAAGGCUAUUCUUGCAGAUGUCAUUGUUGGAGUCUGCGCAGUGUAAGCAAUUAAGUAAACAGUUAUAGAUCUCUGUGGAAGCUAAGGUCACAAGUUACAACAAAGUUUCCUCAUUAUUUAUAACUGUUGUACAUUAAGCUAUAUUAAUGUUCCUAGCAAUUAAUAACAACAUAAAAGAAAAGAUAAAAAUUCCAAAUAAAAAAAAGGUGGCCUCAAGCUCAGUGAGAGAAGCUAUAAAAAGCAGGCCUUUUAUAGCCCCAAAUAUGUCCAAAUACAAAAUGUUUCAAUCUGAAUCCUACUUUCAGAUCGGCAUUUAUUCUAGGUUUGAAGUCAAAAUAUCCUACUAAUGUGAUACAUUGGUAUUUCAGUAAUAAUAGCCUUUUCCAUUUUCUAAGUCCUCGUUAGAUUUUCUGCAAGAUUUGUUUUUCCUACCAAUCUUAGCCAACUAGUUGAUAAUUAAGAUGGUGAGUCAUAUUCUACACUCUGUGGAUUAAAUAAACUAUGACUUAUUCGUGAGUUUUGGAUUAAGGGUAUACAUUUACAGCAAUCAGCUUCGGUGCUGGUUCUUUUAGUGUUAAGGAUAUUUAUUUUGAAUAUGGAUGAGUUAGUUUGAUUGGGUUUAUUUCAGAAGGAAUUGUGCCAUUCUUUAUGUUCUGUUAGUGGGGGGGGNAUUUUCUGCAAGAUUUGUUUUUCCUACCAAUCUUAGCCAACUAGUUGAUAAUUAAGAUGGUGAGUCAUAUUCUACACUCUGUGGAUUAAAUAAACUAUUACUAACUACAGAAAGAGAGUGUUGUAAAAUGAGGACGAAAAAUAUUGAUGGCAAUUUCACAAAUAUUUGAUGGGCAAUUUCACAACCCACACCCUAUAAGCAUUCAAUAGAGAGCCAAAACACAAGGGCAAUAAUAAAUUAAAAACCACAAGAACACAAGAAUUUAUGUGGUUCGGCUAGUCCUACAUCCACAGGAGAAAAAUGCAAAAAAAGUUUCCACCAUAAACCUUAGAGAUUACAAAAGAGAUACAAAUGAAAGAGAAACCACCUUAAAUCCGAAGAUAAAGAUAUUUCCAACAAUCUCUAGCUCUACCUAAAUGGUGUAAACCACACCUCACAAGGAAGAUCUAGGGAUGUCAACGGGUCGGGUUUGGGUCGGGUUUUUAAAAAUCCGAACUCGAACCAGAAAACCAAAUUAAAACCUGUACCCGGACCCGAACCCGGCAGGUUUUAAAAAUCCAUACCCAUAUCCGUACCCGACAAAAAACCCGAAACCCGAACCCGGAUCCGAACCCGGCGGGUUUUAAAAAUCCAUACCGUUGAAUGAAGAUCUAAGGGCUAAAAAUUAUUAAAUAUUUUAUAUAUUAUAUAAAUAAAUAAAAAUAAAUUAUGUAUAUAUAUAAUUUAUUCGGGUUCGGGUUCGGGUUCGGGUUCGGGUUCGGGUCGGGUAAAUACAAAAUCCAUACCCGUAUCCAUAUCCGUCGGAUUUUUAUUUUCCAUACCCAUAACUGAAUCCAUACCCGUUUAGCUCGGGUAAACCUGCCCCGUUCGGGUUCGGGUUCGGGUUCGGGUUCGGAUAAUAUUUCGGGUAUCCAUACCCAUUGACAUCCCUAGGAAGAUCCCACCUCCUUCUUGAUAGAACUAAGAUUAAACCAAUCUCUAGAGUUUUUUCUCUUUUUCUCCCAUUUCUUUUCUCACUCUCUACUUCUCUCUAUUUUUUUUUUUUUGACUCUAAUGUUCUAAUCAUCCCCACUUUAGUCCCUAAGACGAGCCAUCAAAUAUGAGCCUUCGGAUCAAAAGAAUCAUGAUCCAAAGGCUUACAAGUAGGAGGCCCAAUACGUAGUUUAGAAAACAUAAACAUAGGACAUUUGCCUUCACCAAAAUUACAUAGCCCAAAGAACAUGGCCCAAAUGACAAAUAGGCCCACUAUAAUUAGCUCAACAAUCUCCUAUUUGAAGGCAAAUCACCAUCCUUCAAACAAAUAAUCUUCAUCUAUUAAAAAAGCUUCAUCACAAAUGUGUUGUUCUCCAACCACUUCGUUUACAUCUUGAUCAAUCUGGAGUGUUUUCUACAAAAUAUGAGCUAUUUCGUAGGAACAAUCUUUGUCAACAUAUCCGAAAGACUUUUCUUUGCUUCGAUCUUCUCCACAUCCGAGUGUCGACUACCUAAUGCCAUCCGAAUAAAAUAAAAGCAAACAUCAAUAUGUUUAGUUUGGGAUUGAUACGCCAUAUUUUUUGCAAGAUGAAUUGCACUUUGAUUAUCACAAUGCACAACAUAUUUGUUUUGCUUUACUCCGUAUUGUGUAAGCAAUUGCUUCGACUAAAUCAUUUCCUUUGCUGCCUUGGUCAAGACAACAUAUUCGGCCUCCGUAGAGGACAAAGUAAUGCCGUCUUGCAAUCUAGACAUCCAACUAAUCGCACUACCUCCAAAUGUGAAAAUAUAUCCCAUAGUAGACUUUCUUAUCUCUCCACAACCGGCAUGAUCAGAAUCAAUAAAUCCAUUCACCUCCAAAGAAGUUCAACAAAAACGCACAACCAUUUUGCGUACCCUUCAAAUACCAAAGAACCCACUUAACGGCUUGCCAAUGUUCCCAUACUAGAUUGGAUAUAUAUCUUAAAAUACCUCCAAUCGCAUAAGCUAUAUCCAGUCUUGAACAAACCAUAGCAUACAUCAAACUCCCAACGGCGGAAUUAUAAGGAACAUUCUUCAUUUUAUCGCUUUCAGUCUUAUUCGUUGGAGAGUUUCUUUUGGAUAACUUAAAAUGCCCGGGUAAUGAAGUAGAAACCACUUUACAAUCAUUCAUUUCAAACCUUUCCAGUACCUUAGAAAUAUACCCCAAUAGACUAAGCCAUAACUUGCCUUGCUCCCUAUCUCUUUUAAUUUGCAUGCCCAAAAUUUUCUUCGCUUCACCAAGAUCGUUAGCAGUAAGCUUCUUUGACAUGUCAAGCUUCAACUUUGUAAUAUCAUUUUGAUCAUUAUUAGCAAUCAAUAUAUCAUCCACAUCAAGGUUUAAAGUGUUGUGGCACAGAGGCGUGCCGCUCUUUUCCUGGCACAGUACAACACAGGUACCCUUGCAUGCCGACACGUGAUACGAUUGCAUGCCGAUGGAUACGCAUGACCUCCUACUGGCACGCUUUGGCAUGGACUUAUUUUAGUUUUUUUGGUUCCAAAAAACUCUUAGACUGUUACUUUGAAAGAUUUAGAUAAAUAAUUAUGAAUAUUUGCUAUAUAUAGCUUACUAUACUCAUCACUUUUAACAUGCAUGCAAGUUUUUUGUAUGUAAGUACAACUAUACCUAAUGUAGAAUAAAAAUUAAAAUACAAUAACAAAAUUUACAAGUAUAAUAAUUAUUUAAAUUUACAUAUUUACAUAGAGAUGACUGUUUAAUUCUAUAUAGAUCGUCGCAGUAGUCAUACAACAUAUUGUCAUCUACAUAUACGAGAUUUAUUUGAAAAUGUUGAUAUAAAUAUUGCUGGUAUUGUGAGAAAUUCAUAUAUUCCCAGUAUAGCUUAUUGUAUUGUCCGAGAUAGCAUACACAACUGGAUCGUGGAUGUAAUGGACAACAGCCAUCUGUGGCAUAUGGACUGAAACACCAUAAGGAAAAGGAUUGUACGAAAUAGAAGAAUCAUAAUAUGGAUAUGCAUACGUAUCAGUAGAUGUAGAUUCGUCAUAUGAGCUUUCACUAUGUGAAGGUACAGAUGGAUAGUAAUUGGAUUGUUGUUGCUCCAAUUGAUGCCGGAUGGAUUGGAAUUCACUUUGAGUGCCACGAAUUGAUGCAUCAUAAUCAAACAUCCUUCGAUAAAGGCCAUGUUGAUAUUUGUGCAAAGUAUCAUCCCUUCGUGGAUGUCAAGUUGAUAUUGCCUCCAAACUUUCUCUCAUCUUCCCAUAAUCUUGUUGUGAGGAUCUUUUAUCUUUUCUACGGUCAUAUACCACUCUAGAUGUUUGACGUGGUUGAGAGUCUUGAGACCCAUGAUCAGUGCAAAAAAGUGCAACAUGACAAAAAUAAACUGGAGAGAGGAGAGAUGCUUCAGCCUUCGGGUUACCCAAAGGGCAAACCAAAAAAAAAAGAAACCAAAAAGCCAAAAAAAAGCAUCUAAGUCAAAAAGAAAAAUAAAAAGUACAAAAGGACAAAAAAAGAGAGAUAGGGAAGGUGUACCCGGAAUGGUCUUGGUAUCCUAAAGAACAAAACAAAGGGGAAAAAAAGCAAAAAGCAAAAAAGCAAAAAAAGAAAUUACACAGUGCCAGCACGGUACUGUGCCGCGGCACACUCCUGCGUGCCGCUCUGUCUAGUGCGAUACGGCAGAGUAUGACGCGGCACGAAGGGAGGAUCUGAGACCACCCCACACCCCCCCCCCGUGCGUGCCACCCCGUGCCGUACGGCACGGGGCAGCGAUUUAAACCUUGAUCCACAUACAGUAACAAAAUAGUGAAAGAAUCAUAUAUUGAGCCUUCGAAAUAAAUACAAUAAUCAAAAACACAUCUUUUAUAACCUUCAUCUUGCAUGAAAGAAUCAAAUUUCUCAUACCAUUGUCUAAAUACUUGCUUUAAACCAUACAAUCCCUCCUUUAGCUUACAUAGUAAAUUACGGUUAGCUUCAUCAAUAAAUCAAGCCUUCAAGUUCAAACAUAAAUUUUUUCAUCCAAAUCAGCAUGCGAGAAAGCAGUUUUAAUAUCAAGUUGUUCAAGCUCAAGAUCCAAAUUUGUAAUCAAGGAUAAAAAAAACUCUAAUUGAGCAAUGCUUAACAACGGGAGCAAAUAUUUCAUUGAAGUCAAUACCUUGCUUUUGUCCAUAUCACUUAACAACAAGCCUUGCCUUAUACCUCCUGGAUCCGUCGGCCUCAUUCUUGAUCACCUAAACCCAUCGAUUUUUCAAUGCUUUCUUUCCAACCGGAAGCUCUACUAACUCCCAAGCAUGGUUUUGAUGUAAAGAAUCCGUCUUGUCCUCCAUUGCCUCUUGCCACUUUACUUAUUCAGGACAAUCUUUUGGUUCUUGAAAACACUCGGGCUCACCCGAAUCAGUAAAUAAAGUAUAAUACAAGGAAGGGGAAUACUGUUGGAUGGGUUUAUGUGGCCUAGUUGAUCUUCUCAAUUCAUGUGCCAGCAAGGUAGACACAUCUUCUUCGCUCUCAUGAAAAUCAUGCCAACCUUCAAUAGAUUGUGUGCUUUCUUCAUGAUCAUUAUUACCAUCAUAACCAACAUCACUAUCGUGAAGUAGAGGAUGAACUGCAUGUACAUCUUGAGAACAACCAUCAACUUGUAUAUCAACAACAAGCUCAUCUUUUUUUUGCUCAUCUUUCGCGCCUUCUUUAAACAUUACAUACUCUAAACACGACAUCCGACUCCAAAUAGUUCUCUUAGCAACGAGAUUUCAAACCCUAUAGCCCAACUCAUCAACCUUCAUAUUUUCUUGAUUUCACAUCAAGCUUUGUUCUACUUUCUUUUAGAAUAUGAACCGAAGCUUCACACCUAAAUAUUCUCAAGUGCCCAUAGGAAAUGUCUUUGCCAUUCUAUAUAAUUUCCGGAAUGUCUCCAUCCAAUGCAACACUAGGUGAUCCAUUAAAAGUAAAUUAAUAUAUUUGCCGUUUCGGCCUGUAAAGGCUUUGGUAGACUGGAGUGAGACAACAUACUUCGAAUUCGCUCCAAAAUGGUUUGGUUCGUUCUUUCAAUGAUCCCAGUACGUUUAGUAUAGGAAACUGCCUUCACUCUUUUGAUGUCAUUUUCUAAACAAAAAUCAUCAAAGGCACUAGAGCAAAAUUCACAACCAUUAUCUGUUUGCAAGUACUUAAUAAAAUGUUCACUUUUUUUUCAACACGGGCUUUGAAUUUCUUAAAAUUUUCAAAAACUUCAUAUUUUGAAACCAAAUAAAUCCAACGCUUCCUAGAAUAAUCAUCUAAGAAAGUAACAUAGUAUGCACCUCCAAGUGACUCAAUAUUGAAAGGGCCACAAACAUUGGAAUAAACCAAUUCCAAUAGCUUGCCUUUUUUAUGCAUCUCUCUUUUUUUUUGAAGUUAACUCUAUGUUGGUUUCCCAUAAUGUAAUGCUCACAAAAGUUAAGAAAUGAAUGCUCAAAAAAAGGAACAAGGUUCUAUUCUUGUAAUACCUUCAUAUCAUGCUUACUUAUAUGACCAAGUCGAUUAUGCCAAACUUGCAUAUCUUUGCCUUUGCUUGCUGUAACAACUACUAAAUUUGAAUCAUCACCAUUGUAAGCUGUUCCAUGAAGUGUAUAGACUUCCACUCUUUUGCCCUUUCAAAAUAGUCAUACUACCCUUUGAUAUUUUCCAAGAGCCCUUUCCGAAAGUGAUAACAAUACCGAAAUCAUCCAAUUGUCUUGCCGAUAUUAAAUUCUUUGUGAUCUCCAAAACAUGGCAUACAUUUGUCAAUGUAUGCUUCUUGUCAUUUGUUUGUUUUAUGACAGUGUCACCAAUGCCCACAAUUUUACAUGCCUGAUCAUUAUCAAGAUAGACAUAUUCAACAUCUACUUCUUUAUAUGAAGAAAAAUAUGAUCGAUCCAGACAUAUAUGAAAAAAAGCACCAUAAUCCAAAAUCCAAGUGUUUGCACAAGAAGAGACUGUGCACGCAACACUUAAUGUGACUCCACCUGCACCAUCUGAAGCAUUGUUAGCUUCAUUCUUGACGUCCUUAUCUUUACCCUUUUGCUUGUUUUUCAAAGAAUUAACAACCAUUUCUCACACGGCCCAUUUUCUUGCAAUACCAACAAGUAAGCCUUUUACCUUGUGAUUUUGACCUUCCUUUACUUUGAUAUUUUCCCUUUGUGUUAGCAGAUUGGCCUCGCUUCAAUGACAUUCCUCUUUCACCAAUAAUUAGUGCUUGAUUCAUAUCACUAGACAAUUGGUUUGUGUCCUUGCGACUUUCCUCAUUCAACAACGAAGCAACUAUAUCAUUCAACUUGAAAUUGUUUCCCAAUGUGUUCGCCACCAUAGUAACAAGCGUAUCCCAACUUGAAAGUAAAGAACUCAAAAGGAGUAAACAAAAGACUUCAUCAAGAUUAAUUGAUUUUGAGAGACUUCAAUUGUAUCGCAAUAGAGUUGAACUCACAUGCUUACGAAUAGACAAACCUUCUUGCAUCUUCAAGAGAAAGAGUCUCUUCAUUGCAUGCAUCUUGUUCACACCGGAAGGUUGCUCAAAUGAUUGCUCCAAAGUCUCCCACAACUCAAAUGCGGUCUUGCAUUGAUAUUUGAUAGACAUCAAAUAAGACCGAUGGUGAAAUGCAUGGUCUAAUCGCUGUCAAACAUUUUCGGUCAAGUAUGUCUGAUUCAUGAUUAUCCAUAUUAGUGGGCUUUGCACCUUUUCCCAAUAUUGGUAAAAUCAAGCUCUUUUGCAACCAAAUAAUACUUUAUCAUGAUUUUCCAUAUAGGCCAAUCGUUCUCAUUCAACUUCUCAAAUUCCAUUGCCUUUUUCAUUGGAAAGAUAAGUGAAUGAAUACAAGUGAAUGCUUAGAUAACCACCAAUCAAGCUCUGACACCAAUUGUUGUAAAAUGAGGGCGAAAAUUAUUGAUGGCAAUUUCACAAAUACUUGGUGGGCAAUUUCAUAACCCACACCCUAUAAGCAUCCAAUAGAGAGCCAAAGCAAAAGAGCAAUAAUAAAAUAAAUAAACCCACAAGAACACAAGAAUUUACAUGGUUCGGCUAUGACAACAUCCACGAAAAAAUAAUAAAAAAAAAGCUUCCGCUAUAAAACUUGGAGACUACGAGAGAGAUACAAAUGGGAGAGAUAUCACCUUCAAUCCGAAGACAAAGAGACCUCCAACAAUCUCUAGCUUUAUCUAAACGGUAUAAACCAUACCUCAGAAGGAAGAUUCCCCUUCCUUUAUGGAACUAAGAUUAAACGAAGUUCUAGUGUUUUCUUUCUUUUUCUCCCACUUCUUUUCUCAAUCUCUACUUCUCUCUAUUUUUUUUUCCUCUAAUGUUCUAAUCACCCCACUUUAGCCUCUAAGACAAGAGCCAUCAAAUAUGAAUACAUAGUUAGAAUACAUAGAACGAGGAGAUCUGACUUCACUAAAAUUACAUAGCCCAAAGAACAAGGCCCAAGUGACAAAUAGGCCCAAUAUAAUUAGCUCAACAGAGAGAUGGACCAAUAUCGACUUGUCCUUUGUCCGUAGUACUCAGUCCACGUUCACAACUCAAUCCACUCUAAAGUAUAUUCCAUUUGAAUGUCUAAUAUUAGAGAUUCAUAUAAUCUUUAUAAGAUGAUUAAUGGCACAUAAAUCUUCACUAUUCCACACGAACGCCAUCAAACUUGAAUCCUGUAGAGUGCUCUGACAGAUUUCUAAUGGAAGUAUUAAAUCUAUUAACCAUUUAUGUUGAUGGAUGCACUAAUAACUGUUGUAUUAUAAUGACCAUCCAUUUAUGCCUAACCCAUGCCUGGGAGAGUCGAAGGAUUUGGCAUGAGAGAAUGAAAGAAUUUGCCGCCCUCUUUAACCGCAGUCAGAUACAACACUAAUGGCCUAUUUUUCCUCCCCGCCCCCAGCCCCCUAAUACCUUGUCUUCUCCUUCAAAGCGAUUAGCCCCUCUCCCCCAUCUCUUUAUCGCUCCUUCGUCUGCCACUAGUGGUGCUCUCGCUCUCACACUUACCAUCGUUCUCCUCACAUCUCCCCCUCCGCCCCUGACUAUCCUUCUACAAAUUCCCAAUCCCCCACCACCACCACCACCACCACGAUACAAGUUCACACUUCCAAUGAAGCCUCACCAUAUUUUCCUUGCUGCUUCCCUAUGAAGCCAACCAUCCUCGCCACCGUGAAAGUCGAAGCGUUUGGAUCAAAGGGGAGAAGCAGAAGAGGCAAGACGUACACGAACAAAUUCUUGAAUCUUGCCCGGAUUGGGUUGGUGGUCGACGGCAUGACAGACACCUUCAAGAGAGCAAGAUCCGGCAUAGGAUCACCGUCAACACUGCGUUUAUCGUGUUCGCUCCCCCUCCUGGGCUUCGAUCAAAGAUUGAUACCAACAACCUCCAAAAAUAGAUUUCGAGCUUUUGCUUUUGCUUUUGCUGCAAGCUUAGUUAGUUAAUUCGUGUUUAAUACGCGAAUUAUUCGCGUAUUUUUUAACAUAUGUAUUAAACGCCGAUUUUCGUAUUUUUCCAAAAAAUACGAAAAAAAACGCGAUUUUUUCAUCAAAAAUGAUUAUUCGCGAAUUAUUCGCGAUUCGCGAAUAAUUCGCCCAAAAAAUCGGCGACAGCGACUCGCAGCCGAGGGUCGAUUCGUCGCCAAUCUCGUCGCCGCUCGCGUCGUCGCCGCUCUCGUCACCGCCACUCUCGUCACCGCCGCUCGCGUCGUCGCCGUCCUCCGCAGCCCUCGCCGGCGCAGGGAUCAAGGGCCGCAGCGGCGGAUCCCAUCUCCUCACCCGAGGUCGUCAGCAGAAAAGAAGAUGAACAGUAAAAGCAUCGGGGCUUUUGGGAGAAAUAGAUGCGCGCAGUCCACGAGGCUAUUUCAGCCUCGUGGACCGCACGAGGGGGAGGUCCACAGUGGACCUCCCUCUGUGUAUGUGUGUGUAUAUAAAAAAUUUUAUUUAUAAAUAUAUAUUCAUUUAUUAUAUAUAUUAUUUUAUUUUUAUAUAGAAAUAUUUAUAUAAUAUUUUGUUUAUAAAUUUGUAAUUAUUUAUUAAUAUUUUUAAAUAUAUAAAUUUUAUGUAUUAUUAAUAAGGUUUAUUAUUAAUAUAUGAAUAUAUUUAAUCUAUAUAUAAAAAUUAUAAUAAUAAUAUAUACAGUAUAUUAAUUAUUAUAUAUUUAUUAUAUAGCCGAAUUUUUUAUUCCGAAUUUUUAAUUGGUGAACAUAUAAUAUCCGUACAAAUCACGUAUCCAAAUAAUUACCGAAUCCGUUUUUUUGCCGUAUUUUUUAACGAAUUUAAAAAUUAAAAGACGAAUUUUAUCCGAAUUAUACCCGUACCGAAUUUUUGCUGAAUCCGAAUUAACUAACUAUGGCUGCAAGUGAGAAGCUGUUCGGGGAUUUGUAUCAAAUAUCUAUUUGUGUUUUAUUUGAACAACAAUUUUAGACCAAAGCCCGGACAAAGAAACCAGCAAUUUCUGUCCUGUGACUUGCUUUUCCAAUUUUGUAACUCACAUGAAACGUAGGUCAAAAACACGAUAUAGAUAGUCGAAUCGACUUUGCCUGAUUCAUCUAAGUCAUUGAUCAAUGAUGCUUCUGAGAACAUUAAUAUCCAAGGUUAGAUAAUCUAGACCGUAACUAGAAUUUGUUUCACAUUUUACUACUGCUUUUUUGUGCUAAUAUUGUUGCCUAAAGUUCUAACCUUUGAACUAUAUUACUUACUUCAAUAGGUCUUGAAUUGGCUUCCUCAAUAAGAGCCAUAGCUAAAUGUAUCAAAAUUGUUAGUCUUCCAUAUAUCCAGAUCUUUAAUAAAUAUCUAUAGAAUUUCUUUUGCCAUCUAAUGAUUUUUUUGACAUCGAAUUUUGUAGUUAAAAUUAGAAGAGUUUGUCCAGCAGAACAGAUGGAUUAACCAGCGAAAGCACAAGUAAUAUGCAUUCAACAUAACAACUGACCCUCAUAUGAUUUUAACUUUUAGAUGGAUCUUUUAUUAUUGGUGUUCCAUAUAUCCAUGUAUUACUAUAUUCUCUUCAUCUCUACAUGUGUAGGCAGUGAAUUAUUCACUAUGAUUCCAAGGUCUAACUUUAAGUGAAAAACUUCGUAUUUUCACAACUAAGUUACUUUGUGGAAUGACAUGAAAUUCCUUGAUUAUUAUUUGUUUGACGCCUCGGUAGGUUAAUUGAUGAUGGAGUAAAUCUACCUUACAGCUCUUGUAUCAAGCAGGCCAUCUGAUAGCUAGUUUUAGAAUUUGAAUUCUCUAACGGCUAAAUUUUUAAGAGUGCCACAAAUUAUCUGGAAUUAUAUAGUGUAUAUCCAAGCAGCCUAAAAAUGAAGCGAUGGAAUCCACUAGAGUUAUAGGAUUCUCUAUUUUAUCCAGACCUAAAACAUAGACUAUAAACUCUAUGAAAUUUUUUAACUGUGCAUCUAAAUGAGGCCUAAAUGUAUCCGUAUUAGAUACUGUAUCAAAUAUAAUAGCUGUGGUCUACUUCACACACUGUGUCAGACACUCGUUGUAUUAAAUUUAUCCAAAAAAAUUUGUCAUAAUGCACCAACGAAGCUUAGACCCAGUUGGUACCCCCCACGUUCUAAGAAGCUGAAGAAACAGUUGAUGGAAUUAAGGUGGGGGCUUUGCUCCCGAUUCCCAAAAGAAAAACAAAAGAAAAAUAAUAACGUAGUUAUGGCUUAGUUACUUUUAGGACGCUUCUUCAGUACUUCUCAAUUUCAUAUAUAUAUAUAGAGUAGGGCUGCUGUGCUCUCAGGAGCACGGAGGCCUCCGUGCUCCUGAGCUGGCCUCCGUGCUCCUGAGCCAUUUCGAUGAUGGAAUUUCCGAAUCGACGAUCGGCUCCGUUAGACUUGAUCUAACGUGUUUGAAGUUUCUAGAAAAUAAUUUUUGCGAUUUUUUGAUAUCAUUUACCUAGCAAUUGAAAGGAUUCAAAAUCAAUAAUUUUUAACGGCUGAAAAUAAAAGUUCUACAAAAAGUGGUAAUAUAGCACUAAAAUUUUCAAUCAGAAAUAUUGAUCUUGUUGUAGAUAGUAUAAAGAAUUUUGUAUCAAAAUUUCAUCUGAUUUGAAUACUUCUACACCGUUAAACUUGAAAACGGCAGAUAUCAACCAUUAAAAAUUAUUAAUUUUGAAUCCUUUUGAUCACUAGGUAAAUGAUAUCAAAAAAUCGCAAAAACUAUUUUCUGAAAACUUCAAAUACGCUAGAUCACGUCUAACGGAGCAGAUCGUCAAUUCGGAAAUUCCAUCAUCGAAAACGGCUCAGGAGCACGGAGGCCUCCGUGCUCCUGAGAGCACAACAGCCCUACUCUCUCUCUCUCUCUCUCUCUCUCUCUAUAUAUAUAUAUAUAGAGAGAGAGAGAGAGAGAAUUAGGCUACUAUACUAUCUAUAGUACCGGAGCUCCGGUACUAUAGUCUUGUUUUCGAUCUUAUGGUGUUCAAAUUAACGAUCCACACCGUUAAAUAUGAUCUAAGGUAUAUGAAGUUCCUAGGAAUAAAAUUUUAGUUUUUUUCGACAUCGUUUACUUAGUAAAUAAAUUAUGUCAAAAUGAACGGUGGAAAUUGAAUAAUCUUUAAAAUUUAAGCAUAGAACUUUUAAAUUCAAGAUCAAGAAUGUUAACCUUAAUCUAGAUAGUUUAAAGUAUUUUCUAUCAAAAUUUGAAGAAAUUUAGAUUCUUCUACACUAUUAAACUCCAAACUCGCCAUAGUAGCCAUUGAAAAUUGACAAUUUUGAAAUGGUUUGAUCAUAAAGUAAACUGUUAAAUAUAAAAUUAUAUAAACACCGUUCUCUAACAGCUUAAGCUUUUAGAGUACAACGGUUGUUUCACAUGGUAUCAGAGCAGAAGGUCUUGAGUUCAAGUCAUGCCAGGCCCCAGCAUAAUUAAUUUCCUCCCAUUUAAUUCAAGUCCACGUCAUGGGCUUUGCAAAAAGUCUCGAGCCCAGACGUGAGGGGGAGUGUUAAAUAUAAAACUAUAUAAACACCAUUCUCUAACAGCUUAAGCUUUUAGAGUACAACGGUUGUUUCACAUAAACUAUGUCGAAAAAAUAUAAAAUUUUAUUUCUAAAAACUUUAAAUACCCUAAGUCAGUUUUAACGGUGUGGAUCGUUGAUUUGAACACCCUAAAAUCGAAAACGGGACUAUAGUACCGGAGCCCCGGUACUAUAGAUAGUAUAGGAGACUAGCUCUAUAUAUAUAUAUAUAUAUAUAUAUAUAUAUAUAUAUAUAUAGAACUAGGCUGGAAUACUAUUAAUAGCACCAGUGACUUGGUGCUAUUAAGUUUUCUGCCCUUAGAUUAAAAGAUGUGCGGUUAGGAUGAUGUGGGCCCCCUAGGAUUGAGUGGAUAGUUGAUUGAAUAGUAUAAUCGAAUGGAUGAAAAUGAUAAAAUAGGUAAAUCUGUCGAACAAUGCAAAAAAAUAAAAGAGGUACUUCUCAAUUUCAUAUAUAUAUAUGAAAAAUGCAAAAAAAUAAAGAAAAGAAAAAUAACCGAAAUAAUAAAACGAUCUGUCAAACAACUUACCAAUCCAAUCCAUUGCAUGCACCUUAAAACCAUGAUCAUUUAGUUUCCUUGCAAAAUGAUCAUAUCUGCCACUGUUACAUCAACAAGAGAAACAUGACAUAUGUCGCCUCUUAUCAACUACUAAAGCAAAUGAAGAGUGGAUGAUAAAAACAUCUUUCGGUGAAAAGACCAAACUAGCAUACCUGUGCUCAUUCAAACCAUGCAAAAGAACAACAAGACCCCUGCAUGGUAAUAACAAAAAGAAAUCAGUAACUACAUUAAAGUAAAGCUGGUAGUUCCAGCAAUUAAAAUUUAAAUCAGUAACUACAUUAAAUUAAAGCUGGUAGUACCAUCAAUUAAAAUUUAAAUUACCAAUGUGGUCCAACUAGACAAUAGCGAUAUUAAGGUCAACUGAGCCUUAUUUAGAUCCAAGUAGGUCUGCAAUUGAGUAUAUUUGACUCAGUGAGUUAUUCUGGUGCAUCCUUGGCUCUUCAUAGAAUAAGUGACAACAUUAAUCAGUCACCAUCCAACAUUAACCAGGAUCAAGUCACACAACUCAUUGUCGAUUCUGACAAUUCAAUUACGCGUGAUCCUUGUCAAUAUUGAUUACCUUAAGAUUCGUACUGUUUUGACCCUGAAUCGAACAGAACCAUAGGAUUCAAAUCGUGCACCAUACAAUUGUGGUAACCAUAUGAUUAAUAUGCACAAUUUCACUGAUUCAAUGGAUAAUCAAAUAUCCAUUUUUUAAGGGAUGGGAAAAAAAAAACUUGACUCACAUGAAGUAUCCAGCAUUGCGAAAUGGUAAUAAGAAUGAAGGUUAAUAGUUUCAAAAUGUUUUCUUGUGUUUUAAAUUUCGAAAAUUGUGUUAUGCCCACCCGAUAUCGUAAUUUAUAAUUCGAAUAAGAAAAAAUUGGAAUAUUUUAUAAUUAGUUCCAACACUUCCACGACCACCCAGAGUAGAAAAAUCUUCUGUUUCACUGUAGAAAGGAGAAAGGAACAAAUAGUAAGAAAUAAAAGGCAUGUAGAAUAUGUGAAACCCCUUUUGGCUAAAGCAAAUGGAGGUUAGCAUUUCAAAACACAUUUGCCUUAGCUUAACUUUCCAAAUUUGAAUUUCGUUUAAUACUACAUUUAUUUUUUUAAGCAUACUUUAUGUACGAGAAAUCCCUUCUUUCUGAGACGAUACUAUGGAUCGUUAGCGCUAACCAACUAUCCCAAAAGCACGAGCUAAUAGAAAAGAUGCACCCAUCACACUUAGGGGCUUCGACCUGACUCAAUCCGCCUGGACGUUAGGUCGAUUGUUGGGUCCACUAUCGUUAGCUCUAUUGUAGACCGCAGCUCCACUCAACUUAUUAGGCUCAUCCAAUCCAACUUAUUAUUCUCCUGGGUCUAUUAUCACAGGACAGGAAUUUGAAACUAUUUUACCCAAUAAUAAAUAGCCAAUAGAUACGACAAUGAAUUGAAUUAUUAGGAUAACAAAAUAAUAAAACAAGUUUUCAUAACAUUAGAAAUUCAGAUAUAAAAAAGGCUUUUAAGUUUUUAUAAAGGCCUAAAAGCACAUAACCUAUCUGAGCUAUAAAUUUUGAAAUGUUGAGUAGCCAACUCGAAAUGAUCCAUAAUUCAGAUAAGGUUUGUUCAAUUUUACCUAUACUGAAUUACAAAAUGGGCAACAAAAUUAAAUUUUAAAGAGAAGAACGUACUUUGUCUUAACAUUGAGGGGAGCCCAAGAUUGGGUGAAGAGAGUCUCCCCCCUAGCCGUCCCCAUGAGGGCGAAGUCCCUCCGACACCUCCCCUCCUCCCUCUCCUCCCUCUCCGCCGCCACCCUCACCCUCCGCACCGCCGCCGCCCUCCUCGCCGCCGCCUCCUGCUCCCUCUGCCUCCUCUUCGCCACCAUUGCCGCCGGAACCCUCACCACCACCGUCGCCGCAGCCGCUCCCCCCUUUUUCCCUCCGCCGCCGCCGCCGCUCGUCGACACCGCCGCCCCCUCCUCCCCCGUCGCCGCCGCGGCCGCCGCCGACGACGGCGAGGACGAGGAGGGCACGAACCUCGGCCAUCGCCGGAACGGGAGGAGCACGAAGAGCACCGCGGCGCGGAGGAGGAGGAGGAGGGAGACGAGGGCGCUGAGGCGCCCGCUCACGCCCGACGCCAACAUCAACGGCUCCGAGGGCUUCGUCGACGGAUCCACCAUCGUUUUACAGGGCGAAAAAAUCGGAGGUAACAAUUCCAACCCUUCCACACGCCUCCCCACCCCAAGAAAAAAAAAAAAAUUGCAAAUUUUGCUGCGUUCUUCGACGAAUUCCGAUCGUUAAUUACACUAAAUCGAAGAGAAAUUUCGAAAUUAGGGAUCUAAUUUACAAAAAUCGGAUUGAGAUUAGGGUUAGGGUUUGGCGGUGUUCGUGUUUGGGCAAGGAAAAGAGAAAAUUUCGAUUCGCCUCGGUGUUUAUAUGGCUUCGUCGCGGCUCUUCCCGGAGAGGAGGGGAGAGAACGACACGAACCUACUAGUUCCUAGGAGUAUACUAAUUACACCGGUAAUUGGGACUCCGGUUUCGGACUCCACGCGUGGCAUGUUUUCAACCUCAAAUUUUUAGAAGUUACUUGUGGGGCCCAGUUUACGCUACGGGUGUGUAUUUCGGUGUCUGAAUGUUUAGUCGAAUUAGUCGUGUAUAAAAAACAAAAAAAAAAAAAAAAAAGAUAAUGCGCCACUUUUCUUUGUCGGACUUAUGAGAAACGUGAGGCGGUGAGUGCGACACGUGUCGGAGAAAGAAAGGCCCAUCGUGCUACGUGGCGGGAAGCGGCGGGUCGCAGCCGCGGAUUUUAGGAGGGCGAGGUCGAAACUCCGCAUUGGUCGGCGAUAUGUCGCUGUUACACCGAAGAAAAACCUGUACAUCGCCGUAGUUAUUGUCGUUGUCUUUUUUGGGGUUAAUAAUUAAUUGCACCGUUCCUUCCCAACUUCUUCUUCUUCUUCUGUUUUUUCUUUUUUCUUUUUUCUUUUUCUUUUUUUUUUGUUGGGGGGUAAACAUUCAAUACCCACUUUAGUACUCUGUAAUUUAAAGUGUAUNGAAACUAUUUUACCCAAUAAUAAAUAGCCAAUAGAUACGACAAUGAAUUGAAUUAUUAGGACAACAAAAUAAUAAAACAAGUCUUCCUAACAUUACAAAUUCAGAAAUAAAAAAGGCUUUUAAGUUUUUGUAAAGGCUUAAAUGUAUAUAAUUUAUCUGAACUAUAAACCAUUUUGAGUUGACUACCGAACUAUGAACGACGUAUUCAAAAAUUGAAGUCAAAAUGCCGUUAACCAUCUCAAAUCAAACAAACUAAAAGAUUGGAUUAAAAAAUUAAAAUUUUGAAACGUUGAGCAGCCAACUCAAAAUGAUCCAUAAUUCAGAUAAGGUUUGUUCAAUUUUACCUAUACUGAAUUACAAAAUGGGCAAUAAAAUUAAAUUUUAAAGAGAAGAACGUACUUUGUCUUAACAUGGAGGGGAGCCCAAGAUUGGGUGAAGAGCGUCUCCCCCCUCGCCGUCCCCAUGAGGGCGAAGUCCCUCCGACACCUCCCCUCCUCCCUCUCCUCCCUCUCCGCCGCCGCCCUCACCCUCCGCACCGCCGCCGCCCUCCUUACCGCCGCCUCCUGCUCCCUCUGCCUCCUCUUCGCCACCAUCGCCGCCGGAACCCUCACCACCACCGCCGCUGCAGCCGCUCCCCCCUUUUUCCCUCCGCCGCCGCCGCCGCCGCUCGUCGACACCGCCGCCCCCUCCUCCCCCGCCGCCGCCGCGGCCGCCGCCGACGACGGCGAGGACGAGGAGGGCACGAACCUCGGCCAUCGCCGGACCGGGAGGAGCACGAAGAGCACCGCGGCGCGGAGGAGGAGGAGGAGGGAGACGAGGGCGCUGAGGCGCCCGCUCACGCCCGACGCCAACAUCAACGGCUCCGAGGGCUUCGUCGACGGAUCCACCAUCGUUCUACAGGGCGAAAAAAUCGGAGGUAACAAUUCCAACCCUUCCACACGUCUCCCCACCCCAAGAAAAAAAAUUUUUCAAAUUUUGCUGCGUUCUUCGACGAAUUCCGAUCGUUAAUUACACUAAAUCGAAGCGAAAUUUCGAAAUUAGGAAUCUAAUUUACAAAAUCGUAUUGAGAUUAGGGUUAGGGUUUGGCGGUGUUCACGUUUGGGAAAGGAAAAGAGAAUAUUUCGAUUCGCCUCGGUGUUUAUAUAGCUUCGUCGCGGCUCUUCCCGGAGGGGGAGGGAGGUAACGACACGAACCUACUAUUACCUGGGAAUAUAUAUAUAUAUAUAUAUAUAUAUAUAUAUUAAUUACACCGAUUCUGGGGACUCCGGUUUCGGACUCCACGCGUGGCAUGUUUUCAGCCUCAAAUUUUUAGAAGUUACUUGUGGGGCCCAGUUUGUGCUACGGGUGUGUAUUUCGGUGUGUGAAUGUUUGGUCGAAUUAGUCGUGUAAAAAAAAUAAUAAUAAUAAUGCGCCACUUUUCUUUGUCGGGCUUAUGAGAAACGUGAGGCGGUGAGUGCGACACGUGUCGGAGAAAGAAAGGCCCAUCGUUCUACGUGGCGGGAAGCGGCGGGUCGCAGCCGCGGAUUUUAGGAGGGCGAGGUCGAAACUCCGCAUUGGUCGGCGAUAUGUCGCUGUUACACCGAAGAAAAACCUGUACAUCGCCGUAGUUAUUGUCGUUGUCUUUUUUGGGGUUAAUAAUUAAUUGCACCGUUCCUUCCCAACUUCUUCUUCUUCUUCUGUUUUUUAUUUUUUUUUUUUUCUUUUUUUUUUUUUUGUUGGGGGUAAACAUUCAAUAUCCACUUUAGUACUCUAUAAUUUAAAAUAUAUUAAUUUAAUUUUUUUUUUUUUUCGUCAGUCUUUUUUUAACUUUUCGUUAAAUCAUAUACAAAAAACUUCACAUACUCUACUCAUAGUUUAUCGAAUAUUUAUUUUAGUACUCUUUAAUUUUAAUUUUGUCAUUGAUUUAAUUGAUUUAAUUAAAAAAAUUAAUGAAAGUAAUAACAAAAAGAAAAAAUAAAAUCAUAGGGUAUAAAAGUAAUGCACUUUAAACCAUAUGAUAUUAAAGUGAGAAAGUGCGAAACCACUGUAGUGAUAUUUGAAGUUUAUCUUAUUUUCUCUCACUUAAAUUUAUAAUUAUUCUUUAGCUAUUGAACUCCCAACUUCUAUAUUUUGGUAAAUUUUAACUAGAAAUGCAAACGAGACAUAUUUGCAGACUGCAAACCCGGCCCGCCUCCCACUUCAUUUUCGUGGCAGAAUAAAAGAUUUGACUUUUGUUGGCAAUCAGCAAGUCUUUUUAUUUUUAUUCAAAUUUAAAUAAAAAAUAAUUACUUUUUCGUUAUUUAGUUAAAAUAAAAUCAAAAAAUAAUAAAAGAAUCAUUACAGCAGCAACUAUCUUUCAAAUUAAAAAAAAAAAAAAAAAACUAAAUAGAAAACUGCCCUAAAAAUAAAAAAUUGUUGAAGAAUAAAGGAAUCAGUUUGGACAAUCUGGAUGUAACAACUGUAAAUUUGAAUUUCAGAGUUAGUUGAAUUCAAAUUAGGUUUUUGAAUUUUGAGGUUUAUAUUCAAAAACAGGAGUAGUGAGUGGGGGCCUAUUUCCAGAAAACGUGUUUGAUCGGUGAUUUUGCUGAUUAAUGCACCUGUUGAUGCCAAAAUUGAAAUUAGGCGGGAACGGUUGAGGAACGGUUGAGAAGUAGGGUGUAACUUCCACAAUCAUGGCUACACCACUCCCCCUACUAUUAAAAACCAACCAAUAAUGUGGGAUGAGAAGACAGCAUUAUAAAUAGUAACUUCGAAGCCUGUAAUAGGGGUCUUUCUCUCCUCUGAACGAGAAGACCACCGCAUUUUCAUAUGAGUAUUUGAAUUGUUUCAAAAUAGCCAAAAUCCGGUGCUUUAUGAGAAUGCCGGAAUCAGAGUUCGCCAAAAUGACGUUUAAUGGUAUGCAUUUUAAGAUAAAAGACUAUUUUGAAGAUAAGUAUUUUUCUAACCUAUUUGAUCUAGGUGUUCGAGUUGCCCAAUAUGAGCAAUUCCGAAAGAAAAGUAAGGACGAUCGGCUGCAAUGGAGCCGAUAUAAAAAUCAAAGCAAAGGCAAUGAGAAAUUCUUGAUAGAAGAGCAAUCGGUUUAAGAACAGCCGAGCCAAUCGAGUAAAAGUGAAGAAUCGGCUGAUGAAGCCGAGGUAUAUGCGGCUGGAAUGAUAAAGAGUCGUUUUCUUUAAGCCGACCAAGACCGGCAAAAUUAAAGCUUGAAUCUCGGCUGUGUCAUCGAGCCAUCGAUUUGGCACAAAUAGUCAUCUGAAUAUUCAUUCGAAAGACUAUUAGGGGGGGCAUUGUUGAUGCCAAAAUUGAAAUUAGGCAAGAAUGGUUGAGGAACGGUUGAGAAGUGGGGUGUAACUUCCACAAUCAUGGCUACACCACUCCCCCCACUGCUAAAAAUCGACCAAUAAUGUGGGCAGAAAAGAUAUCAUUAUAAAUAGUAACUUCGAAGCCUGUAAUAGGGGUCUUUCUCUCCCCUGAAUGAGAAGACCACCGUAUUUUCAUAUCUUUCUUUUUCUGCAUUUAUCGUUUUCUAGGAGUAAUCUACAUGUAAUCUUUUUUACCCGCAUUUACUGCUUUCUUAGGAGUAGUUUUUAAGUUAGAUCUCUGGAGUCUGUAUGCCCCACGGGCACACUCUGUUGUAAUCUAGAUUUUCAGAGUCUGUAUGCCCUUCGGGCACACUCUGCUUUAUUAAUAUAUAAAGGCAUUUGGCUCUUUCAACCGACCAGUCACUGUGUAUUCCAUAUAUUCGGCUCAUCAGCCGACCCCAGAUCUUGUGUUUUCUGUACAUUCGGCUCUUCCAGCUGAACCGAAUUUACUGUGGAGGCUUCGAACCAGGCUAAUCCGAUCCCUCAUCAGCCGAAUCGCUUGAUCAAUCAAAGGGCGCAAACUUCGAGGAUCACUAGCAGAAGCCGUGUUUCAUCCCGACGCACUCCCCGAGGAGGACCUUUGACCCGGUCGAGGAUCGGAGAUUUUCGGCGCGAACAACACCAUGACUCUAAAUACACUUUGCGAAGGCUAUAGGACCUUGGACGACGUUUUGAUUCGAUGUCAUGCACAAAAUCUUAUAAGAUUUUAAAAUAUAUAUAUAUAUAUAAAAAAAAAUCUAUUUUUUCUAUUCCAAUUUUGAUAAUAAGUAUGGCGAUCGAAGACUAGGUUUAACUGAACAUUAAUUUUUAUAACGUUGAUCACAUGUUAGAGUACAAACUAUAAUUUUUUGUGUAUCAUGAAGCUCUAUAAAACCAUAUGCAAUACAUACAACUGAAACAAUUGAGUAAUUAAUAACUUUAAUUGAAGAAAGAGUUCGAUUAAGCUUUUUAAUAAGAUUUAAGGGAUCUAAUUGCUAAAAUUGAAAGUUUAUGCAUGUAAAGCAGGUUUAAGGAAGUCUAGACUAAAUUUGGAUCAAAUUGAAAUCAAUUUGUAUCGAAACAGAGUUCUAAAAUAGAAAAAAAAAAAAAAAAAAAAAAAAAAAAAAAAAAAAAAAAAAAAAAAAACUAAGUUUCAAACCUUUUGGGCACCCGGAAUAAGGAUUUGGGUAUCUUAAAUGAAUUCGGAUGGCUUGAUGCGGCGCCCAAAAUGAGCAGGCACUUUGUUGGAGAGCUAAGUUGGUGAGAGGCCCACUUUCGGGCGCUCGGAUUCCUUUGUGGGCAUUUAGAUCAUUUCGAAUCUCACCCGAGGGUGCGCGAAACCUUUUCGGACUCCCAACCCAAGCAUUGGAACGCGAAGGACUAUUACAUAUAUGCAUCCAAAAUGCCCUAAGGGCACCGGGAACAACUUUCGUGCAGCCCCUUGCGGGCGGACAAAUGAUUUUUGAAUGCUCAAUCCAAGAGUACUAGUUGCAAGCUAGAAUAAACAAUUGGACGCUCAAUUCAUAUUUCAGAUGCCCAAAUUGUGAAAUGAACGAACCAAGCGAACACAGCUACGACACCUUCAAGCCGAACACAGCUACGACACCUUCAGGCCCUCAAAACCUAGCAUAAAAGCUAUGGUUUGUCUGGUUGCAAAUUUGAAAGGUUGGGGAGUUUAUGUGCUAUUGUAGCACCUCUAUAAAUAGGGUUUCACAGUAAACUCUAAUUUUCCGGCCUAUUUUCCCCUUCCACCCUCUCUUUCUUCCUCCUCUCUCCCUCAAGUGCCCUAAAGUUUUCAUUGUUGAAUCUUGAAGAUCCACUUAGAUGGAGGCUUAGAGAAGAUCAAUGGCUUCAAAACAAAGCUCUAGAAGGGAAAAGAAGUACACUUCACCCACAUUUCUCUUGCUAGGAAGAGAAAACGUAAGUUAGUGUUUUCAGGAUUUCUUUUGGAGUUUUCUCAAAUGUGACAUUUGAGGGUUCUAGCUUGGUUAGAACUCCUUUUUAGGUUUAGAAGAGAUCUAGAAAAAGGUAGGAAAUAUCACCAAAAUAGCUUUGAUCUCUCCUUUGUCUAAAGAUUUUCUUGAUUUCACGCAUAUACAAAUAUGCGAUAUAUAAGCUAAAUGCAUUUUAGUUGCAUACAAGUAAAACUUGUAGGUCAAGAUGGCUUAUUAGCAUUUGAUCUAGGAAAAGAAGGUUUUCAACAUGUAUAAAGGAAAAGGAAUAGAUGACAUACUCGCAUACAUGUAAAUAUUAUCAUGUGAACCUUGUGUGUAGGUGGAAUAUAUGUGGCAUUUAACCUAGGAUGAAACCUAAGGUAUAACAUAGUUGUACAUGAACUCAAGUUAAACUUGAGCUAGAGGAUGAGUGUAUGUGUAAUGGACAUGAUAAACAACCCUAGAAAUCAUAAAUUUAUAGUAUGACAAUGCCAUAGGUCACAACAUUCUGAAAUGGUCAAUAAAGAAGAUGCAGAUCGCCCUUCCUUUUGUAGUGCUUGGAGAGGGCUUUUUUUUUUCAUUUUAACCCUUUAAAUACUUAUAAUUGGCCAAAUAGUUUUGUAAAAAAAUUUAUUUCGGCAGAUAACCCUAUUUUGUCCGGCUCAGUAUAGAGAUAGAAAAAUAAUUGAAAGGUGGUCAAUCGUUUACCGUCUUUAAUGCAAUUUAGAAGAUGGUGAAAGAUUCACCAUCUUUUUUUAUUCUUUAAAGACAGUAAAUGGUGCAUGGUCUUUUCCUUAAAGAUAAAAAUGGUGAAUGAUUUGCCAUAUCUUUCUAUUUUUCAUAUAUAAUAUCAACAAUCACAUAAUAAUUUUUCAACAAAUUAUAUAUAAUCCUAACAACCUAAAAUAUUCUAACAACAUACCUGCACUAUUUUAACGAUCAAACAAAAAUUCUAAUAAUCCCCAUAUAAUCUUAACAACCUCAUAAAACUUAUAAAAUAAUGAAAACAAUAUAAAAAUGGCUAAUCAUUCGUCGUUUUCUAAAGACGGUGAAUGAUUCACCGUGUUUCUCAAGUUAGUUGGCUAAAUAAAAUUUUGAAAGAGUUAUUUGAAAAAUUAGAAAAUUUUAUAGAAUUAUCAUUAAAAAAAGUCUGCUUAGAGACGUCGAUCGCCCUCAACUCCAAGUGACCACUAUGCUUGGUGAUGUCGAUUUUCCUUGACACUGAAUGCCUACCAAUUGGAGAGAUGCCAAUCACCUUUGAUUCUCUAUGAUGUGUAUAGUGUGAAAUGGAACCAACAAAAUGAUUAAUUAAAGACAUGAGACAAAUUGGGUAUUAAUAUAGUCGAUAACAAAAUAACUCAUUGUGGCAUACUUUGCUUACUUGAGGUAGUAAAUACCUUGCUUAUUCUACUGUGGUAAUGGUUGUUAUUUAUUAUUACCUACCACUAAUACCUCCUUUGGACGGAGUGAAUAUAGAGUGUCACUUUCGUUGAUUGCACUCACUAAGAAUUUAUCUAAAAUUCUUAACCAGUGGUUGUUUACACCUUUUAAGAUCCUACCACGACUAGUGAGGUAGGGAACUAUGGGAGGGCAUCUAAACCAAGUGAGAGGUCUAGAGUGUACUCUUAUAAGAACACUAGAAAUUGUAAUAUUUUGAAAAGGUUUAAAUGUUAUAGACUUUAAAGAAUUAAAGUUAUAAUGGUUUAAAUCUAAUAAUAUUAGUCUGAUGGUUCUUGUAUCUAUGUCAUAUAUAUUUUGUACAGGUUGGUAUAUGCUUUGCUCAUGUAGAUAGAAAAAAAAGUUACCCGUUCGGAGGGUUUGUUGCACUUGCCCAAGCGGGUCUAAUUAAUGGAAUUCAUGACAUGACAAUGCAUCUGUUUACAAAAAAACUAAAGUUCAGAAAAUCUUUAUACAUUUUUUAAAAAAUUUUAACACCGAAGUUAUUAUCAUUAUUUCUUUCUCUCCUAACUACCUUUGUUUGUUGUCUAGAACAAAAUUAAUUAUAACAUAUUAAAAAGAUGGGGUUAAGAAUAAAUUUGAUUUAUCACCAACUAAACAAUGAAAUGAAAGUCGCCAUAUUAAGGCCCAACUCAAUACCAUGGUGGAAAGGGAAGUAAAAUAAUGAUGUAUCAUUUAUUGUGUUCAAUAAGACUUUAAAAGCAGUAUGUUCAUAAGUAACUCAAUUUUUUUUAUAAGUUUAUAUUUAUUUCUGUCAAGUUUAUCUUUUAAUAUUUUGUUGGUUAGACAUAAGAGAUAAGUUUAAAUCUUGUUCAAUUAUAGCUAUUAGGAUUUUUGGGUUAUGUCUAUAUACAAACAGACUGUUGUAAAUGUGUAGAAAAUAAUCCACCAUCAAAAUUUAGUCCAAGAAUAUUUAAUAAAGUUUUUAGUUUCAUUCAUUGCAAUACUCCUCACCUUCCAACAAGUGGUAUCAGAGCCAAGUUGAAGAAGCCUUACGACGAAGAAAAGAUCGUCGGCUUCAUGAUCGAGGACGUAGAACGUGCCGGCAUCGUGCUCUCCAUCAACAUCGAUAGUUGAUCGUGGCCCUAAAUAGGAUGAUUCAACCACAGCUUCCGAAGUUUACAGGAAAGAACUUCGAUUACUUGAGUAUCCAGAUAAAAUGCUUAUUCUCAUCUUAGGAGUAAUGGGACAUUGUAAAGGAUGGCUUCAAAGAUGUUAUUGAUAGUGAGUUCGAAAUGCUCGCUGGUGCAAAGAAGGAGGUGCUCAAAGAUUUCCAAAAGAAAGACAGAAAUGCACUAUUCUUUCUGUAUCAGGUGGUGGAUCAAGUUAUUUUUAAGAGGUUAUUGAAUGCCAAGACAGCAAAAAAAAAGCGUAGGACAUGCUUGAGAGGAGUUACCGAGGCACAGAUAAAGAAAAAAAAGUAUGAAUCCAAACUUUUAAAGGUGAAUUUGAAUUUUUACAGAUGAACGAAGUUGAAUCAAUUGACGACUAUUGUAGUCUGGUAGUAUUCGAAUCAAAUCAAAUACGGAUGAAUAGGGAAAACUAGCACGACAAAUUAAUUGUUGAAAAAAUUAUGAGAUAAGUAACUGGCAAACAUGAUCACGCCGUGUCUUCAAUUGAGGCGGCCAAGACAUAGACAACCUAAUAGUAGAAGAUUUGUCGGGAUUAUUCCAAGCCUACGAAUAGCAUGUGAAACUAAGAGCGGAGCGCACAGUUAAAUAAGCUCUCAAAACCCUACUAACAAUCAGCGACAGAACUCAAAGAGAAAACAAAGCUAGCAGAGGACAUGGCCGUGGUGGCAAACGCGGUCGUGGCCGCGGCAGAGGCCGAGGCCAAAACAAAAUAGUCGUUGGUGAUACAGAUGGUUCAAAUUCAAAUAGAAGAAUAAGAAGGAGAGAUAAUUACCACAAUUAGUAAAGAUAUGACAAAUCUCGAAUUCAAUAUUAUUAUUACAUAAAUAUAGGCACUAUCAAUCUGAAUGUAGAAGAAAACAAGCGGAUAAGCAGAAUAAUAUUAAUGCAAAUUUUGUUGAAAAUAAGGAUGAAGAUUUCAAAUUUAAGGAUGAAAAUAAUGCACCUAUGCUUCUCGUUUGCAAUAUUGUUGAAACACCAAAAAGUAAUAUUUAGUAUUUAGAUUCAGGCUGUAGCAACCACAUGUGCAGUAAAAGGAAGAUGUUUAUAAAUUUAGAUGAUAAAGAAAAUAUGAUGGCAAAAUUGGAAGAUGAAAGAAAAGUUGUUGUUCAAGAAAAAGGUGGCAUUUUAAUUCAAGCAUGUAAUGGUGAUCAUAUUAUAAUAUCUGAUAUUUAUUAUAUGUCUAGAUUAGAAUGUAAUCUAUUAAGUAUUGGUCAAUUUUAAGAAAAUGGUCGUAUUGUGCAUAUUGAAAAGAGAAUUUGUGAAUUGAAGAAUAAAGAUAAUAGAUUAAUUACUAGUGCCAAUUACUAGAAAUCGCAUGUUUUCUUUCAGAAUUGAUAAUGAUAUUUUGCCCUAUUUCAAUACAAUUGUGCAUAAUGAAUCUUGGUUAUGACAUUUACGGUUUGGUCAUUUAAAUUUUUGAUCUUUGAAAAAAUUGGCUAGCAAAAAUAUGGUGAAGAGGUUACCCUACAUAACUUAUCCAAACCAAAUUUGUGAAGGUUGCAUUUUCAAAAAGCAACAUAGAGAUCCAUUAUCCGAAGAAAAGUCUGUUAAAGCCACAAAGCCUCAACAGUUGGUUCAUACGGAUUUAUGUGAGAUGGAUAUACGCUCCAUUGGAAACAAUAAAUAUUUUAUAACUUUCAUUGAUGAUUUUAGCAGAAAAUUUUGGGUUUAUUUUCUGAAAGAAAAAUUAAAAGCUUUUACGGUAUUCUAACAUUUUAAAGCACUUUCUGGAAAAUAGUGAAAAUUAUUUGAAAAUUCUACGGUUAGAUGGUGGAAGAGAAUAUUUUUCUAUAAAAUUUAAUGAGUUAUGCAGGACACAUGAAAUUGUGCAUCAAAGUACCGCAGCCUAUUCACUGCAACAGAACGGCAUGGUAGAAAGAAAAAAUCGUACAAUUGUGGAAAUGACAAGAAGCAUGCUUAUUGAAAAAGAUAUGACGAAAAAUUUUUGGGCUAAAGCUGUUUCAUGUACAGUUUAUAUAUUAAAUAGGUGUCUGACAAGUAGUGUGGCGAAUAAAACACCUGAAGAAGUAUGGAAUGAAAGAAAACUUAUAAUAGCGUAUCUACAUAUUUUCGGAAGCAUGGCAUAUACACCUGUUCCAAAACAAAUGAGAAAGAAAUUGGAUGACAAAAUAGUCGGGUGCGUUUUUAUCGACUAUACAGAAAAUAUAUAUAAAAGCUUAUAAAUUAUAUGAUCCAGUAGCAGAAAAAAUCAUAAUGAGCAGAGAUGUAAAAUUUGAUGAAACUAAAUGAUAAGAUUGGAAAGAAAAAGAAAGGAUAAAUAAAGGUAUUAGCAUUCAAUUUGAAGAUAAUUUCGAGAAUCAAGAACAAUGUGCAUCGGAUCCUCCGACUGCACUAGCAUCACCACCCUCGUCGUCAUCAGGUUCUUCGCCUUAUUUUUUGAAGGAAAAUGUUCGAAGAAAUUCUCUACGUAAUAUUACAAUGCCCGUAAAAUUAACAGAUUACAUUAUUAAUGAUACUGACAAUGAUGAUGAUAGUGAUUUAACCCACUACAUCAUAUUUUUAGAUUGUGAUCCUCUCAAGUUUAGUGAAGUGGCGAAAGAAAAAAAGUGGCGUAAAGCCAUGUGUGAUGAAAUCGAGGUGAUUGAGAAGAACAAAACUUAGGAGUUGACAAAACUUCUAGAAGACCAAAAAGCAAUUGGCAUGAAGUGGGUAUACAAAACCAAGUACAAACAAGACGGGUCAAUCGAUCGUCAUAAAGCUAGACCCGUUGUAAAAGGCUACAAGCAAAAGCCCGUGUUGGCUUAAAUUGGCUAGCACCCUGCCCUGUGGUGGGGGCCAUGUUGGGCCGAGUCAUAUUCGAAAUGGCGUGAGGCUGGGUGCGCCAAGUCAUGUUCGAAGUGACGUGAGGCUGAUUGGACCAAGUCACAAUCGAGAUCCGUGGGCGUUGUAUCUGUACACUUUAAGUGAAUUGGUUGCAUAUUUCUAACAGCUCGAGCUUUUGGGAUUAAUGGUUAGUGCCAACGAUCCGACAAGUGGUAUUUGAGCCAGAGGUCACGGGUUCGUUUCCCGCAUGUUACAAAUGUGUGCAAGUGCUGGAGGGAGGAUUGUUGGCUUAAAUGGGCCAACAUUCUGCCCUAUGGUGGGAGGCCAUGUUGGGCUGAGUCAUAUUCGAAAUGGCAUGAGGCUGGGUGGGCCGAGUCAUGUUUGAAGUGGCGUGAGGCUGAUUGGGCCAAGUCAUAAUCGAGAUCCAUCUGCACUGUAUCCGUACGCUUUAAGUGAAUUGGUUGCACAUUUCUAACAGCUUGAGCUUUUGGGAUUAAUGGUUAGCGCCAACGAUCCGACAGUUCGGUGUUGAUUUUCACGAGGUGUUUGCUACCAUUGCCAGAUUGGAGUCGGUGCGGCUUCUAAUUGCUUGUCACGUCCCAGGGUCCCUUUUUGAUUUAAAAGCAAAGCGAAAGUGCCCAAAUUUUUUUUUUGAAAAACCUGACCCCCAGGGUAUGCCAGAUCCACCACAAAUACAGGAAGUUCACUGUUCCAACAGACAGAGUCUUCCCUGUAUUUGCACGGUGUCGCACUUGUACAAGAUACAUAACACAGGAUACAACCACUACACAUGAAUAUACACGCCUUCAUACACCAUUCACAUUUAAAUUCACAUUCAGAGUUUAUCCAUAAAUUCACAACUAUUAGUUUAAAAUGUUUCCUACCCGGAAACUCGUUUUGAAAUACUAAGUCAUGAAAACUAAGAGAAAAUCUUUUAAAAACUGUUUCCCACACGGAAACUUUUUCCUUUUAAAACACACUACCAUGAGAGGUAGAAACCAUUUUUAGUUUACAAGAAUCACAAAUCCUUUAUUACAUUCAUGAAAACCCAAAUAUUCAGAUGUAAUAAAAUACUGAACCAUAAUUGUUGUCUAAGUUAAUUAUUGAAGGAAACAGAGUUAAGGAGUUAAAUCAAAAUGGCAGGACGGUGGCUCUAUCGAUCGCUAACUGCGCUCCUCACAAACCAUCCCACUAGGACCAACGACAUCACCUGUAAUGGGGGUGGGGGGUGAGAACAUGUAAACAUGUCUCCUCUCCCAGUGGGUACCACAAACCGACGAGGGUAAGGAGUACUCACCAGUCAAGGAAAAUAAACAAAGGUAUAGAUAAGUGUAAUACAGUAGCAACGAUAAUAAAUGAACAGGAUGUAUAAAUGCAGAACUACCGCUACUGUAUGUAUGCAUCAACCGGACGACAGUCCAAAAAUACCCAAUCUAAAUCUGCCCUAUCGAUCUGUAGACCUCAAGCCCAUGCCACUGCCAAUCUACCUGUAUAUGACCCAGCCUAGGCCGCUGGGCUCACAGGUUAGCACACACAACCACUUUUACGGAAAAGAACACCCUCUUGUGGUGGAUCAGACCGCUGGUGUUCGUGAAAUGCGUACGAGUCUCGGGCGAUCAAUGAUGAUAUGUUCAAUAGCCAACUGUCGGCAACUAGCCGACAAUCUUGCCCCUCAGGGCGUACCGACCGUAUAGGUCACCAAAUAGUCUAACCGACAAAGUAGGUCACGAUAGUAAUGCAAUAAGCUGACCCAAUAGGCCACAGAUACGAGAUACGAGAACUGACCAACCAGAUCACAGAUAUCACAAAUAAUCACGAAACCGCUCUACUCUAAACAUGAUAUAGGAUAUGCAAAACAGCUAAGUAGAGCAACAAGAAAAUAUGGUAUAGGUGCCAGGCUCGACAUAUAAUAUAUGCAUGUAGAGUAAUAACGGGAGAACAAGGGAAAGAAGAUAUCACUAAGCGUGCAUCACUGUACCGACUUCGGAUCGAAGUACCCACCUGUACGAAUACCGUACUAAUCUUCCGACUGCGGAGGAAAUAACAACCGGACCUACGAAGGGUCCACCGGGUUAGAAUCCAACCCAUGUACACAAAAUGCUAACACACAAUCCCCACCAACAAACCUACGAAAAUUAGUUUCCCAAAACUGAUUGUCGAACACGCCGGAAGCCCCGAAAAUCGCAUCGAGACUCCGCCAGGACCCACGAACUGUCCUGAAACUCACCGACUCAUGCUAUGAGUCACCCGCUGCCACUAAACACCAUUAUUCAUAGGACUUGGCAGCAAACACACCGCUUCACUUCGAAAUGAUUAUCGUCGGAUAAUCGUUCCGAUCUGGGUUGCCAAAAGUGUCCAAUUCGACACCGGAACCCACCGUCGCUCACCCGUCGUUUUCGAACCCUCGAAACGACACAAGUGACCAGCCAACAAGGCUCAACGACUACAUGAUCUACCGCGAGGUACCGUCGGAAGAAUUCCGAACCGAAAACGCGUUCCGUCGGCAGAUUUCGCCAAAAAACGCACUGAAAAUCAACAUUUGAUUUUCGGAAAGGCUUGGGGCCUUGGACAACUAAUCCAGAGGUUACCCGCUACCCGCACACACUGCCAACAGCAACCACAAAUUAAACAAUUGCAUAAAUACCCCCGCGAAAACAUAAAAUCACAUUAUUUCAUAUGAUUUUCGGGGUUUUACGGCCCGACAGCGCAAACCGAGAACCUCAAGCCUGGCCGAGGUAUCCACUGACAGGUCUCGAUGUGCCGGAGGCUGUGCUCACACUUCGAAGCACGGCCGGCCACUGUGGCAAGCGCGCGAGCGACCAAACUUCAGUGAAAUCGCGUGUACGGUGCCUAAACUGCGUUUAAUACGCACACUGGGGCUUCGCUGACCUAAAAGGAAGUGAGCAAGAUAUUCGGCACAAAUCAGAGAUCAUCGUGCUCACUUACGGGGGUGUCGGGGUGUCUCCGGAUCGCCGGAAAGGUGACUGGAAUCCCAAACAGUGCACAGAAAACAGCAACAGCCUUACCGGAGCAAGUUGGAGCACGGGGGUGGCCGGCGGCGGCCGGACGGCGGGCGCUCCGGCAGGGGAAGGGUGCGGCCGGUCAGUGGGGGCCGGGGCAUGUGUUGGCCGACGGCGGGAGGCGACCAGUGACGCGGCGGAGAGCCACGAGCCCGCACAGCUUGGCUCGGCUCAGGAAGGCAGUGGCGGCCAGGCGACGGUCGGAGGAGCGUCAGGGCAACGGCGUUCAGUCGCCUGAGUCCGAGGGAGGGUGGCGCACUCAACUGUGGGUGGCGGCGAUGCGCGGUGACUCAGCCUCGGCCCGCCUUGAGUCUGGGCGGCCGCAGGGAGCACGAGCGGCGGCCGGCGGCACUCCGGGACUAUGGGAGGGCUAGCAGAGGGUCGCCGGAGGUCGUCGGAGGACGGCACGACCGAUCACAAGCGGCAGAAGCUCGCGGCCACGAACUAAGCUAUGCUCAGCCCGAGAUCGGUCCAACAGGAACCAGGUUAGCCACAGUAAGCACGGUCGGCACCGACGGCGCACGGGGACAGCGGGGGCCGGCGGGGAUGACGCCGGAGAUCGGUCUCGGCCAGAGGAGUACGAUCACCCAGGGUUUGGGUGACUUCCUACGUCCAACCGCCGAUGUGGUGGAGACAAGGUAGAAGGAGGAGUUGGCUGGGAGGCCGAGGUGGCUUUUCCGAUGGCCGGGGGUGCUCGCCGGCGGCCGGGGCGUGCGCACCAGUAGGGUGGAGGGGUGCUGCGACGGCUAGGGCUUAGCUCAGCUGAGGAGGAGUCCAGGAGCUAGGGUUUCUUCAUGAAAACCCUAGUUGCAACUAUAUAUAUAUUGUGUACAAUUGCAAAAAGGUCCCCCAUAGACAAUUAUUUUUAGCUCAGUCCCUGUAAGUACGUGUAUUAUGCACACAAGCCCCUCGACAUUCGAAUUAAUACAAAACGGCGCAUAAAAUAUUGGGUUUCACGCGAAAUUUCCAUUUUGCCAAUUUCGACUCCUCAGCGAACUUUUCAAGAUUCCCAGAGAUCCGUUCGUCGGAUUUUCGAUCGGAUCACGCCAGCGCGUUCAGCACGACUGGGACAUCGAAUCUACCAUUUCGUUCAUCCGAUUCGGUCGUCGAUUUGCGACAAAACUAAACCUCUCCAAUCUCCAAAAACCACACCUAUACAUAUAAAUCCAAUACAACUCUUUUUCUCGAAAACCGUGCAUCAGAACCCAAAUCUGUCAGUGCCAUUGGGUCCAGAAUAGUCGAACUGUCGAAAAUGAGCUAUUGGAUCACUAUGAACAGAGUCCAAUACGCACCAGAAGCUUUCUCCACUCAUUGGCUUCUCCGAAAAAUCGGAGUUACUAUUCACUUUAGGUGAUUAGUACAGGUCGCAUAACUUCUCUAUUCUAACUCGUUUUCUCCUGAAACUUGACAAGUGCUUAUGUAAUUACAUUACACACAAAAAUAUCGUCAACAGAGGGUUUAACUACAUUGUCAAAAUCUCAGAUAUUACAUUGCUUUAGCGGCACAAAAACAGUGGAAGAUCUAUCAGAUGGAUGUCAAAUCCGGCCACUAUCCUCAACGGCUUUCUCGAUAAAGAAAUAUACAUCGAGCAACUGCUAGAAUUUAUACAAAAAGGUGAAGAAGAUAAAGUUUAAAAAUUAAAAAAGGCAUUGUACUGCUUGAAGCAAACUCUGCAAGCCCGGUACACACGUGUAGAUCUAUAUUUUCAAAAAGCCGAAUUUCGUGAGUGCCCCUGUGAACAUGCUCUUUACGUUAAAAAUAAUUCUAGUGGUGAUGUUUUAUUUGUUUCCCUCUAUGCUGACAAUCUUAUCUUUACGGAAAAUAAUUCUAGUAUGAUUGAAGAAUUUAAAAAGAGCAUGAUUAAUGAGUUUGAUGUAACCAAUACGAGCCAUAUGGCUUAUUAUCUGGGCAUCGAAGUUUCACAAAAAGAUAAAGGCAUUUCUAUAUCUCAAAAGAAAUUUGCAGGGAAAAUACUUGAAAAGUUUCAGAUAGCGGAUUAUAAACCGAUAGUUACCCCAGUAGAGAUCGGAUUAAAGCUCAACAAGAAAGGAGAAGGAAAGCCUGUUAAUCCCACAUAUUUCGAACAGUUGGUAGGAAGCCUAUGCUACUUAACUGCAACUAGACCCGACAAAGCCUAUGGUGUUGGGUUGAUCAGUAGAUAUAUAGAAAAGCUGACUUAAUGCAUUUACAAGCAGCAAAGCGUAUUUUACGCUAUAUAAAAGGAACGGUCAACUAUAGUAUUUUUUACUCUUACGGUGGCAAAUCCGAACUCAUCGGAUUCGUCGAUAGCGAUUGGGCCGGCAACGUAGAAGAACGGAAAAGCACAUUAGGCAACGUAUUUUUUCUUAGAAGCGUCACAUUCACAUGGUCAUCGAAGAAACAGGAUAUUGUAGCUCUCUCUACAACAGAAGCCGAAUACGUAGCGGCGUCAGCAAGCGCUAUACAAGUUAUUUGGCUUAGAAGAGUUCUUGAAAAAUUUGGUGAAAAUCAAAAGCCACGUACAAAAGUAUUUUGUGCUAAUAGUUCGGCUAUAGCAAUCGCAAAAAAAUUCAGUUUUUCACGAAAGGCGUAAACAUAUUGAAGUCCAUUAUCAUUAUAUUCGAGAACUUGUGAAGAAGAACGAGAUCAAGCUAUAUUUUUGCAUAAGCGAGAAUCAAGUCGCCGAUAUAUUUACGAAGCCGCUAACAUUGGAAAUUUCGUGAAACUACAAAAGCUACUCGAAAUGUGGAAAAUUGGGUUAAGGGAAGAUAUUGAUAAGUAACCCAAUAUUUUUUAUAAGUUUAGAUUUAUUUCUGUCAAGUUUAUCUCUUAAUAUUUUGUUAGUUAAAUAUAAGAAAUAAGUUUAAAUCUUAUUCAAUUAUUGUUGCAAGAAUUUUUGGCUUAUGUCUAUAUAUAGACUGCUAUAAAUGUGUGAAAAAUAAUCCACUACCGAAAUUUAGUCCAUAUUUAAUAAAGUUUUUAAUCUAAUUUGCUGCAAUACUACUCUCCUUCCAAUACAGCAGAUCAUUCAACGUCUUUAAAAACCUUAAAAUUAUUAUUGUCACUUAUGGAAUUUUUAUGUGAAUUAUUAGAAUUUUUAUGUAGGUUAUUAGGAUUUUUUUUUAGUUGUCAUGAUUAUAUUGCAGGUGGUUAGAAUUUCUGUGAGUUUGUUAGAGCAAUAUGUUGGUUGUUGGAAUUUUGUGUAAUUAUUAGGAUUAUAUUAGAAGAAUAUAACAAAAAAAAUGUAAAUCAUUCAUUGUUUUUUUUCUAAAGAGAAAAGUGAUAAAUAAUUAUAUGAUUUUUUUAUUAAAAACGAGGAAUCGUUUAGUAUCUUUUAAUUUUUGUUCCAUCCUUACGCUGAAUUGAUAAAAUAGAAUUGCUUGACCAAACAAAUUUUGUGUGAUGAUUGAACAUGCUCUAACGUCCUUAUUAGUCCAAUCACACAGACAACCCACUUGCUAGCCUUGUCAUCCAGACCCAUAACCGGUCACCUUGUCAUUUAGACUCCGGCAUAACCUAUCACCUUGUCUUUCAGACCCUAACUCAGUUGAGACUCGCCACACAUUUUCGGCUGGUGAACCGGUAUUAAGGAAAAUAUUAAUUAGUUGAUUGUAAUUAUCCUUACCAUUUAUCGUUGUAUAUCUUUUCUAUAAAUAGGAGAUGGCAUAGCUUAAUUAUAGGACGAGAUUAGCAUAAUUAUAGGUUGAGAUUGAUUCUUGUUCUUGUAUAUAUCAUGCACUUUUCUAAUGAAAUAAACACAAUAUUGUAAACCAUUAUCUUCUUCCAUUUUACAACCGGCUUUGAUAACAAAUAUAACGACCCAGCAUACUAGCAACAAUAACUCAUUUGGUCUAAACACCGGCCCAAAAUACUUAAGCCCGGUUAUUAUUAAUAGUGUCCAAGUCUUUUACAAUCACAUUCUCAUUCAUAUCCUAUUCGAUGUGGGAUUAUUGGGGUGUGACAUGGCGUCACCAACCAAUCACAUUGUUUUCCUUGAAUUCACCUAACCCAUCGUCAUGCUUAUUAAAAAAAUAUUUUUAUUAUAUUUUUUCUUAAAUAGAAAGAUAUAAUUGAAUAUUAAUUAAAAAAAAUGUGGUAUGGCUGAUAUAUAAAUAGAAGGAAAAACUUCGAAUACCACCCCUGUGGUUUCAUACUUUUUAUUUUAGUACUCUGUGGUUUAAAGUGUAUCAAUUUAGUACCCCGUGGUUUCAUUUUUCUCUUUUGAUUAUCCCCUCCACUGAUAUUUUUUUGUUAAAUCAGUGACAAAGUUAAAACUAGAAGGUACUAAGUUGAAUAUUUAAUAAACCUAGGCGAAGUAUCUAAAGUUUUUUGUAUAUAAUUUAACGAAAUAUUGACGGAGGAGCUGACAAAAAGGAAAAAAAAAUGAAACUAUAGGAUACCAAAUUUAUACACUUUAAACCACAUAAUACUACACUGUCUCCACGGAAUUUAUAAAUUGUGAUUUUGGUCUAGAUAAAAUAGGGAAUCUUGUAACUAUAAAAAAUUCCACGGAUUCAAUUUUUAAACUGUUUGAAUACGCAUUGUGUAAUUCCACGAAAUUUUUCUAAAUUUUAAAAUUAAAAUUAAUAUUUAAAAUUUCAAUAAAAAUUUAGAACUUAAAAUUUGAAAUGUGAAAUUCGAAAUGUGAAAUUUGAAAAUUUAAAAUUUCAAAUUUGAAAUAGAAAAAUCUAAAUAUAAUUUUAAAAUUUUAAAAUUUAAAAUUUAAAAUUUUGAAAACAAAAUUUUAAAAUUUAGAAUUUAAAAUUUAAAAUUUAAUUUCUUUAAAAAAAUUACAUUUUAAAUUUUAAAAUUUAAAAUUUGAUACUUAAAAUUUGAAAUUAAAGUUUGAAAUUUGAAAUUUGAAAUUUGAAAUUGGGAUUUUGAAAUUUGGAUUUUGAAAAUUAAAAUUUAAAAUUAAAUUUGAAAUUUACAAUUCAAAAAUUACAUUUGAAAAUUGAAAAUUGAAAAUUAAAAUUAUAACUUUAGAAAAUUUGAAAUUUAGAAUUUGACAUUUAAAAUUUCAAUUUUAAAUUUUAAAUAUCAAAAAUUUGAAAUUUUUAAUUUCAAACUUUAAAAUUCAAAAUUUGAAAUUUGAAAUUAAAUACGUGAAUAUAAAUUUAAACUAUAAAAUUUAAAAUUUAGGCUGAAAUUUAAAAUUUUAUGUUGAAAUUUAAAAUUUAGAAUUUGAUAUAUUUUUGNUCCACCAACCACUGCAAGAAAUUCUACUUAGGCACGUUUGGAUACUCAAAGCGAAAGCUUAGCGUAAUUAAAUUAUACUAUACCGGUAAAAAAAAAUUCUUUUUCUUUGGUUAGAGUGAAUUAUAAUUUUACUUUAUUUUUUAGAAUAUAGUUUAAAUAUUCUUCAAAAAUUACGUUAUUCUUCUUUUUCUUCCAAACAUUUUAUAAAAUAAUUUUUUUUUACCGGUAUAGUAUAAUUUAAUUACGCUAAGCUUUCGCUUUGAGUAUCCAAACGUGCCUAAGUAGAAUUUCUUGCAGUGGUUGGUGGAACGUACCUGUCCAUGUUGAUAGACACUCCGUACUAACGAUGCUACUAUCGGCUGUCCUUUUUGUGUCUGAGAGGAAUCUGCCAUGAAUUUUGUAUCACGGCUAAAAAACGACACCAACAUUUGGAUCGUCAGUGGGCAGGCAGCUGCCACAAGCAACUGUCGGUGUCAGGGAAAAACAGUUGAAGAUGGUCCAAUUUUUGAUCAGAUCAUAUCCAUAUUCUUAUUUUGCUUCAAAUGUGUAUAUCAAUGCAGAUAUAUAUAUUGAAUUUUAAAAUUUUCUUACGAAAUAAUUGUCUAUAUAUAUCUCUCAAAACUUUAAAAAUAUCUCAUUUACUCAUAUCUUUUUUUCUUUACAAUAUACUACUCAUAUGUUCCUCCGUUAUUUUAAAAUAUCCCUAUAAUUACCAUCCGUUAAGUUAACUUAUAUUAAAAACAAGUUAAAUAUCUACUAGAGUUAAAAAAAUCAAAAUGCGUCUUUUGCCCUUACUUUAAGGAUAAAUAAGAAAUGUUGGUGAUGGUAGAAGGGUAUAUUUGAAAAGGUCAAAAAUCAAAAUAAUUUUGUACCCCUAACUUAAGGGCAAAUAAGAAAAAUCGGUGAUAGUGGAAGGAUAUAUUUGAAAGGGCAAAAUAGUAAUUUUAUAUAGAUAACAGCUAUUGCUAAUAGUUUAUUAACAGAAUUUAACUCUAGAAUAUAUUUAAAAUAGGUUGAAAUAUGAAAAAGAUAUUUUCAAUAUUAGCCUUCUAAAAAGGGUAAAUCAGAAAGUCUGAAACUAACUUUUCAAGAGUAUAUAAGCAAUUGCUNAAGAGUAAACCAAUUUCUGGCAGCAGCAAUAGUAAGUAAACAACGAAGAGUUGUCAAUUUUGCUGUAGGAGAAAAGGUUUCCUUGUAGUCGAGACCUGCAAUUUGUGUAUAUCCUUUUGCAACGAGGCGAGCUUUAUAUCGCUCAAUUGUACCAUCAGAAUGAUAUUUUAUUUUGUAGACACACCUGCAGCCGAUGGGCUUGUGACCGGCGGGAAGAGAAACAAGAGACCAAGUGUUAUUGCGUUGCAAUGCUUGUAAUUCAGCAUCCAUAGCUGCUUGCCAAUGAGGGAAUUUGACAGCUUGGGAAUAUGUGGUAGGUUCAAUCUGUGAUGUUAUACUGGCUAAAAAGGUAAGAUGAGAUAAUGAAAAUUGUGAAAGAGAUAGAUGAUGAGACAGAGGAUACCUUGUAUUUCGACGAGGACUUGUGCGAGGGGAUGAAUGAUUGACUGCAGCAGACAUGAAGUACUCUUGAUGCCAGGCUGGAGGUUGUCGGUCGCAAGUUGAGCGACGAAGAUUUUGGAAAUUUUCAUUCGGUUGAGGUGGUGAAGAGUUGGAAGAUUCUGACAAAGGGAAAGUUUGUGGUGAUGGCAAGGUGGAAUUAACGGGCAAAGGUCGGUUGUUUUGAGGAGAUAAAGGAGGAUCUUGGGGAGAUGUAGAUGGCGCUGAAUUAUGCGCGGGUGAGGAUGAAUCCAACGCAAUAUGUGGUUUGGAUAUCUUGGAUUCUCCUUCUGGGAAAAUUGGCAAUAAAGGAAAAUUAUGUUUCACAGAAUUGGGAGAAGAUUGUGAUGACUGCAUAUUAUUAGGAGACGUAAAUGGAAAAGUGUCCUCUUGGAAGUAGACAUCUCUGCUAAUAAGGAAUUUUUGUGUAGAUAGGUCAUAUAAUUUAUAACCUUUUUUGCCAUGAGGAUAUCCCAUAAAAACGCACUGAACGGCACGGGGAUCGAAUUUUCCUUUCGGGUGAACGUUGGUCGCGUAGCACUGGCAACCAAAAAUUCGCAAGUGUUCAAGUGAGGGCGGUUUUUUGUAGAGUUUUUCAUAUGGUGAUUGAUUAGAUAAAAGAGGAGUUGGAAGCCGGUUAAUUAAAUAUACGGCUGUAAGGAUACAUUCCUCCCAGAAUUUAAGAGGUACAUGGGACUGAAAAAAUAAAGAACGUGCCACAUUGAGUAUGUGACGAUGCUUGCGUUCGACUACUCCAUUUUGUUGUGGAGUAUAAACGCAUGUAUUUUGGAACUCGAUACCUUGAUUGAGAAGGAAAUUUUGUAAAGGCUGAAAUUCAGUCCCAUUAUCAGUGCGAAUGAUUUUAACGGAAGUGUUAAACUGUGUUUUGGCAAACUGAAUAAAUUUGAUGAGUGAUUCAGGGGUUUCGGAUUUUUGUUUCAUAAAAAAAAACCCAAGUACAGCCAGUAAAAUCGUCAACUAUGGUGAGAAAAAAACGUGCCCCAGAAUGCGAAGGAACUUUAUGAGGUCCCCAUACAUCGCAGUGUAAUAGUUCAAAAGGAAUUUUGGUUGUGAUAGAACUUAUAGGAAAAGGCAAUCUCGUUUGUUUUGCAAGAGGACAAAUACUACAGUUAUUGUGAAAUGAGACUGUUUCUUUAUUGAUUGGUAAUGAAGGGAAAAGUAAUUUGAAACGAGAAAAAGAAAGAUGUCCGAGUCGUGAAUGCCAUAUAUCGGGACUAUUUGAGACUUGGAAGGAAGCUGGAGAAAUGGAAUUCGGCAUCAUGUAAUAGAGUCCUCCAUGUUGUUUACCCGAGCCAAUCAUCUUUCCCGUCGUUAAGUCCUACAAAACACAUGAGUCAGGAAAGAGGGUGAUAGAACAAUUAAGACCUUUUGUAAUUUUGCUGGCUGAUAUUAAGUUUAAACGAAAAGUGGGUACGCAUAGGACAUUUUCGAGUGUUAUAUCCCGAUUGAAAACUAUGUUGCCAGUGUGUGUAAUUGGUGCAGAUGUGCCAUUUGGCAAAUUUACUGUGUGAGAGAAAGGUGGUUGACUUUCUGACAAGAGGGAAGGGUGCGAUGUCAUGUGAUCGGUGGCACCACUAUCUAAAAUCCAAGAAUUGGUAAAAACAGAAUUGACAUGAGUCUCGGAUGCUGAAAACAAACCUGCUGCGUUUGCAAAAAUAUCAUUAUUACCAGAAGAAGAAUUCUGAUUCAUGGUAGAUAAUGCUUUGGCCAAUUUUUGAAGAUAUUCAGGCGAAAAACUCAUGAGGGAAUUGUCAUCAUUCAUGUUCGAAUUUUCUGCCAUAUUAGCCGCAGACUGUGGCUUGCUACGUGAGGCCCGAUUCUGUUGCGGCAGUCCGGCCUUGUUGUUUUUCCGCCUGCAGCGAUCCUCAGUGUGUCCGUUUUUGUCACAGAAUUUGCAGUAAUAUUUCAAAGUUCUGCAUUCUUCAAUUGUGUGACCAGAACGAUGGCAAUGAUCACAUGUUUUGGUAUUUUUGAUUCCGGAUGCCUUGCUCUGGACAUUCGCGGCAAUGGUGAAGUUCUCAGUGAGUUCUGAUGACAAUUGUCUCUGUCUCUGCUCUUGAAUCACCAGGGAAUACGCCUGUCGUACGUUGGGUAACGGUGUCAUCAUAAGGAUAUUUGACCUUACCCCUUUAUACGAUUCAUUUAGACCCAUAAGAAACUGCAUCAACCUGUCCUCCUGAAGUUGUUCCUGAUGUGCCUUGGCAUGAUUACAAGUGUAGGGAUCUCGAUAAUUUUCGAGUUCAUCCCAUAAGGCUUUGAGUUUGAUAUAAUAUGAGGCCACGGACAUAGAGCCUUGUGAGAUGGUUGCAAUAGAUUUCUGAAUUUGGAAUAUUGCCGGUGCAUUCUUUUGGGAAAAUUGAUCUUUGAGGUCUGACCAAACUUGGUAUGGUGUUUUGGCAUGAAUGACACCUUCUGCCAUAUCUGUUUCAACAGAAUGAGUAAGCCAAGAAAGUAUUAGGCUGUUGCAUUGAUUCCACAAUGCGAAUUCCGUUGGUUUUUCUUUUUGGGACGGGGCUUGUAGCGACCCAUCGAUGAACCCCAACUUGUUCUUCGCAGUAAGAGCGUGAAUCAUAGACUUACUCCAUGACUGAUAAUUUGCUCCAUUUAAUUUAACUGGUACAAGCAUGUGACCAGGUUGAUCUGAAUGAUGAACGUAAUAUGGAUGUGAAGGAUCCAUAUUACCAGCUUUUGAUGAUCCGUCUCCCAUUGUUGACUAUGGAAAAAAAAAAACGGAAGCUUCAAGAGCACCAGGAAAGGUGCUCUGAUACCAUGUGAAACAACCGUUGUACUCUAAAAGCUUAAGCUGUUAGAGAACGGUGUUUAAACAUUUUUAUAUUUAACAUGACGACAUCCUUGUAACAGGGAACAGUAUGCAAGAAAUCAUGGCCCUUAAACAAUUCUUACUCAAGAAAUUUUUAAUCAAGGAUCUGGGAAAACUUGGUUAUUUUUUGGGUAUAGAAUUUUCUCAUUCUAAAAAGGGUAUUUUUAUGUCCCAGCGCAAAUAUGCGCUAGAUAUUUUGGAAGAUUCUGGUCACACAGGUUCACGGCCGGAGAGCUUCCCAAUGGAACAAAAUGUUAAAUUAACACUCACAGAUGGAGAAAAAUUACAUGAUCCAAUGAGGUACAGACGAUUGAUCGGUCGGUUGAUCUAUUUAACGGUAACGAGACCGGAUAUUGUUUAUUCUGUGCGCACAUUAUCUCAAUACAUGCAUGAACCGAGAAAACCACAUUGGGAAGCAGCUAUUCGGGUUUUAAAGUAUAUUAAAAGUACUCCGGGGCAAGGUUUGUUGUUGCCGCGCGAAAAUAAUUUGAAGUUGACAGCCUUUUGUGACUCAGAUUGGGCAGGUUGUCGUACAACGCGACGUUCCAUUUCAGGUUAUUGCAUAUUUUUGGGAAGUUCAUUAAUCUCAUGGAAGUCAAAGAAGCAGACUAAUGUUUCCAGGUCUUCGGCAGAAGCAGAAUACAGAUCCAUGGCAAAUACAUGUCUUGAGUUGACUUGGAUCCAUUAUUUGCUUCGUGAUCUAAGAGUAAGUCAGACGGGGCCGGCAUCUUUGUUUUGUGAUAAUCAAGCAGCAUUACAUAUAGCAGCGAAUCCUGUUUUUCAUGAACGAACAAAACACAUCGAGAUAGAUUGUCACAUUGUUAGAGAGAAGUUGCAGUCAGGGAUGAUCAAACCACAGUAUGUCCCUACACGAUUACAGCUAGCAGAUAUCUUCACAAAGGCUUUGGGUCGUGAACAAUUUCAGUUCUUGAGANAAUGACUGAGAUUGAACGGGUCAUUUAAUGCGCGCCAGACCGUACGGCAGGGCAGUAUACGUAUGUCAAGAAAUACGCGGGAGGCUAUUGUAUAGGAGGGGCAUUUUGGCCAGGCGGCGGAAAAAGCGGACCGAAUCUGCAAAAAGGAAAAAGGUGGCCCGAUUUUGCAAAACCCCAAAAUAAGUGAAUUUUUUAUGCAAAUUGGCCAAAAUAAAAAUAUAAUUUUAAAACUAAACUUAUAAUAAAAUAAACAAAGAAUAGAAUAGAAAAUCACUUUAUGCUCCUAUAAAAACUGUCACAUGCAAUUAGCUUUUUAAGAAACUAUAUUUGCAUUCUUUUUUUCUUUUCUUUUUUUUGGUUUGAAAUGUGAAUUCAAACAUGAAUAUGUGUCAAAUACUAAAUUUGGACAUUUAUAUUUGCAUUCUACCGAAUCCGACGAUGUCAGAUUCGGUCGGAGUUUUCUAACCACUUUCGUCCCUCCUCCAUGUUUUUCUUCUUCUUUUUUUUUGAGUUAAUUUCUUCAAUGCCCUCUUAAAAUUUGAUAAUUUUUUAAAAAUUGUAAAAUAUUAUUAAUGCCCUUAUAUAUAUAAGGGUUUAAGGUUUAGGCUUUGGGUUUGAAAUUUAGAGGGGUAUUUAUAAUAUAUUUAUAUACUGAGAGGGAUAUGAAUGAUAAUUUAAAAUUUGAAAACUCACCUAUGAUAUUUUAAAAUUCUGGAGGAUUAUAUUUAUUGCCCUUUUUUAAAAAAUUCAAAAAAUGUUUGUUUAUAAGUCAUCCUUAAAAUGAAAGAAGUAUACAAGCUUAUCCCUCCACCCCAAAAAUUUUGAUGGGCAGGGAGAAAAAAUCCAGUUCACCACCGGUUUGAUGCACUUAGAAGUAAUUAAUCUGCGGGCUAUUUUUUUUUUUUUCCUUUGCAUUUGGCCCCAUCAUUUUUUUUUUCCACAAAUAGCCUCAUCAAUUUUAUAAUUAUAAUUUUGACCCUAUUCCCACCACACAAGCACCGCAUCAGUACCACGCGAACAGAGUGGGGGCUGAGUUUAGUGGUUAUAUUCACCCCGUGCUCAAGUAAUAUAAUACACUAAACACCGUGAAUGAAUUACCCUAUUCAACUUAUUCCACACCCUCCACCCCUGCUCGCAUGGCGUUUACGUGAUACCUGCAUGAUGUGGAUAGGGCCAAAAUUAUAAUUAUAAAAUUAAUGGAACUAUUUGUGAAAAUAAUUUUUUUGAAAAGGCCAAAUGCAAAAAAAAACUCUUAUUCUGUAGUUGUAAUUAGAGGGGUUUAACAAGCUGAGCACGAGCUAAUUCGUUAAAAUAUCGAGCCGAAAAAUUCAACUCAUAUUCGGCUCAUAUUUAUUAACAAACCGAAUAUGAGCUGACUGACGAACAAUAAUCUAAAAAUGAAUUUAAAAGAAUAUGUAUAGAAAAUAUUUUUUAAAAAAUUUUGCUCAUUAGAUUUUUAUAUAAUUAUUGGAACUUUAUAUAUAAAUGAGAUUUUUUUUAUAAUUGAGUUGAGCUUAGGUUGGACUAAAAAUUAAAUAAUAAAAAAUUAUAUUAUAUUAUAUAAUUAUUUAUUUAUAUAUAAAUAUAUAAUAUAUAAUAUAUAAAUAUAAGAUAGAUGUAUUAAAGCAAUUUUCGAAUCGAACACAAGCUCGCUCGCGAACAACAGCUGGAUUGCCAACCCUAGUUGUAAUAAUGUAAAGAUUUGAAUAUAGUAUCGGUUUAAUAUAUUUUAAUUUACUUGAAAUAAGUUAGAACUGAACAAGUUCCUAGAUGACAAGCCUAAAGGUUAUCUUAUCGAUGAUAUCGAUGAUGAUAUCGAUAUUGAUGAUAGCGACGAUAUUGAAAAAUAUAAAAAUAAAAAAAAGGAAUUGUGUAGUAUUUGGGACCUAGCUGCUGCUGUUGAAGCUCCAUCUACAAAUGGAUAAGACAGAAAUAUGUAAAGCCCUGGUAAGAUUCUUCGCUUUGCAUCAAAUUAAACCCUAGUUGUAAUAAUGUAAAGAUUUGAAUAUAGUAUUGAUUUGGACUUUUUUUGAAAAUGACCUUAUAAAAUUUUCUAAUUAGGUAAAUAACCCUAUAAAAAAUAAAAUUGGCAAACUAACCCUCAUCUUGCCAUGUAGGAGCCACGUCACACCACCUUUACGAAGGCGAUGAACGAUUCACCCCCUUUUUAAUUUUUUACAAAAGCGAGAAUUAUUUACUGACUUUUCUUAUUUACUGUUUCUUUCUAUAUUUCAUAUAUAAUUCUAACAACCACAUAAAAACUUUAACAAAUCAUAUAUAAUCUUAACAAUCUGAAAAUCGUAAUAAUCUAUCCAUACAAUCCUAACAAUCAAAUAAUCAAAUAAAAAUUAUAUCCUGGUUGAGGUAAUAGAAAAUUAUGGAGACGAUGAAUAAUUCGCCGUCUUCUUAAAGACGGUGAACUGUUCACCGCUUUUAAAAGAAAAUUUCACCCCAGCGCUGACUUGGCAAAAGGAAGGUUACUUUGCAAAAUAUUUUUUUAGUACGGGUAUGUAGCCAAUUAUAAUACUCAUUAGGGUUAUUUUGAAAAAAAAAGUCCUAUUGAUUUAAUAUGUUUGAAUCUAAUUGAUAUAAGUUAGAACUACACAAGUAAGCUCAAUUUUUCUAGUUGCUAGAGCUAAACUCAAAUUAGCUGUAAUUUCAACUGCAACAAUUUAAGAAAAAUACCUCAACCAUAAACUUAUCUUUUUUCUCACCAGUGAAAUAAAAUAUAUUUUUUUGCUGUGUUAAUUGGUUAUUUCACUGUCUCAUAUAAAAUGAUAAAAUUUAUAAAUACAAAAUUUCAAAAGCAUUCAACAAAAUAAAUUAUUUGUAACCACCAUAUUUCCUACUAGUGUAACCAAACAAGAUGUAUAAAGUUGUAACUACCACAUAUAAGUAUAACAUGCAUCUUUCACACACAAUCAAACAUUGCUUGCAAUUGACUUCUCGGACUACUAAGCCUUCUAAAUAUUUUAAUUAUAAAAAUAAGCAUAUAAAAUUUUUAUUUACAAAAUUAGGUUUAAACGGACUUUUUAAAAAUAAUAAAUCAUUCACCACUUUCACAUAACUUAAAUAUCUUCCACAUGCCAACUUUGAAAAAGUUAUAAUAUUAAAUUCUGAAAAUAAUUUUAAUAUGUUGAAGAAAGCAAUGAAUGAUUUGCACUAUUUAAAAAGCAGUAAUUUAUUGACCGCAUAUGCCUAGUUUUGUAAUAUUUUUUUUUGCCAAACUAUUUUUAUAAUUAUAAUAUUUUUAAAACCUGUUAAUUAAAAAAAUUAUUUUAUAUUGCAUGUAAAAUCGAAGAGUCCAACUACAAUGCUAACAAUAGUACUAAACACUUGUGCUACCAAGUUUUCUACCGUGAUCUAUCCCAUUGACCAUUUUCACCUUUUAAAUCAUACUAUUCAACCAACCACUCACUCAACCCUAGAGGACCGGUAUCAUUCUAACCGUACAUCCUUUCAUCCAAGAGCCAAAAACUUAACAACACCAAUGACUUGGUGCUAUUAAUAGUAUUCUAGUCUAGUUUUAAAAUGGAAUACUAAUUUCAAUUGGUGCAUUUCACUUUAGCUACUGCAGUUAAAAUUAAGGAUGUCUAACAGUUAGAACUACAUUCAAAUCAGCUAGAGCACUAACUACAGUAAUUGGUGAAGAAUCUAAUCACUCCACUUAACAAGAAAAUAAAGACACCUUCAUAAUAUGGUAAAAAAGAGAGAGAGAGAGUGUAGCUGCAGUAGUUGUAAUUGCAACAAAACUGGAAAAAUGGUGUAAUGUAACUAAUACAUUUUCAAUUGUAUUGCAUUUACUAUUACAUCUAACAAAGGAGGCUACAAAUCAAUCAAACUUAAAGAUGAGACAAUAAAACCAAAAUAUUUAAAGAUGCUAGUUGUUCUUUCAUUGACUUAUUUCUACAUUUUUGCCAUGAACAUAUAAAAAGUGAUAUUAUCUGUUUACAUCUUUCUAUUUAGUUGCUACAUAUUUCAAUAAUGUAAAUGCGUAACAAAGGCAUUCUCAGAUGGAUUGUCACGUCCGGAGAUUCUUUUUGAAAAUCUAUUUUAGAAAAAUCAGCAAGCAUGCAUAUAACCACACAGGAAAUAAUAAAAAAUAGAUGAUCACAUAAUACUAUUAAUCAAUGCUUAAGAAUCAACUAAACCAAUAACUUAAUCCACCGUUAUUAAUCAUCAUGAAUAAUCAGCAGGAAAUGAGUUAAACUGACCAAGAGAUCUGAAUCAAAGAACUAAUCCAACAAGAAUCGAAGACUAAACUAAGUACUAUUACAGAUUUUAAGUUGGCAUAUUUCGUGAAGUCGGAGUCUUGAAGGUUCAAAGAAGAAUAAACGAAGAUUGAAGACUUAGGCUUCGUUUGGUUUAGAGUUAAGUAAGAACUAGUUAUUCCAGGGAUAGAAUUAAGUUCAGGAUUAAGGUGGGGUUAAAGUAAUUUUGUGUUUGGUUGAGAAUUGAGUCUAGUCUAGAUAUAAGCAAAAUAGUGUUUGGUUAGAGUAAGUAAAGUAAGAAGGAUAAUGGAUAGUUAUUAAAAUUAUAUAUAAAAGGCCAUACCGGCCAUAUCGGCCAUUAAAAGGGUCACAAAAUCUAUAAUUUUAAUGGCCGAUAUGGUGCGUUUGCUCGUUUAACGGUAUAGAAGAGUUCAAAUCAACUAAAUUUUUUUUAGAAAAUUCUUUAAACUAUUUAAAAUAAGAUCUAGACUCUAGAUCUCAAAUAUAAAAAUUGUAUCAUCACUUUUUGAAGGAUAUUCAUUUCCAGCCAUUCAUUUUUCUGUUCACUUGAUGGACAAGAGAACAAUAUCGAAAAUGUGUGAAAUUUGAUUUCCAGAUAGUUUAAAUAGUUUAGAUCAUGUUUAACGGUGUCGAUCAUCAAUUUGGAAGCUCUAUGAUCUAAAACAAAUCAGUAGUAAACGGCUCGGUUUACUACCGAUAGUAUUCUAACAAAACUCUAUAUAUAUAUAUAUAUAUAUAUAUAUAUAGAGUCCGGCUACUAUACUUUUAUGAGUAAUAGCUCCCUUAUACUUAUAAGUUUUCGGCCCUUAGAUUUAUUCCAUUGAUCAUUUCCACCUAUUAGAUCAUACUAUUCAACCAACUACCCACUCAACCCUAGGGGACCACUACUAUUCUAAGUGGGGACCAUCAUCGUAUUAACCACACAUCCCAUCAAUCAACGGUUAAAAAUUUAUGAGUACAAGGAGGUCUAUACUCAUAAGAGUAUAGUAGCCCCAGCCUAUAUAUAUAUAUAUAUAUAUAUAUAUAUAUAUAUAUAUAUAUAUAUAGAGAGAGAGAGAGAGAGAGAGAGAGAGAGAGAGAGAGAGUUCGGCUACUAUACUCUUAUGAGUGCAAGUCCUUUUGUGCUCAUAAAUUUUCGAUCGUUAAAUCUACCACAUUGAUCAUUUUCACCCAUUAGAUCAUAUUAUUCAACCAACCACCCACUCAACCCUAAGAACCACUAUCAUCCUAACCACAUAUACUGUCAUCUAAUGGUUAAAAACUUAUGAGUACAAUGGAGCCUAUACUCAAUAGAGUAUAGUAGCCAAGCCUAUACACACACACACACACAAAAUGUAUAUGUAUAUAUAAAGGUUGCAUUAAGGUCCCUCGAACAUCCAGAAUUGUAAUUAAGUCCCCGCUAGCCCGCGUAAAAUGCAUAGUAGUACCUCUCCGAGCAAUUUCACGCAAUUUGGUGCAUGAAAUAUCACGUUAAUUACAGAAAUAUCCCUCAAUCUAAUUUUCUCUUUCUAACUUCCGAUUUGUGCCAUUUUGCACAGAAAUCACAGAAUUGCACGAAAUUGCAUUUGCGUGUUCCUCUCUCAAUCUGCUUUCAUUCGAGUUCUUCCGCUCAUCAAAACUCCAAGGUUUCUCACAUGAAAUGAUAGCCUCUUCAUGAUGUGCUCAAUUUUUGCAAAUUGCAAAAUGUGCAAUUUGAUCCCCUAAACUCCGAGUUUCUUACCAAGAACUCACCAGUGUAUUUUGCACAGUGACACCUUUCCCUGAAUUUUUAUGCAAUUCGGCACAUAAAAUAUCGCGCUUUCUAUUGAAAAACUCGUAUUUCCACAUUUGGCAUCUUUUUAUUUUCAUUUUAAACAGCGCUUUUGGCUCGCAGAAUCCGAAAACGAACCUCACCACGACUUCCGACACUGCUAGACCAUUAAAGUGGUGACUUCGUUUUGUCGGAAAUGGUUCCGAUUUGCGACCUUACCCCUAUCUCUUUCCAAUUCCCAUAUUUGAAUUCCAAAAUCCGAAUUAAUAUUUAAAUUUAGAAUUUCAAAUACUAGGUUUUUGAAUUUGAAUUUGCAGAUUUCUACAGUAAAACAUAACUAUUUCCCCUCUUUUAAUGGAUAACAGAGCCACUGCACCAGAUCACGAUGAGACCUAAAUACAAGCAGAAACAUAUAAGCAUUUUUCUUUGUUUUAAUGCUAAUACAUGGAUAUUUUGGAUAACAGUGUCAAAGUCAAUCCCAAACCUCCUCCUUUCCUGGUAAAUUUAUCCCAUUUAUGUGCAUCUAUUUCCAUCCACUAUUCAUUACGACCUCAGUUAGUACACAGUGACAUGAUUAGAGCGAUGUUUUCAGUAAGAAACAUCAUGAACUCGACCUAGGGAUGUAAUGUGGGCCGUGCCGGGCUGGCACGGCCCACAUUUUUCGGGCCACAUCGGGCCAAAGGUCGGCCCGGCCCGACCCGGUUUUUAAUCCGGGCCGUGCCGUGCCGGCCCGGUUUCAUGAAAUAGUAGGCCCGGCCCGGCCCCAUGGCCCGGCCAGCACGGGCCGUGCCGUGCCGGGCCGGGCUUCGUGCCAGCCUGCCAGGGGCGCCGGGCUUUUUUUUUUCUCCUUUCCACAGUUUUUUUUUUCAGAAUUUUAUUUUUCAGAAAAAAAAUAUUUUUAAUACUUUUUUUAUUAUUUGAGGAGAAAUUGAUGAAUUUGAAUGUAUGUAAUAGUAUUUAUAGAUAUAAAAAAAAUUUAAAAAUAUAUAUGAAUAUAUAUUUUACUUUUGACCAAAAUGCCAUCUUCUAACAUUUAAUUUUUGAAUGUUCGUGAGGGCAUUAGAUAAUUUUUGAUUCAAAACAUAUGAUUUUUUUUUAAUGUUAUUAUAACCCCACCACACUUUGUUUUUUAAAAAAUAAUAAAAAAAAAAUUGAAAAGGGAAAAAUACAACGCAUAAUAGCGUUGAGGGACCCACGUCCCAAGGCUCUACAAUCUGGCAGACACAUUGACAGUGAUCCGAAAAAUGGUUUAGCUAGGCCUAGUAGCAUGCUAAGCUAUCUAAUACUUAACUUAUUCGGCGUCGCCGCAGCGGGCCAUCCGGUGGGCCGUGCAUGCGGGCUGCGACGUACUUACGCCGGCACGGCCAACAGCCCCGAGACUGGCCGUUGCAGUGCCGGCCUACGGCCGCAGGCUCGCCGUCAUAGAACCGGGAUUAUGUCGGGCCGGCCCGCCAACGAUAUAAGUAGACCGUGAACCGAGCCAUGCCCGGACCGCUGUCGUGCAGGCCGGGCGGGCCACACCGGGGCCCUUUUACACCCCUAACUCGACCCAACAAAAAAAAAAAAACAAAUAUAUGACAUUCUAACAACAACAUGAGUUUAAAAAAAUAAAAUUUUUGAGUGAAACUUUUGCAAUAAUCCCUGCUUAAACCAAAAAACAAAGAAGAAAGAAAACAAAGGUCACAACAAAUCACAGCUUAGGACUACAAAUGCAUGUAAACAAAAUAUACUAUCCACACAAGGUUUAAAGUGCCGUGGCACGGGAGUGUGCCGCUGUCUGCUUGACACAAUACGACACCGGUAUGUUUUCGUGCCAACACGUGAUACACUUACGUGCCAAUAAAUACGCAUAACCUCCUACUAGUACAUUUUAGUACGAACUUAUUUUAAUUUUUUUGUUCCAAUAAACUCUUAUAAUCAUUAUUUUAAAGAUCUAAUCAAAUAAUUAUGAAUAUUUGCAAUGUAUAACGUACUAUACAAUUAACAUGCUUGUAAAAUUUUUUUGUAAGUAAAGUACAGCUAUACCUGAUACAGAAUAGAAAUUUUUACAUAUUAGAACUUUUAAAAUGCAAAGACAUAUUUCUUUCUUUCUUUUGAUCAUAUUACAGUCUUCUCUUUUAUAAAAUACAAAAAAAUAAUUUUAAAAUUUAUUUGAAAAAUUAUUUGAGAAAAGUAUUUGAAAAAAAUAUUUUUUAAUUAUUUUUUCAAAAUAUUAUUAGAUCUAUCAAAAAAACCUAAGCAAUAAAUUAUAUGACAAAUAAAUUAAAAUAAAUUUAAGUAUCAAUUGAUUUAGUUUAGCUUUUAAUUUUAUCAGUAUUUUUAAUUUUUAACGCAAAAAUAAAAUUUUAUAUUUGAUGUGCCUCAAAAUUUAUUUAUUGAGUUCGAUUUUGUUCUCUAAUUGGCAAAAAAUUUCACGAUGUGACAAAUUUUGAUAAAAUAAAUUGUGAAGGAAAAAUAAAUAUCUAUGGUGAAAGCAGAGAAAAAAUGGAUGUAUGGAUCGGAUAUGUAAAUUAAAAAUUUACCUAUAUAUUAAUAAACAAAAAAAAAUUAAAUUAUAAAUUUUUUAACUUAUCUAACAAAUAAAUUUUCGAUUUGCAAUGUCUUUAAAAGAUGUGGGAUACUCGAAUGUUUCUUGGUACCCCAAAGAACAAAACAAAAGAAAAAACCAAAAACCAAAAAAAAAAAGGCAAAAAAGCAAAAAGAAAACAACAAUACCGGCAUGGCACUGUGCCAUGGCACACUCCGCCGUAUCGCAUGAGACCGUGCGACACGGCGGACCGUGCAAUACGGCAGUGUGCCGCGGCAUGGAGGGGGGGGGGUCUCGUACCCCCCUGUACCGAUACGUGUCCGUGCCGGCUCGUGCCGUACGACACUUUAAUCCUUGAUCCACGCCCUUAAAUUAAUUUACAGGACAAGACCAAUCAAUAGAACUCAAUUCCUCCUAUUGCCCUCAUCUCAUAUAAGACUUUCUUGCCUGCUAUGAGAAGUGUGUUCCCUCAAAAUGUAACUUCUAUGGAAGCACUAGUAUACUGAAAUAGUAACAUAAGCAGUAAAGAAAAAGCUAUGUACCUUGCCAAAAUUUUCCCCUUUUUUUGUCCAAGAUUUGGUCAUCCAUUAUACAUCCGCAAUUCCGAGGGGUCAGCAAAGAAGAUAGACUGAUUGGGUAACCAAUGCGGCAUGAGACUCAGUAGAUCUCUUCGUAGUUUACAACUGUAGUUCUCCCAUGCGACAACAGCGAGCGAUAAGUCAUUUGAAUCAGUGAAAACUUUAGCUUCUUCAUAACAUGAACAACCUAAAGUAUUCUCAGCAAGCUCACGAUCGCAUGGUAAACAGAUUUCCAUGUCAGUGGAUGUCCUAAAUCGGAAAGACAGUUGUGGCGAUUCCGAGUUUUCGAUGGCUUCACUUCUUGCUGCAGCCAAUUCAGAGGCUUUCCAGUAGUAGAAUUGUAGCACCUGCUUGCAAAGACCAUAUCAGUUGUAAGCUAACAUAAACUCAGAAAUAUCAUGAGGAAUUUCGAAAGAGAACAUCUCUUCAAUGGAUGUUGACAAACUUUUAUUGCUUCAGUAACAAAAUGCUCUUAAUUGAACCUCGCGAGAAACCAAGUAUUGGAAAACACAAAAUGAAGUUCUUAGCAUAGCUGACUUCCGUUCAAAAUAGGUUUAGUAUUCACCGUGAAUGGUGAAUGAUUUCAAAGGAAACUGUUAGUUAACAAAACCUCCUUUUAUUCCAAAAUUAAUUAGAUGGACUUACUGUUCAAUUUGUCCAACGCCCAUUAUUUGAUGUUGGCCAUCACAAUAAAACUCUCAACGUCAAUUAGGAUAACCCCGAUAAGGUACUAAAAUUAGAUAUAUGAAGAACCACAAUGAUGAGGAAAGCUGAAAUGAAGUUAUGGAUUAAUGGCCACAUUACAAAAAUUACUCCUGCACUUUCUCCCCUAUCUCACUUACCUCAAGCAUCUUCAAUUGCUUCAAUUUGAACCUUGCAAUUUACUGUGUCAAAACGAUUCAAAAUUUUGGGAUGAUUGUUAAGGUUCAGAAAUUUGAACCUUGCAUUUUUACUUGUGUCAAAGCGAUUCAAAAAUUUACAGAGAAAAAAGAACGAAUUGAUCUUGUAGGAUUCCCAAGAAAUUCUUCGAUAGAGUUGAUCAAAUAUAGAAUCUGCUUUUGUGAUGUCAACGGAGUCUUUUGAGUACUUGUUCGAUAAGUCUUGACACAAGUAAUGAAUUUUUGUUCGACGUCUCUGCUUUCCUUUCGGUCAGCUGCCCCUCACAUCAUUUUGGAAGAGAUGAUGGAAGCAGGAGUUCAUUUUGGUCUGUAUAUGACGCCGAAAAUAGACCGAUUUGAUAUCACCCUUCAAUUCGAAUUAGCAAAAGCAAUGUCUUCUUGCAUAAUAUGGAUCACAGAAAUAAGACAGAUUCCCCUAUGUGUGCCUAAUGAAAUAGUACCACACAAAUCUAACAAUUUAUCCAACAAUCUACCGGUUUAUGUAGCUCCCGUAAUUGUACACAGGGUAGGGGGGCAGGGAUUAAUUGAGAUAGGAUUGAAAGAGCAAAGUGGCUUCAUUUUUAAUUCAGCCCGACUCAAACGGAUAAAACUUCUAAUCUAAUGGCGAUUACAACUGCAAUUUUAUAACAUUAGAGGAGGAAAAAUUGGAAGCAUUUUGGGUCUUUUGGGCUUUCCAAAGCAUAAAAAUUAGUUCUUUUAGUGACUAAAUUACCAAACUAAGCACACGUGCCCGUCUAUGCUAGCUUCUAGAAGAGCUUUUGUACUCUGAGAAGAAGCAGCCAGAUGUUUAGCAAUAACAAAGUCUAGAACUUCUGCCACCACAGAAAGUUGAUCGAGCUUUUGGACUCCACAGCCAAAACUCUAAUUUGAAGUUUUUGCUUCUCUUAUUGAAGAUAUUAAUGACGAAACCAUUGGUACUCCUUUAAACAGCUUCACAUAAGUAGUACCAUAUGUAGAAGCUCCAGCCAAGCCAAACAGGCUCUAAAUCGAGCAAUAAACCAAGACAAAUGUGAAAAGUAAAUUUCCCUGUAUAAGUUACCUGAAGUGCAUGCAAACUGUUGAUGAAUUUCAUAUCAAAAACCUCAUCUCCUCUAGCAAGUGUCAAUGGGUUAUUGAGCUGCUCAAAAGGUUCAAUUGAUUGAUCAGAUGAACUAUCCUUCAAAUCACUGGUCGUAAGGAAAGAAUACCCGAGAAACUGCACUCUGGCACAGCGGAUAUCAAACCCCGAUUUUUCAUUGGAAAACCAAUACAUAUUAUUGGAUGCAGGUGAAGGCAAGAAACAGUUAGGGUUAUUGAAAUUGUUGUUCGAUGAUGGUUGAUGAGAGAGGAGAGAGAGAAGUUUGGCAUCCUCAUCGUGAGCACUGUCACGGGUGAACCAAAGAGUCAGCGUGAGCCUUUCUCCUUCGAUUACCUGUUGAUUUUGGAGGUGGAUCAGAUUGUAAAACUUGGAUAUAGAAAGAAUACAAGAGCAAAUUGAAAUUCAGUGGUACCGCUUGCAUGUAUAUUCUUUUAAUGCAAAGAACUUCAGAAAGAACAUAUAUCAGAGCAAAUUGAAAUUCUAUGGCGGAAUGACAAUCUUACUAAAGGGAAGUUGUGCUCCCAAUUCCCCUGUAAAAAUAACAUUUCGAGUACAAUAGAAAAAGGUUUGAACUAAAUUAUGGCUUGCAAUUACAAUCUUACUAAAGUGACACUCUGCAUCAAGUACUGGCAAUGGAAUUCUAACUGCAGCCAACGAACUUUGUUUUUGCAGUUGCUUCUAUUGCUGAUAAACAGGUGCAGUUGCUUCUAUUGCUGAUAAACAGGAACAGUCGUUAAUCAAGUCCACCCAUCUUUCUUUCCGCCAACUUCAUUUUGGUUUUCUAAGUAUUAGAAGCGAUAUCUCUCAGCAUCUAUGUACGUGAACAUAUAUCAUACACACUAUAUUUACAUAUUUGAUAUUUUAUAAUGUGGUAUACAGCAAACCAAUCUGUCACUAUCAAAGAUGAACAGAGAUAACUACCUCAUCCACACAAUGGACAUUGCGACGGUCAGCUGUAUAGAUUACAACAUCCUGCGAGGACAAAAACAGAAAAACCAGUUUAUAGUACAGUUUUUUUUUUUUUUUUCUGUCUAACUAACAACAAGAAAUGCAAGUACAAUCCUUUUCCAGAGAUUACUAUUCUGAUUUUAGGGGUCUCAGACGGUCUGCCUGGCCCAAGCAGCCCAUUUAUGUCCUAUAAAGACUGAACUUGGAGAAAAGGUAUUAACACUUCCUUCUCUUCUUUUUUUCGCUUCCCUUAUUCUUAUAUUUUAUUUUUAUUUUUUUGGAGAGGGAAGCAAGGGAAGUAGCUAAAGAUAAAAUGCUUACACCAGCAAAUGGAACAACAGCAGAGGGUUCGCCAUCUUGAAAGUGAAAGAUUCCACCUUUAAAAUCCUUUCCAUGAUUAUUUAAAUAGCACACUGCCUUUAUCCAAAAGAACAAACAGCUGUUAGCAUAAAAAUAACUAGUGAAAAGCAGUUUCCAAACAUGGGAAUUAUAUAAAUUUCAUCAACAAACAACACAAGAAAGUCACUUCAUCUAUGGAACAGAAGCAGUGAUAUUGAAACGAUAAGGUUUUUGGCUUUUGCCCAUUAAGCUGCAGUCACAAUUAUGGCCAUUCCCCCAACUCCAUGUGCAAAUAAUAAACUAACAAAGAAAUAAGAAAAAACAUGUACUCAAAUGCAAGGAACGGGCCCAUACUUCCUAUAGCUGAUAGCAUGACUGAUACAUCCCUAAUUUAUUCAAGAAGUUCAGUAAAACAAAAGAGGGAUAGAAUCUAAUAAUCAGCAGUAUCAAUUAGUGUAUAGAAGGGGACUAGGAAAAGCCCUUUUAUAAAGCUAUUUCGGGUAAAAUGCAUGGACAGACCCUGCAGUACCCUAAAAUUGCAACUUGAUUCCUGAAGUUUCCACAUUAACACCUAGCCCCUGAACAUUCUAACAUUUUGAAAUUCCAUCCCAGAUCAGCACAAGAAAUUAGAUAUUUAUUGAGCUUUUUUUUCUGCAAAAUGAGAUUGUUACCAAUUUCAAACAAACUGAAACAUUCAGUUCCAACUGUUCAGAGAGAACUUAGUUCUUAGUACAUGAAAACUAAUUGUUACAAAACCUAUGUGAAAUUUUAUAGUUAAAAAACUCAGGAUGAUGCUACAAGAAGGUUUGUUUUUUAAAUAAGGGUGUAAAAUGGACAUUUUGCUACAAAAAUAAGAUUGUUCUUUUUCUUUUAUUAUCGCAUUCAUGGAGUUGCAAUAUAUAAGAAAGUCCAGAGACGAAGCAUUUAAGUUGAAAUCUCAGAGACCAAGUCACAAAUAACGGGAAACUAUAGGACUAUCUAUAUCAGUAAUGUUCAUCUAUUUGUUAUGGUGCAGCACCAAGAAUUGAUAGCUGAGUCAUGAAAGUUGGUUAAAUAACACACCUAAAUUUAGAAAGGUAUCAUGAUACAUGAAUGGAAAAUUCAAUCAUCAUAUAUAUAUAUAUAUAAUUUUGGAAGCAUUGUUCCAAGUGAACCAUACGCUGCCACGUGGCACACUUACAUAGGAAGUUCCAAUAUGCCACGUGGCGCAUAUAUUAUCAUAACAAUACAAAUAUUAUACUAAUCAUAUAUUAUAUUUUACAAAUAUUAUUUAUAUAAAUAUUUAAGUAAUUAGAAGAAAUCAUAACUGUGAGAUCCCUGGUAUUUGACUAUGGAGGCUUGUCGACAGCUCUGGAGAGUGUCGGGACAAGUUCGAGUCGCGUUGGCGUCAAAUAGACACAAAACGGACUCCGUACGACGCGAGGGCAGCCUUCAGCGAAGAAAUCUACAAAAUAGCAGAUUUUCCUGCUUGCUGUACCUGUACAGCCAGCGAGGUGUACCAGUACACUAUACUGGUUGAGCACGUACUGCUCUCGGGUUGGCCUCCUGUACCGGUACGCAAUCCCGUGUACCGGUACACCAGGGUAGGUGAGAGGGUGUUUUGGUCUUUUUCUACCUCGUUCGUAUCACCCUCCUCUCCCCAGCUUAUUUACAUGUAGAGUGAGGCUGAGAGAGAGAGUUUUGCUCUUGGUUUCCUCCCUCUCUCUCUCUCUAGAGCCGAUUGUGGGCAAGGUGGAGCUCGGGUGGAGUUUCGUCGCCGACGUGGUGCCGCGGAGCCGUUCGAGCGCACGUUGUGUCGUCUUGGUGCUGUGAGGAGCUCGGGCGAGCGUGGAUUUCCAUCGUCCUCGACAUUGCGCCGACUCUUGAGGAUCUAUCGAGGUGAGUGCUCUAUGGAAUUGCUGCGCAUACUUCGGGUAUCAUUAAUUCGAGCUUAAGUGCUGAUUCGCAGGAUCUUGUCGUCGACUGUUAGUAUUUCAGCUCGUUCUCGACGUAGGAGCAUCGGAUUGCGACGAGACUUGGUUCGUUGGAUUCGGGACUUCGAGAGGAAUCCACGAAGCCCUUACUUGCGAAUUUUGGUGAAGGUUAGCUUGGUCGAAAUCCUUCUCUUCUCUGCUGCUGUGGAUUUUGGACUGAAUUGAGGAUUUUUGGUGUUUUUAGUUUGGAGUUAGCUCGAUUUCGAGACUCGGGUGUUUUUGGUCGAUCCAGCAGGUGGUGUCGCAACUGAGGGGGUUCCGUGCUGCCAGGGAUUAGCGUGCGAGGUGGGUUACAUCGGUUUUGACUCCUAAGUUCAUAAUCGUCGACAUGUAUAGAUCUCGAUUUUUGAUAAUCUAUUCUAGUUCGAAUUCAUGGAUUAUAUGAUAGAUUGCAAAUCUGAAUUUGGAGCAUGUGGUAAUAAAUUAAGUAGGUUAUACAUGUUGGACUUGAAAAUUGAAUUAGGAGAAAACCUGCGAUUUGGACCUGUCACCUGUUUAAACUGCCUGAUUUAGCUCUAGGAGCCGUUAUAAAAUUGUACUGUCGCAGUAUCCUCAAGACAAGUACUCCAGGUAGUUUAGAAUACAUUUACGCUCGUGCUGGUAUGCCGAGUGAAUUUUUACAGGGUCGUUCAGGUUGUUCCGGACUGUUGGGUGCCGUCAGAGUUGACAGUGGACCCGUAUCGCCUUUUUGGCGUCAGAUUGUGUCGAGAGCACGUUACCUGUUGGUUGUUAGACCAGUUUCAGUCAGUUACUUGACUUUGGCUAUUGGGAGCCUGAUUGAGCUCGACAGAGAUACGCUGCAUACUCGGUUGGGUAGCGCCCACGAGUGCCACUCCGGAAACGGGCUUUGUGCUUUCGCAUUGGUGUCGCUCAUGCCAGUUGGACUUGCUCUCCACGGACCAGUUAGUGUGGAGGUAGCUGGACAGUCGCAACGGGGCAGGGACGGGUGUAUUCACAGUCCUGGGGACGGGUAUGCUUACAGUCCCGAUUGGAUUGGGUCAGAUUUGACAUUUCCUACAGUUGGUUAGCGUAGAGCAUGAUAGUGUAGUGAUCGAUAGCAGUAGAGUGUACUUCCUGCUUUUCCUACUAUCCUUGCUCCCUUCUGUAAACUUAGUGGGUGACCGAUGUUGGUUUGGACAGUACCCACUGAGGACUACUUGUUUUUACAGUAGUUCUCACGCCCAGUUGUUACUCUUGUUUUGCAGAGCCACAGGUUUCGUCUGCUGCGCCUUUCGCGGAUCAGGAUCGAGGCAAAGGUGUCGCGAGUUAGAGCCCUACCCGACUGACAGAGCUAGUGGCACCUCUGCUGCAGGUAGAUGUUUUGUCUGAGUUUAUGUACAUAGCUUACUUAACUCGCCAGUGUGAGUAACUCUGUAUUUUGGAUUUGGAACUAUGUAUAUGAAACUCUGUUUGUCUAUUUGAGCAGCUCUAUACUACUAUUUGUAGUAUUGUAUAUCUACAGGUACUUUUGACGCUUCGUAUACAGGGAAAAGUCCUUUAUAUACGGCGGAUUUGUCGGCGUGCCCAGGGAACGAGACAUCCGGGGCGUGACGAUAACCAUACAUACCAAACUAUUUUGAUAUUGUACAACUUGAUCUUCUUUUUUAUUUUUUUUUUCCUUAUAUAUAAUAGCUUUACUUAUUUUUAAAAAAAUAAAAUAAUUAAAAAUAAUAAUUGUUAACUAAUGGUGCCACUAAUUUUUAAGUCAGUUUUAUUUUCACAUUCCUCCUUUUUAAAAAACCAAAUAUUAGUAUUAAAAUAUGUUUCAGAUAUUUCUUCAUUUCACAUUUUCUUCUAUACUCUAUUCUAUGGGUAUUAAAAGUCUUCUUUUUUUUCCCCAAUCUACAAGGACUUCCUCUUAUUAACGUCUAGCUUCCUCCAAUAUCGCCGAAGAUGGCGUUGCCACCGCCGUCGCCAACGUUUCCGCGACCUCCGCCCUCACUCACCGACUCCAGUAAUUUCUAUUUUGCUUAAUUUAAAGGGUACAAAAUUAAUAAAAUUGAUUAAUUCUUGAGCCUAUUCAACUUCCACAAUUAAUACUCUUGAUUUCAUUGUGUUCUAGGUUUUUUUUUACAAAUAUGAUGAAUUUCCUCUUAUACUUGCACAAUUUACAAAUGAUGCCGGUACCACAUCUCCCGCCACCCUCGCCGCCCACCUCGGCCAUCAACCAUGUUUGGGUUUUUGUUUUUUUUUUCUUCUUAACUGCACAAUCGUUACAUUUUUUUUUCUUUUUCCUUCGAUUGUGAGGCCUAUUCAACUUUCGCAGUUAAUACCUAAAACGUUACAAAUCUUUACUUUAAAAAUUAUAAUUCAAUGAUUUAUUACAAGUACAUGGCACUAUUUUCUCACUGUUAUCAACUAUAUGUAUAAUAGGUGGAGUCAGAUUUAUUUUCCACCUUUAUACACCAUCUUUCUACAGGAGGCAAAUUUAUUUCAAAAUUCGAAAAUAGUCAUGCGUAAUAAUUUGGUCGGUUAGUAAUGUAUAUCUGAACUUUCUUUUUCAGGAUACAUACCAGUAGCUUGGGAGUUCAUCAUAGUAUUGGAAUUUUCUGAGAGCAUAACUAUUUGCCCCUACCCCAAGAAAUACUCGAUAAUUACUUUUGGGAGGUAUGUUUGAUAUAUAUAUAUUUAAAUUUUUGGUUGAUUUGCUGAAAAUAAUUGAUAGAUAUACAUCAUUAAUUAUUCAUAAUAACAAGCACUUUCCAGUUUAAAGGAAUCAUAAUAUGAAUCAUGCUACAAAUGUUCUAAAAACUUACUUUCUAAAUUUAGUCACGGCAAAUCCUUCAAAAUAUAACUUUACAGAAUUAGUCAUAAAGGAUUUGAGAUAAGGUUAAUUUUCUUCACCAUUUCAAUAUUGAAUAUUUAAAAAAAUAUAAAUAAUAAUUAUGUUAAAUAUCUAAUGGAUUUGAACCUUCUACUUUUUCAUAUUAGAACCUUUACCUUUCAAAAAACCCUACAACUGAAGACCAUUUAAAUUGAUCAUUUUGGAUUUUAACCUUAUACUUCUUUAUUUUAAAAGCUUUUCAUUAUGUACAUGUGCACCAUGACAGAAUCCUUUUAGAAAUUGAUGUUUUCAUAUCUAGAUUACGCUUAAGGGAUCGAAAGAAAUUUCAAUUGUAAAAUAGCUCUAUUAAAAANACCUAAAACUAAGCCUCCGUUUGGUUCAGAGUUAAGGAAAAAGUAGCUAUUCCAGGGAUAGGGUUAAGUUUAGGGUUAAAGUGGGGUUAAAAUUUUUUUGUGUUUGGGUGGGGGUUGGAGUUAGUCUAGAAUAAUGAAAAAUAGUGUUUGGUUGGAGUAGGUGGGAUAAGAAGAUAAUGAUUGAUAAAGAAGGAUAAUGAUUGGUUGGAGUAGGUGUGAUAAGAAAGAUAGUAGGUUAUUAUGAAUAGAAAAUAGUGUUUGGUUGGAGUUUGGUGGGGUUAGGUGGGGUUAGCUAACCCGGGAUAAUUUAUUUGAGGUGGGGUUAGCUAACCCCACGUAUUUUUUGGGGUGUUUGGGGAUAAAAUGGGGGUUAAGGGGUUAUUCCACCCCUUAACCCCCAACCAAACAAGGGCUAAGAGUUAGAAGUCAAGUCUUAUAAGUUCUUUUCGCUUAUCAUGUUAUUAUUUACAACUUCAUGUUUAAGUAGAGUUGGCAUGUUCAUUCCUGCACAAUAUCUAUUUAAAUAGCUUUAACACGUCUAAAAUAUUACAAUUCACUUUUUUUUUCCUCUUACCUAUUCUUCAUUAUGUGCAUCACCUCUUAAAGACUUUUUUUCUUAUGGAACAAUUAAGCAUCUUAGAAUAGAUUUAUAUUCUUUCCUAAAAACUUGCUAAUUUUGAAGAUUUUUCUUGCUCCAAAUGUAACAUCAGAUUUCAUGAAAAGAUAAAUAUACUUUAAAAUAUCAAGAUAAAACUCCAUGCAUGCACCAGUUAACUUGCUUUAACAUCACAUCUCUCAAUUAUUAAGUUAAAACUCCGUGCAUGCACGGGUUAACUUGCUUGUUGAAAAGAAAACUCAGAAUAUCCGGUUCGUGCCAGAAGCCAUCAGAAUAUCAGACUACUCUAAAAGUUCAAAUAAUAUUCUUUCUUUUGCAAACAAAUAGAAUACAACUAUAAAAAGAACUAAUAUGCAACAUUAUCCACUCAUAUAGAAUAAAAAAAAAACCAUGAAAUUAGCAUUAUAAUUAAUCGCCUGCAAAUAAAUAGAAAAUAACUUUAGAAUAAGAUCAUGUUAAAUAUUAACAAUAGAUACAGACAAGGAACACAUGACCAGAAGAUAACGUAACCAAGAAAUUGUAAUAUGCAACAUGAUAUGCAGUGGAAUUUUGUCUAUUCCAUGACUCGGACGUCCUAAUAACAUAAACAAUGGAAUUAUGUCAGCUUCUACAGAAUGCUUAAAGAGGACAGCAUAAAAAAUAAUUUAUAAAACGGAAAUUAUCAAAUGGAAUAAUGCUAACUUUUGCACAUUCAGAGGUUCUAAAAACACGGGCAUAUGAAAGCCACUUAUAAUGCUAUUUAUAAUCAUAUAAGAAAAUUCAGAUUUUGCAGGAUUAUGUAUGUAGAUACUAGAUAGAUAAUUUUGCAGGGUGAACAUCUCUUAAAUAUUAUGAUGCGGAACACUUUACCGCAAAAUCUCUCUGUUUAAGAUAAGGCUUAUUAUCAUCACUGUGCCAUCCAAUAGAUGCUCCUUUACACCAACUGCAUCCCAAACAACUAUCAUUUAUCAGAGUUAGGAAGAGUAUGUUAGCUCAUAUUUCUCUAUUAAUCUCAAUUAAGCCAACAUCAAGGUUGAAAAUAGCAGAUAGCGGAUACAUAGCGUUUGGGGUGUCUCGUAACGGAAAACGGAUAGAGGGCAUCAUUGCGGCACUACAAACUCAUAGCAGUUUCACAAAAAACUACUUUAUAUGCCUAUAUUCCUUAUAGAAAAUACAUAUGAUUUUAAAGAGAAAGAAAAACAACUAGCCAUAACCUUUUUCUAGUAUUGCAAGUCUAUACAUAAUUUUAUGUCAUUAUAUGGAAGUCUAACUUCAAAAAUAUUAUGAUUUAGCAAACCAAAAAGACAAAAAAUAGAAACUCUAUAGUCUAUUUACAGAUUUUUGAUCAUAUAUUUACCUUCAAAACCCUAUCUGAUAAGAGAUUUUAACGCGUUUGCAAUUUUCAAGCUUUUGGGCCUGUAGUGCCCGCCUUAAUCCCGCUUUAUAGCGCCCACUUUAGCGGCCCAACGCCUCUAAAGCGGUUGCUACUAACCCACUCCGCUAAAUCCCACUUUCAAUGUUAUGGCGUAGUGGUAGUAUAUUAAUUCUGCUAUAGUGGCCGCCAUAGCGGGCAUAACAGCCUAGCCAAUAUAAAAGCAAAACAGUGUGAAUGCACCUUCUAAAUGGUCAAUAGAUCAGAUACGAGGCAACAAUAUCCGUUUGUAUGCAACAGGUGUACUCGAAGAUUGAACCAAAUGCAAAGCAAUCAAAUAGAAACAAACCACUUCCUAUCAUUCCAAGUGAUAAAUAGAUACACCACGAUGUAUUAUUAUUGCAAAAACAUUCAUCUGAUGAAAAAUAACUCAAAAUACAAAAUAUUUCCCAAAAAAAUCAUGAAUUAAAGGAAAAAUUAGAAACUUAUAAGUUCAUUCCUCUAAUUAGCGCUAACACUGUUUAGAGAUCAAAGAUUAGAAUAUGACACUAUCCUAUCAAGGACAAAUUACAAUUUUGUACUAUAAAACAAAAGGCAAAUUGUAACAUAAGCCCUCAACCUUUCGUAUCACCGAAAUUGAUCCCCGCCCUUUAUUUUUUUUUUUUUCUGUUUUACGAUUAGUUUUCGAUUUUAUAUUAAAAACAAAGGGUGAAUUGCAAAAUAGGCCUUCAACCUUUUCUUAAUCUUCCACAUUGGUCCUAAACAUUAAUUUCAUUUAAAGUCGUCAGCUUACAAUUUGGUUGUUAACCUCUACUUCUAGUAACAAUCUUAGUCCUUCCAACAAAUUCAUCCAUGCCGCAAAAGCAAUGGUCAUGUGGACAAGGCCAUUUACCUAUUUUAUCCAAAAGAUUAGUCUAAGAAAGCAUUCUAGCAAUAGUCUUAGAUAUCAAAAGAACCAAUGUUAAGCGUACUAACCAAAGAGGUAACUAAAAGAGACAACAAACAAGAACUUAUACCAUUAUAUAGCGGAUGUGGGAAUGGAACACAUGAUCUCUUGGAACUCAUGCGGCUUAGGAUGGAUCUUCGUACCACGUAACUAAAAUAUUGUUCUAACAAUUCUAAAUGGAGAAAUUCUUAAGCAUUGAAGAAAUUAGAGUGCGAUAAGGCAUGGAUUAGGGAUCUAAUAGUGCUAAAUUUGAAAGGUUAAGGAUCUAAACACGAAAUAUCUAGAGCAAUCUAUUACAAUAUACUAAAGCCUGUGGAGCAACCUAUAAAUGUUGACACAUAUACUAAAAUUGGACAAAAUUACCUCAGUGAAUUAUGGAAAUUACAUAAUACAUUUUAACAUAAGUUGUUUUUAUAGGGGCUUUUUAGUAUUUUCAAUCAUAAAAGGAAUUUCCACAUCUUUUCAAUUAUGCCUACUCUCUCUCUCUCACUCAUUGAGAGAUGCGACCCCUGUUUCUCUAUACACCCAUCCGUCCCUCCCUCCUUCUCUCCCUUACCAAGAGAUGUGCCCUAUGUUUCUUUGUGUGCCCCCAUCUCUCUCUUUUAUCUCCCUCUCUCCCUCUCUCACACCAAGAGAUAUGCCCUCUAUUUCUUUGUGUGCCCCCAUCUCUCUCUUUUCUCUUUCUCUCUCUUCCCCUACCUUCCUCCCCCGCACCUCAUCCCCAUCCCCAUCCCCCUCCCCCUCCUCGAGAUAUGCGCCCUCUAUUUUUUUUUGUGCCCCUAUCUCUCUCUUUUCUCUUUCUCUCUUUUCUCCUCCCUUCCUCUCGAUUGUUUCUUUGUAUGCCCCUUCCUCUUCCUCUGUCGACAGCAGGAUGGUAAAGGUGGCGAUAUGCUGCUGCCCACCCUUCUCCAUUUUAGAUGCUGGCCUGCCCCGCACCGCCUCUACGCUGCGGCCCAGCGCGGGUCUUCCUCUCUCUCUCCCUCUCUCUCUCUCUCUCUCUCUCUGGCUCGCUCGCUCGCUUGCUCGCUUAAAAUUGUUGUUUUUUACUAUUCUCUAUGAUGGUCAACCAUACAACAAGAGUCAACAAUAGUCAACUUGAUAGUUGGGUUAAGCAAGGUGCUCUGCUUAUGGAUUUAAACUUUGGCACGUGUUGUUUUAACCUUUUUGACAGUUUUUUCUUUUUGACACCUGUAAGUUUUGUUUAUAAACCUAUAUAGAUAGUAACUACUACCUUUUUUAUAGUUAUCUCUGGUAACUUUUUCUUCCUCCAUUAGGAAUGUUAUUGUUCUAAAUUCUGCUUUUUUUUUCGUUUAUUCUCUAUUUUGCAUGUUUGUUGAUUUAUUUUCUUUAGUUAAUGAACUUUUAGAAAGUGAAGGAUUAGAAACCAGCAAAAGUUAUCUUUUAAGGAAAGUAAAAUUAUGCAUUAAAAAGUAAAAUUAUGGGACAAUUGCUUAUAUACCCCUAAAAAGUUUCCGACUUUCCGAUUUACCUCUCUUAGAAGGCAAAUAUUGAAAAUACUCUUUUUACGUUCCAACCUAUUUUUAAUAUACCCCUAAAGUUAAAAUCUGUUAAUUAACUACGUUAUCUCUAUAAAAUUACUAUUUUGCCCUUUCAAAUAUACCCUUCCACCAUCACUGACUUUCUUAUUUGCCCUUAAAGUCAGGGGCACAAAAAUUAUUUUGACUUUUGGUCUUUUCCAAUAUACCCCUCUACCGUCACCAAUAUUUCUUAAUUGCCCUUAAGUUAAGGGCAAAAUUGGCAUUUUAAUUUUUUUUUAACUGUUGUAGAUAUUUAACUCACGUUUAACCCAAGUUAACUUAACAAGAGGUAACUGCGGGGGUAUUUUGUAAUAACGAUGGAACAUAUAAGAGAUAUUUUAGAAAGAAAAAAAAAAGUAGGGGUAAAUCGGAUAUUUUCAAACGUAUGAGGGGUAUAUAGGCAAUUAUCCCUAAAAUUAUGCAUUAAAAAGGUCAACUUUUACAAAACUGCAUAUAGUGACUUGGUCUUUUUUUAAUAGCUAUAUGUGAUAGCUUUUUCUUCCCCUACAAGUAUGUUAUUAUUCUAAAAAAAUGCUCUUUUUUAGUAGCUUUUUUAAAUUGUAUGGAAUUUUCAAAACUAAACAACUAAAAAAUUAGUAAAAAUUUUCUUUUAAGGAAAGAAGAUUUAUGCAUUAGCAUGUCAUGCUUGGAUCAAUUUUUAUACAGUAACUUUUGCCUUUUUUUACAACUACCACUGAUAGAUAUUUCUUCAAUCAAGUAUGAUAUUAUCCUAAAUUCUGCUCCUUUUAGUAUGAUUUUUAAAUUGCAUGUGCUGUUGUUGUAUUCUCUUUUGGUUUUUUAUCUUUUUCCCAUCAUUGCUUAAGGGGCUGUUUGGUUCUUUGGAAAAGUAUAAAAAAUAAAUUUCGAAUGAAUGUUUUCCAUGGAAAACCUCUUUUUCAGUUUUUCAAUCAUUUGGUUCCAAAAAAACUAGCUUAUUUGGAAAAGCUUUUUUCAGAUUUCAUGAAAAACUAGUGUUUUCGUUUUACGGAUUUUUUUAAGGAAAAUGAAAACACUGGUUUUCCAUAAAAUUUGGAAAAGAAAAAGAACUUUCCAAAAAAGUUAGUUUUUCGUUGAACCAAAUGGACAAAAAACUAAAAAAGAAGUUUUUCACGAAUAUGUUUUUUCAUGGAAAAAAUUUUUUCUUGGAAAACUCUUUUCCACACUUUUCUGAGGAACCAAACAGUCCCUUAUUUAACAUAACACAUCAUUAUAUGAAGUUAAAGUUUUAUCGUAAAAUGGUUGUAAGUUACCAAUUUUAUUUUUAGAUUUUUUAGCUACACCUUACACGCAGAAGCUUUAUGUAUUUCAUUUUCUGCAAUAGUCUGUUGCUUUCUGAAUGAAGAUGAAUUUUGGCUCAAAUCAAGGCAUGGGAUUUUCAUAAAGCAGGAUAAAUAAAAUGUUAAUUUCUUAAAUAUACGGUGGUUUGUUGAUCUCUGAUAUAUGGUUUUCUCGCUCCCCGCAAUUUGCAGGAUGGGAGUGAGGAAAAGUAGAUUUGAGGUGAUAAUUUAUUUGAGUUGUAGAGGCUGGCUUUGAAAUUUCAUGUAGCGUGACAUGUGUUAUUUCCUAUUUGACUCUAAAAUUAACUAAAUGCAAUAAAAACUUACAAAGCCUAUCCAACACACCCGCUACAAAGUGCGGACACAUUGCUAAUUAGGCCUAAAGCAAGAAGUAUGGAAGGGUUAGGGUUCACGGAACUAAUUAGGGUAGUGAACGAUGAGAGGGCGACGUUGUGGGUGAAGAGGGAUUCAAUGGUGUUGGAACAUGUAUGAAGUUUUAGAAAAGUUGAGAGUAUCUUUUCCUUGCAGUGUUUAUGAACUUCAGUCUAAAUUUUUCUUUUUGUUAAAAAACUUCUAUUUUUAUGCAAAACUCUCUGUUCAUGGAUAGUAGAAUUGGAAUUAUAUAACAAUUUCCUAGCAAGUUUUGUUAAUUUAUUUUUUUAAGGAGAUCUACAUUCGGAGAUUAGUUAUGCGGGAGAAUAUUGAUUCUGUUUCGCACUUUUCAUGAACCAAACAAGAGGAAUGGGAGUGAUCCAUUUCGACUCCCAUUCCAAUUGCGAAGCAGAUGUUUAAGGAUAGUUGGUCUUUCCAUUUCCCGUUCCAAUGUAAACCAAUUAUGUUUCCUAUUUCCUUUCCAUUCUCAAACCAAACAAGCCUUAUAGAACAUGUUUGGAUGUCGGAAUAAGAUAACCAAUGAUAACUUAUUCAGUAUGAAAAUUUUCUCAUGCGAUUGAAGCUGGGAGUUCGAUUUUUGCUCCUUGAAAGAUCUUGGCAUCCGUGAUUUGGUAGCAUAGCAUAUUUCAAAAAGGCCAAAUACGAUAUCAUUGCUAUACUCUUUAUCUACCAAAUACUACGCGAUUCGUGCUUCUUGAGAAAAUCAAAGAGAUAUCUCGACCAACAUAUCUAUACAUCCACACAAGCCCAAAGGGUUAGGGUUAGGGUUAGGGGGACCUGAUGAGGGCGGUGAACUCGACGAAGAGGGCGAAGUCGCAGGCGAAGAGGGACUCGACGGUGUCGCGGAGGCGGUCGCGGACGGGGAGGAAGGGGAGGAGGAGGUGGGCGCAGUCGGUGGCGGCCAGGUGGAGGAGGGUGGUAGACAGCACGCCCGGCCGGUACCCCACGGCGCCGCAGCUCCGGUGGAUGAACUCCAGCUCCUGCCGCGCGCCCCACCACCACAACCAUUCAGUAAGAAAUCAAGAAUUAAUCAAGAAGAAGAAAAGCGAACGAGAGAGAGAGAGAGAGGGUGCGAACCUUGCAGAGAUCGCGGGAGACGAACCCGCGGAGGAUGUGACGGCCGCCACGCUCCGCAUCCGCCGCCGCCGCCGCCGCCAUGGCCGUCGCCACCUGGAGCUCGCGUUGCCUCGUGUGUACGGACGACGGGGAGGGGAAAUAGCAACGGCACGCGCACCACAAUUCCACGUGCCAAGAAGGCUUAAUUUGGUAUUGAAACCUAUCCAACGCCAUUACAUACGAUUCCACGUUCCAAGAAAGCUUAGUUUGAUAUUAAAGUCUAUCCAACGUUAUUAGAUAAAUAGAGUUGAAAAAAAAGUAUAUAGGAAAAUACUUCUGCGUUCUCUAAUGGGAUUGCAGAUACUAAGUUCAAUCGAACGCUGUUAAAUAAAAUUGAGUUAGAAAAAAAUAUAUUGGGAUACUCAUCGCUGUGUAUUACGUACGAAAAUAAACAGAUAUUUUUUUAUCGUCCUUUCUCACCGCACGUAAUGCAAUCUUCCCACAAUUCCAAACGAAAAAUCAUAAACGUAAUCUUUUGCAAUCCCAAACAAAGUCAUAAUAGUCGGUGUUUUGGUCUAGAUUCUAGAACGUGAUUUUAGUAUGUUAACUUAUAUUUCAUAAUCUUAUUCCAAUUUUUAGAGCCUGUUUUCUAAAUUUAGAGUUCCAAAAUCACAAACUGCUAAAUCUGCUAUCUAAAAUCUAAUACUAAUUUAGGAUUAAAUGUUAAAUUAAGUUUAUGUCUUGGAUUCAAAUUUAAAUUUUAAAAAUUUAUGAUAUAAGAUCUAAAAUUUUAAUUUCAAGUUUUAAAUUUUAAAUUUUAAAAUUGAAAUUUUAGAAUUUUGAAUAAAAUUUUAAAUUUUCAAAUUAUAAAUUAAUUAAUUCUAAAUUCUAAAUUUUAAAAUUUUAAAGUUUAAUUUCUAAUUUUUAAUUUUUAAAUUUCAUAUUUUAAUGUUUGAAUUUCAAAUUUCAAAUNAAUCUGCAAAAACGAAAAAGGUGAUCCGAUUUUGCAAAAGCCCAAAAUAAGUGAAUUUUUUAUGCAAAAAGGCCUAUUAUAUUUGAAUUUAAAUUUUUUAAUUUUAAAUUUUAAAUUUUAAAUUUAAAUAUCAAAUUUUAAUUUAAAAUUUAAAAUUUAAAAUUUAAAUAUCAAAUUUAAAAUUUUAAAAUUCCACAUUCGCAUUCAGUAGUUCAAAAAAUUCUCUAGUAAAAAUAUACAAAACUUACUGAAAUUAUAAGAUCAUUUUAACUUGGCUGUCGAACCUUGCAAAAUUUUAAUUUUAUUAUCAAAUCCUUUCAAUUUGUCUGAUUUGAGUGAGUAAACGAUACUUUUAUUUCAAAAUUUAAUCUAAUUAUUUUAUUUAGUAAAUUUAUAACUGUGAAAAUUGCAUAAAAUAUACUAACUAAACAAAACAUGUAAGGGAAUGCUAUGUAUUUUUAUUAACUAGUUAUAGUGGACGUGCAAUGCACAUAACAUUUAAUUAAAUUAAAUUUAUAUUUAUAUAUAAUACCCCUUGGUUAAGUUGUUGGGGGGGGGGGGGGGGGGUAUUUUUGUUGAUGGCUAUCCAUCCCACCAACUCAACCUAUAAUAUAUAGGUAUCUAUUGUAGAGAGAUAAUUAAUUAUCUCGUAUCAUCUUAGACAUUGAUCGUGGCUUGGUGGAGAUCGCGGAUUGAGUUCGGAUCGACAAGUCGCGUCGGGCGAGGCCGAGCAUGCGCGAAAAUUUCUUCUCCUAUCGAUUUCUCGCUAUUCUGAAUUAGCUUUUGAGGUGGGUUUAUCAUCGGAUUUAUACUCCUAUAGUCCCGUUGGUCGACAUAUAUAAUUAGUGUAUAUUCGUCGUUAUUGUUUUUAGCUCAAAUUCAUAGUUAUGCAUGUUUUAAACAUAUGAAUUGAAUUUGGAGCAUGUUAUUAAGUGUUAAUAAUUAUACAUGUUGGACGUGGAUAUGACAUAGGAGAAAACCAGCAUUCGGGACCUGUCAUAUGUUACACUACCUGAUUUAGCUCUAAGAGCCGUUGUAUUUUUGUAGCACCGCAGUAUCCUUGUAGUGAGUACUCCAUAUAGUUUAGAUUACUGUCACGCUCAUGCUGGGAUGCCGAGCCUGAUUUUACAAUAGUGUUUACACUGUUCCGGACUAGUGGGUGCCGUAGUGGUUGACAGCGGACCCGGAUUUGACCGUUUUGAUAUCAGAUUGUGCCGAGGGCAUGUGACUAGUUGGUUUGUAAUCCAGUUGGACCUGUUUUCUUGAUUUUAGCCUGUGAGAGUCUGAUUGAGCUCGGCAGAGAUACGCUUGCAUACUCGGUUGGGUCGCGCCCACGAGUGCCGCUUCGGAGUCUGGCUUUGUGCUUUCGCGUUGAUGUCGCUGAUUAAUUUUGCUAUACACGGAUUGUUUAGAGUGGAGGUAGCGUGGCUUAGACAGGCGGGACGGGUGCGUUCAUAGUCCCUAGUGAGAUUGGGUCAGAGUUGACAGUUGCUACAGUUGGAUAAUAUAGAGCAUGAUAAUAUAGUGGCAUAUAGCUGUAGAUUUCUUUCCAGCUUUACCUACUAGCUUUGUUUCCUUCUGUAGACUUAGUGGGUGGACCGAUGAUGUUGAGGGCGGUGCCCACUGAGGACUACUUGUUUUUAUAGUAGUUCUCACGCCCAGUUGUUACCACUGUUUUGCAGAGCCAUCGUCUUCAGCUGUUGCAGUUGUUGCCGAUUUAGAGCGAGGUAAGGGUGUCGCGAGUUAGAGCUCUAACAGUCGAGUUGCUGUGAUAGAGGAGCACCUGCUGCAGGUAGUAGUAUUUUGUUAUUUUAAGUUCAUGUACAUACCCGAAUUGUAACUCGCUGGAGCGAGUACUUUUAUAUUUGGUUAUUUUGUAUGUAUAUGAGACUUGUUUUAUUCUACCUGUUUAAUUUCUUUACAGCUCUAUACUACUGGUUGUGGUAUUGUAUAUUUUACAGUUACCUUUACGCUUCAUAUACAAGGAAAAUUCUUUAUAUACGGCGGAUUUGUCGGCGUGCCCGGAGAACGUGUAAUUCGGGGCAUGACAUUAUAUUUUAAAUUAAAUAAUUAUUGAUGAAUAAAUCUAUUUAGUAGUUAAUUUUUUUCUAAAAUUAAUUUUUUUAAUAUAUAUCCAAAUUUUAAAAAUUUAAAGUAAUUCUAAAUUUUAAAUUAAUAAAUUCAUAUUUAAAUUUAUGAAUAAAACUCAAAAUUUGAAAUUAAUUUUGAAUCCAUAAUUUGAAUAUAAAUAAUUAUUAAAGACAUUAAUUUAUUUAUCAUCCCAUCUAUUUUUCAAAUUUGAUAUAUUUUCAAGUUAAUUAAUUAUUUUUAAUUUGAAAUACUGUUUACACACCCAAAAUAUUAAAAUUUUAAUUAAUUUCAAAUUUUGAAUUAAAAUAUUAAUUCACAUUUGAAAUUAUGAACCAAAUUUAAAAUUUAAAGUUGAUUUUAUAAGCUUAUUUAAAUUAUUUUUUUUUCAAAUCUAAUUUUUUUUAGUUAGCUAAUUGAGAGAUAGUAGAUACAAAAUAUUUUCAAUGUUUGUUGCAUAGAGAUUUUCGUUUUUUUGAUAAGUAUGGAAUAUUAUUUUAUGGGACGCGCAAAUAUCUUUCGGUUGACAAAAAUUUGGAUAAGUAUAAAUUUCUUUCUAUUCUCACAAAUAGAAUGUAAUAUUUUUUCCGACUAAAAAAGGGUAUGUCUGUGUCAACAAUUAUUUUAAUAAUUAUCUCAAAUCAAUAUCAAUUUGUGAAUCAUAUUUACUACAAAUUUAAAAUUUUAAAUUGUAAAUUUAUAUGUUAUAUUUUAUUGAAAAAAUAUCUCAUAUUUUAAAUAUUAGUAGGUAAAAUUGAGAUAAUUUUUAUAUAUUCACUUUUAAAAAAAUAUGAUUAAAUAUUAUAUAUGCGGAAGUUAUUAUGUGAUUGGAUAUUAUAUAAGUGGCGUACGUGUAAGAAUGAAAAUAUUUAAGAAAUGCGAAUAUUAUUUGUGAUAAAAUAUGAUAUUAUGUUGGCGGCGAUUAUUAAGAAAUAUGACUCACAUAUAAAAAGUGAAAUUUGAUACGUACUAUCUAAGAACAAUUUAGGUAAAAAAAGUGACAGAUACUUAAUUCGUCAGUCAUUGGAUUAAAUCGAAUGACUAAGAAUUAAUAUAUUUUAUGAUAAUUUAAAAAUAAAAUAAAAAUUGUACGGCUGUAAUUUAUUUCAUUAAAGUUGAAUGAAUGAUAUUAUUAGUAUGUAAUUAGAAUUAUAUUAAUAGGAAUCGACAUUUUGGAAAAGAGAAAAAAAUUCAAAUCUCACGCUUUUGUAAGUAAUAUAAAUAGAAAGCUUAUCUCAGUCAUGAAUGAAAAUAACAAAACCUACUCACCCACCGCAUUGCAAUAUACCUACUAAGAGAUUCUACAACUUUACCAGAUCUUCGUACAUCUUCCUAAUUUAGGUAGUAUAGCACUGUUUCAGAGCAUCAUGAAUAAUAAAUGCAGUAGAAGAUUUGUGAAACCGGUAAACCAAAAGCCCCCAACCAUGUCGCUCAGUGAUUGAAUCACCGAAAUACCACUAAAAUCCCGAGUAUGCUCGCACGUUCCCAAUAUGGCAUCAAAUAAAUAUCUCAUGUUCCAAUACAUCAAAAGAAAAGAAGAGAAAAAGAAAGAAAGAAAAGAAAAGAAGUGGAACUAUAAUUAAUAAGAAAAUUCGGAUGGCUAAAGUGAGCGAGCUACAAAAUUUAAGACUGUUCCAGUUCUGAAUGACAUCUCGCGGGAAGCACCUCAAAAUUAAACGUAAAUCUCUGCUGUGCUUUACAUUUGCCACGUAUCUCUGUUCUCGCAACAAUAUAUUGAAAGAAUGCCUCUCUCGCUUGCUUUGUAUGCAUAUAUUUGACCUAUUUAGAUGGACUAGUAGCAGACGGUUUGUUUCCUAACUUCUUGGCAGCAGCGGAGUUCAAGCUCCCAUUACAACCCGUUUUGCCAUUUUCCGUCUCAGCGAUACCAUUUUCCGGAGAAGUUUGUGGAGAGCUGUUACCAAUGGGCGAAGCAGUAGUUGGCUCUAGAGAUGAGUUGGGGUCAACAGACAGUGGAGAGACUGGGGUCAGCUGAGCUUGGGCCAGCGGACUAGACCCAGGAGGGGGCAGAAAGACCCCGGUGCCGGGAAUAGGGAGCCGGGGGGCCGAGUGCCUCGAGGGAGGGGCCACUGAAACCCACCCAGGCGAGGGUGGCGGUGCUGGAUAUGCCACAGGCGCAGGAGGGGCAGGGGACGGGCCAACAAAGAGUGGCUGGAUUCCAUUGGCAGGGAGCACGUGUGGAGGCCGGACAGAUGGAGCUGGAAGGACACCGGUUGAUGGGAGGGCUCCAAAGUGCUUAGGGCGGGGAAGGUUGGAUGGCCUAACCGGUGAUGAUAUUCCACCCCAAGGUGAAGGUGGAGGUGCCGUGGUCGAAGUGAAGUAUGAGCCUUCAGGAUGCAGAAUGGGUUUCUUUGGUUGGGACUUUCCAAAGGUUAGUAAUACGCGCUGCUUGCAUACGGAGGGGAUGGCGCGCUUGACAAGAUCUGCGCUUUUACCCUGCAAUAUAAGAAGAGCCCUGCAAAUGGAGAGACAAGGAAAGGAGGACAUUAGAAGCCCUAGUGAAAAAGUAAAAGGGUAAUUAAAAUUAUAGUCUCUAUAAUGUAAACUUGCUAUUUCGUUCGCCCUCGUAAUCUUAACUGCGACAAUUUAGUCGUUGAAGUUUGUUUUGCAUAACAAUAACGGUGCGUUUGGUUCGCGUUAUCUUUUUAAGAUUCCUAGUAAUCUAAUAGGAAUAACAAAAUAUGACGGUGUUUGGCUAAACGCACUAAGUAAUCUAGUUAGUAAUAUUAGAUUUAUUUGGGAAUAAGAUUCAUCCCAAAGUACUAAUCUCAUUCCCUUGAGGAAGGAUAGGUAUCCUCAUAUUAAUAGAUUGGAAUAAUCAUAAUAUGUAUAAUCUCUUUCUUUCUUCCUAUCCGCCGGCUAGUUGGUAUUAUUUUUCUUUACACUCUAACUUCAUAUCUCUCUCUAAGCUUAUCUUUUUCUCUCUAAACUUCAACUCUUUUUCUCUCUCUAAACUAAGCUCUCUCUCUCUCUCUUUUCCUAAAAUCUCAAUUCUCUCACUCCCUCUAAUCUCGACUCUAUUUCUCUUCUUAUUUUUUUAAUUAUACUCUCUCUCUAACCUAUGUUCUCUCUCCUUUUUUUCUAAAAAAAUGUUAAAAUUUUUGAUAGCAUUAUCUAAAAUUAAUUAAAGAAAUAAAUAUAUAAAUUGUAUAUUUUUUUGUAAUCUUAAAUAACAUGACUAAAUAAUAUGACCGUACGAACCAAACACAGUAAUGCCACAUUCUUAGUAAUAGGAUGAAUAUAAAUAAGAUUCUCGGACAUCUUUUUAUUCCUAGUAAUUUUUUAAAGUCCAACUUUCAAUACAUCAUCAAGACAAGGGGUUCCAUGUCAACGCCAUACUUGAACUGUGCUUUGUCAAGUUUGAAAAUCCGAGAACAAAAUUAAAGCCGGCAUCGAAAUUCAUCGGCUAUAUAGCUGAACAUGGAACUUUGAGGAUGAUAUCAAAUCGAACUAUAGUAGGAACGGAAUUGUUACUAUUGAAACACUAUGGACGAAACCAAACUCUGGUUCAAACUUCAGGAACUCGUUAACCAUGAAAAAGAAAAGAAAAAAGUAAUCCACUAAUGACCACCCGAAGCAUGAUCAGAAAUCAUGAGACUAUAGGAAGCAUAAGUACAAGAAAAUUUCUACAUGAAAAAUCAAAAAGCAAAUGCACACAGCAAGGAAACGAAGCAUACCCCAUUUGAAGAGACAUCUUGUGAGAACCUCUAUAGUCCCCACGGUGAUCUCCUCCUAUUGCUCGGCCAAAGAACAUGUCACAGUCAGUCAAACAUAAGGUACAAACCGGCCUACCAUACCAAGGUGGCCAUACAUGAGGCUGAGAAUGAUCCCCCUGAAGAAUGUGAGUACCCAAAGUCAGGCUCAUUAAUCCAAUUUUCUCAAUCAUCAAUGCCAACUUUUGAAUAAGUUACCUCAUUAAAGAAGUCAAUGAUACAAUAAUCAGGCUUAAAAUGCAACACUUGCUGGCGAGCCAAGUGAUCAAAUACAUCCUGCACUAAGCUAGGAAUAGGCGCCACCUUCUUCUCUGAAAUUUUUGUUUUCAUGGUCCACAUAGGCUGUCAUUGCAAGGUCUAUCUAUGAUGAUAGUCAAACCCUGAUAUAAGAGGCUUGGACUUACCUGUUGAAUUAUCAGCUGUAAUUUCAUCUUCACGGGGUCCGUCAGUAACAGGAAUGCCUAACUGAAUCAUUUCCCUUCCGUGCCCCUUCAUCGGUCUUUUUGCUAUAACAAGUGUGCUCCCUGCUUGUCAUCACAUUCCGUGUUCGUUUUAAAGUAGCAAUUAACGAAGCAAAAAAAAAAAAAGUAAAAAUUUAUUCAACUUUUUAAUAUCUAUAUUCUGGAGUAGAGCUGAUGUGCUCUUAGGAGCACAGAGGCCUCCAUGCUCUUUAAGCCGUUUUCGAUGAUUAAGCUUUCGAAUCGACGAUCAGCUCCAUUAGACUUGAUCUAGCGUAUUUGAAAUAUCUAGAAAAUAAAUUUUGCAGUUUUUCGAUAUCAUUUACCUAAUGAUCAACAUGGUUCAAAAUCAAUGGCUAAAAAUAAAAAUCUCACAAAAAGUGGUGAUAUAGUACUAAAAUUUUCGAUCAGAGAUAUUGAUCUUGCUGUAAAUAGUAUAAAAGAUUUUCUAUCAAAAUUUCAACUGAUUUGGAUACUUCUAUACCGUUAAACUUGAAAAUGGCAAGCAUCAACCAUUAAAAAUUAUAAUUUUGAAACCCUUUUGAUCGUUAGUUACUUGCAAAAUUUAUUUUCGAGAUACUUCAAAUACGCUAAAUCAAGUCUAACGGAGCCGAUCGUCGAUUCGGAAGUUUAAUCAUCAAAAUCGGGUUAUGAGCACGAAAGCCUCGGUGCUCUUAAGAGCACAACAGCCCCGCUCCUACAUUCUGUAUUAAAAUUGUGGAGAUCUUGUAUCUGCUUCCUGUAUCAUAGUUAAGUGUUUCCCAACAAGACAGGAAUUAGCAGUAUGAGUUGAACUUGGAGAAAAGAUUUAAUCAAACCAACUAUCAAAAACAAGGGAUUCAUUUCAUUUCUACUAGCUUGUUUCCUAAUUUCCAAAGAAGCAUUUGUUUGAAUCAUAAACAAUUAAUUAAUUUGGCAUUUUCAAAUAAAGCAUUACAUUUCUUUGCCUGAAGAAUUACGAGGAAAAGAAUUUCUUGUAUCAUCAAAAACCCCAAGGGAUAAGCAGAUUCAAAGACCAGAUUGUUUUAAAAGCCUAAGUAGCAUUGGAGUUGAUGACUUUCGUUUUAGGUAAAUAACACUAGUGGCCUCUGAACUUACCACAAAGUCCAACAUAGGUCACCGUAAUGUCAAUUUGUUACAAUUUAGGCACUAAACUGCAAUAUUUGUUCCAAGUGGGUCAAUCUAUCAAAGUGAUUUAUUGGGCUCGUUUGCUUACAUUCACAAGCCAAGUCGAGUGUUAUACAUUAGUUCAUUUGGGUCACUCUAUCAAACUGACUUUAGGGUUGCACUUUAUGGUUGCUUUUUUAGGCAACUGAGCUCAACAAUCAGUCCAGCUUGGCACUUACCUGGAAAGAAACCCUAAACAAUUAAUGGAAUAUGUGGCAGAUGAUUUAGUUGUCAUGUCAUCUACUAAAGAUGAUGCCCAUGUGAUAAAGCGGCCACGUCAUUUCCUAAGGGUGACAUGGUAGUUGAAUUAAAUAGAAUUGAGAUGGCAUGGCAGCUAAAUCAGUUGCCACAUUCUCGCCAAGUCAUCUCUUGGAGAUGAAAUGGCAGCUAAAUCUACUUCUAAAUCAUCCCUCUGGAAACUUUGACAGGGUAACCCAAUUGAAACAAAAAUUCAAGUUAAGUGACUCAAUUGCAACAAAUUAAACAUAGAUGAUUCAAAUUAAACAUAGCUAGAAAACCAGCGAUUAAUGGUGUAAUUUACCCUUCUAAAUUUACUAUAGCAAGAGCAAAGAGGCUAAGCAGAGAGCUUACCGUGAAGUUCUCCACGACGCCCAGAAGCUCUCAUUUCAUUUGCCCACAGGAGUAGCUGCUUUAUCUCAGUAAUAUCCACCGAGUCCUCAUAAAGCUUAAGCCCUUCAACAACAUUUACCUACAACGAGAGACUCUUAUCUAAUUGUCGGCAUGAACAAGGUCAUGUUUUCUCAUAUUGAAAGGCCAAAUACGAGGCACAAGGUUUGAUCUAAAUUCCAAGAACGUUGUACAAGAACUUACCAUUUUUCCAUCAAUUAACUCGUUAGUGACAAAAUCUUUUGGAGUUAGCGUUAGCUUCCCAUUUCCAUCUUGAUCUGGCAUUAUGCAGCCACUAUCUUGGGGAACAGAAUCACUGCUAGCCUCUAAAAGAUAUUAAAAGGGAACAAUAAGUGAGUACAUCAACUAACACAUUCUCUUUUGAAAAAUAUUGACCAGAAAAGUAAGGAUAUAUGUGAUUUCCAAAUGAUAAAAAACAUCAGCAUAUGACACUGAAAGGACAGAAAGUUACAUAUGAGAAAUCAGAAUUAUGAGAAAUCAGAAUUAUGGUAGACAUGAGUAAAGAACAACUGAUUACAUGAUCAUACUGCUUGACAUUUAUAAGAACAGUCUAAGCAUCACAUGAAAAAAGUGAUUUUCGAGGAAUUUUAACCCAAUCAUCUUAGCCAAUCAUCAAUGUACUUGAUCAGCAGGCUGAUAAGCCAAACUAGAACAAAAUGAAAGUAGAUUGUAUUACCUUAGUAACCACCAGAUCAGAUCGACAAUGGUUAUAAGAGUAAUUGUGCAUUUAAAACAACUGAUGUUAUUUACUUCCAUCUACGUUACUAAACCAAAAUAAGCUCUGUUUAUCAGCCUUUUCUUUGAAAGGAGAAUAAGCCUAUGAACUACGAAGAAAUUUGUGAAGAUUGGAUUAGUAAAUGAAUUUCUGGAGGUAAAAGACGAAUGGAUAUUAUCCAAACUAUACUGCAUUUUGAAAUGGGUAACCUGAACAUUAAAAGUUUUGAUUUCAGCAGGUAACUUUUUAUUAUUAUUUUACCACCUCUCCAUCAGAAGUCAAUGGUGUUCUAACUGUUUUAAUAGAAUAUUGUAUUACUUGAUGGGAUACCCUAUAGAUUUUUAUUAAAACCUAUCAAAUUUUGACAGCACCUGAUGGGGAGGAGGUAACACCAUAAAUGAAAGCCUAUUUAUUAAAAUCAAAACUUUUAAAGUCCAGAUACCCUUUUCAAGGUACAGCAUUGUUCAAGUGUUGUCUGUAUGUUUUUACCUUUCCGAAAUAAAAAUCACAAGGAACUUUUGCAAGAUAAGGAAUUUAGUAAUCAAAGCUGUUAUCGCUUAAAUGGAGGCUGACAAACUUAAAAUUGACACUAUCUAGAAUUAACUUUAGCCUCCAGGCCCACCACGGUGAGAAAGAAACAAAUAUCAAAAUGGUCAAACGUGGAUCACUAACUGCAAAAGAUAGUUCAAAAUUAUCAACAAAAUUAAACAAACAUAUGUGGAAGCAGAUGAUCUACCACCAAGUUAAAGAGAAAACGUAACAAAGUAAAAAAGAAAAAAAAAAAAAAAAAAGGUGAUUGAUUGUUGAACAAUUAUUUGAUAAAUUAUCAUGCCAACAGCAUCGGCUGAACCACCAAUUGCAACCCCGUUGUUCUUUAUUGAUGCCUUAAAAUUAUGUAGUAAGAGUUGGUAGUAACAAAUAUUAUUAAAUAAAACUAGUACUCUUUUAUCCUGCAGCAGUAUUUUUCAUGUGACGUUAUCAUGCCCCAGAUGAAAGAGGCAUUAAUUAAAAGAAACAAGGAUCAUGAUGAUGAUCAUCAUCAUGAUUUAUGAUGCACUUUUCUUCAACAAUAGAGGUAGAAAGAUUGUAGAUCUGUAGCAAAGAAAGUUCUAUUAUAUAAUUAAUUAAAGAAUUAUUUGAUGAUGCACCCUUUUGCAUUGUCUUAGAAAUAUGAAAAUCUUUUUCAAACUUCCAUAAAGAAAUUGACAAUUGAAAUCAGGCGCCCAAGACUAUGGCACUGUGAGCAUUAUCCAUAUAUAAUAAAGAUCAUGCCCAUUACCCAUCAAAUAUAACAAACUGUAGUGAAAUUAAAAUUUCAUAAACAGAGAAUCUUGACAACAGUGUACAAUAAGGUUUCUUAGUAGCAACUAGCAAAAUCCAGAUUUAACGAACAAGAGAUAUCAGUGGAGAAACAUCCUGUGCAGAUCAAGACAAAGUGGGAAAUAUCUUUUGCUUGGUCCUGCAGGAUCUGACAAGAAGUUGGUACACGCCAAAGAAGGUGAAUAAGCACUGUGCACAAAUGAACUAACAGUUUGCAUAAUUUACAACCAAAAAUUGCAAUUCAUGUUGUUUAAAAAGUCAAGAUAGGGAAGAUGAGGAGAAUAUAUAAGGGAUAAGAAAUAAGAAAAAAGGUGAAAGCUGAAUAACAUUACGAAUAGGACAGAAAAAUGAGCUCAUUAGAGAUGAUUUCAAAUUGUAGCAAGAUCGGAGUGUACAAUAUAAAGAUUACAGAAAGAAUAUGCAGGCAUUGCAAGGAAAGGGACUCCAGCUAAAAUAAUUAUAGUACUAUCCAAGAUUCAAAACCAAAGGGACAGAGAUAACAGAUACAAGAAGUUUAAAACUAAACGCAUCAAGACACUGACAUUAUCAACAAUAUCGGUAGGGACUUGCAACAUAAAAGAUAUACAGAGCAACAAGAUAACAGUUUUACAAUUCUCAAAGUGAGAAAAAGGAAAAAAAAGGCAAUCAACUAAAGAAGCAGUUGAACUAACAGAGAGCUAUUACUAACAAAAUAAUCUUAUAUUAAGAAAAAAAUCAAAUCAUCAACAGAUGGAGCAGUUAGCAUCCAAUUUGAGUAGGCAUCUCAUAAAGGCAUAAAGCUGAAGUUGGAUAGGAUAACAUUGGUGGUCGUGUAUGGAUAAGGAUUACAGAUGAGAUCGCCUCCAAGAAUCUUUAAAAGUUUGUCAUAUUAGAAAAGUUUGAUGACUACUUUCAGCCCCAGAAUUUAUUCACUCAAACAAAAAAAAAAGUUAGACCUCUGAAAAUUUUAUCUUCUUCUGAAAUUCCAUUCCUCUUUCACAUCAAAUUUGAAGGCUCUUAGCAGCAAUAGAAAUCACAGAAAGGAUGAUUUCAAGACUUUAAGUAGUAUAUGUAACUGCCAACACCACAUCAUGAGCUCUGCUAUUAAGUAUUGAUGUUCCAGUAGAUAAAAUACACAAAGCUUUUGUUAGUUUGGAAAUAUAGACACUUCCUAAUAGAUCAGUGUUUUGAGCUUCUUUUUCAUCAUCAAUCAUUAAAAAUUUCAGGUCCUUACGAAUUAAAACCCAAAAAUGCAAAUGCAGACCAGCGAUCAAAGUUCUAAAACAUACCUAUGUUUUGCGGGUAGCCAAGACAUCAAAUAGCAUAAGCAUAUCCACGCGCAUAUGUAGGUACUAUGUGAUUUAGCAAUAAAAGUAAUGUAUACAAUACCUUUAAAUAUGGAUUUAGAAUUUAGGGUUUAGGGUUUAAGAUAGAUAUGAUAUUUUAUUGCUAUCACACUCGCUGCAAGGCCCACAACUACUUUAUUCCCUACAAUUCUCUCUCUCUUAUCUUUAGGUAUUGCUCUUUAAUAUAGGCUACUUAUGUAAUUGAACAGUGACCUCACAUAUGAUUUGCAGACAGCAUAUGCAGUCAAUAUGGGGUCAAGAAAGGUGUACAAUCUGCAUAUCAGAAAGAUGGAUCAUUUGCAAAUAAAGGCAUAUAAUGCAUAUGUAGUCCAUAUGCAGUACAACCACAUGGAAUUUAGGCUAGGCACCAUCUUGUCUGCUUUCCAGAAUUGUACCUACACAAUUCCUUGCUUUCCUUUUUUUUAACUUGAUACGAAUACAACAUAUAUCAAGAGAUGCAGCAAAAAACAAAGAAUGAUCUGAAAGCAGAAUUAGGCUAGAAUACUUCUGGAAGUAAAUGGAUUUAUUUCCACAUCGUUUCCGUUGAUGAGGGAUCCUAAUUGAUGAUCCACACCAUUAAACUUGAUCUCUAGGCUAUUUGAACUUCUUAAAUUUCAAAUUUCGCAACUUUAGGAUAUCAUUUGCUAAGUGAUCAAGUGGUCUCAAAUUCACUAUAUGUUAGCUGUUAAAGAAUGUGAAUUUUGGGAGUAUUUGAAUACUAGAAAAAUGAUGUCAUAAAAUCACGAAAUUUGAAACCUAAGAGGUUCAAAUAGCUUAGAUCAAGCUUCACUGUAGGGAUCGGCACAUUGCAGGAAAUGGCGCGGAAGUAAACUCCCGUAUUUACUUCUAGAAGCAUUACAGCUGGAACUCUGAAGCAACAUAAUCAAGUAAAUGUUAAAUGAAACAGUUAAAACAUACUUCUUGCCGUAAUUGUCUGGCUGUCGCCUGUAACAGCUAGUUCUGACCUACUAGUAUGAGUUUCAACAGGAUUUUCUCCUUCAGUUUGCAAACAAUUCGACUUGGAGCAAAAAUUAUUAAUCCCUGGGUGUCAUGCGAAAGAAGAAAAAAGGAAAAUGUUAAAUCAAUCGAUCCAACCUCUAUGCUCAAAUUCUUAUAGUUGUAAAAUUCAAUCAUUUUAUUUCUAGCAUAUGAGACACAUUAUUUAAAUUAACAGGAUUAUUUUGUGCAUCAUGCAUUCAUUCACUAAGCCAAAAAGGACAACGUGACGGUAAUAGCAAAUUACUACUUUCUGCGAAAAAUAACCUAACAAAUGUGAACACAAACAGAUUUGGCAACCUACCGACCCCAAUGUUGCAUCUGAAUUAAGUUGAUGCGAAUAAGAGUUCGAUAAUUUAAAAGAGAAUCCAAAGCAGAUGGCUGCAUCAUCAAGCUAGUACUAUAAAAGAGGCAAAUAAUACAUUCUCACCAUCAGUCCCAUCCGGGAUCUGGGCUUCGCCCUUCGUGUUCCGAUCCUCCCCCUUCUUCUCCUUCUCCUUCUCCGCUCCGUGAUUCUCUCUGGCCCCGUCGAACCGGUUACCGUACCGGUGCCCAAACCCGGCCCUCCUCCCAUCCUUCUCCUUCGCCCCAUCGAAAUGCCGCGCCUGCAGCGGCGGGGGCGGAGGCGGCGGGGGCACGAUGGACGGCGGCGGCUGCUGCUGCUGCCGCCGCCACCCGACCUGCUGCAGCGCGAACGCGACGUCCGCCACGGGGAAGUACUGCUGCAUGUGGAGCACCGGCGUCCAGCUGCAGCGCCUCUGGUGGACGCACGCCGCGACGUAGUCGUACUCCCCGGGCUCCCCAACGCCGCGGAGAUGGUGCAGCAGCAGAUCGAUCAUGGCGUUCGCCGCCGCGAACUCCGCCCUCAGCCAAGAGAUGAACCCGUCCCUCUCAUCGAACACCCACCCCCUCUGCACCUCCCCGCCGCCGCCGCCGCCGACCGCCGCCGCCAUUGCCGCCGCCGCCGCCACGCCGGAACCCUAGUCUCUGCUCAUCCCCUCCUAGAUCCGGCAGAGAAUCCACCGAUCCGAUCGGAAAACCGCGAUCCAAGGGGCAAUGCGAGUGGAAUUUGGGAUCUACAGAUCGAUCGCACGAGUAAGAAUCGAUUCACUACAGAUCCGUUCUACCGAUCCCGAUUGAUCUUAGGAAUUCGAACCACACCUAAUGGAGAGGGAUUGAGGGUAGGAGAUCGUUGGGAUCGGAGAUCUAGGGUUUCGGAGAGGAGGAGGAGGAGAAGAGUAGUGCCUUCCGAGGCACGCUUCUCCUGCUUCUGCCCAUUUGAGUGAGAGAGAGAAGAGAGAGAGAGAGAUAUUGGAGGGAAGAUUCGUGGCACUGAGAUGCCCCGGCGACCGCAUAGUGGUCUCUAUGCGGGAAUGGAGCACGUUACGGACGGUUGGGAUCGGUUUGGGGAGGUCAAUGGACGGUGGAUGUGGCUGCUUCGGAGUAAUAGUGGUGUCGGUUGGACCAGGAGGGGUAUUUAAGGAAAAGUAGUUGGAAAUCACGCACGAGUCGUUACGCGAGUCUAGUGUGAGCGAGUAGUUUUUGCCUGCACCGAGUGUUUAUUUAUACACUUCGUACGCCACACAUCAUAUUUAAUGAUUUAUAUAUAUUUAAAAAUAAUUUAACAAAUUUAAUUUGAAAUGUUUAAAGUCAAUAUACAGCAAUUUGUAUACUUUUAUUAAAAAAAAAAAAUCUAUAAUCAAGGCAUCAUGUAGGCCCAAAAUUAAUAUUUAGAAAAAACUAUUGUUUAAUUUCUAAAGAAAAUGCCUAAAAUAUAUUAAAAGGCCUUGAUUAAGUAUAAUUAUAAAUAUAGUACAGCAAGAAAUGCAAGCAGAUAAAUAUGAUGUUGUUUGUAUUGUAUUUAGUUGAAUAAAAUGGAAAGUACGACAGCAAAAAUAUAUUAUUUAUUUCGUUGCUGGUAGCUGAGAAUUAUAUUUUAUAAAUUUAACACUUUAUAUGUAGGAUGAUAGGAUUAUUCUCAAUAAAAAAGAAAAUAAAUUACUUAUUUAAAAGAUAUUAGUAAGGUAAGUUUAUUUAAAACUAAUCUUUUCAACCAUUGCAGUUGAAAAUGCGAUCAACUCAGGUGUAAUUUCAACUGCUGUAGUGGAGCUUUUUUGUGUAACUCGAACUACAACAGUUAUAUUUAAAACAUACCAUAAUUUGUAGAUAGUUAAAAUUGCAGUGUAGUUACAAAUGUAUGCAACCCAACGGUCGUUAAAAAAAGUUGCAUUUUGAUUUAGGGGCAUUUGGUUCAACGUAAGACAAAGGGAAAAAUUAUUUUUUGUACGAAAAAUACUUUCCCGCUUAUUUUGUUCGACGUAAAAUUAUUUUUCCGUAAAAGUAUUUUUACGGAUUUGGAAAAAAAAAAUUGAAGUUUUAUUUUUCGCUAUUUUUUGGCCGAAAAUAAAAACUCAAAUUGCAUAAAAUUUUUUCAUUCAUUUUUUUUCAUUAAACCAAACAAAUAUAGAUUUUUUUUUUCUUUCAACCAAACAAAUGUUGUUGAAAAACUUUUUUUUUGCUUCUACAAAUCACACAUUACAAAACUUUUAAAAAAUUUCCACGGAAAAAUUUUUUUCAUAAAAAAUUAUUUUUCAUAAUUUUACGUUGAAACAAACCGAUCUCAACUCGAAUUUGUCACCAAAUUUUAAGGAUGCAGUGUGUGAGAUACACGUGUGCACCAGGUGCACGCAGUAAGUUCCUUUUGUUGCAUGGGAAACCAAACCCGUUUGUCUAAAGCGGCGAGUAGGGGAAGGAGAAAAGAUUAGGGAAGUGGUCCAAAUUCAUUUCCCACGUUCCACGAGCUCAUUCACUUGAGGACAGAGUCUACGGUAAGGAGCCGCGUAUGUAACGCCACGUUCAAAGACACCCUCAACUAUAUGAAAUUUGACCUCACAACUUCUUUUUUUUUUUUUUGAGCUUUGCCCCUAUCUGCACCUUAAAAAAAAGGAUUCAUUGUUUACACGUUCCUACAAAUAUGAUGAAUUAUAGAUAUAUUCCUGCAAAGCUCAACUUUCAUAAGUUAUUUCUACAAAAGUCCUAAUGUAUUCAGAUAUAUUCCCUCUGGUUAAGAUCCGUUAGAGAGCUAUUAAUUUUUUAAUAGUAGCGUUGUGAAAUGACAAUUUUGCUCUUACCCUUUUCCUCUUCCUCUUCCUCUUCCUCUUCAAGCUUCGGAAGCAGAUGGCGGCGACGGCGACUUUGCGGAGCUUGUCGGGGUUGCGGCCAACGAGGACAAGGAAGAGGUGGAAGGCGAAUGCGCGACCGAUGCCGUCGGAUGAGCCCGUGACGACGGCCCACGCGGGCACCACGACGACGACUACGAUCGGAUCAUCGACGACGACGACGGCGACGAAGAAGAAGAAGAAGAAGUAGGAGAAAAGGAGGAGGAAAAGAAGGAUAUGGAGAAGAAGAGGAAAGAGAAGAAGCAGGAGAGGAAGAAGAAGAAGGGAAAAAUUGUCAAUUCACAUUAUUAAUUAACCAUGGUUAAGUAUUUUAACUGUGGUUAACGAAAUUUCUCUAACGGACCCUAACAGAAGGAACAUAUCUGAAUAUAUUAGAAUUUUUGCAAGGAUAACUUAUGAAAGUUGAGCUUUGUAGGUAUAUAUCUGUAAGUCACCAUGUUUGCAGGGACGUGUAUGCAAUCAACCCUAAAAAAAAUAACGUACAUCUUACACAUCCUCAUCGAAGAAUAAAAAAAUAUAAUAUAAUAAAAUCAAUUCGGAUUUGUGACAUCCCAAUAGUCUCACAUCGGAUAGUUAUGGUUAAAUGUGGGAGUAUAUAAACUUGAUUGGACUAAACAUAAUAACUGGGCUUAAAUAUUUUGGGCGAGUGGUUUUGGCCCAACGAGUUAUUAUUGCUAGCGGGUCGAGUCAUUACAUUUAGUAUCAGAGCAGGUUCACCAGCCGGAAGUGUGAGAUAAGUCUUGGCUGAGCCAGAGUUAAAAUGACAGACUAAGCCAAGGUUGGUAAUUGACAGGCUAAGUCAGGGUAGGAAUGACAAAGGCUAGAAAGAUAAGUCUCACAUAGCCUUGUGAUUUUGGGCUUGGGCUGUGUUUAAGACUGACAAGGACAUCAGGGCUUAAACAAGGAGAGUCUGUGACACCCGAAUAGUCCCACAUCGGAUAGUUAUGGUUAGAUGUGGGAGUAUAUAAGCUUGAUUGGGCUAGACAUAAUAACUAGGUUUAAGCAUUUUGGGCCGGUGGUUUUAGCCCAACGAGUUAUUAUUGCUAGUGGGUCGGGUCGUUAUAGGAUUCGGGUCAAAUUUUAGGUUGGGUUUGGGUCGAGUCGGAUAUAGACAAAAUGCAUAUCCGAAUUCAAUUUGUCGAAUUUUCGUUUUUUAUAUCUGUAUACGAAACUAUAUCUGUUUAGUAUCUGCUCCAUUCAGGUUCCGAUUCGAAUAAAAUUUCGGGUAUCCAUACCUAUUGAUAUCUUUGAAAAUAGGCCUAUAUCUUGUCAAUUUUUUUUUUUUUUCUAAUACUACUAAUUUAUUGAACUUUAUGAACCCUACGAUGAGGAGUGUAAGAUCCACACCCCUUUUGGGGUCUACAAGUAAAUUUUACUUGUAUUUUUUCAAUAGGAGUGUAGAUCUUAUGCCCACGUUACUUGGGUUUAUAAAAAUUUAAGUAAUAUUUAGUAAAAAAGAUUGAUAUUAUAAGUAGAGAAUGAUGGCUCAUGGAUGAAGAAAGUGUUGUUAUGUAUUUUUGGGUUGGCAUAUUUUGUGACUUAUCGUGAUGAGUCGUUUAGGUUGAGUCGGAGUCUUAAAGGAUUAAAAAAGAGAGGAUGAAGCUUGAAGACUUGAAGACUCAAUAUUUGAAUUCACGAUGCUUGGUAAGUCUUUAUAAAGUUAAUGGUGAUUUAUGAACAUUUACAAGUGUUUGGAAGACAUUAGAAUAGAUAAAAAUUGAUUUAAAAUAUAAAAAUUAAGUUUUUCAAAUUUCAAGUUUUGGACCCUGUUGGAAGGUCCGGAACCCAUAAGCCUUCUUGGCUGGUAGGCUGUGAAGGUCAGGACCUUGGUAGGGAAGGUCAGGACCUUGGUAGGCAAGGUCAGGACUUUGAAGUUCUGGAAAACUUUAAGUUCCGGACCCUGAACUCAUGGUCCGGAACCUGAACCCGACACAGGUUUUUUAAACUCAGUUUUUUAAUUUUAAUUUAAUUCUAAUUGCCUCCGAACCUAUAAAUAAGAUGUGGGGGUGUCUCUAAAGCAUGGUUAAGCAUAUUUUAUCCUUUAGAAACCCUAGAAGCUUGUAGGUACGUAGCUGUCCUUCUUAUCUUCUACAACAAGCUUCUCUCAAAUUGAUUCUCAUUGCCCUAGAUCUUUACUUUCUUCUAGAAUCAAUUUGAGAUUUGUUUAGAGAUAUCUUCUGUGGUUCCUUCAUGAUCAUCUAAGCAAUAAAUCAUCAUUAACUUAUUCAAUCUUGCUCCGGACGGAGUGUGCUCAUGGAUUUGAGUAGGCGUUGUGGAUUUGGUGUGAUCAAAGCUUCGUGGAUUUGAAGUAUGGACGUCUAGUGGAUUCGAGACGUUGCGUUCGGACGUGGGGCGUGGACAACCUGUUGGUAUGCGCGAGAUCCAAAGAAGAUAAAAGGAGUAAGGAAAACUCCUAGUGGAAGGUUCAUAUUGAGAGCCUUUCUAAUAGCCAUUGAUGAGCGGGUUUGGCAAUCGAUCGAAUUUGGAUGAAAACAUCCUACCGAAAGGUUGAGAAUGUUGAUAAGCUAAAACCUCAAAAUAAAAGGAGUAAGGAAAAGAUUGAUUUAUCUUUUUACAACGGUGGGGGAAUCAAUGUCUUAUUUAAUUCCUUAAAUCAAAUCGAGUUCUCACCUGUCUCAGCAUGAGAGACGGCAAAAGAGAUAUGGGAUACUCUCCAAGUUACGCAUUAAGGAACUAGCUUGGUAAAGAUCCAAAAACUACAAAUCCUAAUAAGUAAAUUUGAUUCUAUUUGUAUGGAGGAACAUGGGACCUUUACUAAGUACUAUACCCGUCUUCAAGACAUAGUUAAUACAUGCGCAAGCUUAGGAGAGAAAAUUUCGGAGCCCAAAGUUGUAAGAAAAAAUUUAAGAACACUUCACGAAAGAUUUCGUCCGAAGGUUGCGGCAAUUGAAACCGUUAAACAUCCGGAUAAUUUGAAAGCUGAGGAAUUAAUAGGUACUUUACAAACAUAUAAGAUGACUUUUCCUACUAAUCAAUCUUUUUCCAAAGUUUUUUCUAAAAGUAUAGGUAUUGCACUCAAAUCUACUACGGAGAAAAAGACGACUCAAAUUUUGAUAAAGAAAUCACUUUUGCCGAUUUUGAACAACAAUUGACACUUCUUACCAAGAAAUUUCAUCGGAACUUUCGGAAGGAUCUUCAAGUUUAAAAUCCUUAAAAGACAAGAAACUUACAAAAAUCUCUAAAGAAAAAGAUAAUUUGAAGGAAAAAUCCAAUGCUAUAAAUGCAAAGGUUACGGACAUAUUUCUACGAAUUGUCCUACUAAAAAAUUGUAACAUAUUAAAACCUCGAGAGCGAUUAUCGAACUUUACCCAAAUUGGGUUAAAGUGCCGAGAGAACUGGUUGGACAAGUUCCAUUUAGCAUUCCAACAAGGUUGGAAGGGCUAAGAAUAAGUUUAAGAGGGGUUAGAAGGUUUUAGCAUCGACCGGCGCGAAGUAGAGUUGAAACGAUGCAAAAACUGCAGUCUGGGCAAAGUGUACCGGUACAACAUCAAUGUUGUACCGGUACAAAACGGCUGACCGAGAGAAAGUUGCUCUCGGGUUUGCCUCUGCACGAUCGUGUAACCGGUGAUAGAUGAAAGUGUACCGGUACACUUUGGUCUGGCAGCAACUUUGAAGUUGUUGCAAAUAAAAAUUGUUGGGGGGCCUAGUUGCAAUUGUGACACACUAUGUAUGACCCCAUCCCUCCCCUUUCUUCACAGCAGCAAGGAUAUCUCUCUCAUUCUCAUUUUCUCUCCCUCUCUCUCUCUAGAAGCUUUGCACCAAGGCAAAGGAGAAGGAGAAGAAGGUUUGAAGGAGAUAUUUUGGAGGUCUAGAAGGCUUUAGAAGCUCUCCAACAAGGUGGAACUUGGGAGGAGCUUAGGGCUAAGGUGAGUUUAUGCAAGAACAAUUCUAGGGUUUGGAUUUCCACCAAAACUUAGAGUUUUGACCUUAUCUCAUGUUUAGAAACUUAGUUGAGACAUUGAAUACAUGAAAUCCAUGGUUUUCUCAAGGUGCUCUCAUGGUGGUCAUUUAGGAUUCAUAGUAGAUGCUCUAGAAAUGGUUCAAAUGGCUUAGGAAUGGUAUUAGAGAGCUUCCUAGAUGAUUCUAAGCUAGUAUUUUGCUUAGAUACAAGAUCAAUCUAGGAGAAAUUUAAAUAUAGCAUUGUUAAGGCAUGGAAUUUGGGGCUUUUACCUCCGAUCGUUUUCGAGGUAAAUUGACCUCAUGGAAAUGUAAUUAAGAGUAUUUUCGACGCGUUGGUGCGCUCGGUUCGGAGAAACGAAGAGUCUAUAUAAAGAUAUUUAAUAAAAAGCCUAAUUUAGCACUAUUUUGGUACAGAUCACCGCAGCACACGGAAUAGGAGUCUAAAAAUUGCGAGAAUCGAACCCCAACUUCUCUACUACUAUUCGAGGUGGGGGGUGCACUCCGAAAUCAUUGGAUUCCCUUUUAUAUCUAUUUCAUAUUUUUGUUGAGUAUUAUGUCAAUAGUUAUUCAUGCAUGGUAGGGUGGUUUACAUGUGAAAAUUGGUUGAAUUUCAUUUAUAUACUUCUAACGUAGAUGAACAUAGAGAAUGAUAAGAACCAUAGUGGACAUGUAUGUGGGAACCCUAAACUUGUAUGAAUGUGAGACCCGGACUAAGAUAAUAGUAAACAAAUGUGACAUUGAUAAUAGAGACAAGAUUGGCAUCGAGAUACACAUUGUUAAACCUAGUUUAAACAAUAGUGACAUUAUGGCAAGAGUAGCCUAGAGAUUGGCAAGUAUGAUAAGGUAGAGACCUAUCAUUGUUAAAGUGGCAUUGUGACUAGUGGCUAUAUGUCCUCAAGUUGAGGAUUGGAUUGAUACUCACGAUAAGUUUUGGCUUGAGGGAGGUAGCUCCCCCUUAAGCGGUGCGUUCUGGAAUAGUCACCAUAGGGAGCGAGGUCCCCGAAGACGGUACCCAGGGAGGUUUGAGUCCCCCGUUAUUAAGAGAUUUUGGGUUGUGAGUUAUUGGGGUUAACAAGGUUAGCCGGUGAGAUUGGGUUAAAGCCAAAGUAAAGUUAUGAAAUAAGCAUGCAUGCAUAAUUAUUCUUAUUCGAUUAUAUAUAUCUACUGACAGUGUUUCUUGCAGGCAUAGUAUUAGCAUUAGUAUUGGUUACUGCUUCUCUUUCUUGAAAUACUUAUACCUAAAUAGACCUAGUGGGUAAGUCGGCGAGGUCGGUUGCCGAACCCACCGGGAACUUCGUUGUAGUUCUCACACCACUAACCCUACAGAUCCGAGCGCGAGCGGGGUGGCGGAGGAUCGAGGCAAGGGUAUUGUGUUAUAGCUAGUGGCCACCGGAGUACUUGCAUUUAGUCAUCCCUUUUGUGUACAUGUAUCAACUUUUAUUUUGUUGAUCUAUAGUUGUAUAAGUUGAAAACAAAUCAUGUAUUUUUGGCGGAAUGAUUAAGAUGUAAAGAAACCUUGAAUGAAAGCAAAAUGAAUGUAAUAGUUUAGUUUACUAGUAUUUUGUUUAAUUGUAAUAAAAUAUUAUGUAUGGUUGUAUGUUGUAGCUUAGAGCUUUCGCUUCCGUUGUUGCUUGCCCUCGUGCAAGCCUUGGAUAAUUGCAAAUCUCAUUGUUUGAUUACUUUAUUAUACUUGUUGCUAGAGCCUUGGGCGGGCAGGGGAGGCCCUGUCCGUUCGGCGUUUGUUCGCGUGGCCCGAACCCGCCAAAUUGGCGGGGAGCAGGGCGUGACAAAAAUCAUAUGAGAUAAAAGCUUCGCAAGUAAAAACUUGGGACGAUUCUACCUCUGAUGAAUCAACCUCAAGUGAAGAGGAGAAAAAUGAUGCCAUAGCUUUAUGUUCUUAUACUUCUUUACCUUCCUUUUCGACUCUUUGUUUAUAGUCAAUUAUUUCUGAUUCUUUUGUUUCUCUUUCCUUGCAUGAAACAUCAACGAACAACGGCGAGAGUGAGAGGGAGUCAGACGAUGAGUGCUUAGCCAAGGCGUAUCAACAACUACUUAAAGAAUCCGAGAAGAUGGCUAAGCACAACAAAAAUCUGAGAAAGCGAUUGCUUGAGCUUGAGGAUGAGAACAAUAGAUUGAAGAAUGCAUUUAAAGCUCUUGAGGAGGAAAAGGAACACGUAUUAAAGAAUAAUAAUGUCCUCCAAGAGAAGUUAGACUAAUCGGAGAUGACGAUCAAAUCACACCAAGAAAAAAUUGGUUUUCCAGAACAACAAUAUAAGGUAAUCCAUACUUCCAACCAAGUUUUAACCAAUCACGUUCAUCAAUUGAAAUCUGACAUUCAAAAAUUUUCUUCUGGAUCGAAAAGGCUAGAACAUAUACUCGGAUUCGGUCAAACGGACAAACUUGAGCUUGGUUAUGAAAGAACUUACAUUAAGAAGGUAAAAAGUUCAACAUCUAAAUUCUCAACAAGACUGAGAGUGGACUGAUAGGGGACUUUACUCACGACAAUAAAAUCGGUCUAUAGCGACACUUUUAAAUGUCGGUAUAGGUCAAAAAAAGUGUUGUUGGCUAAAUUACCGGCACUUUUAAAAAGUGUUGCUAUAUGUGGGGUCGCUAGGUAUAUAGUGACAGUUAAAGAGUGUCGCUAUAACCUAAAAGAGUGCUGCUAAUUUAUUAACACUUAUUUAAGCAUUUAGCAACCGCCGAAACUCUAUCUCAUUGGCUGUGGUAGUGGAGGAGAACGAAAGGAAGGGAUCUUCGUCUAGGAUUUCAGUGGAUUGAGUGAGGAGAGAAGGGGAGAUGGUAAUCGAUUUUUUUUUUUUCUUUUCUAUUUAUAAUCGGGCCGAAUGGGCUGGGUAGGGUAGAUUGAGUAGAGUAAUCUUUUAUUUUUGGUUGGAUUGGGUUUUAUAUUUAAGCAUUAGUAGAUUUUUUUUUAAGUUUUGGCAUAAAUAGGAUACUUACACAAAAGUGUCCCAAACAUGUGUCCCUAUAACCUAAUUCUGUUGUAGUGACUGUUGAUAGUUCGGGAGUACUACGGUACAUGGACCGAUUGUGCGCCUAUAGAUUCAGAGAUUCGAGAGGAGAUUUUGAGAGAGGCUCAUUACUUCCCUUUUACGGUUCAUCCUGGUUGUAACAUGCCGAACUUCUAUAAUUAUGAAGUUAUGGUCUAUGUUAGCUUGGAAAGCCGUUAGAAUGGUUACGGUGAAGUUCGGAAGCAUUCGGGUGCUUCAAUGCGCGUAGGGUGCGAAAACGGAGCCCGAAAGGCUAUGUUGGAUCAUGGACUAAAUCCAACAAAGGCAUGGAUGAAAAGAUGGUUUAAAUACGCUCGAAAACAUAUUUUGUGAGUCUCGGUUCGAUUUGAAACGAAUCGGAGGUCAUACAAGCGAAAACGGACCCGAAGGCUGAAAAUGCUGAAAAUUUGGCUAAGUCUGGAAGGUGCAGAAUUUUUGGACCUUCGGGGACCGGUCUCUCACUGCCAGGGACCGGUCCCAGCACGUGAAAAUGCCCAGAAUGAGCAGGGGCAUUGUGUUAAACAUAGAGGGGUGUGGGGGAUUAAGUGCAAAUGUGUGUAUAUGAGUUUAUAUGUUGGAGAGAUGAAGUUUAGUCCUUAUUUCUCUCCCUCCAAUCCAACAUGAGAGCUCUCUUUCUCUCUCUAGAUUUCCCUCUCCCUCUCCCUUUGAGGUGCUCCAAUGGUGGAGCCAUGGUGGAGAAGAGAAGCUUGGUGGAGAUGAACCCUCUUGUACAACCUUGCUUGGAGGAAAGCUUCAAGUUUGAGAUAAGUACCCUAGGUUUUGAGGGUUUUAUGGCUUUGAUGUUAGGGUUUGGUAUUUCCUUCUAGAUCUAGCUUCUAGGAGUGUCAUGGUGAGGUUAUUCAUGGAUUUCUAUGGUCUAGGUUAUUCAUGGAUUUCUAUGGUCUAGGGACCUAUUUGGGAAAGAUGAUAAACCAUAGGGGUUAGAAAAUGGGAUUUUGUAAAGUUGAGAUCUAACUUGAGUUUGAUCUCUUGCUAACCUAAUUGAUAGGUCAACGAACGCGUUGGCGCGCUCGAUUCGUCGAUUCGUCGAGCCGGUACGAAGAUAUUGAAGAAACAAGCUAAAUUGGUACAGAUGGCCGCAGCUCGCGGCGUAGGUGUCUAAAAAUCAUGAAAAUUGAAUCGGGGCUUCUCGGCAUUCCUACAAGUUGGGGGGUGCUGUCCGGAAACACCAGAUCUCUUUUUAUGUCUAUGUCACUUCUUUGAGCAUGUUGAUAAUGUUGUACUCAUGCAUGUAGGGUAAUGAGAUAAAUGUUGAUUGUGUUAAUUAUCUGCUUAUGAACAUUGCAAAUAUAUUAUAGAGCCAUGAGAACGAGAAAAUGAACAAUCCUAUAUGUAUGUGAAAGUGAGAAAAGACUUGAUCCAUAGUAAAUAAAGGUGACAUUGACUCUAGUGACAUGAUUGGCACCAAGGACAUAUUGUGCUAGAUAAGGUAAAACCUUAAAAGCAUUGUAAAAUAUUGACUAUCCCAUUAGUGGACAUUGUAGCAAGUGUGGCCCUAGAUAAUGUGACCCUAUGACAAUAUGAAUUGAUGUGCUCAGUAGGGUAAGCCCUUAUGAGCAAUAUGAGAAUAAUGGAAAAAGUGGUUAAAGAUGUAAAGACCAUUCUAUGCAUUGUGACUAUUGUUGCUUAGUAAAGUGACAUACAUGAUUAGGUAAAGACCUAUCAUCGGUAUUGUGGCAUCAUGGUUAAAGAUGUAAAGACCAUUCUAUGCAUUGUGACCAUUGUGGCUUAGUAAAGUGUCAUACAUGAUUAGGUAAAGACCUAUCAUCGGUAUUGUGGCAUCAUGGUUAAAAGAAACGACUAAACAAGAUUUAGCUUAUUGUGGCAUCAGGACCGUUGUGAUAUUGGAAAUGGUAGUAUAUGCAUGAAUAGGUAAAGACCUUUCAUCGGCAUUGUGGCAUUGAGACUGGUUGGCUAUACCUCCUCAAAUUGAGGAUGGGAUCAUACUCACAUGUAUUGGUUCCGGCUUGUGGAAGGUCGCUCCUCCACAAGCGGUGUACUCCGGAGUGAAAAACACCACGGGUGAGAGUGCCCGGCGAAGAUCCUUCGGGCGGUUGAGCCUUGUGCCUUCCCCGUUAGACGGGAUAUGUGGACUGUGAGUUUGGGGUAAACCAGGAGCACCCCGGGUUGAUUGGGUAAAGGCCAAAGGAAAGUGAAAAGGGCAUGCAUGAAUAAUCAUCAUGUAUUUGAAUAUGAAUAUCUAUCUAUGAAUUGCUUUCUUGCAGGCAUUGUAUUAGAAGUGCAUUAGUUGGUUUGUUAUCCUUCUUUAUUGAAAUACAUAUGCCUGAAGUAGACCUAGUGGGCGAAUCGGCGCAGUCGGUGGCCGAACCCACUGGGAACUUCUUCUAAUUCUCAUCCCACUAACCAUGCAGGUUCUAGCGCGAGCGGGGCGAUCAGGGCUCGUGGCGUGGUUAUCGUGCUCUAGGUAGCGUACUACCUUUAUGUAUAGAGGCACCCAUGUAUAUUUCAUUUAUUAUGUCGAUAAUAUAAAAUAUAAAAUAUAAAUGUAAUAAGAUCAUGUGAGAGGUGAAAAUGUAUUAAGUUCAUUUGAGAGAUGAAAUUGUAAAAUUGGGAUGAAUGAAUGUAAAGAAAUUGUAUGAGCUUUGUAAUUGAUUGAAAGUGAUCAAGAUACAAUGUAUAAAAAUGUAAUAGUUAGAUCACUUUCACUUCAUAGAUGGUUGUUGCUUGCCCUCGUGCAAGCCGUGUAUACUUGCAUUCAUUAUGUUUGAAUUGCUAUCGUUAUACAUGUAUUGGUGUAGCCUUGGGCGGACAGAGGAGGUGCUGUCCGUUCGGCGUCUGUUUACGUGCCCGAACCGACCAACUUGGCGGUCCCGGGGCGUGACACUGGUGGAACCAAAAUAUAUAAGUAUUCGAAGGCGCACUUCUGGUGGAAUAGGAUGAAGAGAGAUAUUAGAAGAUGUGUGGCUCGGUAUUUGAUUUGUCAAUAAGUGAAGACGGAGCAUUGUGUACUUGCUGGCAAGCUUCAGAACCUUCCAGUGCCAGAGUGGAAGUAGGAUCAGAUCACCAUGGAUUUUGUUGUGGGUUUGCCGAGAGCACAUGGUGGUUUUGAUGCCAUCUAGGCAAUACUGGAUAGAGUGACCAAGUCUGCUCACUUUCUACCGGUGCAAACCACUUGGUCCAAGGAGCGACUUGUCCAGUUGUAUUUGGAUUAGGUAGUGAUGUUACAUGGAGUAUCUACAUCAAUCGUAACUUUCACGCCCCGGGACCCAGCGGAAGCCCGCCUGGUACAUGUCCAGACCCGCCAUAUGCCUAUAACAUAUAAGGCGUCUACAGCAAAGCGAUAAAUAAAACAAUAAUAAUCGAACAACUAAGAGUAUCAGAGCAUACAAUAACUAGAUUCUAGAACAAGGAGGCAAAUAAAAGAACUAAUCUACUAACACAAACAAUAGAGUAGUACAAUAGGAAAUCCCAAAUACAAGUGCUAGAUGUACAAAAAUGGUGGUCUCUACUCAUAAGUACAAAACUCAAACUUUUUACAUCAAGUACAGAAAUAGAGAGAUGAACCACCUAGUAGAGAAUACUCCUCGUUAUCUAGCUAGUAGCGAUCCCUUUAUCGCAAUCCCGCGCCUCUCCCAAGGUGGAAGGCUCUGUAAUAAAACAACAAAAUAUGGGGCGUGAGAACUAUUAAUCAAUAGUUUUCAGUGGGCAAUUGUUGACCUUAGCGAAAUGCACCACUAGGCUAAAAGGCAAAAGUAGUAAGUUCAACUAGUAAAUGAAAAGAGCGACAUGCAGAUGAAACAUGAAUAAACUUACUAACUACUAUGCCUCUACUUUAGCAUGUAUAUCCACAAAUAUAAAUGCUAUUCUAACAUGAAUAUGCAUAAAUAUAACCAACAUGAUGCUCACAAGUGCAACUAGUAAAAUGUCAUUGUUUACUAAUUUGUCUAAUAUUCAUUUUGUAUUUUAGUUCAAUAAUAUUCUGAUUAAAUAGGACCUACCCGUGGGUAGUCCGGCUUGCGCCGUGCCUAAUGGCCCCGUGGUAGUUAACAUUCCCAUCCUAGGAAUGAGGCUCCCCCACGGCAUGCCAUUUCGGCGCCCAAUCCCGCACGAGCAAGCUUAUGUCGCGAUGGCUAUCUCCGGAGUGCCGGCUUGUGGGGCGACCUUCACAAGCAUGUGUGAAUGAGCACAAUGGCAAGUAAGCGUAAUCAUCCGUCUCAAAUCCAAAGUCAUCAUGUCUAAAACAUGGUAUAAGAGCUAGUGACCCCAAAGGCCUAUCACUAUAUCAUCUUGUAGAAGCUAAACAUUUACUAUGUUGAAUGCUCCUUUAUGGCAUUUUUGUCCACUAUGUCACACAAGAGUUCUAAAUCCAACAGCAUGUUAUUCUCGUCCUUUUCAUUACAUAAAACAUGAUUCCAAACCAUAAAAUAGAAUGCUAACCAUAUGCAUAGCUACAAUGCACAUAUCUCUCUCUACUACAUAGAGGCAAUUUUUCAUAAAAUAUAACAUAUAUAUUUUAAGCAUUUUAAAAUUCACAUAUGCUCUAUCUAGCAUGAAUAUGCAUGAAUUUCUAUUUUUAGAAUAAGAAAAAUAACAUAGGGGGGAUUUCACCCGUUUCGGUGAGGUCAAACCCACCAAGAGCUCCUCGGAACUCUUCGUUCGCGCAAAAGAAGGUAUCCACUAGCCUCCUAGCUCCCUAAAGAAAAUUCUACAAGGGUUAGAUGCAACGAACGAACACCCCAAAGAUCAACUUUAACCAACCCAAAAAAAGGGCAAAAACUCACCUUGUAUGGUGAAAAUCUCUUUCAAUCUUCAAAUGAGAGCUAUAACCCUUUUAAUCCAACCCAAAUGAAGGUUCUACAUCUAUCAAUUAAGCCCCUAAAGCCACAAAUCAAAAAUUUUCAAAUAAAAUCCUAGAUUCUCAUUUCUAGGUUUUCAUCAUGAAAAAUCCACCAAAACAUGGAUUAAAUGAGGGAAACAAGCUACUAACCUCUUUAGAAGCUUCAAACUAAAUUUGGAAUGAGCUAGGGUUGAAGAUCUCUCGUCCAACAAGCUCCAAUCCAAGCUUCAAGACUUUUCUUAUAGUGGAAAUAACAUCAAGAAGCAAAAAGAAGCAAAAAGAGGUGAUUAAUCCUCAAAAAUUCCAACAAUAAUGGAAGAAAAUCAAAGAGAGGAAGAGGAGGACUUCCCUAUCUUAUUCUCCACUGGUCCAAGCUCAGGGAACACAAGAGGGGGCGUGGGGUAUAUGUAGUAUUGCUACAAAUGCAAUUACACCCCUAAAAAAUAAGCAGUCUACGAACUGCACUGCGUACCGGUACGUGGGAAAGAGUACCGGUACUGGCCAGCAGUACGCGCAAACCCGAGCCUCGGGUUGGCGAACAAUUGCACUGGGUAUCGGUACCAGCUCGAUGCAGUAUCGGUACCACCUCCAGUUCCGGUACCAGGUCAAUGCAGUACCGGUACUCAGCCCUGCAGAGGCAAACCCGAGAGCAGCUCAAAAUCUUCACUUUAGAGAUUUUGGUGCUAAGUUUUAAAGCUCGUUUCUCGGGAUGCGAGCCAUAGGUCGGAACACCAUCGAUGACCCUCCAGAAUACCUGGGAAAACUCUAUACACAAAUUAAACACUCGAACCUCGUAAUUUGCAAAGGUCCAGUGUGUUAUAGUAUCAUAUAGAGAUUCGAGGUUCGUUUCGCAUUUCUAGAGGAGCUUUCAGACAGCUUUGGGUACGCAACUUCACUUUAGCAUGACGUUUCAUCCGUAGACAGAUGGUCAGUCGGAGCGGACUAUUCAGACUUUAGAGGACAUGUUGUAAGCUUGCGUCUUGGAUUUUGGAGGUGGGUGGCAUCGAUACUUGAGAUUGGUUGAGUUUGCGUAUAACAAUAGCUAUCAAGCAAGCAUUCAAAUAGCUCCGUUUGAAGCGUUGUAUGGGCGCAAGUAUCGAUCACCCUUGAAUUGGAGUGAGGUCGGUGAGAGAAAGGCUUUGGACCCUGAUUGUUACGCCCCGGGACCGCCGAUUUGGUUGGUUCGGGCACGUGUAUAGACCGCCGAACGGAUAGAGUUUCCCCUAUCCGCCUAAGGCUCCACAAAACAAGUAUAUCGAAUUUCCACUCAGGAAAAACAGUACAGCACAGUUUUGCACGAGAGCAUAUGACAAGAGCGAGAAUGUAAACCUAACAAUUACAACAUUGAACAUUUAUAUUUUACAUCCACUUUUUCACUUUACAUACAUGAAUCUUUUUCCAAUAUACAAUUACACUUCUGUUUCCCAAAAUUACAUUUACAUUCUUUUGCUUGGACAUAGGGCGAUCUAUACUAGAUGACCCUGCUAUCUAGGUGCAACGCCUAUGCCUCGAUCCGCUGCCGCUCCACAAAUGGUAGCUCUGCAACAUCAGGGGGUGAGAACUAAAAGAAGUUCCCAGUGGGUUCGGCCGCCGACCUCGCCAACUUUCCCACUAGAUCGAAUAAGGCAUAGUAAUACAAAAGGAGAUAGCAAUGCGAUAUAUAAGCAACUGAAUAUGCAAUCUACCACUACUAAACAUACAAUAUGCAAUAAUGAUUACUACUAUGCCUUACAAUAAGGAAUGAAUGUCAUGGUCCAUUAUGAUCAAUGGUGUUUCUCACACACACUUGACCCAAUCGGGGCUUCUCACAAGACCAAGCCCAACUCACAAGAAUAUCAUGAUCGACCCCAUACACAGCAUGCGAUCUCACUAUGCUUACUCUCUACAUAAAAUGCAACAAUGCAAAUAGUAUAAGAUACAAUAUGGUCAAUCAACCUGUCUCUUUUCUUUUUGACCCAAUCAUAACAGCUCACACGAAGUCAAGCCAAACUCACCAAACCAAAUCCCUCAGUCAGGGAGAAUUCUGCUACAACCCGCUGGGACCGUCUGUUGGGGAGAAUUCCGCUACCACUCAGAUAUAACAACUCCGAAGCUCACUGCUUGAGGUGGAGCGACCACCCUCAAGCUAAUCAGACUAUAUGUGAAUAUGAUCCAAUUAUCUAACCUUGAGGAUAUCAUGCCAACCAAUGCCAUAACACUCGGAUGUAUUAAUCCCUAGUAUGGUCCAGAGCAUCUAUUUCAAUCCUUUGCAUGCUCAAUAAUAUCAUAGCACUAGAUGCCACGCUAUAAAUGCACUGACCCAAUUUUUUCCAGAUAUACUCGAGAUUUUAUUCAACUCAUGUAGCGUGCAUCAAUAGGAUAUACAAACACCACACUAUCUGGACAAAGCAACUAUGCAAUGCUUCAUAAUAAUAUGGUAACUCAACAUCAUGCCACGAUGCAAUGACCUAAUUUUUUAUUCAUACUUGAGGCUUUCUCAAUUCAUGCCAUAUCCCUCUCAUGCACAACACAUUAUACCCAAUCCAUGGUUUUAUCACAAGGUUGACAUUCAAUAUUACAAUAACAACCAAUGUAUCAUUUAUUUCAAGGUCACUACUAGAAAAUUAGUCAUUAGUGACAUUUAUUUAUGCUGUUAAAUAAUCAACAAAUGCUGCUAAAUAUUUUAGCAGUAUAUGACACCAAAUGCUGCCUAUGCCAAUGUUGCUAAAAGUAUUAGCAGCAUUUAUAAUAGGGGCGAUUGCUUAUAUACCCUUGGAAAGUUCCCAACUUUCCGAUUUACUCUUCUUAGAAGGCUAAUAUUGAAAAUACCUUUUCUACGUUCCAACCUUUCUAAUAUACCCCUAGAGUUAAAAUCUGUUAAUUAACUCUGUUAUCUCUGUAAAAUUACUAUUUUGCUCUUUCAAAUAUAUCCUUCCAUCAUCACUGACUUUCUUAUUUGCCCUUAAAGUCAGGGGCACAAAAAGUAUUUUGACUUUUGGUCUUUUUCAAUAUAGGUUAAUUACGUCGGUAGUUCCCAACCUUCGCACCAAUUUUCACUUGAGUCUCCAACCUUUUUUUUUUGCAAUUGAGUCCCUAAUCUCUUGAUUUUAUUACAAUUAGUUCCCAACCGUUAAAAAAACUGUUAAAAUUAACGGAAUCGCCACGUCAGCAUCUAUGUGGCAACCUUUUGCAUUUCAAUUUUGGUCCCUAAACUUUGCACAUUUUUUAUUUUAGUCCUUAAAAAAAUUCCAAUUUUAAAUUUAAAUUAAAAAAUAAUAUUAAAAUUAAAAUUUUAAACUAACGAGAAAUUAGAAUUUUGAAUUUGAAUUUAAAGCUGAAUUAAAAUUUUGAAUUGAGAUUAAAUUUUUAAUUUAAGUUUUUAAUUGAAUCUAAAUUUUGAAUUCAAACCUAAAAUUUUGAUUUUGAUUUUGAUAUUGAUAUUUCAAUUUACAUUUAAAAUGAAAGUUUUGAAACCGAAAUUUAAAUUUAAAAUAUGAAUUUAAAUUUAAAAUUAUAUUCAAAAUUUUGAUUUUAAAUUUUAAAUUUGAAUUUAAGAUUUGAUUUCAAUUCUAAAUUUGAAUUUAAACUUCGAAUUCAAAUUCACAUUUUGAAUUUAAAAUUUCAAAUCGAAAUUUGAAAUUAAAUUAGAAUUUAGAAUUCCAAAUGUGAAUUUGAAUUUAAAAUUAAAAAUUAAAAAUUAAAUACAAAAUUGGAAUUUGAAUUCCAAUUUAAAUUUGAAUUCAAAAUCAAAAUUUAAAUUUAAAUUUUAAAUCUUAAAAUAAUUUUUUUUUGAAUUUAUAAAUUUAAUGGGUUAAUUACACUAUUAGUCUCAAGCUUUGCACCGUUUUUCAAUUUGGUCCCUAAUCUCUUUUUUUUUUUGCAAUCUGCUAACACAGCGCCACCGUGGCGCUGACAUGGCGCCUCCGUGGCGCUGACGUGGCAUUUUUCGUUAAUUUUAGCAUCUAUCUAAUGGCUAGGACUUAAUUGAAAUAAAAUCAAAAGAUUAGGGACUUGAUUGCAAAAAAAAAGGUUGGGGACCAAAUUGAAAAACAGUGUAAAGGUUAGGGACCAUUGGUGUAAUUAACCCUUUUCAAUAUACCCCUCUAUCGUCACCAACAUUUCUUAUUUGCCCUUAAGUUAAGGGCAAAAUUGGCAUUUUAAUUUUUUUGAACUGUGGUAGAUAUUUAACUCAUGUUUAACCCAAGUUAACUUAAUAGGAGAUAACUGCGGGGGUAUUUUGCAAUAACGGUGGAACAUAUGAGAGGUGUUUUAGAAAGAAAAAAAGAAAGUGGGGGUAAAUUGGAUAUUUUCAAACGUAUGAGGACUUGAGGAGUAUAUAGGCUAUUAUCCCUUUAUAAUAAAUGCCGCCAAUAUAAAUCAAUUAUUGCUAAAAGGAAUUAAAUGCUAAUUUUAGGUUGUUUAUUAGUGGCUCAUAAAUAUAAUACUGCUAAUACAAACAUAUAAUUUUAGGAACUGAAAUUUUAAAAUUUUAAUUUUAUUUUAAAUUUAAAUUUAAUUUUUUUGAGAUAAAGGUAGCAUGUUACCUGAGAAAUAAAAUUAGCUGGAAAUGUGAAUCAAACAGGAUUCGAACUUGAGACCUCAAAUACCAACCACCAAGCCCUUUGCCACUUGCGCUAGCGACUAUCAAUUAUAUAUAUUUAAAUUUUUUAAAUUUUAUGCCUUCAAUUUUAGAAUUUUAAAAUUUUAAAUUUAAAAUGUUUAAAUUUAGAUACUAAAUUUAAAUUUUUAAUUUUCAAAUAUCAAAAUUUAAGUUUCAAAAUUUAUAGUUUUAAAUUUGAAAUUUUAAAUUUAAAAUGAAUUUAAAAAAUUAAAAAUUAAAAAUUAAAAACUAAAAAUUAAAAAUUAAAAAUUUAGAGUUUAAAAUUUAAAAUAUAAAAUUUAAAUUAUAAGUUUAAUUUUUAAAAUUAUAAGUUUCAAAUUUUAAACUUUAAUUUUAAAAUUUUUAAUUCUAAGUAAAAAGAGAUAUAUAUUAAUAAUUAUAUAUUAAUUACUAAUGAUAUUUAGUACCAAGUGCUGCUAGUUUGUUAUAUUUAGCGGCAUUCACUAAUUUACGCUGCUAAUUUAUCCUAUUUUGCAAUAUUAAUAGUAAACUGUUGCUAAAUAAUUAAAUCUAGCAGUAAUUAUCAAGUAAUACUGCUAAAUAUAUUAAUUAGCAUGAUUUAAAUAAAUAUUGCAGAGCAAAUAUCGCGACAUUUAAUAAUAAGUGAUGCUACUUUAUUAUAUUUAGUGUCAUUUUUUAUAAAAUACUGAAAACUUUAGGGGCAUUCACUAAUUUAUGUUGCUAAUUUAUCCUAUUUUGCAAUCUUAAUAGUAAAUUAUUGCUAAAUUAUUAAAUCUAGCGGCACUUAUCAAGUAAUGCUGUUAAAAAUAUUAAUUAGCGUUAUUUAAAUAAAUGCUGCGGAGUAAAUGCCGCUAAUUCAUGAAUUUGUUGUAGUGUCAUGUCCACAAUAUUUUCUAUGUUCAAUCCACUAGUUUUUCUCUACUAGUUCAACAUGUCACUAGGGUUCAUAUGUCACUAAGUUCAUGCAUCCUAAGUUCUAAGUUAUCACCACAAUUAUUUAUAUAUACAUCGUAGGAGGCAUGCAAGUUUUUGUAACAAGAAAUACUUGAACCCUAUCACAUAUAAUUAAUACACACACACACACACACACACACACACACACAUAUAUAUAUAUAUAUANNNNNNNNNNNNNNNNNNNNNNNNAGUUACUAAAAAAGUUCAAGAUGAUAAGCGCGCGGGUAUAUAUAUAUAUAUAUAUAUAUAUAUAUAUAUAUAUAUAUAUAUAUAUAUAUAUAUAUAUAUAUACUCAACAAAGAGAAUUAGACAUAGGGAGAAAUCCAACCAUUCAGGAGAGCACCACCUACCUCGUAUCGAUGUCAAGAAGCGAGAACCCAAGUCCCGCAAUUUACCGUUGUCGUUUUAACUCGACCUAAGGCUAACGAAGGUAAAUCGAUGGUUUUCCUCAAUAGGACGCCAUAGCCUCGUAGAAACUCCAAUCUUAGUUCCCAAUGCGUCGAUUUAUUCUUCAAUUAGAGAUUUAUAAGGUCAAUUUAACUCAAAACCCUAGGGUUUCCAUAUUAUCAAGAACACCCUAAAAUCCAUGUUAAAUCCUCAACCAACCUAGUUUAGAAUUAUACAAAGAUUUCAAAUACCUCAAUUGUAGGGAUUUAACCCAAACCCUAACUCAAAUCCCAUGAGCUUACCUCAAAUCCAAGCUCCACUAGCUCAACCAAGCACCAAGAGGCUUGCUUCACCUCCAAAAUCCAUCUCUAAGCUUGAUUUCCAAAAGCUCUCAUGGCUAAAAAAAGAUGGAGAAGAAAAGGUAUGAGAGCUUCUCUCUCUUCCUCUUUCCUUCAUAUGUGCGUGUGUGGGUGGGGCUAACAGGGAAAAGGGGUAAAAGGUCCCCUUAUAUAAGCCCCACUAUGAAUUUACCAAAAUACCCUUCAAAAAUAGCAUUCUGCAACGUACUCAUACCGGUACUCAGGUUGGCGUACCGGUACUCGGGCAUCCAGUAUCCGUACCCAGUUUCCAGUGCCUCAAAACCCGAGAGCUCGAAUUUCUCAUUUUGUAUUGCGUACCGGUACUUAGAUUCCAGUACCGAUACUCAAUAUAAAGUUUGCAACUUAGGCAGGUUUCACCUUUUGGAGCCUGUUUUCGCGCACGGUUUGCGCCGAAAACACUCGAAUGCUCCCCAAACUUUGCCGAAACUUAUUUAGUAACUUUUUAAGCUAGUUCCCACCAAAACUUUAUAAUUAUAGAAGUUCGGUAUAUUACACUGAUAUUCCGUUGAAAGCUGAGGAAAAUGUCAGAGUUGUGCGGCGACUUCUUGAGACCGCCCAGAGUCGACAGAGGAGCUAUGUUGAUACCAAGAGACGAGACUUAGAAUUUCAUGAUGGUGACCAUGUAUUCUUGAAAGUCUCGCCGUCCAGAGGGAUUCGCAGGUUUGGAGUUCGUGGAAAGCUCAGUCCACAAUUCAUUGGCCCUUUUGAGAUUUUGGAGCGAGUCGGGCCAGUGGCUUACAGGAUUGCACUACCACCGCGACUUUCCGAUAUUCACGAUGCGUUCCAUGUCUCGGCUCUGAGGAGAUAUGUUUUUGAUCCUUCACAUGUGAUUGAUUUCACUCUACUUGAGUUGGGCGAGAACCUGAUGUACGAGGAGCGAUCGGUGCGGAUUCUUACUCGUGAGACAAAAGAAUUGCACAACUGGGUCAUACCUUACAUGAAAAUGCAGUGGCGUAAUCACGAGGAGCGUGAGGCGACUUGGGAGCCGGAGGCUGUGAUGCAGGAAUCCUAUCCCUACCUGCUUGAGGUAUCGAGCUGAGAUAUGAGUUUAAGUUUCGAGAAAUAUUUUGUAGUGGGGGAGGAUGUAGUGUCCCUAGGGUUUAGUUGUCGGAAUGAUUAUAGUAUUAGCAACUCGUCAACACAUAUGUAGAGUGCUGGAACGAGUCGGAAUCGUUUUAACACGAAAUGGAUGCGAACACAGACUCGGCGCACAAGUAAGUCAAAACUGAAGUUCUGACAGCUUUGGGUGCCCAGAAGUGGUUUAGGGCGCCCAAAUCCUGCAGAAUUCUAGCAACAACUUGGAUAGUUUUUGGGAUUGUGCUUUGUGGGGGCCUCCAAUUGCUGUGGUGAAGGAUUUCUUGGAUUGUGGACUUGUUGGAGAGUGUGUGGAACCAAUUUAACAGUAAGUAAUUGAGAUUCAUAUGAUCAAAUUGCUGUUUUCUUGGAAUUUUAGUGUUCUUGAGCUGAAAUUAAGGUUUUUUUGGUGUUUUUGGUUCCGAAUCUUGUUGGAGCUGGAUUUUUGAAGUUGGAAUUUGUCUUCCAUCAUCAUCUACUGGUUUAGAAUUUGUUCCUUACCUGAAUUGCAACUUCAAAGGUGAGUUUAGCUCAGAUUUUUGGAUCAUUAAGCUUAUAUGCUAAUUUUUGAGGUUUUAAUGGUAAUUCUUGGAUUUUUAAAUUUAGAUUGAUGGAGAGCCUAUUGCUGGUUAUGAAGUGAUCCCUUACUCAUUUAUAGAGGUUUUGGACCCUUCUUUAUCGAAAUUAAAAGUUGAAAUUUCUGGAUUUGGGCUAGAACAAGCUUUUGCUUAAGUGCUGUAUUCUGGGUGUAGGUUUUGGUCACCGAGAAAGUGGAUUCGAAUCUGGUUGAGGGCCUUUUGGUGAUCGAUUUGAGCUCAACUUUGGCGAGGAAGCUGGGGAAUUAUUCUUAAGUAUCUAGAGGUGAGUUUGGUGAAAUUUCACUACAUUUGGAUGUGGGAAUUGGAUUAAAUCCCAUGUUGAACUCCUGUAGAUUGAAGCUGCCAGGCUGCAGUUCUGGGCUCAGGUUCUGGGUGCCCAGAAGUGCUGCAGAGUGGAUCCGAAUCCUAUUUUCUGUUGGUUUGUUUUCGGUUGAGGCUGACUUUAUGCGGGGCUUCUCCUAUCAACUUCUAGCCAUUGUUGGACUAACGUUUAAGGUGGGUCAAUAUUGUCCGGAGCCUUCGAAAUUCCUCCUAAACAUUUGAAACCCCAGUAUGUAUAGUUUUUAUAUAUAAUCAUCCAGUUUAAUAGCUCAAACGGUAGAUUUGCAUGAUAUAGGUAAAAUCUAAGUUUUGGAGCAUGCCUUAGCUAAUUUAUAAUGAUUAUUAUCUGCUGAACUGGAAUUUAACUUAGGAGAAAACUUAUUAAACUUACACCUGUCACUUUUCGAAAAGUUAUCAAAUUUAGCUUCAGAAGCUGACUUUCCUUUUGUAUCACCGUUGUUAGUGUGUCGUGGAUACUUAGAUUACUGUAGGUUGAGAUUACGCUCGUGCUGAGGGGCCCAGCUCGUUUUUACAGUAGAGUUAGACUGUUUUGUGCUGUCAGGUGGCGUCGGGAUUGACGGUGGACCCAGUCACCCAGAUUCUUACAUCUUAUAUUAGAUUGUGUUGAGGGCACGUGAGCCUCGGUUGUUAGACCAAUUUUACCCAUUUGUAUUGAUUAUAGACUGCGUGAGCCUAAUUGAGCUUCGGAGUGAGGCUUACAUGCUUACAUGCUUACAUGCUCGGCUAGAUAGCUCCCUUGAGUGCCGCUUCGGAGUGAGGCUUUUCUUGUGUUGAUAUCGCAACUGUCCCGUUUGGGUAGUUUUCUUAGACCGACCACUUUCGGGGGUGGUGUGCGGUGUAAUUUGGGCAUAGGUUGAGUUGGCCAGUUGGCGGUCCCUUGAGAUUGGACCAGUUAUGACUGAUUUGUAGCUAAUGGUGCAUUUAUAUGUCUACAGAGAGCAUGGUAUGGAUAUCAAUAAUAUAACGACAUUUAGCUGUAAAGUUUCUUCCAUCUUAAUUUACUACUCUUUUACCUAUCAGUUUAUUACUCGUAUAAAAAAUUUUGUAUCAAAAUUUUAUCUGAUUUGACUACUUUUAUACCAUUAAACUUGCAAACGACACACAUCAACAAUUAAAAAUUAUUAAUUUUGAAUAAUUUUCUAUCAUUAGGUAAAUGAUACUGAAAAAGCGUAAAAUUUAUUUUCUAGAUACUUCAAAUACGCUAGAUCAAAUCUAUCGGAGCUGAUCGUUAAUUCAGAAAUUUAAUCAUCGAAAACGACUUAGAAGCACGGAGACCUCCGUGCUCCUAAUAGCACACAAGUUAUUACUCCCUCUAGAUACAUAACUAGCCUCAAUAGUCUCAAGUUAUUUCAAUUUGCUCAACAUACUGUUUCUCAAAUUAUAAUAAUGUUGUUCGGUUUGUCAACAAAGCGUCUGCGAGGGAAAUCACAGCACACUAACUUACACCCCAAGACGAAAUAAUUUGCGCAUGAAAGAAUGCCAUAGACAACUUCACUUGAUGCAUGGGAUUCAAAAGAGAAAAAGGAACGCAAACUAAAGCAGAUAAGUGAGAAUCAGAAUUUACAAAGCAACUCAAAUCUUUUUCAGCAUUGAGAAGAGUUACAACAGUAAAACUGCAGCUAUUACAAUUUUCAUGACUCGAGGUAAAGAGAUUUCAUAUGUACAUUCUAAAGAGACUGAACAUCAUUCCAGAUCAGUAGUGACUGCACAUUUAACACUGGUAGUAUUUAUCACCUCCGUUUUAACAAGCCUUGAAAUAUUAAAACCUUCUGAAACAACAAGUCAGCUAAUUGGUAACAAAAUGGUACCUGGAAUCAACAAAGCUCUCGACAUCCCAGAGAAACGACCCGAAAGUAACAGCCUCCAAAAUAAGCCUCCUCAAUCCUGCAAAGCUUAUCUUAAUAAUCUCAUCUUUUGAAGAAUCAAUAGUCCCUUGUGGCGUGAUGACAACCUCUGGCCUCCCAAAUAAUGCUUCAGUUUGUCUCUCAAUAAUGCCGAAUGCUUCCUUCGACCUAAUCGUCGCGUACCUCUGCAGAGUCUCCGAAUCAAACGACAUGACGUACGAUCUUAACGGGCUUGGUUUAAAAGAUUGGCUCGGCCCGCCUGCACUAAAACUCAGCCCUUCCAUCUCGGGAUGAGAACUAUCAAUAAAUGGCAUCUCUUGCUUGUUUUCAGUCUCUUCUUCCUCUGGUCCCCAUGGAAGGGUUUUCAUCGACUUCUCGAGUUGAAAUCGUUGAUCCACUCGCUUGAGAAAGUACCCAUACAUUACAGAGGCAGCGUAGACCUGGCCCACACGAAGCUUGCUAAUCGGUGCAACAGAGCUCGGGUCGGGUAACCGCUGACCCAAGAUGAGAGCCAAAUGGUUCUUGAUCAUCUCAUAUGCCUCGGAAGAAUGGAGCUUCUCGAAUUUCUCCUCCGUUGAGGACCAUUGGUCAACAUUUUUAGAAGGGUCGACCGAUUGGGAUAGAGCUGGAACCAAGGAAAUUUCAGCUUCCACAAAUUUUUGGACAACCAAGGCGUAGAGUAUCUCCUCUAAAGCCCUUUUCCUUUCUUUAGCUUUCACCUCCGCGAUUCUCCUAUAUUUUAAUACCAAUCCAAAAAAAUUUAAAAUUUCCUCUACACAACAAAUCCCUAGUUUAAAUAUAGAUUUGAGACAUAUGAACCUAAGCUGCAUAGCUGAGCUUUAAAAUUUUGAUUUUGGCAACUGGCAUUGCAAUAAUUAUACUCUCUGCUGCUUAACAGAUAUUCUGCAGCUUUGCUGAUGGAAAUACUAAACCUUGUUUGUCUAGGGAAUAGGUACUUCAAUGUAAAUCUUCGCUAGAUACAAUUAUACUAAUAAUCAUCUAUUCUAGGAAAACAGGGAUCAUGCCAAAGAUGAAACUUAUGCCUUGUUAGUAUUGUAGCCACUAUUUUCUUACUUUUUUUUUAAAUGGAAUUCUAUGCAAAAGACUGCAGGAGAGAAUGAUGGAUUGCCUGGACACCUGCACCAAAGAUGUUUGCUAGGCAACAAAAAGAAAAACCUUUAGGCGCUGUUUGGUUCGGGGAUAACGAACAUUGAGAUAUAUUUUUAUUUUUCUAUGUUAGCUUAUUAUUCUGGGGUAGUCAAGAACAAAAGUAAAAAUAUGUUUGGUUUGUAAUGUCGUUAUUAUCAGGAUUAACAGAAAUUGAAUUUGUUUAAUUUUAUGAAAUAAUAAAGAAUCGUGAAAAAAAAAGUAGUGGUUGAAUUUAAUAUAUAAAAUAUAAUUUAAUGAAAAUAAUUUAUUCGAAAAUUAAUUUUAUUAUAUUACUUAAGUAAAAAUUAUAAUAUGUAUUAAUAUAGUGUAAUCAAUAAUUUUUAUAAUAAAAAUAAUUUAUUAUAAUAUGUAAUAUAGCAUUUCUACAUAAUUUACUUUAAUUCAAUAUAUAAUCUUAAUUAAUACAGCUUGGAAUUAAACCUUGCAAUAGCAUUAUUCCACCAAAAAGGGUGAGAUAGUUUAUCCCAAUUAUCUCGGGAUGACCCAGAAUAACAAGGUCUGAUCGGGAUGGCCAAAAAACACCCCAUGUGGUAAAAUAGCAGGAAUAACAUUCAUUAUCCCCGCUUUAUCCUCAAGCCAAAAGGGGUGGGGCGUUAAAGAACCAUUAUUUGCUUCUUUGUUUUUUGAAAGCCGUCGUGUCGCUAGCGUAGAGCCAAAGUUCGUUGCGAGCUAACUAACAACAACAACAGAAAAGUGCAUGUGCCGGCAUGUCCAAUCACGGAGAAUUUCUGCUUGAAAAGAAUGGUAGCAACAUCAAAGAAGGGCUUAUUAAAGGUUUUCUUUCCUUUUUCUUUUUUUUUUUUCCCCUUUUCUUCUUAUUUAUUUAUAAAAUCAAAUUCCAUAUUGUUCGAUGCUCCGACGGAUCAUGGUGACAGAAAAUCUAAAUAAAAUUAGUGAUGAAUUUUUUUUUUCUUUUCCCCCUUUCUAAAGAAAAGUGACACAAUGGCUUAAAUUCUAACAGAAAUUGGCAGGAUAGUUUUUCCAAUUUAGUUUAAAGCUCAGAUACGCACUUAAUGCACCAUAAUUCAGCUAGGUUACUAUGAUUUUAAGCUAAAACAUGUUAAGAAGUAAUUACUUGAAAAUUUUCGUUUCUACCUGUGCAAGACGAGUUCGUUUCCGGAAGGCGUCGGCGGCUCCUCAUUCUUCUUCUCGGCAUCGCGAUCGGUUUGGAGCUGCUCGAGCUGUUGCUCGACGGCGGCGGGGAGGAGGUGGGGGUGAGUGACGAGCAUCUGCGACAGGAACUGCCCGAACGGCGACUCCAAUCGCAGGGGAGCGAUCGGAGACGACGAUGGAUUAUCCGACGAGGAGGGCGAGGACAACGAUGAUGAAACCCUAAUCGCACUUCUCCUACACGGUCCUCCAAAUGGCCUCUGCGACCGCUUCAGCACCGAAAUCGAGCCAAAACCCUAUCAAAGACGAAUCAAUACACACCAAAUUUAGAACAGGAAAAAGAAAUGAGAAGCAUAAUCAUAUACAUACCUUGAUCGAUCUGGUGGGGAAAUGGGGUUUCGGAUCGAAGGAGAGGAGAUCGCGGCGGGCGAAAUCGGGAGCUCGGGAGAGGUAAAGAGGAAGAGGAGGAGAUCGAAGCGCCGCUGCAGUUUCCAUGGAUCGAGAUCUCCUAGAUUCAGAGAAACUGGGGAGGGGGAGUGAAUAAGAUCAGAUCCAAACCCUAGAUUAAGGGGAGAAAUCGAUCAAAAAUACCUGAAAUUAGGGUUUGAUGAUCGAUCAAAUGAAUUGAAAUGGGAUGGGGAAUUGGGGAUCGAAGUAGACGAAUAUAUGAAGAAGAAGAAGAAGAAGAAGAAGAAGGGUUUUACACGGCCCUCACGUUGAACGAAUUUGGCAGCUUGGGGAUUAUUUAUUUGUACUGUGUGGUGACAGCGUCGACAAGAAGAAGAUUUUGGUGCAGUAGUUGGACUUUAUUACGAAACAGUUAAUGUUAUAAUUUUUUUAAAUUAUUAAUUUUAAUUAUUUAAUUUUGUCUAAUUUGUAUUUGUAUAAAAAAUUUAUCAGUUUUGUAUUUAGGUAUAAACGAGCCACUACGGUGGAACUUUUUAGUGUACUAAUUAACUAAAAUGUUUUUAUUUUUUCUUUAUUUUUUUCGUUCGUUCGUUCGUCUUUUUUCUUUCACUUUUGAUUCAUCUUCUUUCUCGCUGCUUCUUUCUUUUCUUCUCUUUCAGUUUCCUCUCCCUUUUUCUUUUCCACCUUCCACACGUCGACGCCGCGCUUCAUUCUCUUAUUUCGCCCCUACUUCGGUCGACGCCGACUUAAAUAUGGCACAGAUUGGCUGCGGCGAAGUAUAUGGCCGCGGACGGCAGUGGCAACGAGGGUGCCGUAAGAUUUGAGGACGACAGGGAGAAAGAGUGCGUCGAGCGGGGAUGGUGACUGCGGCAGAGAGGGAGGGAGGAAGGGGACACAAUAAUAAUAAAAAAAAAGAUAUAAAGGUUGUAAAGAAAGAAAGAAGAAAGAAUAAAAAUAAAAUAUAAAAAAAUUCUUCCGAAAAAUUAUUAUGUGCUGUGGCCACUAUAGGAAAGACCAAAAGCAAAAAAUAAAGAAAAAGAAGGCGAAAUUACUGUUUGGAAUUAAAAUUAUACUUUUUAAAAUAAAAUUUGUACGAUUUGAUAUUUUGAGAUAAAAUUUGUACUAUUUAAAAUAAAAGUUACACUCUUUAUGACGAAAGCUGCAUAAUUUAAAAUUAUUUAAAAUUAGAUUAUAUAAUAUGAAAUAAAGAUGGUAAUUUUCGAGGCGAAUGAUUGAAUUAUAUUUUUAUGCACAUACAUCUGAAAAAUAAAUAAUAUAAUUACAUAAAUAAAAAUUAUUUACUGUAUUCUAGUCCUACUAAAAUUUGAGCCGGAAUAUAAUUUAAUUUUUCAUUAUUAUUAUUAUUAUUAUUAUUAUUAUUAUACCACACGAAAGGUUCCUCUGGUAAAUGUUAGAAUAUUAGUGAUGGCGACAUGUUGGUCGCUUUGCAUGAGUAAUUUGUGGAUCUUUGUACUUUCGUGAGAGAAAGAGAAAUCACUAUUGGAUUUGACAACAAAAACCGAGUUCCGAGCUCUCCGCCACCACUAACACACUUCGAACGCACGAAUAUCGCACAGUGGGGCAACCAAGUUUGUGGUCUCUUUUAAUUACUGUUGCACUCUAAUGAUGUCAAAGUAGUCCACGACGAGGCAAGAUAUACACCUCAAGUUUUUUAUUUUUUAUUGUUCUUCUCAAAAAUAGAGGAUGAGACCAAAAAGAAAGCAAAUUUUUAUUUGGAGACUUGAACUUGCACAUCUUGUUUGGCUAGUUUAAAUUCUAGAAUUCCAGAAAAUUACAAGCAUGCAAAUUAUUUAUUUGUCAACAAAAUAUUAAACAGAAAAAUAAUUUUUUUAAGGUCAAUUUGCAUAAAACAUUCAUAAAUUUUAAGCUUUUGCAAAAGUGAUUGCCGGCGCCUCGUACGUGGAGGGGCAAUCUUGCUUCUAGGACAGUGCAAUCGCACGCCUCGACUCACAGGCUCCAUCUAAUCCUUUAUUCUCUAUAGUUUUUAUUUAUUUCGUUCUUAAUCAACGUUUCUAAAAACAGUGGAUAAGUUGUUUUCAAACAAAACUGUUUAUACAAAUAUUUGACUACAGAUUUCGAAAGAGAACUAGCUUUUCCAACACUCCUUGGACCUGAGGCAUCAUGGUUACUUCACAUGUACGUAGAUUGCUACUGUUUGACUGUACUAAUACUUAGACUCUAAUCAUUGGUCUACGUCUGGUACUGAUUGGCUGUAGUAGUUUAUAUGGGAAGGCAUGUGAAUGCGCAAUAAGGAAUUCAACACUCUCAAUAGUGAGAGAGAAUAUCCUAUGUAGAUUAUCGAACUUGACUCGGAAAAUCCUUGACCAGGGUACGUGGUGUGUGGAAAGAGUUUCUAGCUGUGUUACUAUAUUGAGUCAAUUUUAGAUAUUCUAGUCAUAUGAUCGAAUAAUAAGAUUUGGCGAGUAACCAUAAUUUUAGUUCAAUCGGGGCGUUGUGUGUUGGAAGGAAUUAAUCACACGGUAACGGUUAGCGGAAAGAUUCAUUUUUCAUCAUCAUUCUGAAUUGCCGUGAUAUACUGCUAGGUGUCACUCGCGGACAGUGAGAAAAGUAAAAUUAAUUUAAAUAAAUUAUUUUAUAGAUUAGAAGAGUUCUAAUUCAAUAUUGAAGAGUUUGAUAUUGAAUUCCACCGCCGAAUGAUAAUGGACCUACGUGGUCACACACAAUAGGAAUUGUGUGCAUCCAAUUUGAUAAGAUGAGUCUAAUUAAUAUACUAAACAGUUUAGUUGAAAUAGUGAGAAUCAUGAUUUGAUUUAAUCUCUAAUUAGAUUAAAGAAUAAUUAAAUAUUCAUAUAUUAUUAUGACCUAAUAUUCUAAUUAGAUUAGAUUUAAAUAUGAAUUUUUAAUUUAAUGGAUAAGAUCUAAUUAAAUUAAAGAGAGAGAUAAAGAUAAAAUAUCUAUAUGGAUAAGCAUAAAUUUAUUUUUACUUAUCCUAUGUGGCAACUAAUUGGAAAUGAUCCAAUUAGUAGACAACUAAUUGGAUGUGAUCCAAUCAGUUGCAACAGGUAGUGGGAUGUGCUGGUUUGUAUGGCUUUAAUUAGAUCGUGGGAUCUAAUUAGUUGCAACAGAUCGUAAGAUGUACAUAAGGCGCGGCUUUAUUAGUAGUUAUCAGAGUGACUACGUGAGGAGAUAUAUAUAAUAACUUUACGAGAGGGAUUUAAUGAUCGCCUCUUGAGAAGUAUCAGAUUAUCCAUCUCUGUCUAUUAUCCUUCGUGAAAAUUAGUAAAUCUCACAAAAGGGAACGUAGAUAUCAGAAGACUGCUAGCACUGUCUUUUGUAAUCUGUGACUCAUCUGUUUCGUGCGACGGAAGGCGUUGGAUUUGCAUCAAUUCCGUGUGGAUACGCGUAGAGGCCGGGCACGUGCGCGGCUAAUCGGAAUUUCAGUUUCAACCGUACAGUAGAUCAAGAGAUCUUAAUUGGUCCGAGGUGAUGUAGCCUAAACUUCAAAUCUGUUUAGGUUAAAUUAUUAUUUUACAUUGUAACAUGAGAAUGAUCCGCCAGCACUGGAUUGAUUUGUUUUUGUUUUGGUUCAUAUGUGAUAUGGAUUUUUGUUUUUCAAAAUUACUAUUUUAAUUUCUGCUGCGAUUCUUUUGUGCCGGAUAAAUUCUUACAGUGGUAUUAGAGCCAGGUUCUCAUGUUCUAUGUAAAAUACUAAUGAUCUGUAUGGUUUGAUUAAAAUUUUGGAACCUUUUACGAUUAGAUCGAUAUUGUUGUUUUUAAAUUGCACGUAUUGUGAUUUAUUGGUUUUACACCAUAAAAUAUAUACGUGGAGAUUUGAGAAAAACAUAUUAUUGAGUUCCAAAAUUUUAAUCGAUGUUUAGAUCGAUUUGGUUAUUAUUUUCUGCAUAGUUUUAAGAUGGGUGAUGAUCAUGGACCUUAGACAUCUGUGAUGUGAUUAUGGAUGUAUUUGUAAUUUGAUUAUGGAUGUAUAAUUUUGAUUACAAAGGGCCUGCGUGCCACUUUUAUUGGGAUCUGCGAAUCCUUGUAUUUUUUAUUAGAUAAAAUUAGGAUUAUUUGGAGAAGAAUCCACAUCAAGCGUUGAUGAAUUGGCGUCGCAAAUCGUGAUGGCAUCAAAAGGAUGUAUCAGAUCCAAUAGAAGAAGAUGGCUAAAUAUUUGCAAAAGUUGAGAAUAUGUGUGUAUCACCGUAUUGACCGAUUUGACUCAUCGGCUCGAGUCGAAUCAGAAAAGUCCAUGAUCAUCCCUAAGCUAUGCAAUUUAUUUUUGUGUAUGUGAUACGUGUGUUUUAUUUUAUAUGAGAUAUAACAUGUGAUGGUGAGACCGAUAUAUUUUAAAAGUUUUUAAACCCCCUAUAAAAUAUUAAGUUGAAACGAAGGGGCAUUUGAUGUUCUAUCGUGGCCUUCCACCGAUCACAAGAUGUAGCAUAGUUUCAAGCAUUGAGUAGUUAUGCAUGGUCCCAUGGGGCUACUUGUGUUUGAACUAUGCGAACAUCUUGACAUAGAAUGCUACAAUAUGGCAUUAUCAAUGGAUUCAAUAAACUGUCCGGUGAGGGUCUUUUGAUAAUUCCAUAUUUGUAGGAGAGGAGGAUUAGACUUAACUAAGGUUGUUGCGCCAAGAAACCGUCCGGUGAGGCGUAAAAAUCUUAGAGGCCAAAGGACGAUUGGAUUGCACAUAAGAUGUGUCGAAGUAAGAUGUUACCCGUUUAUUAAAUUACGAUUUUUCAAGAAACUGUCUGGUGAGAUAAAUCAUAAUUUAUGAAACCCCAAUCACCACUAAGAAAUCUAACGGAUGAGGAUUUCCGUCUUUCUACUUAGGGAGUAUAGAAAUUCGAUAAAAUUAGUGGGAGGAACCUUUUAAAUUGAAAGACCCUAGUUUAAUAGGUUAAAAAGAAAAAUACUCAUCUGACUAAAAUCUCUACUUUCUGCAGACAAAAUGAAUGCCUCUAACCCUUUUUCUUGCCUAAUGGAAUCUAACCGAUUAACCGGUCCAAAUUUCCAAGGCUGGCUACGUAACCUAAAAAUUAUUUUAGGUAUUGAAAAGCUUGAUUAUGUUCUUCAAACUCCAAUUCCCGAGCUUAUCGCUGAGGCCACAUUUGAAGAAGUUGAGGAGAGAGACAAGUGGGUUGAUGAUGACCAGCGUGUCAAAUAUUACAUGCUGAUCUCUAUGUCAAAUGAGUUGCAACGACAGCAUGAGAACUAUGCUUGAGCAUAUGAGAUGCUUCCGCACUUACAAGAGUUGUAUGGUGCACAAAGCCGAACCGCAAGAUAUGAGAUAUCAAAGCGAUUGUUUAAGGCUCAGAUGACUCCAGGCACGUUAGUUAGUGAACAUUGUCUUAAAAUGAUUGAUGAUAUGGAGCAACUGAUAAACCUCGGCUUGAACUUGGACGCAGACUUGCAGAUCGAUCUAGUUCUACAGUCUUUGCCAGAAUCGUUCCCUCAUUUCGUAAUGAACUUCAACAUGAAUAAAAUUCAUGCCACUUUGUCCGAGCUCAUGAAUAUGCUAGUCACAGCGGAAAGCACGUUGAAAACAAACGGGAUGGCAAUGGCGACGGGAUGGCAAUGGCGGUUGAAAGAACUUCAAAAGGAAAGUUCAAAGGAAAGAAAAAGUUUCCUAAGUUCAAGUCAUCGGGUGGAGUGAAGCAAGCCAAUUUUAAGAAAUCCGACAAAGGCAAGGUUAAAGGAAAAUGUUUCCAUUGCGGAAAGGAUGGGCAUUGGAAGAGAAAUUGUAAAAAAUAUCUUUCUAGCCUAAAAGAAAAAUUGAAGGAGGGGCCUUCUGAAGAUACGAACGAAAUGCUCAUCGUUGAGGCCAAUAUGAUUGGCUCUACUUCUUCUUGGGUAUUAGUUUCUGCAUGCACCAUAUAUCUUUGUAAUUCAUUGCAGGAUCUAAGGGAAGUAGAACACUGAAGGACUGCGAGGUGACCCUACGUGUGGGUAAUGGAGCAAGCGUUGCUGUAUUAGCCUUAGGGAGCUGUUCUUUUGAGACUUCCAUCUGGACAUAUUUUAGAAUUAGAGAAUUGUUAUUAUUCUUCUUUAGUUGUUAGGAAUUUGAUUUCUGUUACAACUUUAGUUCGAACUGGUUAUCGUUUUAAUUUUGAAACUAAUGGUUGUUUUAUUUAUUUCCAAAAUAAAUUGAUAGCUACUGGUAGUUUAGUUAACAAUCUCUACUUUCUAAAACUGGAUGGAAAUGUUGCUAAUAUUGAACAUAAAGAGAAUAAUUCUCAAAUCAAGAGACCUAGAGAUAAUAGUCUGAACCAAAAGUAUCUAUGGCACCUUCGACUAGGUCACAUUGCAGAAAAUAGGAUAAACCGACUAGCCAAGGAUGGGCACUUGGGAACUUGUGCUUUAGAAUCCUAUCCAAUUUGUGAGUCUUGUCUUCAAGGCAAAAUGGCCAAGUCACCCUUUGUUGGACAAAGAGAGCGAGCCACAGAGUUACUUGCCCUUGUGCACUCAGACGUGUGUGGACCGUUUAGUGAAACGGCUCGGGAUGCUUAUCUUUACUUUGUAACUUUUACCGAUGAUCAUUCACGGUAUGGGUUUGUGUUUCUUAUGAAACACAAGUCUGAAACCUUUGAAAAGUUCAAAGAGUUCAGAUAUGAAGUAGAGAAGCAGAUAGAAAAAAGUAUUAAGGCUCUUCGAUCAGAUCGAAGAGGCGAAUACCUUAGUGCUGAAUUUUUAAAUUAUCUCAAAGAAAACGGUAUCCUCUCGCAAUGGACACCUCCUGGAACUCCGGAAUUGAAUGAAGUUUCAGAAAGAAGGAAUCGUACUUUAUUAGAUAUGGUACGAUCGAUAAUGAGCUUCAUAGACUUAUCUUUAUUUCUUUGGGGUUAUGUUCUAUUAACUGCAGCCUAUAUUCUAAAUAGGGUGCCUUCAAAAUCUGUUCCUUGUACUCCGCAUGAGAUGUGGUUAGGCAAAAAACCGGGUCUCAAUCAUUUAAGGAUUUGGGGAUGCUCAGCUUUUGUUAAAAAACUUAAAACAGAUAAAUUGGAGGCUAGAUUGGAUAAAGGAUGAUUUAUUGGUUAUCCUAAGGAGUCUAUGGGAUACUAUUUUUAUCUUCAAAAUGAACAAAACGUGAUUGUUAGCCGGCAUGCAAUAUUUUUGGAAAAAGAGUUUAUCCAAGAAGGUGGUGCCGGAAAGGAGAUAGUGCUCAAAGAGAUGGUCUCAAAUGAGCAAACAAUUUCUCUAGAACAAUCUGAACAAGCUAUUCAAACUGAACCCACUAUUACACAAUUACCUCGAAGAUCUGGUAGAAUAUCCCAACCUCCAGAGAAAUAUCGAGAUUUCGUUAUGGAAUGCACAAAGGAAAUGUUCCUCAUUGGCGAUAGUGAUCGCAGGGAUGAUCCUACUAGUUACGAAGAGGCGAUGUUAGACAUCGACUCAAUAAAAUGGCAAGAAGCUAUGAAGUCCGAAAUGGACUCAAUGUAUACCAAUCACGUAUGGACUCUUGUUGAUCCGCCAGAAGGUAUAGUACCUGUUGGUUGUAAAUGGAUUUUCAAGAAAAAGAUUGGUGUGGAUGGAAAAGUAGAGACAUACAAGGCGAGACUUGUAGCAAAAGGCUACAGUCAACGAGAAGGUCUCGACUAUAAAGAAACGUUCUCUCCUGUGGUCAUGCUUAAAUCCAUUCGAACGUUGCUUGCCAUAGCCGCAUACUAUGACUAUGAAAUCUGGCAAAUGGACGUAAAAACUGCUUUCCUCAAUGGAUUCAUAGAGGAGGACAUAUAUAUGCAACAGCCUAAGGGGUUUGUGUCUGAUAGCCAUAAGCAUAAAGUAUGUAAGCUUCAGAGGUCCAUUUAUGGAUUGAAGCAGGCUUCGAGGAGUUGGAACAUACGGUUCAAUGAUGCAGUCAAAACGUUUGGCUUCGUGAGAAAUCAAGAUGAACCUUGUGUUUACAAAAAGACUAGUGGGAGCCAACUUGUCUUUCUCGUAUUGUACGUAGAUGAUAUUCUUUUGAUUGGAAAUGAUGCUGGUUUGAUGACCUCUGUCAAGGUUUGGUUGUCCCAGAAUUUCUUAAUGAAAGAUCUAGGAGAGGCAGCCUAUAUCCUUGGAAUUAAGGUCUAUAGAGAUAGAUUUAAGAGAUUGAUCGGUUUGUCAACAGCAGAUGUACAUAGAAGAUGUGUUGAAAAGGUUCAAUAUGGAAAAUUCCAAAAGGGGUCUUCUUCCUCGUAGACAUGGAAUUAAUCUUUCCAAGAUGAUGUGUCCUAAAACACCUGAGGAAAGAGAGCGUAUGAGCAGAAUUCCCUAUGCUUCCGCAAUAGGAAGUCUUAUGUACACUAUGCUAUGUACAAGACCAGAUAUCGCAUAUGCCAUAAGUGUUACGAGCAGAUAUCAGUCCAAUCUAGGUGAAGAACACUGGACUGCUGUGAAGAAUAUCCUUAAGUACUUGAGAAGAACUAAGGAUUUGUGUUUAGUGUAUGGUGGAAAUGAGCUAACGUUAAAAGGCUUCACAGAUUCAGACUUCAUGUCAGAUGUUGAUGAUAGAAAGUCAAUAUCAGGAUAUGUCUUUACAUUGAAUGGUGGGGCUAUCAUUUGGAAGAGUUCCAAACAGAAUACAACAGCAGAUUCCACCACUAAAGCAGAGUACAUUGCAGCAUCUGAGGCAUCAAAGGAGGCAGUUUGGCUUCGAAAAUUUGUCACGGAACUAGGAGUGGUGCCUUCUAUUGAGGAGCCAAUGCCACUUUAUUGUGACAAUAAUGGAGCUAUAGCGCAAGCUAAAGAACUGAGGUCUCACCAGAAGUCCAAGCAUAUAGAUCGGCGCUACUACAUCAUCCGACAAUUUAUAGAUGAGCGUCAGAUUGUUGUGCAGAAAGUAGCAUCCGUAGACAAUAUAGUGGAUCCCCUUACUAAGCCGCUCACACUUCAAAAGCUGGAUGUGCAUUUAGAAAGAAUGGGUAUGAGAUACAUGAGCGAUUGGCAUUAGUGUAAGUGGGAGAUUGUUAGUGAUAUACCCUAAAGCCAAUCGGUGACAUAGGCUUGUGAACAUAUUAAGUAUUUUUCUUAAUUAAUAAAGAGCAAGUUUUAUUCAUAUUUAUUGUUAGCAGUACAAUACAUUUAUAUGAAUCGUCCAUUGAAUCUUCGUUAAGAAAAUAUAUUCCUAAGAGUUAGGAAUUUGAGAUAUAUAUUUCUUUGUACAAGAUUCUUAAAUGCUCCUAGCCAUAGGAAUAUCAUAAGGACGAUGAUAUUUCCGGAUAGGCCGGUGUAUGCUAUAUUUCUAAGUUGAGGUGACGAAUCUCAAGUCAUUAGUGUAGAGACACUAAAAUAAGCAUGUAGGUGCUUGUUAGCGAACAAGUACACUGAGCAUGACCAUUUAGUUGAGCAGUCACAUUGUUCCAUAUUCGCUAGUGACUUAUUCUUUGCUACAGUUGUGUGAAGUACUUCUUGGACUUGAGGCAUCAUGGUUGCUUCACAUGUAGAUUGUUACUGUUUGACUGUACUAAUACUUAGACUCUAAUCAUUGGUCUACGUCUGGUACUGAUUGGCUGCAGUAGUUUAUAUGGGGAGGCAUGUGAAUGCACAAUAAAGAAUUCAACACUCUCAAUAGUGAAAGAGAACGUCCUAUGUAGACUAUCGAACUUGACUCGAAAAAUCCUUGGCCAGGGUACGUGGUGUGUGGAAAGAGUUUCCAGCUGUGUUACCAUAUUGAGUCAGCUUUAGAUAUUCUAGUCAUAUGAUCGAAUAGUAAGAUUUGGCGAGUAACCAUAAUUUUAGUUUGAUCAGGGCGUUGUGUGUUGGAAGGAAUUAAUCACACGGUAGCGGUUAGCGGAAAGGUUCAUUUUCAUCACCAUUCUGGAUUGUCGUGAUAUACUGCUAUGUGUCACUCGCAGACAGUGAGAAAAGUAAAAAUAAUUUAAAUAAAUUAUUUUAUAGAUUAGAAGAGUUAUAAUUCAAUAUUGAAGAGUUUGAUAUUGAAUUUCACUGCCGAAUGAUAAUGGACCUACGUGGUCACACACAAUAGGAAUUGUGUGCAUCCAAUUUGAUAAGAUGAGUCUAAUUAAUACACUAAACAGUUUAGUGGAAAUAGUGAGAAUCAUGAUUUUAUUUAAUCUUUAAUUAGAUUUGAGAUUAAAUAUUCAUAGAUUAUUAUGAGAUAAUAUUCUAAUUAGAUUAGAUUUAAAUAUAAAUAUUUAAUUUAAUGGAUAAGAUCCAAUUAAAUUAAAGAGAGAGAUAAAGAUAAAAUAUCCAUAUGGAUAAGCAUAAAUUUAUUUUUACUUAUCCUAUGUGGCAACUAAUUGGAUAUGAUCCAAUUAGUAUGACAACUAAUUGGAUGUGAUCCAAUCAGUUGCAACAGGUAGUGGGAUGUGCCGGUUUGUACGGCUUUAAUUAGAUCGUGGGAUCUAAUUAGUUGCAACAGAUCGUAAGAUGUACAUAAGGCGCGGCUUCAUUAGUAGUUAUCAGAGUGACUACGUGAGUAGAUAUAUAUAAUAACUUUACGAGAGGGAUUUAAUGAUCGUCUCUUGAGAAGUAUCAGAUUAUCCAUCUCUCUCUAUUAUCCUUCGUGAAAAUCGGUAAAUCCCACAAAAGGGAACGUAGAUAUCAGAAGACUGCUAGCACCGUCUUUUGUAAUCUCCGACUGAUCUGUUCCGUACGACGGAAGGCGUUGGAUCUGCAUCAAUUCCGUGUGGAUACGCGUAGAGGCCGGGCACGUGCGCGGCUAAUCGGAAUUUCAGUUUCAACCGUACAGUAGAUCAAGAGAUCUUAACUGGUCCGAGGUGAUGUAGCCUAAACUUCAAAUCUGUUUAGGUUAGAUUAUUAUUUUACAUUGUAACAUGAGAAUGAUCCGCCGGCACUGGAUUGAUUUGUUUUUGUUUUGGUUCAUGCGAUUCUUUUGUGCCGGAUAAAUUCUUACACCAAUACCGUGGAGGUCGCUGCGGCGCUGCAGCCUCGGAGCAGGGGGUCCUUAGCGGCAUCGUCGUGAGGACCGUGGACGUUGGCAAAGAGGGGUGACAAAAAAAAAUUAUAGAAGAAGGAAGAAAAAAAAAUAAAGACAAAGAAUUAUAGAAAAAGAAAGAUGAAGAUGAAAUUGAAUCGUUAAAAUAAAAUUGCAUUAUUUUAAAAAAAUAUUGCAGUAUUAUGGACAUAAGUUGUACUACUUAAGAUAUAAACUGCACCAUUUAAGAUAAAAAUUACACUAUUUAAACGAAAAUUGUACUUUUUGGAAGAUAUUUAUAUUUUUUUUUCUCUUAUUAUACUAUUUCAAAUGCAAACUGCAUCAUUUAAGAUGAAAGUUAGACUUUUUAAAAGAAAGUUGCACUCUCUGAUAGCUCCUCUUCUUGCACUCUUUGAGAUAUAAACUGCAUACCUUUAAAGGGUGUAGUUUAAGAGGAGAAAUAGUGUAAUAAGAGGAGAAACAGUGCAACAAGAGGAGAAACAAUGCAACAAAAGGAGAAACAGUAUAAAUAUCUCUUAAAGGGGGCAGUUUACAUCUCAAAGAGUGUAAGAAGAGGAGAAAUAGUGUAGAUAUCUCUCAAAGAGUGCAACUUUCGUUUAAAGAGUGUAACUUUCAUCUUAAAUGAUGCAAUUUAUAUCUGAAAGAGUGCAAUGAGAGGAGAAACAGUGUAAAUAUCUUUCAAAGAGUGCAAUUUUUAUUUAAAGAAUGUAAUUUUUAUCUUAAAAGAUACAGUUUACAUUUUAAGUAGGGCAACUAUGUCUAUAAUAGUGCAACAUUUUUUUAAAACAGUGCAAGUUUAUUUUAAUGGUGCAAUUUCAUCUUCAUUUUUUUUCUAUAAUUUUUUGUCUUUAUUAUUAUUUUUCUUCUUCUAUAAUUUUUUUUGGUCACCCCUCUUUGCCAACGGACACGGCACCGGCGACGACGUCGCUAAGGACCCCCAGCUCCGAGGUUGUUGCGCCGCAGCGACCUCCACGGUAUCAGCGUUGGCGAAGAUGCAUCGUCGUCGGAGGCGGCAGAGGAGGAGGGAGAGGGAGAGGACGAGAAGGGCGGGGAAGGGCGAGAGAGGCAUCGUCAUCGGAGACGGUGGAGGAGAGUUGGAGAGAAAAAAAAAAAGUGUCGCGGCACGGCCUCAGCGAGGUCGGAGGCAAGGAAGAUGGGGGGUGCAUGGGCGAGUAGUGGAUUUUGCAAAAUCUGGUCCGAAUCUGCAAAAUCGAAAAAGGGCCCCAAUUUUGCAAAAGCGCAAAUCUAGUGGAUUUUUUAUGCAAAUUGGCCUUUUUUUUAACUUACAAAUUUUAUUUUAAAGUAAUUGUUAUAUAUCACUUAGCAUGAACAACUCAUAAUAUUUUUUUUUUUUGAGAGAUAGGUAGCAUGCUACUCGUUUCGUUUAUUUUAUUUAGAAAUAAAUUUAGCUAAAAAUGUGAAUCGACUAGAAUUUGAACUCGGGAUCUCGGAUACUAACCUCGAAGCCUUUUGCCACUUGGGCUAGGAAUGGUCGAUGUCUUAUAAAAAUUUUAAACAGAAGUCUUGCAACUAAUAUAUUAAAUUAUAUAGAAUUAAUGUAUUAAAAAAUAUAAUAGGACAAUAACACCAAAUUAAGACUUAGUCGAGAUGAUGGUAUUGAAAAUUUUGAAGGAAAAAAAAAAGCGGAGAAAGUUUGUGACAGUUUUGAACAUAGAGAUUUUGAUUAAAAUAUAGACGCAUGAACGAAUGGGAAAAGAUUUUGAUAUCUUUAUUAAUAAACUUUGUUCGUGUAGAAAAUGAUUUUUUUUAUAAAUCUUUGCAGAUCUUUAAGAUUCCAAAUGUGUCAAAGUUAUAGAGUUUGUUUUAGGAGUUAUAAAAUUAUAAUUUUGUAUUUUGUUUGGAUUUUUCACGCAAAAAGUUUAUUGUUUUAGUGAUAACAAAAAAUUUCAAUUUUUAUUUUUCGUGAGUUGAGCAUUGUGAGUGUUUUUAUAUAAUUUUUAAAUUUUGUCAUGAAAUUGCUAAAGUAAUAAAUUGAUACGAAUUUUAGUGUUGGCUUAUUUCGUGACGAGUUGUGACACGUAGAGUUGAGUCGGAGUCUUGAAGGCCGAAAGAUGAAAAGAUCAAGAUCGAAAACUCAAAGACUGAAAAAAUAAAGCACACGAAUCUAGGUAAAUUUACAUAAAGUUAUUGGUGAUUUAUAUAUAUAUAAUUUAGUAUUUGAAAGCAAUUAAAAAUUGGAUUGACUGAUUUUUAUUCUUUACUAAAGUUUUCCUCGCGUCAAGAUCCGGAUCGUGAAAGGGUGAUAAUCUGUCAUGUACAGAUGAUCCAAACCCUAUGGAGGAUUCGAAUCCCGAACAGCAGAAUUUGCUGUUCCGAUGACAAGAUUCCGAACCCUGUCCAGAAUAUGGAUUUCGAGAGGCAUAAUUUCUAUAAACGCAGCCAGGAUCCGAACCUUGUUUUGGAUCCAGAUCCCAAACCCAAACCUGACGCAGAUUUUUUAAAAUUAGUUUUUCAAUCCUAAUCUAAUUCUAAUUACUUUCAAAACUAUAAAUAAGAUGUAAUGGUGUUUCUAAAAUGUGAAAAAUAAUUACUUUUUAGAUAUCCUAAAAACUUGUGGGUUGCUUCUUCUCUCAUCUUCUACAUCAGGUUUCUCUCAAAUUAAUUUUUAGUGUCCUAAAUUUUGAUAUUCUUCUAAAUUUAAUUUGAGAUUUGUUUAGAAAUAUUUUCUACAGAUUUUUUCAUGAUUCUCAAAGCAAGAAAUCACCAUCAACCCUAUUAUUCGUUUUCCGGACGAAAUGCACUCGUGGAUUCAAGUGGGCAUCGUAGCUUUGACAUGUUGAAGGUUUCGUGAAUUCGAAGUAUAGACGUUUCGUGAACUCAGAAUGUAACGUUCGUGGAUUCGAGUAUAGGCAUGGACUAGCCGUUGGUGUGCGCGAUAUUUAAAAAAGAUAAAAGAGAGAUUUGAGUCCGUGGUGUCUAUAAUCAUCUUAUAAUUUUUUAUUUUUUAGUGGAAUAUUAUCACGUGUUGGUCUCUUGGUUUUUUUACUCUUGGUUGACGUUUUUUCACGUAAAUCUUGAUAUGUUGAUUUUACUUUUUGGAAUUAUUUUUGUUACAUUGAGAUUUGUAUUUUUGGCCUAUAAAUCUAUUUACCUCUCACAAGAUAUUUAAUAGAUUCUAAAUAAAUUCUUGGUUCCCAACUCUAACAAGUUUUUCUAAACUUGCUGUUUGGUAUUGUAAGAUAAUGGACUUCAAUUUAUUUGAAAAAAGUUUGUGGACAAUUGACUCGCAUCCACUUACCAUAAUAUGAGGUCGGAUUCGGCGAGAACCAAAUAUAUAAUUGAUAAUAGAAGAGAAAAAGUAAUCACAUUGAAAUAAUUAUUAUUUUGCCUCAAAUAACAAAACAAAAAAGAAUUUACUUUAACUCUGAUUUUAAACCAAAUAAAAAUUUUUAGCUCGAAAUAAAUUUAACUGAAUUAUUUUCAUUUGAAUAUCAUUGGUUUAUAUUUUUAAUUAGAUGCCUAAGAAAGCGUUAAGUUGGUCAUUUGAUAUUUUAAAAUUUAAAUAUUAUUUUAAUUAAGAAUGGUAACAAAAAGAUAUUCUUGGAAAAUCUGUCCAACCCCAAUAAACUAAUUAAGAGGUUAUUUGGUUGCAUGCAGUUAUAUUUAUAUUGUUAUUUUAAUUACAUAUAAAUCCAAAUUUGAUAUUUGUUUUAAUAAAUUUGAAUACAACUACUGCAGUUAAAACUAUACAAAGAGGCUUAACCAUAGUAAUUGAAACUACACUGUACAAAUUAGUCAUAUUUUUAAUUUCGACAGUAAUUUUAAACAAGAAGUAAGCUACAUUGGGCUUAUCCCACUAUCAUGCCUCCAGUCCUGCCAAUUGGAUCCACUCGAGCACGUGCAACAGACCCGUCAAAUGGGUACUCCUACCCACACGAAACAGAGAAUAUGCCAACCAUUACAUCUAAUACAUAAUAUAUAUUCUCACGUUCCAGAUUAUAGCGGAAGCUCCAGUUACGUCAACACAUGUACAAGAACACAUCUUAUACAUAUGAAACAUCAAUAAAACUUGUCCAAAGAAAGUUACUAAUAUCCAACAACAAUAUGUAUCAGAGUAGAAUGCUGUUAUCAUACCUCAAUAAUGUAAUUGAAAACUAUAAAUAAUGUAUCUCAUGCAUCAAUAGCUGCUGAACAAAAUAAUAUAAUAAUAUCCAAUCAUAAUGAUCGACUCAACAGUCAAGUCUAAAAUUUAAAAUUUAAAUAUAUAUAAUCGAAUGUCCCUAGCCGAAGCGGCAAAAUACUUAGUGGUUGGUACCUGAGGUCUCCAAUUCAAAUCCUAGUUAAUUCACAUUUCUAGCUAAGUUUAUUUUUUUAAAAAAUAAACAUAGCUAGAAAUACCGACCGCCCCUAAAGCAAGUGGCAAAGGGCUUGGUGGUUGGUACCCGAGGCCCAAGUUCGAAUCCUAGUUGAUUCACAUUUCCAGCUAAGUUUAUUUCUAAAUGAAGUAAACGAAGCAGGUAGCGUGCUACCUAUCUCUCAAAAAAAAAAAAAACAAAGCGGGUAGCAUACUAUUUUUCUCUCCAAAAAAAAAAGAAUUGAAUUGAAAUUUCAAAAUUGAAUCUAAAAUAAAGUUAAAAUUUUAAAAUUAUAGUCUCCAAAAUCAAGUAUUUGUGUUAGUGGCAUUAUAUUCAUACGCCACUAAUAAACUACUUAAAAUUUGCAUUUAACAGCCAUUUUAGCGGCAUGUUUCUAAUGACACUAGUUGAUUCACAUUGGCGACAUUGUUAUAAAUGUUGCUAAUACUUUUAGUAAUAUUGAUAUAGACCGCAUUUGGUGUUAGAUGCUUGUCACGUUUGUGCUCUAGCGAAGUCUACCCGGUACGUGCACAAACCCGGUGUGUGCACUAGGCAAUCCCAGUGCACACAAGGCAUACUCAACAAGAAGCACGAUGUGAACAAAAAAUAGUAAAGUUCAAACAUUAUACAUGAGAGAAUCAGAGUAUACAAGAGAUUCUAUGAACAAAGUUAAAUGAAAAAUAUAGACCUUUCACAAGAUAGACAAUAUGUAUCAAUCCAAAAGUACACCUUAUGAACACUAAAACGGUCACUAUACAAAAGUAAACUAAUGCGCCUUUCAAGACAAAAAUCAAAAGAAAGAUGCCGCGGGUCCACCUCUAGCCACUCUUGUAGGCUUUGGCUAGUCGCUAAUCCCUUUCCGUGGCCCCUAACCUGUUCUGCCGUGGAAACCUCUGAAACAAAAGCAAACAAACAAAGGGCAUGAGAAUUAUUAAAAAAUAGUUUUCAGUGGGUAAGACGUCGAGAAGAGCGAAAUACACUACUAGAUUAACUGAGGCAAGAUUAGUUGAUAGUUGAAAUGAAAAGCUAGUAUAUACGAGCUGAAAUAUACUUUCUUCUUCAAGCUCCACUCCAAGUCUUAGGAGCAAGCAUCCAUGGUGGAAAAGAAAAAAAGAAGGAAAAAUCCAAGGGAGAAGGAAGGAAGACCCACCUUCUCUUGUUUCCUUCACCCUCUCCAAAUGAGAGAAGUAGAGGGGGUGAAAUGGGUAUAAACCCAUUUCCACAAAAUCCUAAUAGACCCCUCAACAAUCAAAAACUUGCGCCUCGUGUGAAAUCAACUCUGCACCAUUGAGUACCACCACACGAAUUGGAGUACUACUGGUACCCUCGGUAAUUUCGGUAUCCAGAAGCUCAGUCCCGCAAAACUCGAAUGUUGGAUUUUUUGAUUUCUAUUGCGUUCCAAUACCCGCUUGAAUCAGUACGGUACCACGUGAGUCAGUACCGAUACUCAGUCGAGUUCUGCAAAACUCGAGGGCUUCUCAAAUCCGCGCUCAACUAAGAAUUCAGUAUCGGUACUCAACACAAAAACUGCAAUUUUGUAGAUUUUGAUGUCAAAAUCCGUUCUCGCGCUCUUUAAGCGCCGAAAAUAGGUCUACACUCUCGGAACUUCAACCAAAACUUCCAGAAAAGCUUAAAAUACUAUUCUCACUCUAGAAUUCUGCAAUUUGUUAACGUUCAGUGUGCUACAAUGCUGAUAAAACUUUUAGCGACAUUCAUUGAUCUAUUAGCAACGUAAAUAAAAAUCACUAAUGACUACUUUUCUAGUAGUGACAGUUAUAGUCACAAACUAUCUAUCACUGUCUAUUGAUUAUUAGGGCAAUAUCAUAUAAUACUAAUAGUAAAAAAUAUGAAUGUCUCAAAAUAGGUAGGUGUCAAAAUUUCACUAUUAUCUCAACUAUAUCAACAGCUCAUCUCAUUGGCUAAACAAUAAUAAUAUGGGCAUAGAAGUUAGUCCGCUAAUUUUGACAAUACGGAAUCCACCUAUAUUACAUAUCUAAGAAACAAACGAUAGUCAAGAUAGUAUAACACACUGAACCAUUGCAAAUAGCGAGGUUCGAGUGUUUGAUCUGUAUUCCGAGCUUUACCAGUUAUUCUGGAGGGUCGUAGACAGUAUUCCGGCCUAUGGCUCGUAUCCCGAGAAUUGAGGUUUAAAACUUGUACCAAAAUCCAAAAAGAUGGAUUGUUGGUCCUGCUCUCGGGUCAGCCUCAGCCAGGCUGUGUACCGGUACAACCUUGAUGGUUGUACCGGUACAGGAUUUGUACCGGUACACCUUGAUUGUUGUACCGGUACACUAUGGGAUUUCUGCCAACCUGAGGCUCGAGUUGGGCUGUUUCGUAGGAAGUGUACCGAUACACUUUCCCGUGUACCGGUACACAAUGCAGACUGGGCAGUUUUUCAGGCAGGGGUGUUUUUGUAAUUGUUGCAUCUCUAUUUAAACACCACCACAGCCUUUGGGGGGCUCUUUUGAGCCCUCGACCUGUGGAGAAGAGGUGAGAACUCCUCCCCUUUGAUUCCUUCUCCAUUUUUGUUGGAUUCUAGCUAGUUUUGAUCUCUCUCUUCUUCUCCUUCUUGCUUUAUGAUAGUUUUUCUCUAUGGGAGAAGCUUGGAUUUCGGGAUUAGAGUUUGUUUGAGGAUCAACCUUCAACCUUAGAGGACUCUAGGCUUGGUUUGGAGCUUCCAAGAGGUAAGCAACAAGUUUCUUUCUUCUAGAUUUGUAUUUUGUUGCUUUAUGUUAGUUGAAACCCUAGAAUGUGAUAUUAGGGUUAGAAUUGGAGAUUUUUGAUUGGAGGCUUCUAGAACCAAAUUGAUUGGUUUAGAAUCAUGGUUUAGGUUGGCUUUGAAGGACUCUAACUCCCAUUUGGAGAUCGAGAGAGUUUCCUUCGCGUUCGGUGAGUUUUCACCUUUUCCUUGAGUUGCUUAUUGUUCGUUCACUCGGGUAUUCGUAAAGUUUGUUUAACUCUCUUUUCUAUACUUUUAGGGUACUAGGAGAGUGGUGGACACCUUCAUCAGAGCAAACGAAGGGUUUCAGUUAGCUUCAGUGGGUUUGGCUUCAUUGGAAUAGGAGAAAAUGUCUCCUAAGUGGUUAAAUGCUUCCGUAUCAUCGUGGUUUAUGCAUUUUCAUCCUAGAUAGAAUUUAUGUGAAUUUUUGAAUACUUAGAAUGCAUGCAUUAUGUAUCAUGAAUAUUUCACUCUAUGUGUAGAGCCCUAUGUGUAGUAUCUAUGCAUGUGUUAAGUACUCUUAUUGCAAGUUUGGGAAUAUGUCUCUUAUGAGGAAAAUGUUUAGAAUUUUGUACUCUUGAAUAUAAUCACCAUGCUUGACUUAGUGGACAAAGUGCCAUAAAGGGGCACCUGACUUAGAAAACUGUGAAACUGCAACUUAGAGACAUAUUGAUAGGUCAUUCUGACAUCCCCUAUUAUUCUAUGUUUUAGACAUGACGACGUAGUGGUAGGCCAUCGAGAUUCUUGAUAUAUUCCAUGUUUUUAGACAUGAGGACUUGGUACUUGAGACAGAUCUUUCGCUUGCUUGCCAUUGUGCUCAUUUGCACAUGCUUGUAAGGGUCGCUCCCUACAAGCCGGCACUCCGGAGAUAGCCAUUGCGACAUAUGCUCGCUCGUGCGGGAUUGGGCGCCGAAAUGGGAUGCCGUGGGGGAGGCUCAUUCCUAGAGUGGAGGUGUUGACUACCACCGGGCCAUUAGGCACGGUGCAGGCCAGACAGCCUAUGGGUGGGUCUUACAUGAUUGAAACUUAGUGACAGAACAUGCCAUUUGGACUUUGACUAGAAUAGUAGACAAUGACAUUUACUAUUUAGCUUGUGGACAUUAUGUUAGUGAUGCUCGUUUACAUUCAUAUUACAAUAGCUUUAUUACUUAUGCAAUUUCAUACUAAGUAGAGACAUCAUAUUGUAGUAAAUUUUCAUGCUUACUUACUAGUUGUUCAUAUUGCUUACAUUUACAUUUACCCUUUUUUAGUUGUUCGGCCUAGUGGCGCAUUUCACUGAAGUCAGUAAUUGCCCACUGGGAACUAUUAUUUAAUAGUUCUCACGUCCUCUGCUUUAUGUUUCCUUUCAGAGCCUUCGACACCGGCGGAGGUACGGGAUCGCGGCAAGGGUGUCGCCUAGUUAGACAGAGAGGAGCUACUUUUGAGCUUAGGUGGUUACUCUUUCUUUUGUCGUAGUGAGAGAGAGAUUCUUGUACCAUGUAUAGAGACCACCUAUGUACUCUUUUAGCACUUGUAUUUGGGUUUUCUUUGUACUACUUUAUGGUUUCACUUUAUGGAUUUAUAGUUGCAUCAUUACUCUCUCGUCGUAGAAUCUAGUAGUACUUUGCUCUGAUAUCGCAUCUCUUGUAUUAUUGUUUUAUUUACUGCUUUUUCGUAGAUGCCUUAUAUGUUCUAGACAUAUGGUGGGUCUGGACAUGCGCCGGACGGACUUCCGCUGGGCCCCGGGGUGUGACAAAUUAAUUUGGUAUCAGAGCCUAGGGUUGAGUCUUAGGGGACCUAGCAAACUGGUUGGACUAUAGGAAAAAGGCUCGUGAGAGACGAGGUCUAUUUGCCUUGUAAGCGAAAGUAUCUUGAUUGGGUAUCUUGAUAACUCUAAAAAGUUGGAGUUGAUCGAAGUGUAUCGCUUCUAACUUCGCGGAGGGUUACGUUGGCGGCCGACAACAUAACAUCGGAAGUUAGUGGUGAAGAACACUUCCUUACUUUCGCAUGAUUUUGGUAUUAUCUUUUGAGCGGGGAUUCGAUAGCGUGGGUUUACUAACUUGCACUUUUAUGAUGUUGUAGUGACGAUGCCGAUUACACGUUCCCAGUCUGCCGGGGCGGAUGAUGCGGCACACCCCGAGGAGGUCGAGACCUCCGCUACUUCCGGAUCCGGCGAGGUCCGUGAGUUGAGGGGCCAGCUUGCGGCCCUCACUGAUAUGGUGGCACAGCAGACGGAGGUGAGGAUGAAGCGCCUAGAGGACCUUCUUCUGCAGCAGGCAGCAGCUUCCAGAUAGACCCAGGCCCCUACACCGCCAGCACCAGUUGUGGACGUUGCGUUGAGAGCGCCGUCCCCCGCGCCCAGUUCGUCGCGUGCAGCGUCCACGGCCGUGCCUCAGGAGGAGGCUUUGGCGGCACCACCUGUUCUGGCGCCCCCGAUUGGAGCUAUUUUUUUCGUGUUGGUUGAGAGAGCGGAGCGGGACCUACUGAUGGAGCGCCUCAACGAGUUCUGGAGGUGCGGUCCCCGGAUCUUCGACGGUGAGAAGGUCGACCACUGGAUCGUGGAAAAGUGGUUAAUGCACAUAGAGAAGCUCUUCCGCGAUACCUUCGUGGAGGAGAGGGAUUGGGUUUGGCUCGCCACACACCACCUGGACGGCAAGGCCUAUCGCUUGUGGUUGGACCUCUAGGAGCACCCCAGUACUGACUUGGCAGCUAUUACUUGGAAGAGGUUCAAGGAGCUUCUUUUGGCGCAUUACUUUUCGACCAGCGUCAAGAGGAAGAUGGAGCAGGACUUGCGAAACUUGCACCAGGGAGACAGGACAGUAGCCGAGUAUGAGCGGGAGUUUUUUUGACUUCUACACUGCGUGCCUUUCGUCGUGCGGAACGACGAGGACAAGGCCCGCAUCUUCGAGCGAGGGUUGCGACCGUCGAUCUUCCGAUUUGUGCAAUCCUCUAACCUCCAAACCUACCGGAAGGUGGUGGAUCGCGCGCUCAUCGUGGAGAGCGGCGCGACGGAUGUCCAGCAGCGGCGAGAGGCUAUGGACAAGGGUAAGGCCAAGAGACUUGCGGCUGAGGGUGCGAGCCAGACGCACUCUAGGAGGCCGUCGAAGCAUCCUAAGAGUGAGCAGCGUGGGCGUGGCUUGGCGACUCACCGUGGAGGUUCUGACCGAUGCCGGCCUCACCAGUGCGUGAUCUGUGGUGGUGCCCACAUUCCACCGCAGUGCCCGCAGCGGGGAGGGAGGUGUUUCCAGUGUGGCCAGGAGGGCCACUUCCGGACCGAGUGCCCGAGGGGUUUGUCACCGGCACCGUCAUCAGCAUCGGCAUCGGCUCUACCAGCCGCCAGCCACGGGACUCUAUCAGCCCAGUACCAGCCUAGGCGGCCACACGUCCAGUGCUAGAGUGAGGGUGCUCGACAGGCCCCGAGUGGACGUAUGUAUGCCGCUCAGACCGAGGAGGCGGCAGCAGCGGAGGAUGUGGUCGUAGGUAUCAUUUUAUUUGAUGGCAUUAGAGUUCGUGCAUUAUUUGAUACCGGUGCAUCGCAUUCAUUCAUAGAUCGGCUGUUUGCCGAGUUGCAUGGCAUCCCUAUGCUUUCUUUGUUGCAGCCGGGACGUGUAGUUGUCCCCGACCACUCUUUGGAUAUUAGAGAGUAUUGCCCCAGUUGCCCUAUUCGGAUAGGAGAUUGGGUUAUGCCUGUGGACUUACUAGCCUUGCGCAAGCUGGGGGAAUUUGAUGUGGUCUUAGGCAUGGAUUGGCUAACCAAGUAUUAUGCCACGAUCGAUUGCAAGAAUUGCACGGUUACUUUUAGAGAACCGGGACAGACGGAGGUUGUGUUUAGAAGAUGCCAGAGUUCGCUUUUUGCGAUGACGAUCAGCUCGUCUCGAGCUAGGCAGCUGAUCAGUAGAGGCUGUGUAGCCUACUUGGCUAGUGUUGUGUUGAGGGGCGAGAGUGAUACCCCUAGGAUUGAGGAUAUCGCGGUAGUGCGGGAGUUUUGUGAUGUGUUUCCAGCUGAGCUACCGGGUAUGCCACCCGAUAGGGAGAUCGAGUUUGUGGUAGAUCUCGUCCCUGGGACUACUCCAAUCUCGAAAGCGCCUUAUAGGAUAGCACCGGCGGAGCAGAAGGAGCUGAGGGCACAGCUGCAGGAUCUUCUGGCUAAAGGCUACAUUCGACCGAGCGUCUCGCCUUGGGGAGCACCAGUUUUGUUCGUCAAGAAGAAGGACGGAUCACUUCGCCUAUGUGUGGAUUAUCGUGAACUUAAUAAAAUCACGAUCAAGAAUAAGUAUCCGUUGCCGAGAAUUGACGACUUAUUUGAUCAGCUUCAGGGAUCGUGUGUGUAUUCCAAGAUCGACUUGCAGUCGGGAUACCACAAAUUAAAGAUCAAACCCGAGGAUGUAUUGAAGACGGCUUUUAGAACACGGUAUGGACAUUAUGAGUUCACUGUUAUGCCGUUCGGGCUUACUAAUGCCCCGACAGCUUUUAUGCAUCUAAUGAACAGUGUUUUUAAACCUUAUCUAGACAGGUUUGUCGUGGUGUUCAUCGACGACAUUCUGAUUUAUUCCCGAAGUGAUGCAGAUCACGAGAAGCAUUUGAGGCUUGUACUCCAAGUACUUCGGGAAAAUGAGCUCUAUGCCAAGUUGAAAAAGUGUAAAUUUUGGCUUCGAGAGGUAGCUUUUCUUGGACAUUUGAUUUCAGAAUCGGGUAUAGCUGUGGAUCCUAAGAAAUUAAAGCAAUUAAGGAUUGGCCGAGACCGACGAGCGUCACGGAGAUACCGAGCUUUCUUGGAUUGGCCGGGUACUACCGGAGAUUUGUUGAGGGGUUCGCCAAGCUGUCUACUCCCCUCACGAGGCUCACGCAUAAAGGAGUCAAGUUUGUUUGGAAUGAGGCGUGCGAGAGAAGCUUCCAAGAGUUGAAGCAAAGAUUAAAGACCGCCCCGAUCCUAACCCUGCCGGUUGCUGGAGCAGGGUAUGUGGUUUAUAGUGAUGCUUCAUUUAAUGGAUUGGGUUAGUUUUGAUGCAGGAUGGCAAGGUGAUCGCGUAUGCUUCACACCAAUUAAAGGAAUAUGAAAAGAACUAUUCGACGCACGAUUUGGAGUUGGCGGCCGUAGUUUUCGCAUUGAAGUUAUGGCGUCACUACUUAUAUGGCGAGCGGUAUAAAGUGUACACGGAUCACAAGAGUUUGAAGUACUUGUUCACUCAGAAGGAGUUGAACUUGAGACAGCGCAGAUGGUUGGAGCUGCUCAAAGAUUAUGAUCUGACUAUUCUUUACCACCCGGGCAAGACUAACGUGGUGGCGGAUGCUCUAAGUAGGAAAUCUACAGAAAACUUAGCGAUGCAUGUUGUUACUCAACCGCAGUUGAUCGAGCAGAUGAAGUGAUUGGAGUUGGAGGUGGUGACUCCAGACACGCCUUUGAGGUUGAUGACUUUGGUGGUGCAACCUACACUUGUGGAUAGAAUUAAAAAGAAGCAAGCUUCCGAUACGGAGUUGCAAAAGAUUAGAGAUAAAAUGGUUAAUGGUUGCUCCGACGACUUCCUUGUGGAUGAUCAAGGAUUGAUGCGUUUUCGCGGACGGUUAUGUGUUCCAGCGGAUGCAGGAAUCAAAGAGGACAUUCUUCAAGAAGCACGCCGAGAACUGUAUGCUAUACAUCCGGGUGGCACCAACAUGUAUAAGGACUUAAAGUUGCUCUAUUGGUGGCUCGAGAUGAAAAAAGAUGUUGGCGAGUUUGUAGCUCGUUGUCCAACUUGCCAACAAGUAAAGACUGAGUAUCGACUACCUGCGGGAAAACUUCAGAGUUUGCCUAUUGUGGAAGUGGGAGAAGAUCACCAUGGACUUUGUGACCGGAUUGCCUCGCUCCCAGGCUGGGCAUGAUGCUAUUUGGGUAAUCGUGGAUAGGUUGACGAAGUCGGCGCACUUCAUACCUAUUCAUACUACUUGGACUGGGGAGAAGCUCGCACAAAUGUACCUUGAUGAGAUUGUGCGGCUUCAUGGAGUGCCUCCGUCGAUUGUAUCGGAUCUAGAUACCCAGUUUGUGUCUCACUUUUGGAAGAGUCUACAGGAUGCCCUAGGCACUCGACUGGACUUUAGCACUGCUUUCCACCCUCAGAGUGAUGGGUAGUCGGAGCGCACCAUACAGACUUUAGAGGAUAUGCUCCGAGCAUGUGUGAUUGUGUCACGCCCCGGAUGUCUCGUUCCCCGGGCACGCCGACAAAUCCGCCGUAUACAAAGGAAUUUUCCCUGUAUACGAAGCGACAGCUGUACCUGUAAAUCAUACAAUACUACAAACAGUAGUAUAGAGCUGCUAAAGUAAACAGAAGCUAAACAAACUGAGUUUCACAUACAUAGUCCAAAAUCCAAAAUACAGAGCUACUCGCACUGGCGAGUUAAGUAUACUAUGUACAUGAACCCGAAAACCAAAACGUCUACCUGCAGUAGGGGUGCCUCUAGCUCUGCUCGUCGGGUAGGGCUCUAACUCGCGACGCCCUUGCCUCGAUCCGUCUCGGAGAGUGCAUCAGCCGAAACCUGGGGCUCUGCAAAACAGGGGUAACAACAGGGCGUGAGAACUACUGUAAAAACAGGUAGUCCUCAGUGGGUGCCGCCCUAAACAACAUCGGUCCACCCACUAAGUCUACAGAAGGGAGCCAGGAUAGUAGUAAAUGCAGGAAUGAAAUCUACCGCUAUGAAUCACUACACUAUCAUGCUCUACACUAACCAACUGUAGGAAAUGUCAAAUCUGACCCAAUCCAAUCGGGACUGUAAGCAUACCCGUCCCUGGGACUGUGAACACACCCGUCCCUGCCCAGUUGUGACAAUCAGCUACCUCCACACUACUGGUCCGUGGAGAGCAAGUCCAACCGGCAUGAGCGACACCAACGCAAAAGCACUAAGCCCGCCUCCGGAGUGGCACUCGUGGGAGCUACCCAACCGAGUAUGCAGCGUGUCUCUGUCGAGCUCAAACAGGCUCUAACAAGCCAAAGUCAAGUAACCGACUCAUACUGGUCUAACAACCAACUAGUAACGUGCCCUCGGCACAAUCUGACGCCAAAACGGCGAACCGGGUCCACCGUCAACCCCGACGGCACCCAACAGUCUGGAACAGCCUGAACGCUACUAUAAAAAUACACUCGGCAUCCCAGCACGAGUGUAACUGAAAUCUAAACUACCUGGAAUACUCACUAUGAUGAUACUGAAACCGUAUAAAAUCAUACCACGGUCCCUAGGGCUAAAUCAGGUAGUUAACAUAUGCCGAUCGUUAUCGCGUUUUCUCCUAAGUCAAAUCCAAGUCCAACAUGUAUAUUCAUAUUUAUUAAUCAUGUUCUUAAAUCGUAUUUAUCCAAGAUAUAAUCAAUGAGAUAGAGCUACACAUGAUUUAUACAACUACAAAUCAUACAUGUCGACUAAUGCUAUACUUAGGAAUAAACCGAUGUAACCCACCUAGCUCGCUAAUCCCUGGCAGCACGGAACUGCCCUCGGCUGCGGAACAACCUGCCGAAACGUCCGAAAACCUCCCAAGGCCCGAAGUCAAGCUCCCGCCAAACUCUACACGGAGAAUCCGACAAUAAGCAUUAUUUCUGCCUCAAAAACAGCAACAGAGAAGAGCGAAAUUCCGACCUAGCAAACCUUUAUCAAAUCCAGCAAGUAAGGACUUCGUGGAUUCCUCUCGAAGUCCCGAAUCCAACAAACCAAGUCCCGUCGAAAACCGACGCUCCUACGCCGAGUACGAACUGAAAUACCGACGGUCGACGCUGGAAAUUCUGCAAAUCAGCACCAAGCUCGAAUGGAUAAUACUUGAAGCAGUGCAACGGAACACUCACCUCAAAGGCUAAUCGGACAUCGACGCGGCGUCGAGAACGACGAAAACGCAUCCUCGCCUAGUUUCCUCGCAACGCUACGAUCCCAACCGUACCCUCGAACGGCUUCGCGGCGCGUCGUCGGCGUCGAACUCGUGCUCGCGACUACCUCCUCCGAGCUCUUUGCUUCGGUUGAACAAAGAGAGAAGUAGAAAGAUUAGGCAAUGCCCACCUAAUUUGUUGAUAAGCAUGCAAAGGGUGCACGCGGCAUCCAAGCCACCCUACUUUGCAUGCAUGGGUGGACGUGGCAUCCAAGCCACCCCACUUAGCACCAACCGACAUAAAACAUAAAUAAGUUAAUUAAUUAAUAAAUAAAACAAGGAUACUACAUCCUCCCCCACUACAAAAAGUUUCGUCCUCGAAACUUAAACAUACCUCAACACGAAGUAACGAACAGGUCGGGGCAGGACUCUCUCAUCACCGUCUCAGGCUCCCAAGUCGCCUCCCGCUCCUCGUGAUUGCUCCACUACACUUUCACAUACGGGAUGACCCGAUUGCGCAAUUCUUUCGUCUCCCGAGCAAGAAUCCGCAACGGUCGCUCCUCGUAUCUCAGAUCCUCGCCGAUCUCAAGUGGAGUGAAGUUGAUCACGUGAGAGAGAUCGAAAACAUAUCUCCUCAAUGCUGAGAUGUGAAAAACAUCGUGUAUGCCAGCAAGUCGCGGGGGUAGAGCUAUCCUGUAAGCAACCGGUCCAAUACGCUCCAAUACCUCGAAAGGGCCAACAAACCGUGGACUGAGCUUUCCACGUACUCCAAAUCAGCGAAUCCUUCUAGACGGCGAGACUUUAAGGAAAACAUGAUCUCCAACAUGAAACUCUAAGUCUCGUCUCCUGGUAUCGGCGUAGCUCCUCUGGCGGCUCUGGGCGGUCAAAAGGUGUCAUCGAACGACUCUCACCUUUUCCUUAGCCUCAAGUAAGAUCUCCGGUCCAAAUGUCCUCCUCUCACCCACAUCACUCCAAAACAGAGGGGAUCGACAUCUGCGUCCAUACAACGCCUCAAACGGAGCCAUCUGGAUGCUCGCUUGAUAGCUGUUGUUGUACGCAAACUCAACCAGUCUCACAUGUCGAUACCACCCUCCUCCAAAAUCCAGGACGCAUGCCCUCAGCAUGUCCUCUAGAGUCUGAAUGGUCCGCUCUGACUGACCAUCUGUAUGUGGGUGGAAUGCCGUCUGAAGGCUCCUCCAAAACUGGGAUACAAACCUCGGGUCUCUGUCUGACACAAUCGAUACUGGCAUGCCGUGCAGCCUAACGAUCUCAUCCAGGUAUAGCUGCGCGAGUCUCUCUUUGGACCAGAUAGUCUGAACCGGUAGGAAGUGAGCAGACUUGGUCAGUCUGUCCAUUAUAACCCAAAUCGCGUCAUAGCCACCCUGUGCUCUAGGCAAACUAAUGACGAAAUCCAUCGUGAUAUACUCCCAUUUCCACUCUGGCACUGGUAGACUCUGAAGCUUGCCAGCAGGCACCUGAUGCUCGGCUUUCACCUGUUGNNNNNNNNNNNNNNNNNNNNNNNNNNNNNNNNNNNNNNNNNNNNNNNNNNNNNNNNNNNNNNNNNNNNNNNNNNNNNNNNNNNNNNNNNNNNNNNNNNNNCGGUCUCACCACCAGGGACCGGUUGCCUCAGGACUUCCUGGCAGGCUACGCGUACGGGGACCGGUCUCUCCUUCAGGGACCGGUCCCCGAGAGCAAAAAAUCUGGGACUUAGCCGGAUUUUCAAAUUACUCUCUCGGGUCCCAUCUAGCCUCACUUAUGGACUCUAACACGCUUAGGGCCCACCCAAACUCGUUCAAUUCCGCGUUCCGCUCAUUUUGACGGAACCCGGCACGAUUUAUAAGGGACGUGGUAUGUUACAACAAAGAAGUCCAAACAAUCACUACAUAUAUGCUAACUCCUUCAAUUCAAGGACCUAGACAUGAAUCGCACUAUGGGACCAUUGAAAUUGUGAACAGCAAAUUUCAAAGGAUUGAACAAAAAAUAUACAACAAAUAUAGCAAAUUUCAACUCGAAUUUCUACCCAGCUUAUUUUGCUUUAAACUAUUGCCUCAAACCGAUAGGUAUGAUGGUGUCGACAUGAACAAUCACAAUUCAAUAUUUAGUUAACACAAUUUCUCCUUCUGUGGCAACAAUAUUAGUUUAUUAGUUUAUCAUUAAAAAAGAUUUUUCUUUCUUACCGCAUGAAAACAUAAAUAAAUUAUCUGAAAUUCCCAAGCAAUUUAAAUUGUGCCUCAAUUAUUCAUGGUAUAAAAAGUUGCAUUAAUUUCAACCGUACACUUUCCUUUUUCAAAUAGACCUAAAUAUCUAUACAAAUACAUUAAAGGACGAACCCUGGGCGAACCCUCAACCCUUUCCAUAGUUUUUCCGUGAUUUCAGGAGUGGGUCCCUCCUACUACCAUGUAUUCCCCCCUCUUUCUGUAAUGCACUGGAUCUUGCAAAUCGCAAGAUUCGAGUGUUUGAUCUGUGUGGGGAGCCUUUCCACAGUUUUUGGAGGGUCGUUGAUAGUGUUCCGACCCCUGGCACGCACCCCGAGGAUGUUGGAGUGAGACUUGGCACCAAAAUCCCAAAACUGGAAUUUUUGGUCAGCUCUCGGGUAGCCUGCAGCAGAGCUUGUACCGGAACAAGACUGGUCUUGUACCGGUACAAGGUUGAUGGUUGUACCGGUACAGCCAUCGGGCUUGUACCGGUACAGAGCCGCAGACCCCGCGACCUGAGCCUCGGGUUUGCAUUUUCGUGGGCCUUGUACCGGUACAAGAGCCCGUGUACCGGUACAAGGAGGCAGUUUUCGUGCAGUUUGGUCUGCAGGGGUGUUUUUGCUAUUGUAGCACUUCUAUAAGUGCACCCCACGCCCCUUAGGGCCUCCCCUGUGCAGAGACCAGCAGGAGUUGAGGUAGGAGGAGCUCUCUCUCCCUUCCUUUGCAUUUUUACUCCUUCUGCUUGGUUUUUAUUGGGUUUUCUCUCCUCUAUUUGCAUCUUGGUGGCUUCUCCACCAUUGUUGAUGGCUUAGAGCUUGGAGAGGAGCUAGUGGCUGCGGAGAUCUUCAACAUCACUUGGAUUGGAGCUAAGUUUGGAGCUUCGUGAGAGGUUAGAGACUUGAUUUUUUCCUUUGAUCCUUGAUUUGAGGUUUUUGUGAGAUGAAACCCUAGAAUGAGGUUUUAGGGCUUAAUUUGGGCAAUUUGAAUCUAGGGCUUUUGAAGCUAGUUUGAGUGGAUUAGAGGCUUCCAUUUGGUUGGAUUGGAAGGACUCUAGCUCUCUUUUGGAGCUUUAGAGGACAUUUUUGCACUAAAUGUGAGUUUUUCUCACCUAUACUUGAUUAGCUUAAUGAUUGAGCUAGGUAUUGUUCGUUUGGCUCGUAUGACACAUGUUUCUAUACCUCUAGGGUACUAGGAGACUAGAGGACACCCUCGUUGGAGCGAACGAGGAGUUUCGUCGUCAUCGGUGGGUUUGGCUUCGUGGAAAUGGGGCGAAAUGGCCCCUAUGCUCUUUCUACUUGUUGUAAAAUAUUUUUAAGUUCAUUUCUAUGCUAAAUGAAAUUUAUAUGAAUUUUAGAACACUUAAAAUGCAUGCCUUAUGUAUUAUGAAAAUUCCACUAUAUAGUAGAGCUAUAUGAGUAGAAUGCAUGCAUACGGGAAAAGUGUUUAAUUUUGCAAGUGGAAAAUACAUCUCUUAUGAGGAUUAUGACUUAGAACAUAUACUUUGGAACAUAGUUGCCAUACUUUGACAUAGAGAGUAAGAGUGGCAUCAAGGGGCACUUGAAACUAGCAAACUGUUAAACUGUAACAUAGAGACAUAUUGAUAGGCCACUACGUAUCUGUUAUAUUCCAUGUUAGAGACAUGAUGACAUAGAGAUAGACUAUUGAGAUACUUGAUAUAUUCCAUGUUAUUAGACAUGAGGACUUGGUACUUGAGACAUAUCAUUGCUUGCUUGCCAUCGUGCUCAUUUGCACAUGCUUAUGAGGGUCGCUCCCUACAAGCCGGCACUCCGGAGAUAGCCAUCGCGACAUAUGCUCGCCCGUACGGGAUUGGGCGCCGAAGUGGAUUUCCGUGGGGGAGGCUCAUCCCUAGAAUGGGGAUGUUGACUACCACGGGGCCAUUAGGCACGGCGCAGGCCAGACAGCCUUCGGGUGGGUCUUAUAUGAUUGGGACUUGGUGACAGAACAUGCUAUGUGAACUUUAUAACUGUUAAAGUGGACUUGGACUAGAAUAGUAAACAAUGACAUCUUUACUAUUACAUUGUGGACUGUGGGUAGUUGCAUAAUCAUGCUUUAUAUGUUGGGUGUUCAUGUGCAUAUAGCUAGUAGUUGCUUCCUUACUUAUGUAAAUUAUGCUAAGUAGAGGUAUCAUGAUUAUUGGGUACUCGUUUAUUUAUUUGCUUACAGCGCAUUUAUCGCUUUUGUUAUAUUGUACACUGACCCUUUUUCUAUAGUUCGGGCCUAGUGGUGCAUUUCACUGAAGUCAGUAAUUGCCCACUGGGAACUAUUAUUUAAUAGUUCUCACGCCCCUGUUUCUAUGUUUCCUUUUUAGAGCCUUCGGCACCGGCGGAAGCACGGGACUACGGCAAGGGUGUCGCGUAGCUAGCUCGCGGAGAGUUCUUUUGCGCUAGGUGGUUACUCCUCCAUUUUAUAUUUUGAGAGAGAGGGAGAGGUUUUGUACCAUGUAUAGAAAGACCACCUUGUACUUCUUUUAGCACUUGUUAUGGGAUCCCUAUUGUACUUACUUUAUAUUUUUAUUUAGUGGACUUUCAGCUUUAUGUCCUUUUCUUGUUAUAGAACUAGUUAUACAAUGCUCUGAUGUCACUAGACCUCUUGUAUUAUGGUUUUAUCUAUCGAAAUUUUUGUAGACGCCUUAUAUGUUUUAGACGUAUGGCGGGUCUGGACACGCACCGGGUAGGCUUCCGCUGAGCCCCGGGGCGUGACAGAUUAAUUUGGUACCAGAGCCUAGGGUUGAGUCUUAGGGGACCUAGUAAACCUUAGGCCGGUUGGACUAUAGGAAAUAGGCUCGUGAGAGACGAGGUCUAUUCGACUUGUAAGCGAAAGUAUCUAGAUUGGGUAUCUUGAAUAACUCUAGAAAGUGGAGUUAAAUUGAAGUGUAUAACUCCUAACUUCGCGGAGGGUUACGUUGGCGGCCGACAACGUAACAUCGGGAGUUAGUUGUGGAUAACACUUCCUUACUUUCGCAUGAUUUGGGGUUUGUCUUUGAGCGGGGAUGCGACAGCGUGAGUAUUUCUAACUUGCGCUUUUAUGAUGCUGUAGUGACGAUGCCGAUUACUCGCUCCCAAUCUGCCAGGGCGGACAAUGCGGCAAACUUCGAGGAGGUCGAGACCUCCGCUACCUCCGGAUCCAGCGAGGUCCGUGAGUUGAGGGGCCAACUGGCAGCCCUCACCGACUUGGUCACUCAGCAGGCAGAGGCGGCCCGACAGCAGACCGAGGCGGCGCGCCGACAGGAGACGCGAAUGAAGCGUCUGGAGGACCUACUAUUGCAGCAGGCGGCAGCUUCUAGGGAGACUCAGGCCCCUACACCGCCAUUACCAGUUGUGGACGUUGCACCGAGAGCGCCGUCCCCCGCGCCCAGUUCUUCGCGUGCGGCGCCUGCGACCGCACCCCAGGAGGAGGCUUUGGCGGCACCACCUGUGCAGAGGCCUCCGGUUGGAGCUGCUUUUCCUACCUUGGUUGAGGGGGCGGAGCGAGACAGACUGAUGGAGCGCCUCAAUGAGUUCAGGAGGUGCAGCCCCCGAGUCUUCGAUGGCGAGAAGGUCGACCACUGGAUCGUGGAGAAGUGGUUGAUGCAUAUGGAGAAGCUCUUCCGCGACACCUUCGUGGAGGAAAGGGAUAGAGUUUGGCUCGCCACUCACCACUUGGACGGCGAGGCCUACCGCUGGUGGUUGAAUUUUCAGGAGCACCCCAGCACUGACUUGGCAUCUAUCACAUGGACGAGGUUCAAGGAGCUUCUUCUGGCGCACUACUUUCCGACUAGCGUCAAGAGAAAGAUGGAGCAGGAUUUGCGCAGCUUGCGCCAGGGUGACAGGAUUGUAGCCGAGUACGAGAGGGAGUUUUCUCGGCUUCUGCAUUGCGUGCCCUUCGUCGUGCGGGACGACGAGGAUAAGGCCCGCAUCUUCGAGCGAGGGUUGCGACCGUCGAUUUUCCGGUUUGUGCAGUCCUCUAACCUCCAAACCUACCGGGAGGUGGUGGAUCGCGCGCUCAUUGUGGAGAGCGGCGCGGCAGAGGUCCAGGAGCAGCGAGAGGCUAGGGACAAGGGUAAGGCCAAGAGGCCUGCGGCUGAGGGUGCGAGCCAGACGCACUCCAGGAGGCCGCCGAAGCAUCCGAGGAGCCAGCAGCGUGGGCGUGGCUCGGCGACUCACCGAGGAGGUUCUGAUCGACGCCGACCUCCCCAAUGCGUGAUCUGUGGUGGUCCCCACAUUCCACCGCAGUGCCCGCAGCGGGGAGGGAGAUGUUUCCAGUGUGGCCAGGAGGGCCACUUUCGGACCGAGUGCCCAAGGGGAUCUUCACCGGCACCGUCGACUGCAUCGGCACCGGCUCUCCCAGCCGCCAGCCAGGGGACUCCAUCGGCACAAUACCAGCCUGGGCGGCCACCCGUCAAGCGCCAGAACGAGGGAUCUCGACAGGCCCCGAGUGGGCGCAUGUACGCCGCUCAGACCGAGGAGGCGGCAGCAGCCGAGGAUGUGGUUGCAGGUAUCAUUUUACUUGAUGGCAUUAGAGUUCGUGCUUUAUUCGAUACCGGUGCAUCGCAUUCAUUUAUAGAUCGGUUGUUUGCCGAGUUGCAUGGCAUCCCUUUGGUUUCUUUGUUGCAUACGGGACAUGUUGUUGUACCCGACACAUUUUGGAUAUUAGAGAGUAUAGCCCCGGUUGCCCUAUUCGGGUAGGAGAUUGGAUCAUGCCUAUAGAUUUGCUAGCUUUGCUCAAGCUGGGAGAUUUUGAUGUGGUCUUGGGCAUGGAUUGGUUGACCAAGUAUUAUGCCACGAUUGAUUGCAAGAAUCGCACGGUUACUUUUAGAGAACCUGGGCAGACUGAGGUGGUAUUUAGUGGAUGCCGAAGUUCGCUGUUUGCAAUGACGAUCAGCUCGUCUCGAGCUAGGCAGCUGAUUAGCAGAGGUAGCGUAGCCUAUUUGGCUAGUGUUGUGCUGAGGGGCGAGGAUGACACCCCUAAAAUCGAGGAUAUCCCGGUGGUGCGGGAGUUCCAGGAUGUGUUUCCAGCUGAGCUACCGGGUAUGCUUCCUGAUAGGGAGAUUGAGUUUGUGGUAGAUCUCGUCCCUGGGACUACCCCAAUCUCAAAGGCACCCUAUAGGAUGGCACCGGCAGAGCUGAGGGAGCUGAGGGCACAGCUGCAGGAUUUGUUGGACAAGGGCUUCAUUCGACCGAGCGUGUCACCUUGGGGAGCACCAGUUUUGUUCGUCAAGAAAAAGGACGGAUCACUUCGCCUUUGCGUGGAUUAUCGUGAACUUAAUAAAGUCACGAUCAAGAACAAGUAUCCGUUGCCGAGGAUCGACGACUUGUUUGAUCAGCUUCAGGGAUCGCGUGUGUAUUCCAAGAUAGACUUACAGUCGGGAUACCACCAAUUGAAGAUCAAACCCGAGGAUGUGUCGAAGACGGCUUUUAGAACACAGUAUGGACAUUAUGAGUUCACAGUUAUGCCGUUCGGGCUUACUAAUGCCCCGGCAGCUUUUAUGGAUCUAAUGAAUCGUGUUUUCAAGCCUUAUCUAGACAGGUUCGUCGUGGUGUUCAUCGACGAUAUUUUGGUCUACUCUCGAAGUGAUGCAGAUCACGAGGAGCAUUUGAGGAUUGUACUCCAAGUACUCCGGGAAAAGGAGCUUUAUGCCAAGUUGAAGAAAUGUGAAUUUUGGCUUCGAGAGGUAGCUUUUCUUGGACAUUUGAUUUCGGGAUCGGGUAUAGCCGUGGAUCCCAAGAAGAUUGAAGCAAUCAAGGAUUGGUCAAGACCGACGAGCAUCAAAAAGAUACGGAGCUUCCUUGGAUUGGUCGGUUACUACCGGAGAUUUGUAGAGGGGUUCGCUAAACUGUCUACUCCCCUCACGAGGCUCACGCACAAAGGAGUCAAGUUCAUUUGGAAUGACGCGUGCGAGCGAAGCUUCCAAGAGUUGAAGCAGAGAUUGACGACCGCCCCGAUCUUAACCCUACCAGUAGCUGGAGUAGGGUAUGUGGUUUAUAGUGAUGCUUCACUUAAUGGAUUGGGUUGUGUAUUGAUGCAGGAUGGCAAGGUGAUCGCGUAUGCUUCUCGCCAACUAAAGGAAUACGAGAAGAACUACCCGACGAAUGAUUUGGAAUUGGCGGCUGUAGUGUUCGCAUUGAAGCUAUGGCGCCACUAUCUCUAUGGCGAGCGGUGUGAAGUAUACACGGAUCACAAGAGCUUAAAGUACCUAUUUACUCAGAAGGAGUUGAACUUGAGGCAGCGCAGAUGGUUGGAGCUACUCAAGGAUUACGAUUUGACGAUUCUUUACCACCCGGGCAAGGUUAACGUGGUGGCGGAUGCGCUAAGUAGGAAAUCGAUGGAAAACUUAGCGAUGCAUAUUGUGGCUCAACCGCAGUUGAUUGAGCAGAUGAAGCGGUUGGAGUUGGAGGUGGUGACUCCUGACACACCCUUGAGAUUGAUGACUUUGGUAGUGCAACCUACUCUUUUAGAUAGAAUUAAAGAAAAGUAAGUUUCCGAUGUGGAGUUGCAAAAGAAUCGAGGUAAAAUGGUUGAUGGUUGCACCGACGACUUCCUUUUGGACGAUCAGGGAUUGAUGCGUUUUCGUGGGCGGAUUUGUAUACCCGCGGAUUCAGGGAUUAAAGAAGAUAUUCUUCAAGAAGCGCACCGAGCGCCGUAUGCUAUACAUCCGGGAGGCACCAAGAUGUACAAGGAUCUAAAGUUGCUUUAUUGGUGGCCCGGGAUGAAAAAGGACGUUGGCGAGUUUGUAGCUCGUUGUCUAACUUGCCAACAAGUAAAGGCUGAGCACCGAGUUCCCGCGGGAAAACUUCAGAGUUUACCUAUCCCCGUGUGAAAAUGGGAGAAGAUCACCAUGGACUUUGUGACAGGAUUGCCACGCUCUCAGGCCGGGCAUGAUGCUAUUUGGGUGAUCGUGGAUAGGUUGACGAAGUCGGCGCACUUCAUACCUAUUCAUACGACUUGGACCGGAGAGAAGCUCGCACAAGUGUACCUUGAUGAGAUUGUGCGACUUCAUGGAGUGCCUACAUCGAUUGUAUCUGAUCGGGACACUCGGUUUGUGUCUCACUUUUGGAGGAGUCUACAGGAUGCCUUAGGCACCCGAUUGGAUUUCAGUACAGCAUUCCACCCGCAGAGCGAUGGACAGUCGGAGCGCACUAUUCAGACCUUAGAGGAUAUGCUCCGAGCAUGCGUGAUAGACUUCCAGGGAGGAUGGUCGCAGCAUCUACCGAUGGCGGAGUUUGCUUAUAAUAACAGUUAUCAAGCAAGCAUCAAGAUGGCGCCUUUCGAAGCACUUUAUGGACGGAAGUGUAGAUUGCCACUUCAUUGGAGUGAAGUCGGCGAGAGACUGGCUUUAGGCCCUGAUGUACUCCAGGAAACUGAGGAUAAGGUUCGAAUUGCUCGGGAGCGACUUUUGACGGCGCAGAGUAGACAGAGGAGCUACAUCGAUCGACGACGGCGAGACUUGGAGUUCCAAGUUGGAGACCAUGUUUUCUUGAAGGUCUCGCCAACUAGAGGGAUAAAGAGAUUCGGGAUUCGGGAAAAGUUGAGCCCCUGUUUUAUUGGACCGUAUGAGGUUUUGGAGCGUGUAGGUCCGUUAGCGUAUCGACUCGCUCUACCACCGAACCUAUCCGGCGUGCACAACGUCUUUCACGUAUCGGUCCUUCGGAGGUACAUUCAUGAUCCAGCUCAUGUUUUGGGAACUAUACCAGUGGAGCUGCGUGAGGAUUUGAGCUUCGAGGAGCAACCCGUGAAGAUUUUGGCUCGUGAAGUGAAAAAGCUGCGGAAUCGGGAUAUUCCGUAUGUGAAGGUUCUUUGGAGCAACCACGCGGAGCGCGAGGCCACGUGGGAGCUAGAGAGUGCGCUGCAGGAGCGCUAUCCCCAUCUUUUUCAGAUGGAGCCUUGAGGUAUGCGGUUGCUUUCGAGUUUCGCGGACGAAACUCCUUUUUAGGAGGGGUUAAUGUAGCACACUGGACCUUUGCAAAUUGCGAGAUUCGAGUGUUCGAAUUGUGUUCCGAACUUUUCCACACUCGGUGGAGGGCCGUCGAUGGUAUACCCGCCUAAAAGUUCGAUCUCGCGACUUUUGGCAGAGUCCUGAGAGUUUUUACUCUCGGGGACCGGUCCCUGAUAGGAGAGACCGGUCCCCCAGUGAACAGUGCUGCGUAGCCGGCGAGGCAACCGGUCCCUGGCAGUUGAGACCGGUCCCCGAGCGCGUCUGUGCGGGGAGAGACCGGUCCCGUGCAGGGAGAGACCGGUUCCCGAACGUUGGAUUUUCGGGGGGCAGGCUGAGAGACCGGUCCUAGGUCGGGGAGACCGGUCCCUCUGGGCGAAAACUGCCCAGACCGGGCUGAUGUAAAUUUGAGUUUUUGAGUGGCCUAAGUGGAUUUUGUUACUUUAGAGGCUAUAAGCAGCCUUUCCUCCCCUCUCACUCUCAUUUUCUCUCCCUCACACUCUUCCUACACUUCUAGAGAGAGAAAGGGAAGGAGAAGAAGGAGAAGAAGAGGAGAAGAAGCUUGCAUAGAGGCCUUGGAGCACCAUCUUCUUCCUCAUUUCCCACCUUUGGAGGCUUGGAGCUGCGGUUGGAGCUUUGUGGAGGAUCAAACCUCAACCCUACUUGGUUUUGAGCUUGGAUUAGAGCUUCUCUUGAGGUUGGUAGCUUGAAAUCCCCAUUUGUUACAUGCUUUCCUAGGUUUUACUAGAUGAAACCCUAGAUUUUGGGAUUUAGGGCUUAUUUUGGGGGUUUUUGAAUUUGGGGGCUUUGGAACCAAAUUGAUGGGUUUAGAACCUUUGUUUAGGUUAGAUUGGAAGGACUCUAACCCCAUUUGGAGAUCGUGAGAGCCUUCUUCGCAAUCGGUAAGUUUUCUCCAACCCUAGCUUGAGGAGCUUAAUGAUUGAGCUAUUCGCUCUUCGUUUCGUUUGGGUGACCCUAUUUUUGAUGUUUCUAGGGUACUAGGGAGCUUGUGGAUAUCUUCGUUCGGCGAAACGAAGAAGUCGAUUCUUUUGGUGGGUUUGACUUCAUGAAAAUAGGGCAAAAUGGCCCUAUGCCUUCUAAGCCUUUCGUAAAGUAUUUUCGAAUGCAAAUUCAUGCUAAUUAUGAUUUAUAUGAAUUUUAGAACACUUAACAUGCAUGCCUCAUGUAUCGUAAAAUUUGUACUCCAUAUAGUAGAGCUAUAUGCGUAGAUUGCAUGCAUUGUGGAUAGUGCUUGGUUUUGCAAGUUGAGAACAUGUCUCCAUGCUAGAGUUGAGUGAAUUAUGCAUCAUGAACAUAUUAAUGCCAUGCUUGGAACUCGUUGAACAAAAGUGUCAUCAAGGGGCACUUGAAACUAGUAAACUAUUAAAAUUGCAAUAUAGAGACAUGUUGAUAGGCCACUAUAUAUCUGCUACAUUCCAUGUUAGAGACAUGAUGACAUAGAGAUAGGCCAUUGAGAUACUUGAUAUAUUCCAUGUUGUUAGACAUGAGGACUUGGUUCUUGAGACGGAUCAUUGCUUGCUUGCCAUUUGUGCUCAUUCGCACAUGCUUGUGAGGGUCGCUCCCUACAAGCCGGCACUCCGGAGAUAGCCAUCGCGACACAUGCUCGCCGUGCGGGAUUGGGCGCCGAAGUGGACUGCCGUGGGGGAGGCUCAUCCCUAGAGUGGGGAUGUUGACUACCACAGGGCCAUUAGGCACGGCGCAGGCCAGACAGCCUUCGGGUGGAUCUUAUAUGAUCGGGACUUAGUGACGGAACGUGCUUUGUGAACUUUAAAACUAUUAAAGUGGACUUGGACUAGAAUAGUAAACAAUGACAUCCUUAUUAUUUUGCAUUGAGAACAUUGGAUUGGUUGCAUUCCUACGCUUUUGCAUGUCAUACCCAUCCAUGUACAUUCAUGAUAUAGUUGCUUUAUUACUUAUACUAAUCAUGCUAAGUGGAGACUCUAUGUUAUAGUAAGUCACUUUAUACUUACCUUUUUAUUAUUACAUUGUUAGUCACUGACCUCUUCUUGUAGCUUUUGGGCCUUGUGGCGCAGUUCACUGAAGUCAGUAAUUGCCCACUGGGAACUAUUUUUAAUAGUUCUCACGCCCCUGUUUUCGUGGUUUACUUUUCAGAGCCUUCGGCACCGGCGGAGGCACGGGAUCGCGGCAAGGGGAUCGCUUAGCUAGCUAGCGAGGAACGGCUCUUUUCCUAGGUGGUUUGCUCUUUCUUUUGUAGUUGGGAGAGUGAAAGAUUUCUGUAUCCAUGUAUAGAGACCACCUAUGUACCUACUUUUAGCACUUGCAUUUGGGAUUUCCUAUUGUAUUUACUUUAUGUCCUAUUUAGUGGAUUUACAGUUUUACCUUAUCCUUUGUCGUAGCAUUUAGACAUUUAUUAUGCUCUGAUACUCCUAGAUGUCUAUUAUUAUUGCUUUUAUUACUGUUGUUUCUAGACGCCUUAUACGUUUUAGACGUAUGGCGGGUCUGGGCACGCGCCGGGCGGGCUUCCACUGGGUCCCGGGGCGUGACAGUCUAAUUCUAAAUGUAAUUUUGCUUUCUCUAUGUAAUUCAAUACUUUUUCAUACUUUUUUUUGUGUUAAUUUUAUUUGAGCUUUUAAAUUCUCUUUUGUUGUUACUCUACUCGAUUAAUUUUUUUUUGUGAUUUUGCUUUCACUGUGUUGCAUCUUUACUUUCUCCCCUUUAAUUGCUUAAUUUUAUAAACACAUUUUCAAUGCAAUUUUGGUUUCGCUAUGUUGCCUCUUUGCUUUCAGAUAUUUUUCCAUAUUGUUUGGAUUUUCCCUUUUGAUGUUAGGCAAUGAUGCUAUGGAUAGCUUCCUAUGUACAGCAAUGUUACAUAGACGCCUCCCAAUAUUCUCUUUUCUGCAGUCAAGGUUAGAGAGCUCCCUGCUAUUCCCUUCUUUGUUGUUUGUGCAUAAAGGCGUGGUAGCAAGAAUGGCCUUAGGGCAAUCACUGCACCCUUCCGAAACUACUCCACUGUUUGCUUUAGCAUGAUGUCCGUCAUAGUCCUUCCGAGUUUGAGCCUUAUAUGACUAGCUUUUUAUGCUUAUUAUUAUUUUAAAGUUUGUUCUUUAAGAAAUUACUGUUAUCAUUAUUUUUAUGACAAACAUUUUCUAAACAUUCUGACAAUUCAUUUUGAGUUGAGAAAUAUUUCAAAUACUCUAACACUUUGAAAUCUACAUUGAAUCUAUUUCAAUUUUUCUUCUUUGGAGGUUGAGUUGAACUUUGUAAAACCACUUUUACGCUGAUCUUUGUCAAAGAUUCCAAGUAUUCUACCAAAAAUGUUCAGCGCUAAUUUCACACUUUGAAACCUACAUUGAACCUAUUUCAAUUUAACUAUCUUGCUUGCUGUGUUGCUUUGCGAUAUUUAAUUUGCAGAACUUGAUUUAAAUAUUUUUUUUCCUUUCUUCUGUGUCGAUUUGAUUUCCUCUAAAUAUUUUCUACAUUUUCUUUUACACCCACUCUUCCUAUUCAUACCUUUCCACUAUCUUCUAUUUGUUCCUACUCCUAUUCUUUGAUGAAAAGUAAUGGUACUUAAAUAAUUUCCUAAUAUUCCCUGCUCAUACUUACAUAGUUUUUGUUGAGUCCACCCUUUGCUUGAUUUAGUUUUUCUUUUUAUUCUUUCCACCCUUUGAUGUGAGGCAGUGAUUAUACGGGCAGCUACCUAAAUAUUAUUUUCUUCGACAUUGUACAUCUGUAACGGCACAGCAAGACGAAUGGCCUAGCCUAUUGGCAAUCGUUGCAGCCGUAUAAGGUUUUGAUGUACAUGAUGGCGGAGGUAGGUCUUUUCCCUUGGAGCUCGAGAAAUCUGACCUUACUUUGCUGGAGCCUUCCUACUCUUCGCUUUUUUACUACUUUCUAAUACACAUCCUUACAAAAUAUAAUACUUUUUAAAGGUUGGAUUGUUUAAUGUGUUUUUCAAUCUUUGUACAUUUUAUUCUCUCAGCCUUUUUGUCGCGUGUUUAUUUUGAAUUGUAAUUAUCUACAAUUAAAGAAGAACUUGGUUUGCCGUAAUUAAUUUGCUCAAGUGAGCAGUGUCGUAUUUAAUUUAUGGUUAGAAAAGUAAUAAAGCAAAGUAAUUUCAUUGUACCAAGAGAGUGGUUAUAUUUAGUUCAUGUUAUGAAACUUGCUAUCCUUUUUUUCCGCUGAAAACACAUUAUUUACUAAUUUCUCGGCUCUACAAGGAUCUUGGCGGUUUAAAAUUAUCUAGUCAUUUAGUACCUAAGCUUUGAAAACGGGAACAUCUUAUAUACUUAUUUCUAUACAAUAUAAGAAUUUAAAUUGGGUACAAAUCAGACAUGCAACUUCGUUAUGUGUACAAAUCUACAUAAAUGAAGUGACUCCAUGAUAUAUAGAGAGGAUUCACUAGCAUUGUAUCGCCAAGUAUGUACAAAUCUACAUACUUUAUCAUUCAAUAUAUUUUCUUCAGAACAUUGGCUUCCAUUGGAUUCAUAGGCAUUUUAUCGCCAAGAAUGGGAGAGCUCAAGUACUUAAGCGCACUGUAAGUAUAUUCUAUAACCUGCAAACUUUGUAAAGCAUAAUAAUGCCAUGUAAUAUUUAUCUCAAUGUGCAAGAUGGAUUCCCUUGUAUUUCAUAUAAAUCAAUAAUCUCACGAUAAUUUGAAGCUUUAUUGGCAAUCAAACUUUAUCAAUCCUGUCACACCCCAAUAAUCCCACAUCGGAUAGGAAUGGAGAUGUAAUUGGGUAUAUAAGAGACUUAGACACUAGUAAUAAUAACUGGGCUUAAGCAGUUUGGGCCGGUGGUUGGGCUCAACGAGUUAUUAUUACUAGUGGGUCAGAUUGUUACAUUUGGUAUCAGAGCCAAUCACCAGUCGAAAAUGUGUAGCGAGUCUCGGCUGAGCCAGGGUCUGAAAGACAAUGUAAUAGGCUAUGCCGGAGUCUGUAUGACAAAGGUACCAGCUGGUGAUCUUCGGCUGUGUGUGAUUGGACUGACGAGGAUGUCAGGAUCUUAUCGGCGGGAGUCUGUCACACGGGGGGAGUCUGUCACACCCCACCCCAAUAAUCCCACAUAUAACAAUUGGGCUUAAGCAUUUUGGGCCGGUGGUUGGGCCCAACGAGUUAUUAUUGCUAGCAGUUUGGGCCAGUAGUUGGGCCCAACGAGUUAUUAUUGCUAGCAGGUCGGGUCGUUACAAUUCCACUGUGCAUGGUGAGUUGAUAUGUGAUUUAAAAGCGUUAUGAGUUUCUAUUUACUCCUCAAUCCUCAUUCUUUAAUUUUCUUAUUAUCCAUAAAUGUCUAAUCGGACCUGGUUAGUUGAUGAACAUAUCAUAUUUCUAUUGUAUUUCCAAUAUUCUCCAAAUUAAGCAACUUUUUGUUUGGAUAAUUUCCAAACUAAUUGCAUUGAGUAGAUCUCAAGAUAAUCGGUAUAAAUGAAGUACUCUGAAAUUCCUAGGGGCCGAGAAAUCUGAGCCUCACUAAGUUGCUCAAUCCUUCUUGCUCUUCACUUUUUUUUUUUUUUUCAGACCGUUGUUACAUUGCUGCUCUAUUGUUCAUUUCCACAUGCAUGGCAAGCGGGAUGGUUUUUUUUUCUUUUAAACUUACUUUUUGACCACCGGUUUUUUUUCUCCUUUCUUUUAAACUUUUUCUUUUAUCCCACUGCUCUUUACUCACAAAUUGGCUAUGCCAGCUGCCGGUGAUUGGCUUCAAAUUCUGUUUGCAGAAUUGUUGAGAUUAUGAAAGAAAAAAGCCACUCUUCUUUCCCAGUCAACAGGUGAAUACACCUACGUAAAUAUAUACACAUUAUAUAUAUAUAUAUAUAUAUAUAUAUAUAUAUANNNNNNNNNNNNNNNNNNNNNNNNNNNNNNNNNNNNNNNNNNNNNNNNNNNNNNNNNNNNNNNNNNNNNNNNNNNNNNNNNNNNNNNNNNNNNNNNNNNNCAGGACGCAUGCCCUCAGCAUGUCCUCUAAAGUCUGUAUGGUCCUCUCUGACUGACCAUCUGUCUGUGGGUGGAACGCCGUGCUAAAAUGCAGCUGUGUACCCAAGGCUGUCUGCAAACUUUUUCAGAAAUGUGAUACAAACCUCAGGUCUCUGUCUGAUAUAAUCGAUACUGGCACGCCGUGCAGCCUAACGAUCUCAUCUAAGUAUAGCUGCACGAGUCUCUCCCUGGACCAGGUAGUCUGAACCGGUAGGAAGUGAGCAGACUUGGUCAGUCUGUCCACUAUCACCCAAAUCGCGUCGUAGCCACCCUGCGCUCUAGGCAAUCCAACGACGAAGUCCAUCGUGAUGAGCUCCCAUUUCCACUCGGGCACUGGCAGACUCUGAAGGUUGCCAGCAGGCACCUGAUGCUCGGCCUUCACCUGUUGGCAAGUCAAACACUGAACUACAAAUCUGCCAAUGUCCCGCUUCAUUCCAUGUCACCAGAACCGUGCCUUAAGAUCCUUAUACAUCUUAGUUCCCCCAGGGUGAAUCAUAUAAGGGGAACAAUGAGCCUCUCUGAGAAUAUCCGUUCGAAUCUCAGGAUCCACAGGCACACACAGUCGGUCCCUGUACCGUAGUACUCCCGAACUGUCCAACGCAAAACUCUCAGCCUGCCCCCUGUCUAGCUGCUCUCUAACCCUCAACAAAUACGGAUCUCCACUCUGUUUUUCUCGGAUCCUAUCCAACAGAGUGGGUUGUAACAAAAGAGACGUCAGCCUCACCGUAGACCCAGGGGGUACUAUCUCGAGUCCCAGCCGCUGUAGCUCCUCGAGUAGGGGUCUCUGCUCAGUAAUCCUCAAACUCAGGCUCUGCACUGACUUCCUGCUCAACGCAUCUGCCACCACAUUCACCCUGCCGGGAUGAUACUGAAUACUAAUGUCAUAGUCCUUCAGUAACUCCAACCACCGGUGCUGCCUCAGGUUCAGCUCCCUCUGUGUGAACAGAUACUUGAGACUUUUAUGAUCGGUGAAGACCUCGCAGUGCUCGCCAUACAAGUAAUGUCGCCAGAGCUUCAAAGCAAAAAUCACCGCGGCAAGCUCCAAGUCAUGCGUAGGGUAAUUCUUCUCAUAAUCCUUUAACUGCCGUGAAGCAUAAGCAAUCACCCUACCAUGCUGCAUCAGCACGCAACCAAGUCCACUGUGCGAUGCAUCACUGUAGAUCACAAAUCCUUCGCCCAUAACAGGAAGGGCAAGGAUAGGAGCCGACAUCAACCUCAAUCUCAACUCGUCAAAGCUCCUCUGACAGUCGUCGCUCCAGACAAAACGAAUCCCCUUCCGCGUCAAGCGUGUGAGGGGUGUGGAAAGCUUCGCAAAGCCUUCCACAAACCGACGGUAAUAUCCUGCCAGUCCCAGGAAGCUCCGUACCUCAGUAACCGUCGUCGGUCUAGGCCAAUCUCGAAUCGCCUCAAUCUUCUUCGGGUCCACUGCUACGCCCUCAGCUGAAAUCACGUGGCCCAAGAAAGCAACCUCCCGUAGCCAGAACUCGCACUUCUUUAACUUGGCAUACAACUUCUUCUCGCGCAGAAGCUGUAGCACAAUCCUCAAGUGCUCCUCAUGCUCAGCAUCACUCCGGGAGUAAAUCAGGAUAUCGUCGAUGAAGACUACCACAAACCUAUCCAAGAACGGCUUGAACACUCUGUUCAUCAAAUCCAUGAAUGCGGCAGGGGCAUUCGUCAAUCCAAAAGGCAUCACCGUGAACUCAUAAUGCCCGUACCGAGUCCGAAAAGCCGUCUUGGGAACAUCCUCGGCCCUCACCCUCAGCUGGUGGUAACCUGACUGGAGAUCAAUCUUCGAGAAGACAUAAGAUCCCUGCAGCUGAUCAAACAAAUCAUCAAUGCGCGGCAAGGGAUACUUAUUCUUGAUGGUCACUUUAUUCAGCUCCCGGUAAUCCACACAUAACCUGAGCGAACCAUCCUUCUUCUUUACAAAUAACACCGGCGCUCCCCAAGGCGACACACUGGGUCUCACAAACCCUCUAUCAAUCAGAUCCUGAAGCUGUGCCUUUAGCUCUCUCAGCUCUGCCGGCGCCAUCCGAUAAGGUACUUUUGAGAUUGGUGCAGUUCCAGGAACUACAUAAAUCACAAACUCAAUCUCCCUCUCCGGCGGCAACGUCGUCAACUCAGGGGGAAACACAUCCGAAAACUCGCGGACUACUGGAAUGUCCUCGAGUCCCGGCGCUGCCGUAGGUACCUCCACAACAGUCGCUAGGAAAGCGAUAUACCCACUACUCAGCAUCUGUCGAGCCCUCGCCGAAGAUAUCCAGGUGGCAAACAGUAUGCUCCUGCAGCCUCUAAAAGUAAACUGCUCCUGGCCUGGCUCGCGGAACGUCACAGUCCUCGCUCCACAAUCAAUAGUAGCAUAGUACCGCGCCAGCCAAUCCAUACCGAGCACAACGUCGAAGUCCAGCAGCUGCCCUAGCACCAACAGAUCUGCGGGCAUGACCCACGAAUCCAACUGCACCGGACACGACCAACAACACUCUGCAAUCUGUAAAACAUGGUCCGGGAUCUGCACCUCUCGUGCCUGUGACAAUGCCGCUAACUCUAGACCAUGCAACAAUGCAAAUGCUCGACUAACAAAAGAAUGCGAGGCUCCAGUAUCAAAAAGAGUACGAGUACGAAUGCCGAAAAUCAAAGUGAUACCUGCCACCACUCGGUCGGCUGCUAUAGAGUCCUCCACCUGAGCUGCGUAGACACUGCCACUCGGAGCCUACUGUCGCCGCUCACCCUGACGCGGCACAGACGAUCUAUCCUUCUGGCGGUAACCCGGUGCUGCUCUGUAAGUCUGCUGAGAUGCUGGUGGAGCUGAAGCUGAUGAGGGUGCUGGAGAUGCUGCUCGGGGACAAGCUGCCCUCAUGUGUCCCGGCUGACCACACCCGUAGCACCGGCCUUCCUUCUGCUCACACUGUCUGGGCCAGUGUGGUCCUCCGCAGAUCACACACUGCAGCGUCCUCUCUGGCUGUCCCCUAUGACGAGAGUCCCUGGAUCGCUGACGCCCCGAGAACCCACGACCCUGUGAACGCGAUCGUGGAGGCCUUGGCGGACGCCUGCUACUCAACUGACCUCCGUCGUCUGGAGCUGGGCGCUUCCAGUCCUGACUCUGUCCCGGCCCCUGAGUCCUCUCUCGCAGUGACACCUCUCCUCUCUCCUUCCAUAAUGCCUGCUCAAUGGACGCAUCCAGAAUCCUCGACCUCUGCGCCCUAACGAACCUGAAAAGGUCAGGUCUCAAACCCUGCUCGAACAAAUAGACCCUAUGUGCCUCGUCUCUGGCCACAAACGGAACACAGUUCAGGAGUCUAGUAAACUCCCGAACAUACUCCUGAACUGUCCGCUCGCCCUGCUGUUUCCUCUUUAAAUCCUCCUCAAUCUUCUGUUUCAUGCUGUUGGGAAAAUACAUCCCAUACAGCAUUCCACAGAACUCAUCCCACCUCAGCUGCGCCGCCACCAGUCCCUGGUCACGCCUCGCUCUCCGCCACCAGUCACGUGCAUCACCUGAUAAACAGUGUACUCCCAACGUUACCUGCUCCCCUUCUGGAACGAACAGAUCCUCAAAUAACCUCUCCAUCGCACUGACCCAUCCCUCAACAACCCAGGCCCUAGUGCCGCUGCCAUCGAAAAUCGGUCGAUCAAAUCGACGAAAUCGAGCUAACCUCUCCAUCCACCGCUCCUGCUCGGCCUCUGUCAAUGGUACAGGCCCCCUGGCAGGCGCAACUAGCGCUGUAGGAAUCUCCAAUCGUGGGGGCAUAGCUGCGGCUGGAGCUGACGCUGGAGUAGUAGGUGGUGGAACAGUCUGCUUUGGUACACUUGGGGCCGAACUAGGUGACUGAGCUAUCCUCUCACACAACCUCUGCAACAACUCCCCCUGCUGCCUCGUCACCUCAGUCAGGGCAGCCAGUUGUGCACUCAAAUCCGGAGGUGCGCUAGCCUCAGGUCGCGCACUCGGCUCUACAACAGGGGGUGCACUCGCCUCCGAUCUGUCCCUCUGCUCCUGCCGAGCACUCUGCUCCAUCUGCUCCGGUCUCUCAGAAGGUCCAGCACGAUCCCGCGCCAACUGGGCACGCUCCCGCAACGAUGGUCGACCUCGGCGACGAUACAUAGCUGCAAGGAACAAAUCGGGGUCAGAUACAAACAACACUCUCGACCCAAUCAACGAAAAUCUGGAAGGCGGUCCCUAUUUUCCUCCAAAAUUAUGUCGUCUGCAGCCAACAUAAUUUUUCAGGCCAAAACAGGAACUCCUUCAGUCACUCACUCCACUCUAGGAGAAGUUAGAACAAAUAAUCAUUGACCUUCGCAAUUAAAUUACGCCUCUCGCGUCUUGCUUCCGAAGGUUUGCCAACUUAGGGUUUCCUAGGUCCCAACGACCUAUAGCAAGCUCUGAUACCAACUUAAUCUGUCACGCCCCGCAUGUUUCGUUCACUGGGCACGCCGACAAAUCCGCCGUAUACAAAGGAAUUUUCCCUGUAUACGAAGCGUCAAAAGUACCUGUAGAUAUACAAUACUACAACCAGUAGCAUAGAGCUGCUCAAUAAACAAAAGCUAACCAACUGAGUUUCAUAUACAUAGUCCAAAUCCAAAAUACAGGGUUACUCGCACUGGCGAGUUAAGCAAGCUAUGUACAUAAACUCAAAACAAAACAUCUACCUGAAGUAGGGGUGCCUCUAGCUCUGUCAGUCGGGUAGGGCUCUAGCUCGCGACGCCCUUGCCUCGAUCCUGAUCCGCGGAAGGCGCAGCAGCCGAAACCUGUGGCUCUGCAAAACAAGAGUAACAACUGGGCGUGAGAACUACUGUAAAAACAAGUAGUCCUCANNNNNNNNNNNNNNNNNNNNNNNNNNNNNNNNNNNNNNNNNNNNNNNNNNNNNNNNNNNNNNNNNNNNNNNNNNNNNNNNNNNNNNNNNNNNNNNNNNNNNNNNNNNNNNNNNNNNNNNNNNNNNNNNNNNNNNNNNNNNNNNNNNNNNNNNNNNNNNNNNNNNNNNNNNNNNNNNNNNNNNNNNNNNNNNNNNNNNNNNNNNNNNNNNNNNNNNNNNNNNNNNNNNNNNNNNNNNNNNNNNNNNNNNNNNNNNNNNNNNNNNNNNNNNNNNNNNNNNNNNNNNNNNNNNNNNNNNNNNNNNNNNNNNNNNNNNNNNNNNNNNNNNNNNNNNNNNNNNNNNNNNNNNNNNNNNNNNNNNNNNNNNNNNNNNNNNNNNNNNNNNNNNNNNNNNNNNNNNNNNNNNNNNNNNNNNNNNNNNNNNNNNNNNNNNNNNNNNNNNNNNNNNNNNNNNNNNNNNNNNNNNNNNNNNNNNNNNNNNNNNNNNNNNNNNNNNNNNNNNNNNNNNNNNNNNNNNNNNNNNNNNNNNNNNNNNNNNNNNNNNNNNNNNNNNNNNNNNNNNNNNNNNNNNNNNNNNNNNNNNNNNNNNNNNNNNNNNNNNNNNNNNNNNNNNNNNNNNNNNNNNNNNNNNNNNNNNNNNNNNNNNNNNNNNNNNNNNNNNNNNNNNNNNNNNNNNNNNNNNNNNNNNNNNNNNNNNNNNNNNNNNNNNNNNNNNNNNNNNNNNNNNNNNNNNNNNNNNNNNNNNNNNNNNNNNNNNNNNNNNNNNNNNNNNNNNNNNNNNNNNNNNNNNNNNNNNNNNNNNNNNNNNNNNNNNNNNNNNNNNNNNNNNNNNNNNNNNNNNNNNNNNNNNNNNNNNNNNNNNNNNNNNNNNNNNNNNNNNNNNNNNNNNNNNNNNNNNNNNNNNNNNNNNNNNNNNNNNNNNNNNNNNNNNNNNNNNNNNNNNNNNNNNNNNNNNNNNNNNNNNNNNNNNNNNNNNNNNNNNNNNNNNNNNNNNNNNNNNNNNNNNNNNNNNNNNNNNNNNNNNNNNNNNNNNNNNNNNNNNNNNNNNNNNNNNNNNNNNNNNNNNNNNNNNNNNNNNNNNNNNNNNNNNNNNNNNNNNNNNNNNNNNNNNNNNNNNNNNNNNNNNNNNNNNNNNNNNNNNNNNNNNNNNNNNNNNNNNNNNNNNNNNNNNNNNNNNNNNNNNNNNNNNNNNNNNNNNNNNNNNNNNNNNNNNNNNNNNNNNNNNNNNNNNNNNNNNNNNNNNNNNNNNNNNNNNNNNNNNNNNNNNNNNNNNNNNNNAGGGCUUCGUGGAUUCCUCUCGAAGUCCUGAAUCCAACGAACCAACUCUCGUCGAAAUCCGACGCUCCUACGUCGAGAACGAGCCGAAACGCCAACGAUCAACGCAGGAAAUCUGCAGGGCAGCACCUAGCUCGAAUUGAAGAAGUUUGGAAAUAAAGAAGUACUUUGACGGCAUACCCACCUCUACAGCGAUUCCAGCGCCGGCGUGACGUCGAGAACAGCGAAAAUACUCCCUCGCCCGGCCUCCUUGCGACACAACGGCGGCGAACGUACGCUCGAACGACUCCGCGGCGCGACGUCGACGGCGAAACCUCCACCCGAGCUCCCUCCUCCUUGCGUACGGCUCCAAAGAAUUACGGAGAGACAAUGAAAUUUAAUUAAAGAGGUGGUGGUGGUGGUUGCAUCCUCGGUUAAAUCAGCAUGCAUGGGGAGAGGGGGGCACGUGGCAUAUAUAUAUAUAUAUAUUAGGAUACUACAUCCGCCGUAUACAAAGAAAUUUUUUCUGUAUACGAAGCGAUAGCUGUACCUGUAAAUCAUACAAUACUACAAACAGUAGUAUAGAGCUGCUAGAAGAAUCAGAAGAAAACCAAACCGAGUUCUAUAUACAUACACCGAAAUUCAAGAUACAAAACUAUUCGCACUAGCGAGUUAAAGAUAGGUAUGUACAUGAACUCCAACAAAACAACUACCUGCAGAAGGGCACCUCUAGCUCGGCUCGACAGGUAGGGCUCUAACUCGCGAUGCCCUUGCCUCGAUCCUGAUCAGCAAUAGCAGGAGCCGAAGACGAUGGUUCUGCAAAAAGAUGAAACAACAGGGCGUGAGAACUACUGUAAAACAAGUAGUCCUCAGUGGGUACCACCCUCAACACAUCGGUUCACCCACUAAGUCUACAGAAAAAAACAGCAAUAGUAAAAGAAAUCUGAUCUACUCUACAGCUAUAUGCCACUAUACUAUCCUAUUCUAACUAACCAUCUGUAGGAAAUGUCAAAUCUGACCCAAUCCAAUCGGGACUGUAGGCAUACCCGUCCCUGGGACGGUGAACACACCCGUCCCUGCCCAGUUGUGACUAUCCAGCUACCUCCACACUACUAGUCCGUGAAGAGCAAGUCCAACCGGCAUGAGCGACACCAACGCGAAAGCACAAAGCCCGUCUCCGGCGUGGCACUCGUGGGAGCUAUCCAACCGAGUAUGCAGCGUAUCUCUGUCGAGCUCAAUCAGGCUCCAACUAGCCAAAGUCAUGUAAACAGGUCAAAACAGGUUUACAAACCAAACCCACGUGCCCUCGGCACAAUCUGGGACCAAAACCAAGAAUCUGGGUCCACCGCCAACCUGGGCGGCACCCAACAAUCCGAAACAGCCUAGACUCUGCUGAAAAAUAAGCUCGGCACCCCAGCACGAGCGUAAAUGCCUUCUAAACUACCCCAGGUAUCUAUCGCACUGAUACUACAACGAUACAAUCGAACCACGACUCCUAGAGCUAAAUCUGGUAGUUCAAGCAUAUGACGGGUCAAAACGCAGGUUUUCUCCUAAGUCAAAUUCCAAGUCCAACAUGUAUAAUAUAAAUGUUCAUUUCAGCAUGCUUCUACAUUCAUAUUUCAGUCAAGAUGCUAAUUGAUGAAUUUAAGCAUGAUAUACAAGAACCGACCGAACUAUACACGUUGACUAAACAUGCACUUAGGAGCGAAACCGAUAAUACACCCACCUUGAGAGCAAUUUUCUGGCAGCAAGAAGGUCACUCAGCUACGGAACACUCUGUCGGAACCAAACGCACCUGCUUUCAACCAGCAAAGAUCCACAGUCAGGAUCUAAACAUCAAUUUACUAAAAUCCACUAAAAUAAUUCCAAUUUCAGCACUUAAGCUUGGAUUUCUCAACUCCAAUGUCAAAACUCACCUAACGAUCUCCAAUUCGGGCGAGGACAGUUCCAAAUCCAGUAAAUACUGAUAGGUGAUCAAUCUCAGGUCCAAAAUCCCACUACCUACAAAGAUAGCAUCAAGAAAAGCUCAAAAUCCCAAUUUCAGCUCAAAGUCAACAGCAGUCCAGAAAAACCUCAGUUCAACCAAGCUAACCUCAUCUAAAAUCUAAAUUCAGGUCUUCGUGGAUUCCUCUGGAAGUCUAGAAUCCAGCAAACCAAGUUUCGUCGAAAUCCGACUUUCCUACGUCGCGCACAAGCCAAAACAGUGGAGGUUGUCGCUGAAGAACUGCAGAAUCAGCACCUUGAAAUUCUUGGAGAUGUGGAUCUUGAUGCAAAUUGGAAAGAUUGGAGGGAUUAGAGAGCAAAAUCUAAGUUCUCUGUGAAGAACAGGUAAAAGAGCUCAAAGGGGACGCAUACCAGGUAUUAAUAGGCUACUGGAGGGAUAAAAUAAGCCCCAAGAGAAACAGCUGCUAUCCAGUGUUCUUGCAGAAUCGGGCGUUUCUGGGCGCCCGGAACCAUGUUCUAGGCGACCAGAACAUCCUGACUGCACACUUCAUGCUCCUCGGACUCUCCGCUCGCGGUCUGCUGCGCCCGUAAACGGCUCCGACGGAACUCACCUACACCCUGCCACGCGUCGAAGCAAGCGAUAUGUGAGAUCCCUGGUGUUCAGCUCUGGAGGCUUGUCGACAGCUCUGUAGAGUGUCGGGACAGGUCUGAGUCGCGUUGGCGCCAAAUAGACGCAAAACGGACUCCGUGCGACGCGAGGGCAGCUUUCAGCGAAGAAAAUCUGCAAAUAGCAGUUUUUCAGCUUGCUGUACCGGUACAGCCAUCAAGGUGUACCGGUACACUGCACUGGGCCGCGCGCGGGUUGCUCUCGGGUUGGCUCCUGUACCGGUACGCGAUCCCGUGUACCCUUACACCAGGGUAGGUGAGGGGGCAUUUGAGUAAAUUUUCACCUCGUUUGUAUCAACAGCUCUCUCUCUCUCUUUAUAGCUUCGUGUAGAGAGAGAGGGGGGGGCUUCCUGUUGCUCUUCACCAUCUCUCUCUCUCUCGGCUGAAGGUAGGGAAGAAGCCGGUUGAUUUCGUCGCCGACGUCGUGCCGCGAACCGUUCGAGCGCACUUGCUGCCGGAGCUUUGCGAGGAGGCCGGGCGAGGGAGCGUCUUCACUGUUCUUGACGUCGCGCCGAGGUUCGACGCUGUCGAGGUGGGUGAUUCGGCGUCUUUUCUGGAUUUUGGGCAAGUAUUACUAUUUUCUACUCGGUUUGUAGCUGUUUUGCUGAAAUCCGCCGUCGACUGUUCGUAUUUCAGCUCGUUCUCCGCGUAGGAGCGUCGGAUCGCGACGAAACUUGGUUCAUUGGAUUCUAGACUUCGAGAGGUUUCCACAGAGCCCUCACUUGCAAUUUCUGGUGAAGGUUAGCUCGGUCGAAUCCCGUUUCUACUCAGCUGCUGUAAUUUUCUGGACUGAAUUGAGGAUCCUUAAUUGUUUAGCUUGGAAUCAGCUCGAUUGCGAGAAUCGGACGUUUUCAGUCAACCCAGCAGGUGGUGUUGCAGCUGAGGGGAGUAUUCCGCUGCCUGGGAUUAGCGUGCGAGGUGGGUUACAUCGGUUUUGACUCCUAAGUUCUAAUCGUCGACAUGUAUAAAUGUUGAUUGUUGCUAUAGCCUUUUCUAGCUCGAAUUCGUGGAUUUAAUUAUUGUUGGUAAUUCUGAAUUUGGAGCAUGGCAUAUUUAAAUUAAAUAGUUUCUACAUGUUGGACUUGGAAAUUGAAUUAGGAGAAAACUUGCGAUUUGGACCUGUCACCAGUUUUAACUACCUGAUUUAGCUCUAGGAGCCGUCAGAAAAUUGUACUGUCGCAGUUUCUUCGAGACGAGUACUCCAGGUAGUUUAGAAUGUAUUUACACUCGUGCUGGUUCGCCGAGUGGAUUUUUACAGGGUCGUUCAGGUUGUUCCGGACUGUUGGGUGCCGUCAGAGUUGACGGUGGACCCGUAUCGCCUUUUUGGCGUCAGAUUGUGCCGAGGGCACGUUACCUGUUGGUUGUUAGACCAGUUUGAGUCGAUUACUUGACUUUGGCUAGUUGGAGCCUGAUUGAGCUCGACAGAGAUACGCUGCAUACUCGGUUGGGUAGCGCCCACGAGUGCCACUCCGGAGUCAGGCUUGUGCUUUUGCGUUGGUGUCGCUCAUGCCAGUUGGACUUGCUCUCCACGGACCAGUUAGUGUGGAUAGAGCCCGAUAGUCGCAACGGGGCAGGGACGGGUGUGUUCACAGUCCCGGGGACGGGUAUGUCUACAGUCCCGAUUGGAUUGGGUCAGAUUUGACAUUUCCUACAGUUGGUUAGUGUAGAGCAUGAUAGUGUAGUGGAUGAUAGCGGUAGAGUAUGCUUCCUGCUUUCCUUCUAUCCUUGCUCCCUUCUGUAGACUUAGUGGGUGACCGAUGUUGUUUUGGGCGGUACCCACUGAGGACUACUUGUUUUUACAGUAGUUCUCACGCCCAGUUGUUACCUAUGUUUUUGCAGAGCCACAGGUUUCGGCUGCUGCACCGUCUGCGGACCAGGAUCGAGGCAAGGGCGUCGCGAGUUAGAGCCCUACCCGACGUGCUGAGCUAGAGGUGCCCUACUGCAGGUAGAUGUUUUGUUUCGAGUUUAUGUACAUAGUUGACUUUACUCGCCAGUGCGAGUAGCUCUGUAUUUUGGAUCUGAACUAUGUAUAUGAAACUCUGUUUUAUUUAGCUUCUGUUUUCUCUAGCAGCUCUCUACUACUGUUCGUAGUAGUGUUUGAUUUACAGGUACAGCUAUCGCUUCGUAUACAGGGAAAAUUUCUUUGUAUACGGCGGAUUUGUCGGCGUGCCCGGGGAACGUGUAAUCCGGGGCGUGACACGAUAUUUACGAUGUAGAAUUUUCGAACCCACUUCUGGGCGCCCGAAACAUAGGAUCCGAAUUGGCUUCCAGUUUCAGUUAAAUUCAAGACUCAGUUCUGGGCGACCUAAACCAUGUUCUGGGCGCCCGAAUCUGGCAAAACUCCAGUUUUGCUUAUUUGAAUGCGCCGAGUCCAAUUCUGCAUCUAAUUCGUGCAGAAUUGACUCCGACUCAGUCUGACACUCUCCAGAGAUGUCGACCAGUCACUAAUACUGAAGCCAAUCCUAUCCAAAGCUCAAGACCACUUCAUCUUUCUCCCUCUCUAUCUAUAUAUAUAUAUAUAUAUAGAGCAGGGCUACUAUACUCUUAUGAAUAUAGACCACUUCAUAUUCAUAAUUGUUUUUGAUGAUGGAGCUUUUGAAUCGACGAUCCACUCUGUUAAUUAUGAUCUAGGGCCCGUUUGGCCUAGCUUCUAAAAAAGUAAUUUCUGAAAAAGUGAUUUUGGUUUAGAGAAGUGAUUUUUGUUAAAAGCAGUAGAGCGUUUUGCUGAGUUUAGAUAAAAGCGAUUUUUCUGAAAUGAUUUUGAAAAGCUAUUUAGAAAUUUUUUCUUAAUAUUUGCAUAAAUUAAUAUUUUUAUUAAAUUUUGUUUUAAAAUAAUUUAAAAUCUAAAUUUUAAUUUUAAUUAAAAUUAAAAUUUUUAAAUUUCAAAAUUGUACAAAAUUUAAAAUUUGAUAUUUUAAUUUAAAAAAUAAUUUUAAAUUUUAAAAUUUUAAAAUAUAAAUUGUUAGAUUUUGAAUUUCAAAACUUAAAAUUUUAAAAAUGUUAAAAAUUGAAGUUUAAAAGUUUGAAGGAAUUGAGAAUUUGAUAGUUUUUAAAGGUAUUAAAAUGUUAUAAAUUUAAAACAUAUAGAAUAUUUAUGGAAAAUUUAGCGAGAUAUUAGAUUUAAUAUUUUAAAAAAUAUAGAUUUAAAAUUUUUUAGAGAUUUUCAAAGUUUUAAUAUUUUAAAUUAUAAUUGCAAUAUCAAUAUUAUUAAUUUUAUAUUUUUAACAUUUUCAUAAUUAUGUAAAAUGUUAAAAUAUGAAAAUUUAAAUUUUUAAAGAAUGAAUAUGGAAUUUAAAUUUUAAAAUUUAAAAUUUGAAUAUUUAAAAUUAUAGAAAUUUGAAUUUUAUAAUUUAAAUUUUGAAAUUUUAGAAAUUUGUGAAAUUGUAUUAAUUGUGAAGAUGAAAUACUUGUAAUUUAAAAAUUUCAACCUUUUAAAUUUUUUAAUAUUUAUAUUUUAAAAUCCUAAAAUGUCAAAUUGUUGAAAUUGUUAUCUGUAAUUGUUGGAAAUUUCAAUUUGAAGAUUUGAAAUUAAAUCUAAUAAAAUUUGAUAUUUGAAAUUUUAAAAUUAAUGUGUAAAUUUUAAAAUUUGAAAAUCUAUUUUUCAAAUUUUAAGAUUUAAGAAGUUAAUUUAAAAUUCAAAAUAAAUUUGACAAAUUUAAAUUUAAGUUUAAAUUUAAAUUUAAUAUGAUAUUGAAAUAAAAUAUAAAAUUGAAGUUUGGGUUCAAAAUGCAGAAUUAGAUUUUAAGAAGUAGUUUUUUCUACUCCUGAUUCUGAGGCCUUUCAAAAGCAUGUUUUCUUAAUUUAAACGACGAAUAUAGAUUUAAAAAUAUAAGGUUGCGCGACACUUUUUUGAGGCCGAAAAAUCACUUUUCAUACCCGAAAUGACUUUUUAAAGUUAGGCGAAACAGCACCCUAUGAGUAUAAUAGUCGAACUAAUAUAUAUAUAGUAUACAUAUAUAUAUAUAUAUAUAAUAUAUAUAUAUAUAUAUACAUAUAUAUAUAUCUUAUAUAUACUAUAUAUAAUCCCUGUAGAAUUAAGUGGGUGAACGCGAUGAGUUUUGAGGGCGGUACCCGCUGAGGACUACUAUGUUUUUACAGUAUUCUUCACGCCCAGUUGUUACCACUGUUUUUGCAGAGCCGUCGUCUUCGACUGCUACUGUUGCUGAUCUUGAUCGUGGCAAGUGUGUUGCGAGUUAGAGCCCUUCCAGUCGAGUCGCAAAGCUAGAGGAGCACCAGCUACCGGUAGUUGUAGUUUUUGGAUUUUUACAUACAGUUGUUGUUUCUCGCUAGUGCGAGUAUUUGUAUACCGUGGAUGACAUGUAUGUAUUGAACCACAGUUUAUAUAUUUGGUUUAUUUUUCCUUGCUGCUCUAUACUACUAUUUGUAGUAUUAUAUGAUUACAGGUAUUUCUACUUUUCGCUUCGUAUACAGGAAAAAUAUCUAUAUAUACGGCGGGUCUGUUAGCGAGCCCGGAAAAACGAGUAAUCCAGGGCGUGACAUUUAUCUAUCAAUCAAGUAGUCUAAAAAUGAACGGCUAAAAAUAAAAAUCUCAUAAAAAAUGAUGAUAAAAAAUUUAAAUAUAAGAUCAGUGGUACUGAUCUUACUCUAAAUAGUGAAAAAAAUAAAUUUUAAAAUUUCAUCAGAUUUGGAUUAUUUUAUACCGUUAAAUUCACAAACGUAUCACAUCUACAGUUAAAAUUAUCAAUUUUAAGACCUUUUGAUCACUAGCCAAUGAUGCCGAAAAAUUAUGAAAUUUAGUUUCCAAAUACUUUUAAUAGUAUAAAUCAAGUCUAACGUAGUCGAUUAUCGAUUUGGAAUCCGUAACAUUGAAAACAACUUGAUAGCACGAAAACCUCCAUACUACCGAUAGUAUACUCUCUCUCUCUCUCUCUCUCUCUCUCUCUCUAUAUAUAUAUAUAUAUAUAUAUAUAUAUAUAUAUAAAAAACUUAAAUUCUCACACUUGAAUGUUUUCAAAUGAUUCCACUUUGAUUUUCAUACUUGAAGGGGUGCAUGAAAGAGCCUAAAUAAGCUUAAAAAUAUGAUAUUUCGACCGACGUUAAAAUUAACAAAAAAAUUCUAACUAAAGCGUGCAUUUGAUAGACAUCUAAGGUGCUGGAGUAACAUUCUUUAAAUUUUUUUUUUCCUUUAUGUAGAAGAAUAUUAAGUUGAGACGGGGAGUAAAAAAAUGGGUGAUGGUUUUUAGAAGAAUGUUAAUGACAUGCUAAUAUUAUUAUAAUAUUUUAAAUAUUAAUUACUAAAUUCCAAAUAUUAAUAUUAAAUUCAAAAUACCAUCAUUAUACUCUAAAUUCUAGGCCCUAAUUUCUUCACACGUACGUGUUCGCCAACACAACAACAGGGUACGUAGUUGGAGUACCCCAAAGUGGGCAAACGAAACCAUUUCUCAUUUUUUGUCAUAAUAAGCACUACUACCGGGACUCCUUUUCCCGUUCCACACAAUGUUGUUGGUGAUAUUGCAUUAUUUUUAUUAUUAUUAUUAUUAUUAUUAUUAUUAUUAUUGUUAUUAUGCUCUAUAAACAUCAUUACUAAACUCCAAAGGCCAUUUGCUAAACUCUAAGCACCAUUAUUAAUCUAAAUCCUAAAUUCUAAACAUUCCACAUUCGGGAACGAUAUGCAUUUCAACACAUCAAUAAUAUUAUAGGGUACAGAUAUUGUGAUACAUCAAACAUUUCUCCUGUAUAAUAAGCCUAUUUUUGAAGACAAUAGAUUCAAAGCCACAUGCACUUCAUAGUAAAAGUUGGGGUCUACCAAAUGCAGUUACUUGUCGCGCGAGGACGAUGAGCUUGGCGCGUGCAUCGCCGGCUUGGAUCUGGUAGAGCCUUCCCAGGCCGAGGUGCUCCAUGAGGAGCCAGACAACGGUGAUGAGCUCCCCUCCGUGGCUCAGCUGCCGCGCGUGCUCCCUCGCCUGGCAGUGGCACGCCGUGUACGCCAGCAUCUCCGCCCACACCGCCGACAUCACCUCCCACUUCCUCUCCCCCAUCGGCCCCAGCUUCUUCGACAGGAUGCACGCGUUGAACAGCACCGACUUACUGCGGUCUCCGUUCACAGCGGCCGGCGGCACGUAGAUCUUCACUUGGAGGAGGCACUCGCGCUUCUGCUCCGGGGUCAGCUACUGCCAUUCGCCCAUGGCGAAUAACCGGCGGGCCUCCGCACACGUGUCGUGGUAUGAUAGCAGCCUGAGGCCCGCCGCCAUUGGCAGCAUUGCCGACCGCAUCACCAACAGGUACACCAGGUACUCCGACUGUCACGUCUCGCAAUCGCCAAUUUGGUCGAUCCGGGCCCGUACAUAGACGCCGAACGAACAGCACCUCCUCUGUUCGCCUAAGGCUCAACAACAACGAAUAUAUGUAUAAAGAAAUAAACAAUUCCCAGGACACAUUUCAAUAUACAUGGCUUGCACGAAGACAAGCAACAACACAAGUGAUAGUAAGUCUAACUAAACAUGAAAUCCACUGUAAUUUAAAACUUUACAUAACUAAAACAUUUAGUUAUUACAUGCUUUAUAUACAUUCAUUUACAUGUCUCUGUACAUCAAAAUAGAUGAUACAUGAACUCAAAAUGUUAAAUAACUAUAACUCUGGUGUCAGCUAGCUAGGAUGCUGGGCUCUUACCUCGAUCCUCGGCCACAACGCUCGCAUUGGAACCUGUAUGGUUAGUGGUGUGAGAACUACAAGAAAGUUCCCAGUGGGUUCGGCUGCCGACCUCGCCGACUCACCCACUAGGUCUAUUCAGGCAUAUGUAGGCAAAAGAAGUAAACAGAUAGUAACCAACUAUAAUAUGUAACUACUACAAUGCCUGUACAAAGCUGAAAGAACGAUAUAUAUGAAAACUGUAAAUAUGCAUGCAUGCUGUAAUGUACCAAUACUCAAUCAAUCUAGCUAACCAUUUGGUUAACUGUAACUCACCAACUCAAUCCCUGGCGGGCCCUAAGCUGCCUCCCGACGAGACCGUCUGCUGGACAGAUACUUUAGUCCAAGGGCAAAUACUUUAGCCCAUCAAGUGACCACCUCCGAAGUGCACUGCUUGGGUGGAGCGACCACCACCAAGCUCAAAACAGACUAUGUGAGUAUGAUCUGAUCCUCCUUUAGAGGAUUCAACAACAGACAAUGUUACACUUUAACUCUAACUAGCUCUUUAUGCUAGUUGCAAUUUCAUUCCUCGAUGCUAACCCAAUCUCU
RNAcentral lists this long non-coding RNA (179996 nucleotides) under Ananas comosus (pineapple). Its description in RNAcentral is "long non-coding RNA (ACOM_LNC001174)". Lineage: Eukaryota; Viridiplantae; Streptophyta; Magnoliopsida; Poales; Bromeliaceae. The record is from RNAcentral.